RNAcentral lists this long non-coding RNA (286848 nucleotides) under Coffea arabica (coffee). Its description in RNAcentral is "long non-coding RNA (CARA_LNC002240)". The stretch from base 258935 to 259042 matches the Rfam family "Plant small nucleolar RNA R71". Lineage: Eukaryota; Viridiplantae; Streptophyta; Magnoliopsida; Gentianales; Rubiaceae. The record is from RNAcentral.
UUUUUGGUGCUUUUUUGCUUUUCUUGGUAUGAUCUUGAAGGUUCUGUAAAGCUUCGUUUAUUUAUUUAAUUAGUUUGUCUUAGAACUGCUGUUAUUUUAUUCAAUUCCUAUUCAUGUACUUUGAAAGGAUUUUGGAUGCUGAAGUUCUCCAGGAAAAGUGUGGCUGUUGUUAUUAGGUUAUUACUGAGACUUAAGUGACAUUGGUGUUGAAAUUUUUAAAUGCAUGAAAAAUGCUAUCUUGUCUAAUACGGAUAUCAAAUCCUGUGGAUCAGAGCUUGGUUCUUUCAUACUUGGGACAAGUAAUGGUUCCAGGUGGUGGAUUUGCUGAGAUCCCAUAUUGAUGGAGGACGGCAUUUUGCCAGUGUGUGAUUUUCAUAUGAAAAUACUUAGCUAUGUCAAACUAGUUAAAACUUGGUUGAUAUCCCUGCAUAAGGAAAAAAUGAAAGAGGACAAGUAAUUUUUUUUCAAAGUUCAAGUUGUGUUUAGACUGUCCUUGAUGGCAUUGCUUCUAAUUGACCUUGCUGAUUCACGUAUCUUCCAAUUGGUUUUGGUUCUUUCUGGAUAGUUCUGAGUCGCAUGCCUGUAGGUUUGUUUCCACUUCAUCUAAUUUGUUUUCUCUACUCUUCUUAUUUGAAAGUAUAAAAGAAUUGUUUCAUGGUUCAUGCUUAUAGUGUUAAGGAAUCUUGGUUAUGAAGUGUUGUGUUUUAGUGGGAGAACCUGGUAUACUGGUGAUCUUAAAGGAAAAGGAAUGGCUAGCCUCAUAUAACCUUGGUGGAAUUGUUACAUUGUAACCUUGAGUUACAUGAAAUGCUGUCACCUGUACUUCUAAAGCUAUCAACUCUUCAAACCUGUCACUAUUGACAUUUACUGCUCUUUUAUAGUUGAGAUAUCAUUAGACAACACCAAGAGCUCCCGUCCUCUGAAUCCUCUCUUAGUUGAAAGUAUCUUAUCUGUUGAGACUUUGGCAUAAUUCUAUCAAUAAAUCAACUGAAAUAAAUCUUAGGUUCGGCAUUAAUGUCGACUAAAUUGUGGUAUUGCAGGAACAAGUUCCAAUAUAAACAGCCACUCAUUCAAAGGAAAGGUGAUAAACUUUUUGCUUUUGCCUUUCUUUUAAGAUCGAGAUCAUGAUAUCCUUUUCUACUGUGAUGCAGGACAUUGAUAUACCCUUCGGUGUCAGUCAUGCUUAGGGUAGUCUAAGACUUCCUGGUAUUAGAAAUCUGAAUGAUGAAUAAGGCAACUAGAAAUAGAGUUGACAAUUACAUGGCAUUAUGGAGAAAUGAACUCUCAUUUCUUUUUUUUCUUGAACUGCUAGCAUACAAAUGAGGAUUCUAGUGCUCUCAAACAUUCAUUUACUAUGACAUUGGGGGAUUGGGAGAUCAAGUUCAACUUGAGUUGAGGUUUACUAAAAGUGAACUGGAGUUAAGGGAAGAGUCAUUCCAUCCCCUAGUGCCCUCUUGCAUCCUGUGAAACUCAAGUGCAUGGUGCAUUCAAUUUCUUAUUAUUCAGUUACCUGCCUUUGACAUCAUAUGGUGUUUAUUUCCUAUCAUGUCCAUUAACUAAAUUCUUGGUUGUUUUGUUUCAUGUUGAAAUGGACAAAAAUACGAAAUGCAAAGUAGAUGUCAAACAUAAUUAAGAGGUCUACGGCCAAAUGCAAGAAGCAGCCACUAAACAGUCAAGAGAACUCAACAUUACAAUCAACAGUUAAUACAGUAUAUGCAGGUAAAAGUGUAUAAUGCCCCACUCUUACUAUAUAGUAUGCGUGAUGGAAGCAUUGCGACAAGACGUUAUGCUAACAUAUAAAAUAGCUACAAAUGAAAUUCAUUUUCUUUUUAAAAUUAUACAGAAAGUCUACUUGCUAUAGGAUCCGCAAGAUCUUAUGCUAAUCUUCAGCCAUUGUCUUGCUAUUCCAACUUUGUCAGCUCUGUGAGUGUUUCUGAUCUGAAUUUUGUCUCCAGACUGCUCAAUUGCUCAUGACUGAGCACAAACAGAUAUAUCAGCUUUUGUAUACUUUAAACAACCAAUUGUAUGCUAGGGAAGUCAAGGGCCACAAUCCAAUCAACUGAAGGGACAGUAAAUUCACCAAAGAAGUGUUCUUUCUUAAUUCCAGUCAGCUGUGAAAACAGUAGUCCUCACGCCUCGACCGAUGAUAAUUGUUUCUGACUACAGUCUAUUUCUUGGUCUGUGAAGCAAAGAGUUCUCUAAUGAAGUAAAGCUUGAAGAUGUCAUCUGCUGUUAAACCAUUAUCCUGACAUGGUGUUAGUCAACAUGCUACAUGUAAGGGGGUCUGAAAACUUGCUAUCCAUGUAGUGCCAGGUAAUUUAAACUGCAGAGCUUUCAAAACAUGUCUUUUUGUAAAUAAUGCUGAUGCAGUUGUCCAAGAAGUGACAGGUAAAAUAUGCUGAUGCAGUUGGUAAAGGGGACUGAAAGCUUGGUAUCCAUUUAAUGACAGGUAAUUAAACUCCAGAGCUUUCAGAACAUGUCUUUUGUCCAAGUAAAGAAUGUAGAUGAUUUCAUGUGGCAUAAUUUGUCUUACUUCCUUGUUUUACAUCAACUUGAGUUACCAGAAUAGUAGUUGAAUUUACUCCAUGGACAUUAAGCCUCAAACCAGACUGGUGGUGAUGACAGUCUAAAAAAUAUGCCUGUCCCUGCGAAAUUAUCUUCCAUUUUGCCUUUCUCUGUUUUACCAAGGCUGGAUAAGAUUGUUUUCUGGGUGGUCAUACUGUUGUUCAGGAGGAUUUUAAACGAAAUUUCAUGUUUGUUCUUUUACAAAGGUUUAUGAAUGGCUUUAUGGAGACUUGUAAGGUGACUUUCAGAUAUUUGACCACAACUUGACUUCUAUAAUCUGUGGAUUAGGAGAUUAAAUACUGGUGGUUAGGGAUUUGGGCUUCAUUAUUUUUCAAUUGAAGAAGUGAAGUAAGCACAAUAUAAAAUGGAUGAUAUCAUCAUGCACAAGAGAUGGUAAACCAUGAUGUAUUGCAUGUCGCAUUGACUAAUUCUUGUAUGUUCUUCAGGGUUUGCAUGCCUUUAUAAAACUCUGCUAUGCAUUCUUUUGCAAUCUUUAAUUAGGAUGUGUAACUUUAGAAGGAUACAUGUAUAUCCAAAUCUAUAGACUUAUAAGUAGAAACAAAGACACACAAAUAAAGAGCGGUUUUGCAACUAAAUGUGGUAGUCUUUUAGAAGACAAAAAAACUCAAGUCUAUGGUAGACAUGGAUGACUUUUAGGCUGUGUGAAUGCACAAAAAGACCUUUUUGUUUAAUCUGGUUUAAUGACUUUUUGUCUACUCAAGGAGUGCCACAUUUAGUUGCAAUUCGAAAAAGUCAUCUCAUAGCAAACCGCUCUUUGUUUCUGUUGCCUUUGCUAAGCUCGUUUCUCUCAAAAUUGGUAAGUACUGUGUUUAUCAUGAGUUACUUUUCUACUUUGAAUUUUGAGUAACGGGGUGCAUGCCAGAGUGUGUGCAGCUUGUAUGUUUUCAGCCAAUAUGUUUUUAGUUAAAAUGCAUUUGUUAUUACCUAAAGUAGUGCUGGUUCAUAUGUCUAUUUUUUCUUACCUGAGAACAUUUAUUUAAGUUUGUUCAGGUAUUGCUUUUGCUUGUUUGGCAUAAAGCAGGUUCUAUUUGUGUUAUAUAGUUAUUAGAUACCAGCAUGCAAUUUCUCCUCUUAUCUGUUCCAUUAGAAGCUUAUCUAUAUGCCUUGAUGCAUCUCCAUUUACUUAUUUCGUCACAGUUGCAGGAACAAAUAAGAUCACAAAAUCUGAAGUUAUGCAAUAAUGCUGAUGGAUCAUGGCAAAAAGCAGUUACUUACCUUGAGGGAGAAAAAUGACUCAUGACUCGUGUAUACUAGUGAAUGUGUUAUUGUCUAUUUAGAUGGAAGCCUAAAAGAGCUUCCUGGAAAACAAGACCUAUAUUCAUGAUAAAUUCUCUGCAGAAAAAGUUCUGUAUUAGCCUUCUGAUCUGCAUAAGCAGUUGUAAUAUGUUAUCCUUACAAGUCUUGUCAUGUCAAAUUUCAGGCCUAGUUUCUUACAGAGCACACUUGGAUCAAUCUUCUCGGCUUCUUUAAGCUUGGACUACUUUGUGCAUACUCCUUAGUUCACUACACGGACCCCAUGCUGCUUGUUUUGACGUUUUGGGAUAUAAUCAGGCUUCAUAAACUUUUACUUCAUUGAUUGUAGAAGUCAAUCUAGAUGAUGUAGAGGUUUUGUGCGGUCUGUCAAUGGUCAAGCAUAAAUAGCUCACCAACACAGGAGACUUUCUUAUAGAAUAAUUUUUUUUGAUCGAGAAUUUAGUUUGAUUUCAUGUUUAGUUUAGAAGAUGUUCAUUAAUAGCCUGCUGGAUUACAGAUUCUGAAAAACAGCUUUCUUCCACCUUCUCUUGUUGCCUUGAUCAGUGGUAUUUUAUUUGGGAUUUUAAUGUUUGUAUAUUUGUUAAUAUUGUAGCUUCUUAGUUGCUUUUUUUUUUUUUGGUUGUAGUCCGGCAUGUAGCUUCCUACUUUCUCUUAAAUUAUUCAGGUCAGGGGAAGUUAGACACAUACUUUCAGUGUCUUGCAUCUGUGCUGUCUAGCCAUGAAUGCUUUUGGUUGGAUAUUUUGCAUGGCAUUUACUUUUCUUGGAAUGAUUUCAGAGGUUGUGGAGAUGUUGACUUGUAUUUUUUUUUUUGCUUUUUGGGUAGAAGAUAUUGACUUGUAUAAAGAAAUAGUUUAUCUUGUAACUGCUGUCAUUUCGUUCAGUUUAUACUGAUUUGCUUUGAUGGUUUGGGGUAUUGGAAAUUUCCAGGAAAGGUACUUGGCUGCUGUUAUUAAGUCAUAAGUGAGUUCUGAGUGAUGUUGGUCUGGUAAUUUUUAAGUGCAUGGAAAAUGUCAUCUUCUCUAAUAGGGAUAUUUAGUGUAGGACAUUCAGUCCUGUGGGUGAGAGUUUGGUCCUUUACUACUUGAGACAAUGAAGAGUUACAUGCGGUGGUUUUAUGGAGAUCUCAUGCACAUGAAAGUUGGCACUGUCAGUCAGGGAUUUUCAUGUGAAAAAUGCUUAGUUAUGUCAGCAAAGUAAAACUUAGUUGGCAUGCCUGCAUAAGGAGAAAAUUGAAAAAAAAAAAAGCAUUUAAAAGUAUACGAGUCCACGUUCUGUUUAGGUUGUCUUAUUGGCAUGUCUCUACUUACCUUGACGACCCAUGUAUCUUCAAAUUUUGUUUAGUUCUUUUCUAGAUAAGUGGGUCACACGUCUGUAGGUUUGUUCCCACUUCAUCAAGUUUGUUAUCUUUAUUAUCUUCUUAAUUUAAAGUACAAAAAGUUGGUUCUAUUGUUCACGAGUAAGGUGCUAAGGAAUUUGGGCAGUGGAAGUGUUUCGUGUUAAUGGACUAACCUGAUACUCUGGUUCUCUUAUAGGAAAAAGAGUGCUAGCCUUAGAUAGCUUUGCUCAAACCUGUUACAUAUUAGAGCAUUGGUGACACAAGCAUAUCAUCUCUAGUAGAACUGUCAGCUACUCAAAUUUGUCAAUAUUCAAGUUAUCCUCUUUCCUUUAUAGUUGAGAUGUUAUUGAAGGACACCGGGGCUCCCCUACUUGAGAUAUCCUCUACUUGAAAUCGUCUUGUCUGUCUAAACUCUGGCAUGAUUUCAUUCAAUGUAUCAACUGAAAGACAUCUUAUUUUCUGCAUUAAGAUGGACUAAUGGUGGCAUUGCAGGAAUAAGUCCAGAUACAAGCAGACACUCAUCCAAAUUUCCAAAGGAAAGGUGCUAAACUUUUGGAUAUCUUGAAAUGUGAAGCAAGUCUUCUGAUCUUGCUGGUAAAAUGGAAUGCUUGAAAUUCAACAAACCCCCACUUUUCUUCUUCAGAAAUGACUGAAAUGAGUGCACUUUUUACCAUAAAAAAUUGCUCCCCCUCCCUUUUUUACAGAUAUGGAUAAUUUACCACCGAGGACUUGUAAUGGUUUUCAGAUCAGGAUAUCUUUUCUAAUGUCAUGCAGGUUGUAUAGACAAUUGCAAUCUAUGAUGACCCUACAGGUUUUAUUCAAAUAAAAGAGCAUCAAGUCCAGCUAGAGACACUUAUGUUCUUCCCGGGUAUGAAAAAUCCUAAUGAUGAAGAAGGCAGUUAGGACUUAGGGCUACAGGUUACAAUUACAUGGUUAUGUGAAGAAUGAAUGCUCAAUUCUUCUUUUUCUUGAACUGAUUGACAUACAAUAUUCAGGUGUCUCUGUGACCUGAAACAUUCAUUUAGUAUGACAUUCUGGAUUGGGAGAUCAACUCAACUUGAAAUAAGGUUAACUAAAUGUUAUCUGCUGUCAAGAAAAGGAAGCAAAUAAGGGAAGGCUCACCCCCUCCCAUAUUGUCUCCCUGCAUCCCGUGAAACUCAAGUUUGUGUCGAUUGUUUCCUGGUUUUUCUGUUUGGCUAGUGGAAUUGAUGUCUGGUUAGUAGUGAUGGAGCUAGAAAUAUUUUUCAGUAGGCUCACAAAAUUAACCUUUGCUAUUUUUUUCUAAUUUGCAUGUGGCUAGUAAUAAUAAAAGGUUAUUUCUUAGGGGCUUAAAUUUAAUCAAUUAAUAAAAUACAACUGUUUUAUCAGUGAAAAAUACAAAGUUGUAGGCCAAGAUAAGUGACUGUGUGGGUAAAAGUACGGGACCUUGCAGUCGUGAAGAUUUGCAGCUACUUGUUUUCUUCUUUCAUACAUAUUCAUUGGCAAGUUACAAUCAUGACCGCGCUAUAUAAUAGCGGGAUAAUUCUACUCUACACGAGUCUAUUAUCACAACUUCAUUAAGAAAGGGCAUCAAAUACCCCCCCUCCUCUUCUUUCUGUCUCUUUCUUCUCCCAUAUCAAAGAGUAAUAAUUCUACAAAAGAACUUGUAUUCCUUAACCAUAAAUCUCGAAUUUGAAAACCAUGGGAAUGGAAAGGACAAUGUUGGCAGAGUUUUUUCUUUUAAGGGGUCUGAUUCAACUCGAACCAGAUUAGUCACACAUCGUAAAACAGAUGUGAGUACCUAUGAUUUAUACCAAAAAGGAGUGCUAAAUCUUUUAUAGCCCUCCCUUUCUCGAUCUGUCUCCAUUGUUUCACCAUUUUAUGUCUUCUCUCAUAGCCUGCGACCUUUUUCCUACUUAAAAUUUUCUAUCUAUCUGCAUAACGUUGUCCCUUUACAUGAUUGCCCACAUCUCCUGAUCUCUUUCCCUGCUGUACUUACAUGAUGGUUGAUGCCAUCAUGAUAAUAGAGGUGGUGAUGGUGGGCAGUCUCUUUCCCAAGGUUGCCCACCACAAAAUGCAAGAUUCCCAAGACUCAUAUGAUGUUUCACAGAACUCUACAGCAACAUCAGCAGUCUCUUCUUAUAUUUUCAAGAAUCGCUUUGAACAGAGGAGUUUGGAAAAUAAAAGAAGAAACAAGGAAGCCCAUGAAUAUUAUAUUGAAAUGUAUAACAUCAUAGAUCCAGAUACUACUCCCUCAGAUACACCAGAUGAUGAUUAUCAGUGGGCAUGGAAUGAUAUUGACAUGGAUGGGUCCCCCUAGAAGGGUCCUCCUAAAAGUGUGAUUUACUUUUCCCAAGAGUCAAGUGUGAUUUACUCUUUCCAAGGGACAAGUAUUAUUUAUUUUUCCCAAGAGUCAAGUGUGAUUUACUUUUCCCAAGAGUCAAGUAUUGUUUCUGAAAGGCCAUUUAUCUUGAAAGGCCAAGUUUAGUUGAUGUAUAAAUAGAUGAGACUAUCCAUUUGGAAGGAUCAUCGAAAAAUUGCCUGAAAAUCCUUAAUAAAAUCCCCAGUUUGCUCUAUCCCUCAUGGAAUUCUAAGUUUCUAUAUUUCACCAGGGAAGGCCGAGAGAUCCUUAUAGCUGCGUAAUUGCUUAGAUACUCAUAGCUUUGUUUUAAUUUGUUCUUGUGAUAAAAGUCCCUUGAACUUUUGAAAGCCCAAAGGAGAGAGGCUGUUGUGUUCGGGAAUAUCUUCAAAGAGCAAAUUAUUAUUCUGAUAUGGGAAUUCUAAGCAGGCACUCUGGUAUUUGGUAUCAGAGCCAACCCCUGGUGAAAUCUUUCCUAUUUAUUAUCUUCACAGUCUUGGCAGGAUAUCUUUUCUCAUAAUGGACGUGUGUGCUCCUGUAUCAAAGAAUGCAAUAAGAGGAAUAGGUUUAGAAUAUUUAUCCAAUAAAAUAUGAAUAAGAGUUUGAGGAUAAAUUUCCUUUCCAUUAUCUUCCAAGGUUGCCUUUUGAUUAUCUUCCAGUUACCUAGAUCCCUCUCUCUUCUUAUGUUAGCGAUCGUCAAUGGUGGAUGGUAGUGGUCGUGGUGGUGGUGGUGUGUGUGGUGAACUAAUGGAGGUGGUGAUUAUUUGAAGUUAUGAUGUAAGUAGAAGGAAAAGAACGAAGGAUAGAGUAGGAAAAAUGCAGGCUGCCACUUUAGUGAUAAUGACAUCUCGUAAUAUGAUGCUAUACUUUGUAGCAAUACUUAUAAUAGUUAUCUCAAAAUUCAGUAAGGGUACAACUUAGAAUUUUCAAGAUUUCUCAAAGUAAUACUAGCAUGUUGUUUGGCCACAACGUAAAUCAGCCAUUACCGCUUAGAUAUUUUACUAACUGUAUGCCCCGUGAUAUUACAUACAACUACAAAUGAUUAGAAAUUGAAAGAAACAAGAGAUUUUUGAGAGAAUUCUUAUAUAUAAAAUUCUAAUUUGUAACCGUACAAGAGAGGCCUAUUUAUAGAUAACUAUCUAUGAAUCUAAAUACUAUACAUAAUACACCUACCUGAACAAUGCUUGAUCCAUAAAAUCUUUCUAUAUGCUUGAUCAAUAAAAUCUUUCUAUGUCUGCAACAAAAUGCACAUUCUGUUGAGUACAUUGCAAAAAGGGUGAUAUUGCGCAACGGAUCUUUUGUCCCACACCCUGUGCCAUUCUCUGUCCCACUUUUUAUUAUAUUGCCAUUUCUCCUUCAUAAACAUCAUGUUUUAGUUCCUUUUUGUUUCUUUAAGAUCCAAUAACUAUUAAUUUAGUAAUACACAAAAUUUAACAAACUCAAAAAAUCAAAUGCAUAAAAAAUGAGAUUUUUUUUAUGAAUUUUCUGCUGCAUUUUUUAAUUUUCUAUUAUAUAUUGGUUUUUUGAAACUGUUGUAUUUAUUUUUUACUGAAUUUGUAGUUAUUGAAUCUUAAGGAAACAAAAAAGAACUAAAACAUGAUAUUUAUGAAGGAGAAAUGACAAUAUAAUAAAAAGUGGGAUAGAGAAUGGCACAGGGUGUGGGACAGAAGAUCCGUUGCGGUGAUAUUGGCAGGCAAUAGACAUGUUGAAUGACAAGUUAAUUGAUCAGUUUCUAGGUACAAAAUGCACUUUUCUCAGUUUUGAUGAAGCUUAGGAUGAUACCAAUAAUUACUAUCAAGAGGAAUUUCUUAAUUCCUUGACUCCGAAUGGUUUGCCACCACAUUAGUUGGUAUUGAAGGAAAAUGCACCAAUUAUGCUCUUAAGAAAUCUAGAUCCAUUAAAUGGUUUAUGCAACGGGACAAGAGUGGUAUGUAGACAUUUUCAAGGUAAUGUCAUCCAUGCAGAGAUUACAGUAGGUCAAUAUAAAGGGGUUCAUAUUCUUUUGCCCUACAUACCCCUUUCUCCAGUAGAGAAUGGAGGCUAUCCAUUUAAGUUCAAGAGGAAACAAAAUCCUAUAUGGCUAUGCUUUGCAAUGACCAUCAACAAAUCAUAAGACUAGACCAUUCCCCAUGUCGGCAUUUAUUUGCCACAACCCAUUUUUUCACAUGAUCAAUUUUACGUAGCUCUAUCAAGAGGAGUCAAUGGCAAACACAAAGAAUUUGGUGAAGUCAGAUUGUCCCACAGAGACAUAUGCUGCUACUAUCAAAAAUAUUUGUCUACAAAGAAGUACUCUAAUAUGAGAGGUAAAAUGAAUAUACUAUUCACUUUGACUUUGUAUCAUUUGUUUCAUAUCUUCUUCAACUAUUCAAUAAACUAUGACUAUUAUGCAAACUUAUGAUUUAUUUUGCAGACGUAUACAAAUGUAGGAGAAAGUAGGUACAUAGAACAAGAGUACAAUUCCAUACUCAACUAUACUUGACAAUGCAAAUGUUUAGUACUCAUAUUUCUCAUUCUGAUAUAAUUCCUUGCAUCUUAAUGUAUUGUUUCUAUACACAAAAACUUCAACUAUGAUGAUUUUCACUUGAUCAGGAUUACAAUUUCUAGAAGGCAGACUACUGGAUUUACCAAGUAGUCUUCUUGCAAAGUCAGCUUAGGUAUUUCGACACCGAUGAACAGUCGCCUCAUCCCCAUAGUCAAAGUAGAAAAGAUGACAGAAUUUAAGUUGUCCAUUUAUAUAAUAUCUUUCAUUUAUGAAGUCCAUUGCAUUUUCACCAGAUGUAUUGUUUUCUUAACUAAGUACUACAAUAUAUGGUUUAAGAUUACAAAGAAUGCGUCGGAUACUAUGGUAUUUGAUACACAAAUACCCUAUAACUACAAAAGCAAUGAAUAGCCAAUUUAGAAAGCUCACAAUAUGUGCUUAGUAGUCACUACCAAAAAUGAUUAUAUAGUUCCAAUUCCAGCUCCAAUAAAAAACAGGCAUUUUAAAUACCAAGCUUCACAUUUUCUAGAGCAAGUUGGAUGGUUUACGAAAGAAUUGCUUUAUUCUUUAUCAAGAAUCAAGGAUGCAUUUUAAAUCGGAUUGAUGAAAAGUUCAAUUGGAGUAAAUGCUUUGGAAUGGUUGCAUGACUUGAUCUGGUUUUUGGCACAGAAAUGAUACAGUAAUUUAGUAAUUGAAUGGAAAUAGUAGUACCUCACUCAUCGUGGGACGCCACAUGGAAGAACCUCGAAUGCAGAGAGAGGAUGCAAAAGCAAGUCUAUUAAGUUGUUUAACAUCAUAAAACCCUUCAAGUCUUGGAUCUACCACCUUUUCAGUCUCCCCUCGGUUGAGUAUUGGUUUGGCCUAUUGAAUUCACUACCACCAAUUAAAAAAUUGACUUUUCUAUCAUAUGUUAAACAGGAAUUCUAAAAUUGGCUACCUUUAAUUACCCAGCUGUGUAAGCUUUGAUGAGCACCAUCUACUGGUUUUUUGCCAGAUAGAAGCUCCAGCAAAAAGACUCCAAAUGCAAACACAUCUGUCCUCUCAUCAACAACCCCGUGCAUGAAGUCUUCUGGUCCUAAGUGCCUGUAAAAUCGGCAAGAAAUACACUUCAGCACAAGACCCAACUUGUAGCAGAUUAUGCAAGAAAGAAAUAAAAAAAAAAAAAACAUUGACAAGUAAUCUACCCAAAAGUUCCUUCAAUUGGAACAACUGAAUGGUGAUUCCCAAACAUAUAUUACGUAAAAUUUAAUAUCGUAAAACAAAUAAAAUAUCAUAAAAUAAAAUAUUUCUUAUAAUAUUAUAAAAAAGCAAACAAAAGGUAAAAACUGAUUAUGGUCUAUGCUAAUCUAUAUUAUGGGAAAACUGAUUUAUCCCCAAUCUAUAUUAUGCUAAAAUAUAAACAAAAUAUUAAUACAACCAGAAAACCUAACCAUUCUCUUUCAUUUGAGAUAGGAUAUCUGAUUGACUAUUUAAGCAAUGCAAAUGCCCAUUCAUUACUGACAAAGUAGGAUAUAUGUUUUACGAAUCAAAAAGGGUGGUGUAAUUGGGUUUUUAAGAAUAUUUCUCCUAUAUACAAAUGGCUUAUAACAAAUUAGAAUGAAAAAAGAAAUGGUAGAUAUGGUACCUUCACCAGAAUAAAAAAAGAAAUCAGAAUUUUAGUAUCAAAGGUCAUAACUAUAGUGCCUAGGUUUGGAAAUCUUGUUCUUAUGGCAGCACUAGCCUUUUCUCUUGGUUUUAAUUAUGGCCAGAAGCGACCACCUACAAAGUCCACUUAUUAUCAGAUUCAAGUUGGAGUACUAUUUCAUCUACUUGGGUUGAAAAAUACGAUGCACUCAAUAUUUCUUACCAUUGCAACUUUUGCACAUAGAAAUUUUUGGCAGCAGAUCAUUUGUAGGAUGAAGAAAAAAUGUGAUUUUCUCAAAGAAUCAAGAAUACUUCCCAUAUGUCCUUGAGGAAUCAAGCACGAGAUACAUAUAAUAAACAAGAGUCCACUUGAAUCUCUGCAUUGACUAUAUCCACAAGAUUUGGGGUAGCAAUAUAGAAAGAACAAGCGCUAUGGAGGAGUCAUCUUGAAGUUAGUCCAACAAUAAACGAACUUCUUUUACCUAAAAUUGGCAAGAGAAAAGACUCCAAUCCAAUCAUCAAUUGACGGAUUGUUAAUGCCAUACCGAGAGUAAUCGAUUCUGUGUUCUGUCCCUCUGAGAAAACAAGGAAAUUGCAUGUGAUUCUAAAGUUUGAUUUAAUUCCUCAAACUAAGACAAAGCAUUUCAGACUUUUUUUUUUCAUUCCUCAAAUUAACUUACAUUCAAACCAAGAAUUAACGGAGUGGCUCUGAUAUAAGCUCCAUCAUUAGAGCAAUUACAGCACUGUUGAUGUCAAUUAGGUACACUUAUAUAUGGAUCAAUUAUUUUUAAACACUUAUAACACUCAUAAACGUCAAAUUAUUUUUAAACACUUAUAACAAGAAGAUUUUAUAUGGGUCAAUUAGGUACAUGUUUAUCUGUUCGAAGGAAAUUCGACAUGGGCAGUUCAAACCCCAGUAAACUAAUUGCAAGACUUUACUGAAUUGCCUAUGCCACAUAAACUGAUAUUCCACACUUACUACAGCAUGCUUCAGAAUUCACUUGACACAUGGUGCCAUUGAAUGUGGUCACAUUUCAUUGGGCUGCAAACGCUUCAAGUUUCAUUGUUCAGUCCCGUAAUAUACGUCUACAAGGCUCAUUUCAAAUUUAAUUGGAUUCGAUUUCAGCAUAUUCUUUAGCCCAAACACCAUUAAGUCAAGAUUGUAUCAGCUUUAGGUUUCCAACUCAGAUGGACAGCAAGGCCCUUCGUACCCUUAAUUUUUUUUUUUUAAAGAUUACAACAAACAACAAUACUACUAAUAUAUUUUUAUACUGAAAACUUUUUCACACAGAACUAGGCUUUCCAUUGUUAAGUUUGUUUAUCAGAAUGCCUUCUCACUUCCAAUUUCUACAAAAUGUCAGGUUGGCUUUCACGCUCUCUAUGAUGAAACUAACCCUUCACAGGGUCUGCCUGUGACAAGACAUCUCUCCUGUUUGGCUAGGAAAACUUCUGAAAGAUCUCAUAUGGUACUGUAUCCAUGUUUAGGCCUCUGGCGGUCCAAGAGCAGAUAACAAAUAAUAUGUACACAAGGAAGCCUUUAAUUAAUAAAUCAACACCACAUGUAUCAUGCAUAUAUCAAUUUAGUUACAGCCAAUGAUAUGAAAAAAUGCGUAGCAAGCAAGUCCGAAAGUGUGCUAUAAAGUAGGGUCUCCCAAUAUUUUAUUUCAAAGUUCUGUGAUUAAUAAUUCAAGCAUGCUAUGUAAUAAAAACUAACAAAAUUGUGAUAUGAAAACUACAAUCACCCAUCCUCAUUCUAAAACAAAAAGGAAAAUUCCAAUUUGUUAGGUUUGGUCCCAAAAAAUUAGCAAAAGGGUUUUUGAAAAUCCCAAACGACAAAUAACAAAGCAAAAAUAAAUAAAACAGAAAUACAGGAAUUUGCGUGGUUCGAUAAAUUGAUCUACGUUCACGGGCAGAGGAGCAAAAUUUUACAAUGAAGAAGAGAGUACAAAAUGCCUUAAGAAAGUAUUCCUAGUUCCAAAACACCUAAUACUUAAAACAUAAGAAAGUCCAAAAAUAGUUUACUAAACAAAAGAUUUAAUAAUCCAAAUGUCCAAAUAACCCACUAAAUCUCUCUUGGUUUGGUGUACUUAAUCUCAUCGUAGGUUCAUUCUAUUUAUAGGCAACUAAGGGAAAGACUCCCUUGUGCAAGAAGCGAUAUGGAACAAAAUCACAUAUAACAAAUCUCCACCUUGGCGUGUCCCCGACAUUGACAAUAACAAAUCUGCUCUACCUUCUCCACAUAAGUUCCAAUGGGCCUAAGUCACUAGCAACAAAUACCAAUUAAGUUCAAGCAUUGCUUGAACUUGUAAACUGGAAGAGAUUUCGUGAACAUGUCAACAGAAUUUUUCUUGGUAUUGAUUUUUUGAAUAAGAACUUUUCCCUCAACAAUAGUAUCUCGAAUAAAAUGAAACUUCACAUCAAUGUGCUUUGUCCUCUCAUGAUACAUCUGGUUUUUAAUCAAGUGAAUGGCACUUUGACUAUCACAAUAAAUAAUAGUAACACUUUGAUGUAGACCGAGCUCACCAAACAAACCCUUUAACCACAAAACUUCUUUGAUUGUCUCAAUCGUGGCCAUAUAUUCUGCCUCCAUAGUAGAUCAAAUUACAACAGGUUGUAACGUAACUUUCCAACUAACUGCAUAACCACCAAUGUAGAAUACGUAACCUAAAAGUGAUAUUCUCCUAUCAAGAUCCCCGACAUAGUCAGAAUCUUCAAAACCAAUCAAAGUGUCAUUAUUUUUCAUAAACUCCAAACAACUAUUUGAAGUCCCUUGCAAAUAGUUGAGAAUCCACUUUACAGUCUGCCAAUGUGUUUUUCCAGGACAAUACAUAUAUCUACUAACCACACUGACGGCUUGUGCAAUAUCUAGACGAGUACAUUGCAUACAUAACAUUAUCGACUGAACUGGAAUAGGGAACUCAUGCCAUAUACUCUUUCUCUUCAAUUGACUAUGGUGACUAAAUAGCAGAUAGUCAAAAAUGACUAGCAAGAGAAGUAAUCACAUGUUUAGCAUCUUUUAUGCCAAGCUUUUUAAGAACUUUCUCAAGGUAAUUUUCUUAAGUCAAGAAUAAUUUUUCAACCUCUCGAUCUUUCUUGAUUUUCAUGCCAAGAAUUUUCUUAACUGCUCCCAAAUGCUUCAUUUCAAAUUCACUACUUAACUACAACUUCAAAGUGUAAAUUUCUGACAAAUUCUUGGCAAUAAUGAGCAUGCUAUCAACAUAAAGUUGCAAAUAAAUGAAAGAACCAUCAUCUAACUUUCAGAAGUAAACACAACUAUCAUAUAUGCGCCUUGAAUAACCAUGAUCCAAUAUGAAAAUAUCAAAUCUCUUAUACCAUUGUCUUGGAAACUGUUUCAAUCCAUUUAAAGAUCUUUUCAACAAACAAACAUGGUUUUCCUUUCCUUCAAUUUCAAAUCCCUGAGAUUGCUUCAUAUAAAUUUUUUCUUCAAGUUCACCAUGCAAGAAAGCUGUCUUAACAUCAAGUUGUUCCAAUUUCAAAUCAUACAUGGCAACUAAAACAAGCAAAAUACGAAUAGAGCUGUGUUUAAUAGCAAGUUAAAAUACUUUAUUAAAAUUAACAUCUUGUACUUGAUUAUAACCCUUUGCAACCAACCGUACUUUGUAUCUUGCAUUUUCAACCCUUGGAAUACUUUCAUUCUUCUUGAAGACCCAUUUACAUCUAACAAUUUUCUUAUUUGAAGGCAGUUUCACAAGAACCCAAGUUCUAUUUCAGUGGAGAGAUUUAAUUUCUUCAUUCAUCGUAAUCAACCACUUAACAGAAUCAUCACAAGAAACUGCCUGUAAAUAGGUAGUAGGCUCACCAACUUCAUCAGUUUUUUCAGCAACAGACAAAGCACAUGCAAUUAAAUCUGUAUAUCUUUAUGGUGUCUAUCUUUGGUUAUGAAAUGUUACUCCUGUGACGCUCCCACUUCUCCCAAGGGCAAAUCCAAAGUUAUCGGCGGGACGCCUGCCCAACUCUCGUCGGGACUCACUACAAUCAUAAUUCAAAACUAGGAAUACUUCAAAUAACUUCAAUAUAUAUAUUUAAAGUAUUCCAAAACACUUCACACUUACACUUAGUUAGCUUUCAAGUUUAAUACAAUCCAAAAGAAUAUGUACUACAGCCAUCUGCUAUAAUACAACUUAAAGUUUUCAAAAGAAAACAAUCUAGUACUAUUCACGAGCACCCUUGGUCUCGAACCCUGUUAAGGAAAACAAAAACGUGGAAUGAGUUACACAGCCCAGUGAGGUUCCAAGACACUCUAACAGUUCUAAUAAAUCUAGUAAUUUGAGCAUAAUACAUGAAUGAUUCAAGAUUGCACAUUGGCACAUUAACAUAAAACAGUUAUCAUUAUACAGAAAUAAACAUAUAUUGAAGGAUACGGUGUUCCAGUGGAAUCAUUUCGGUUAACUUCACCUUAUAACUUCAGAUCCCCUCGAUUUGUCUGGCCAUCACCUUAUCCCUCCAGUGGUAGUAUUCGAGUAUAUCGAAACGGUGUCCCAGGGUUGCAACCUACCCGACCGAAUCUAGUCUUGGCUUGAGCACGUUAGUAACCAAGGGCAGGGCCCAGUUCAGCUUAGAACUUACAACAUGCACAAGUAAUCAAGUAAAUCCGUGAAUAGUAAAAAUUUAUCAUUUUAGUAGGUCGAGUGAGAUAAAGUACACACUCGCCUUAAAACGGUGAGUAAUUUCAUAUGAACAUAUAAUUUACGAUAAUCAAAUAGUCAAGUAGUCAAGUAAGCAGGUAAUCAAGUAAAUCGGUAAACAGUAAGUAAUUACAGUUAACGGUAAACAGUAAUUGGUAAACGGUAGUAGUUCACAGUUAAUAGGUAAACAUUUAUAAUUUUAGUAGGUCGACCAUUGGCCGUUUUUCCACUUUUACCACUUAAGAGUCGAGGAGAUUCACUCCAAUCGACUUAUGCAGCCAUAACAUAAUCAAUCAUUGAAACAUUUCACGUAAAUAUGCACUUCAAGUAUUUCAUGUCGAGUAAUUCACGUACGUUUUACUUAAAUGAGAAUAAGUGCGGUAAAGUACACACUCGACUCAAAAUGGUGGAAAAGUCCAUAGAAGCAAUUAUUGGUAGCACUUAACAGUUAAACACAUAAUGACCAUGGAAUAAACAUGUCAUAAAACUAUCCAAAUCACGUACUCCUAUAUGAAACACUCACCAAGUAAAAUAAGGAAGAAAUGUAUACUCGAGGGUUCAGGCAUCCACCGUGGGAUCCUCUUGAAGGUUCUCUUGUGUGCCUGAGCAAUUAAUAAUUAACUAUUACACAAUAACGCUUAAAACCCCUAAUUAUCGAAGAAGAUUGUACACAUGUACAAUCUAGAAAAAUAUCAUGAAAAUGAGCCUUAAUUACUCGUAAAUCGAGGCUCAAAAGUGGGGUUUCAGUAAUACAAGAAAAUCUGAUUUUCAUCUUUAAAAUCAAGUAUAAAACGAUCUAGCGAUAUCGAGGGAAAAUGGAGAGUUCUAAAAACUCAAUUUCCCUAAGUUUGGAAAUUUUAGAUUUGACAAGCAAUCUUUGAAAAAUCGUAUCUCACUCUCUGUAGGUCCAACAUUGGAAAACUUGAUACCGUUGGAAACUACUUCCAAAGUACUAAAAGUUCCUAGAAGAUACUUUUUCAUGAUUCCAGAUGGAAGAUAUUCAAAUUUUGGCUUAAAGUCGCUGAUUUGGGCUAUCAAGACAGUUUUGGGGUUGGUUUUUUUGGCCAACUUUGAAAAUUCAGCAAAAUUCACAGAAUAUGAUCUAGCCUCUGAAAUUUGAAAAUCAAUUAGAGUUAUAAUCAAAGUUUAAAAUAUAAUAAACGGAACAAGAAUCGGAGUUUUAAGCAUCAAGAUAUAUCAGCUCAAACUUGGUCAAAAUUCGAGAUUGUUAGGCAAUUUUCCAGAUUUGGAAGUAAAACUUUGGUGACUUGUUCGUACAUCAAACCAGUCUUAGAAUGACACCAAAAUUGAUAUAUUUCAACUUCCACAUGAGGACUACUCCUCUACCAAAUUUCACUUAAAAAUUCACAAGGGAAGGUAGUUAACUAAACUACCAAAGUUCAAGGGAAUCCGAAGACAAAUCUGUCUUCAAGCUUCCGUUUUCUGUUUUCAAACAUUUGGCCAAUGAAAUCAUCUCAAACAUAGUUUAUUUAUGAAGAAAAGAUCUAAGAAACAUCCAAAAUACAUUUGGAAGGUGAUUAACACCAAAGUUUCAAAAUAACAAGUCCCAAUUUGAGCUAAGCCAUUCAGCUAGUCAAAAUGAGGGUUUUCCAUCACUAAUACAGUUUCGUAAUUCGGCCACAACUUACUCAAUUCAACUUGAAAUUGAGCAUGGUUGGUGUCACUGGAAAAUACAUUCAUAGGGCUACAAUUCAUCAGAAGGAAUCAUUUUGAAAUUCUAUCCAUAACUAGUUCAUAUUCGAGCAACAAUUCGCAGCUCAUAACAGGUUUUCUAGCACAGUCGAGAAACAGGGCAGGUGAAUUUAAAAGACUGGUAUGAUUCACUCAAGUGGAAUCAGGGAAUGCAUUUUAUACCGUUGGAAAAAUGGAAGUGUCUAGUUUCUAAUGCCACAAAAGGCACUCGAUUUCGACGUCGAAGCAAAGAGUUAUAGUCAUUUGAAAAUUACUGCCAGAAUAACUCUGGAUACGUUUUCCAAUCAUGAAGAAAUUUCGAAAUCUAAACAUUUACCCAACCAAAUCAAGUGAUUUUUUGUGAAAACUUUCCACACAACCUAUACAACAUAUCUAUAUCAAAAUCGAGUCAAUUUAACCACAAAAAAAUCACACCAAAGGUUUGACAAUAACAGGGCAGAUUCGGCCCUUCCGCAUGCAUCACCUCCUUUGAUUUUCUUUUCACUUUUUCCACUUAUCUCUACUAGAUUAAUACUUAAUCAACACAAAUAACAUCCAAUCUCAUCAAAUCAGAUCAUCAAGUCCAUUGUAGAAUUUCAUAGAGUCUACUCACAUGAUUUCCAACAAUCCAAAGCUACCCACUUGAAGCUACAAGCUUCUAAGUGCAAUUUAACUUACAUAAACUAAGAUUCAAAGGUUGGAUGAUGAUUACCUCCUAGAUGAUGUUAAACCAGAAAAUUUUGGUCCUUUUGAGCUCAAGAAAACUGUGAGAAUGAAGCUCUUCUCCUAGCCCAAGAUGAUCUCCAAGUGAAAUGGAAAUUGUGUGAUGAUUUGUGAAGGUUUUGGGAGUGAAAUGGAAGCUAGAAGAUGAAGUUUUUCCUUCCCUUUGUUCCUUCUUGGUGGCUGGACGAAAAUGAGAGGUAAGAGAUGAGAGAGAUGAGGGUUUGCUGAUGGUGAAACUUCUUGGAGAAGCUUGGUAGUUGUGGCAUUAAUAUGGCACAAAAGUCAACUCUCAAUAGUACGCGUAUGCGCGCAUUUCGUGCCUGAUUCCUCUCGGGUUUGUUUCACCUGUGCACUAAACCUCUAAUGCACUUCCUUUAACACUAUUAUUAUUCACUCUUAAUAGUUUAAAAAUAAAUAUCUAAGGUCCCUCAAUUAGUCACGCGCGCGAAAACACGAACUUCCAACUUGUGCGCGACAAGGCGAAAUUUCUAAGAAUGUCUUAUAACGAUAGUAUAACUGACUAAUACUUGAGUACUUAAACAUAAAAAUUUCUAUUUUAAAACUAAUGUAUAAGUCUUCAAUCUCCAAACUCAUUGUACACUCAAAUCGAUUAUUACUUCCAAACGCGCAUUCACUAUUCUCACUAAACGAGCUUUCAAAAUUAAAUUUUGUAACAAGUCAUUUUAAAAAUACAUGUAAGCCAUAGUUCCAUGUAUUUGGAUCUAAAAAGGUUGAAAUAAAUUAUUCGAAGAAAGCGGAUGAAUAAGUAUUUAAAUAAUCUAGUAAUAUACAAUAAAAUGAGAAAAAUUUUGGGGCCCUCACAUCUUCUCCUCCUUAAAAAGAAUUUCGUCCUCGAAAUUCACACUCAGGAUAAUAUCAUACCCUUUAAUAAUCACGCUUAUCAAAAUUUUCGAACUCAAUUUGCCCAUAACCAUCUACUGGCAUUUGAUUUUUGAAAUUAACAAUUUUAGAAAUGACCUGGUUUCUUUUGUCCCAAACGACCAAUCAAAUUUUUGUUCAAAUCAAGUCAAUCAUAAUAUGUGAUAUAAAAUCGAGGGUUUUAAUGCAUUUUGGAUAUGUAUGUGGCAAAAUGCGAUUCACAAUUUCAAAAUUAGAGUUAAAAGAUACAAACUUUUCUUCAUGAUCCGAAACUAAAUUUUCUUAGUAAGAAACUUCAAAUAAUGUGUUUUGCAACCAUCAUCAAUACAGAUUGCAAAUUCCUCAAAUUCGUUUAAGAAAAUUAAUCAUGCAACUCAAUGUGUGGUAUUAAAACACAUUUAUAAUAAAGUAACAUAUACAUGGAGGAUAUUUCAAAAAUUCUCUCAAAGUUUCGAGCUAAGAGUUGCGUUUGAGUAAGUGUAUAUUCUAGAAAACACUUUUAAGAAAUAUGAGUAAACAUGCAAGUUCAUAUAUGCAUAAACUUCGAUCCAACACUUUUAUCACUCUUCACCUCUAAUUCGAGAGCUAAUUCUAAUGUUGCAUAAAUCUCAGUCAUUUUACUCUCCAAUUCACAACAAAUUUUCAUUCUUAGUCCUAAGAAAAGAAUCGAACUUAAGCUCUACCUCAUUUUCGAUUCUCAUGUGGGUUCAAGAUGUAUAUACAAGUUAUGAAUACAUUUAGAAUUAAAGCAUGAUUCUUUGAAUAUAUCAAAGGUCAUAGUACAAGUCAAGAGAUCACAAACAAGUCAAGUAUGUCAAAUAUAGGACAUAGACAACUAAGCGCCACAAAAACAAAAGUACAUGCAGGCAAAUUACAAAAGACCUCACGGCGUGCACCACCCUUACUAUCAUAGGCAGGAUCAAAAGGAGAAAAAUCAUAAACCUAGAAGAAUCCACGAUACCAAGCCACAUCAUUCAAAUAAUUAUAAAUUCCAAAUUCCAUCCAAAAACCUAAGCCACAUUCUAAAUUCUUAGCCUAAAACUUCCAGCGAAUACGAGCUUUCCUUACUAAAUUCAAGAUGAAAAUCCUUAUACAGGUUAGGGUAAUGAGUCAAACCAAAAAGAAUGCAAAAGUGUCUCAUUUCAAGCUCAACUACAUUCCACUUCUCUCUGGUCAAUAUUGUCCCACACUCGGUUAAAAUAUUUUUCAUCCGAUGUAUCACUUCUCUUACUACAUGAACUAGACGUCCGUUGACCUUUUGCACUUGCUCUCGCAAAGCAUUAGUCCGUUCUUAUUUCCCAUAAUGGAGAUCUCAAGUCCAACACAAGAAUCCUCCGUGCUCUGACCUUUGCCAUCAGAACUUAUCUCAAAAACCACUUAUGAUUUCUAUUCACAUUAUAAUACACGAGACUAUAUCCCUUCCGAAGUCACAAGUAUUCCCUCAGGAAAAGUAUUUAGUAUUCAAGUACAUGAAUCCAAAACUAAGAGAAUUUGCAACUCAAGCCGUACGCUCCCAAGUGCAAAUCAAUAAAGUUUAAGAUCCCUACCCGACGUAUAUAUCUAUCUACCUCAAGUAACAUGAUAAAGGUUUUACGCUUACCACUUUCGUAGUUCACAACUUACACACAAGAAGAGCAUUUAGUCCUUUAUACAUAUUCACAUAAUUGGGACCAUAUCACCACUUGGCCUAAGCUCACUCCGCGCAGAGAUCAUGUGAAGCUGCUCUGAUUGUUAUCCCUACAAGUAGUCGCUUAACUUUUAAACCAGUCCCACAAUCCGGCAUCCUAAACUUUUAGCCUAAGAUACGCUACAGAGAUCUGAAACCUAAGCUCUGACACCAACUGUGACGCCCCCACUUCUCCCAAUGGCGAAUCUAAGGGUAUCAGCGGGACGCCUGCCCAACUCUCGUUGUCACUCACUACAAUCAUAAUUUAAAACUAGGAAUAUUUCAAAUAACUUCAAUAUAUAUAUAUUUAAAGUACUCCAAAACACUUCACACUUACAAUUAGUUAACUUUCAAGGUUAAUACAAUCCAAAAAAAUAUGUACUACAGCCAACUGCUAUAAUACAAUUUAAAGUCUUCAAAAGAAAACAAUCUAGUACUAUUCACGAGCACCCUUGGUCUCGAACCCUAUUAAGGAAAACAAAAACGUGGAAUGAGCUACACAACCCAGUGAGGUUCCAAGACACUCUAGCAGUUCUAAUAAAUCAAGUAAUUUGAGCAUAAUACAUGUAUGAUUCAAGAUUGCACAUUGGCACAUUAACAUGAAACAGUUAUCAUUAUACAGAAAUAAACAUAUACUGAAGGAUACGGUGUUUCAAUGGAACCAUUUCGAUCAAUUUCACCUUAUAACUUUAGAUCCCCUCGGUUUGUCUGGCCAUCACCUUAUCCCUCCAGUGGUAGUACUCGAGUAUACUGAAAUGGUGUCCUAGGGUUCUAACCUACCCGACCGAAUCCAGUCCUGACUCGAGUAAGUUAGUAACCAAGGGCAGGGCCCAGUUCAACUUAGAGCUUACAACAUGCACAAGUAAUCAAGUAGAUCGGUGAAUAGUAAAAAUUUAUCAUUUUAGUAGGUCGAGUAAGAUAAAGUACACACUCGCCUUAAAACGGUGGGCAAUUUCAUAUGAACAUAUAAUUUAUGAUAAUCAAAUAAUCAAGUAGUCAAGUAAUCAAGUAAGCAGGUAAUCAAGUAAAUCGGCAAACAGUAAGUAAUUACAGUUAACGAUAAAUAGUAAUUGGUAAACGGUAGUAGUUCCCAGUUAAUAGGUAAACAUUUAUCAUUUUAGUAGGCCGCCCAUUGGCCGUUUCCCCACUUUUACCACUUAAGAGUCGAGGAGAUUCACUCCAAUCGACUUAUGCAGCCAUAGCAUAAUCAAUCAUUGAAACAUUUCACGUAAAUAUGCAUUUCAAGUAUUUCAUGUCGAGUAAUUCACGUACAUUUUACUUAAAUGAAAAUGAGUGCGGUAAAGUACACACUAGACUCAAAAUGGUGGAAAAAUCCAUAGAAGCAAUUAUCGGUAGCACUUAACAAUUAAACACAUAAUGACCAUGGAGUAAACAUGUCAUAAAACUAUUCAAAUCACGUACUCCUAUAUGGAACACUCACCAAGUAAAAUAAGGAAGAAAUGUCCACUCGAGGGUUCAGGCGUCCACCGUGAGAUCCUCUUGAAGGUUCUCUUGUGUACCUGAACAAUUAAUGAUUAACUAUUACAUACUAUCAUUUAAAACCCCUAAUUAUCGAAGAAGAUUAUACACUUGUACAAUCUAGAAAAAUAUCAUGAAAAUGAGCUGUAAUUACUCGUAAAUCGAUACUUAAAAGUGGGGUUUUAGUAAUACAAGAAAAUCUGAUUUUCAUCUUUAAAAUCAAGUAUAAAACGAUCCAGCGAUAUUGAGGGAAAAUGGAGAGUUCUAAAAACUCAAUUUCCCUAAGUUUUGAAAUUUCAGAUUUGACAAGCAAUCUUUGAAAAAUCGUAUCUCACUCUCUGUAAGUCCAACAUUAGAAAUUUGGUACCAUUGAAAACUACUUCCAAAGAACUAAAAGUUCUUAGAAGACAAUUCAUAUAAUGCGAUCUAGCCACUAAAAUUUGAAAAUAAAUUAGAGUUACAAUCAAAGUUUAAAAUACAAUAAACAGGAAUCGGAGUUUUGAGCGUCAAGAUAUAGCAGCUCAAAUUUGGUCAAAAAUCGAGAUUGUUAGGCAAUUUUUCAGAUUUGGAAGUAAAACUUUGGUGACUUGUACGUACGUCAAAACAGUCUUAGAAUGACACCAAAAUUAAUACAUUUCAACUCUCCCACAUGAGGACUACUCCUCUAUCAAAUUUCACUUAAAAAUUCACAAGGGAAGGUAGUUAACUAAACUACCAAAGUUCAAGGGAAUCCGAAGACAAAUCUGUCUUCAAGCUUCCGUUUUCUGUUUUCAAACAUUUGGCUAAUGAAAUCAUCUCAAACAUGGUUCAUUUAUGAAGAAAAGGUCUAAGAAAUAUCCAAAAUAUAUUUGGUAGGUGAUUAACACCUAGAGUUUCAAAAUAACAAGUCCCAAUUUGAGCUAGCCAUUCGGCUUGUCAAAAUGAGGGUUUUCCAUCACUAAUACAGUUUCGUAAUUCGUCCACAACUCACUCAAUUCAACUUGGAAUUGAGCAUGGUUAAUGGCGUUGGAAAAUACAUUCAUAGGGCUACAAUUCAUCAGAAGGAAUUGUUUCGAAAUUCUGUCCAUAACUAAUUCAUAUUCUAGCAACAAGUCGCAGCUCAUAACAGAUUUUCUAGCACAGCCGAGAAACAGGGCAGGUGACUUUAAAAGACUGGUACGGUUCACUCAAGUGGAAUCAGAGGAUGUAUUUUAUACUGUUGGAAAACUGAAAGUGUCUAAUUUCUAAUGCCAUAAAUGGCACUCGAUUUUGACGUCGAAACAAAUAGUUGUAGUCAUUUGAAAAUUGCUGCCAGAACAACUCUGGACACGUUUUCAAGUCAUGAAGAAAUUUCGAAAUCUAAACAUUUACCCAACCAAAUCAAGUGAUUUUUUGUGGAAACUUUCCACACAACCUAUACAACAUAUCUACAUUAAAAUCAAGUCAAUUUAACCACAAAAAAAUUGCACCAAAGGUUUGACAAUAACAGGGCAGAUUCGGCCCUUCCGCAUGCAUCACCUCCUUUGAUUUUCUUUUCACUUUUUCCACUUAUCUCUACUAGAUUAACACUUAAUCAACACAAAUAACAUCCAAUAUCAUCAAAUCAGAUCAUCAAGUCCAUUGUGGGAUUUCAUAGAGCCCACUUACAUGAUUUUCAACAAUCCAAAGCUACCCACUUGAAGGUACAAGCUUCUAAGUGCAAUUUAAUUUACAUAAACUAAGAUUCAAAGGUUGGAUGAUGAUUACCUCCUAGAUGAUGUUAAACCAGAAAAUUUCGGUCCUUUUGAGCUCAAGAAAACCGUGAUAAUGAAGCUCUUCUCCUAGCUCAAGAUGAUCUCCAAGUGAAGUGGAAGUUGUGUGAUGAUUUGUGAAGGUUUUGGGAGUGAAAUGGAAGCUAGAAGAUGAAGUUUUUCCUUCCCUUUGUUCCUUCUUGGUGGCUGGACGAAAAUGAGAGGUAAGAGAUGAGAGAGAUGAGGGUUUGCUGAUGGUGAAACUUCUUGGAGAAGCUUGGUAGUUGUGGCAUUAAUAUGGCACAAAAGUCAACUCUCAAUAGUGCGCGUAUGCGCGCAUUUCGUGCCCGAUUCCUCUCGAGUUUAUUUCACUUGUGCACUAAACCUCUAAUGCACUUCCUUUAACACUAUUAUUAUUCACUCUUAAUAGUCUAAAAAUAAUUGUCUAAAGUCCCUCAAUUAAUCAUGUGCGCGAAAACAUGAACUUUCAACUUGUGCGCGAUAAGGCGAAAUUUCUAAGAAUGUCUUAUAACGAUAGUAUAACUAACUAAUGCUUGAGUACUUAAACAUAAAAAUUCCUAUUUUAAAACUAAUGUAUAAGUCUUCAAUCUCCAAACUCAUUGUACCCUCAAAUCGAUUAUUACUUCCAAACGCGUAUUCACUAUUCUCACUAAACGAGCUUUCAAAAUUAAAUUUUGUAACAUGUCAUUUUAAAAAUACAUGUAAGCCAUAGUUCCAUGUAUUUGGGUCUAAAAAGUUUGAAAUAAAUUAUUCGAAGAAAACGGAUGAAUAAGUAUUUAAAUAAGCUAUACAAUAAAACGAGAAAAUUUUCGGGUCCUCACAACUCCUCUUUAGGAUUAUUUUCAUAAGUAUAUUCAGGUGCAUCUACUGGAAAUUAUUGAAUAGAAAGACCUGAACUAUCAAUCUCAACCUCCACUUGCUUCUGUAUACUAUCAUCUGCAGGACAUGAACUAGAAGAUUCCUUCUUGGAAGAUAACAUAGAAAAUUCAUCAAAAGUAAUAUCUCUACUGAUCAUAAAUUUAAAAAAUUUGGAAUUAGAACACCACAAUCUAUACCUUUUCACCCUAGAAGCAUACCCAAGGAAAAUAUACUUUUUAGUUGGGGCUCUAAUUUUUUAUCAUUCAUAUGCAUGUAUAUUGGACACCAAAAAAUUUUUAAAUCAGAAUAAUUAGCAGGAAUAUCUGACCAGACUUCCUCAAGAGUUUUGAAAUCAAGAGCUACAGAAAGAGCACGGUUGACAAUGUAACAAGGCAUAGAAAUCGUUUCUACCCAAAAGUCCUUUGUCAACCUUGCAUUAGAGAUCAUGCACCUCACUCUCUCCAAAAGUAUUCUGUUCAUACGUUUGGCGACACAAUUUUGCUAAGAUGUCAUCUUGACAGUACGAUGUCAAUCAAUUCCUUCAUUUUUGUAAAAUUCAUCAAAUUCACUUUCGCAAAAUUUCGUGCCAUUAUCUGUUCUAAAUCGCUUUAUCUGUCUACCUGUUUAUUUCUCAAUCAAAACUUUUAAUUACUUGAAAGUGAGGUAAACAUCAUUCUUAUGUUUAAGAAAAUAAAUUCAAACUUUUCUUAAAUAAUUAUCAAUGAAAGUUAACAUAUACCUGACACCACCUUUAGAUGGAACAUGAGAUGGAUCUCAUAAAUCUGAAUGAAUAUAAUCAAGCGUACCUUUUAUCUUAUGAAUUGCUGGUGAACUGAAACUAACUCUUUUCUACUUUCCAAAGACACAAUGUUCACAGAAUUUCAAUGACCCAAUGCUUUGACUGUAAGGAAAUCCCUUUUUACUCAGUAUGUCCAAGCCUUUUUCGCUUAUAUGUCCCAAACACAUAUUCCACAAUUUGGUGAUGUCAGAAUCAAAUAAAGAUGAUGAUGAUGAAACUGUAACCGAACUUGUGACAAUAGAUCCCUGCAAAACAUAUAAACUAUCAAAACUGCAAGCUUUCAUAACAACAAGAGCACCUUUAAAAAUUUUCAUAACACCAUUUUCAACUGUGUAUUUGUACCUAAGAGGCGCCAGGGUGCCCAAAGCGAUGAGAUUCUUUUUUAAAUCAGAAACAUGUUUAACAUUAGUGAGCGUCCUCACAAUACCAUCAUGCAUUUUAAUUCAAACUGUACCCUUACAAACAACAUCACAAACGACAUUAUUGCUUAUCAAAAUAAUUUUACCAUUACACGAUUCAUAAGUGGAAAACAAAUUCCUAUUGGGACACAUAUGAUAAUAGCACCCUGAAUUUAAAAUUUAUUCAUUUUUAGACAUUGUUCUGUCAUCAAUUACAAAGAAAAUAUUUUCUUUAUUCUCAUCAGCUGCAACACGAGUUUCGGCAGUCUCAAUAUUUUUCUUACCAGAUUUUUCCUUUUGCUUUAAUCUAUUUUUCAAUUUAAAGCAAUUUGUCUUAAUGUAUCCCAUUUUGUGACAAUAAUUACACUUCAAAUUUCUAUGUUUGGACUUAGAUCUAGAUUUAGAUCUACUAUUGUCAAAUUCUCUUUUCUCGGUUCUACCCUUAGCAACCAGGUCUUCUGCCUGACCUUUAUUAAUUUCUCCGGCAAUAUCCCAGUCUAUCUGCUUAUUAGAUUUUAAUGCAGAUUUUGUGACGGCCCGACCUCCCCCUAGGGCGUACCCCAGGGUUCGGCGGGUCGCCUGCCCAACUCUCGUCGGGACUCACUCACUCACUACAGAUCUCAAACAAAUUACAAUAUAAAUCUCAAAUAUACAUCAAUUAUCCAAGAAUUACAUAUCAAAAGCGAAGCGACCACGCUUUCGCUGCGCCACUCUGAUCCUUGAUACCAACUAUUAUACAGAGGAAAUUCCAAAUCAAAACUGUACAAAAUAUAAGCCAUCCAGUCGCAUGAGUAAGUACUACAAGCCUUUCCUUCGUCACGAGUCCUGUGGAGGGGAAUAAAAAUAUUUUUGGGGUGAGCUAAAAGCUUAGUGAGUAACCAAAUAAAACCAGUAAUCAAAUAUCUUUCACCAUAAUGUAUUUCGAUGAUGUCAUGUUGUCAUGAUUCAAGUAUCAAAUGCACGUAUUUUUGCUCUCGUGAGCCAGUAAAAUCAUUGAAACUAAACACCCAACGCUCAAAUAGAUCCAUUAACAGUAAACAGAAAUAGGGAGCCAUGAGCCUCAGCUCAAGGCACAAGCAAUAAAUGCUCUAAAAUAAUUUUCAAGCAAUAAAUCUCUAAAUCGUAGUUCAAGCCGUUGGUGCUCAGUACAAGACUUCCCAAGAACUCAUUGAAACCAAAUCAUGUCAUAAACUCGUAUGCAAGCACGCAUGAUAUGCAGUUGAGUAAAUAAUGCAAGAAACAUUUCAUAAGAAGCUUUAACAAUAGUUUGGGGUCACUCACCUCCACGGUUCAGAACCCAUCCAUCAUAUAACAUUGCCUUGCUCAAAUCCAAGUCUUAGAUCAUAAACUCAAAGCAAUCAAACCCUUUAAAACUUCGGACAGCACUUCCCCUAAAUUUGCUUAUUUUCCCAGCCAUCAUGGCUUCAUUAUUUCUUCAGCUAGUCCCAAAGGUACACACACAACAACAAGUUCAUCCAAAAGCCAUUCAGCAAGCUCCAAGUAGCACUAGUACAAGUCAAGUUAGGGAAAAGUUCGGAAAUGAAAGUUAAGCUCAAAACCAGAAAAAUAGCUUUUGACAUCCUUUUGCGGUAAUGGCCCCAAAGGCACUACGAUUGUCGGAUGAAAGUGCAAGAUACACUGUUUCGAAACUAAGAGAUAGGGCUACAAUAUUACAGAAGGUCACUCAACCCAGUUUCGAGUGUAACAAGGUCAAAAAUGCAAGAUACUACACCAGAAUCACAAAAACAGAUUCACAGAACGCAAUCUAGCGGAAACAUCAUAAAUCAGUCUACCUAAGUCCAAAUCCAGAAAUUCCAAAACCAGCUGAAAGCUAAGAAACAGAGCUACAUUUCAUCAGAAGGCCUCAACAACCAAUGCCGAAGCAAUUCCAGCCAAAACAACCAAUUACAGGCGCAAUUCUUACAUUAGGGUAAAACCAGAACAGCAAUAGUAAUUUCAACUUUUCUCAUUCUACACUACUCCGAUUGACCUGAAAUUUUGUAUGCACCUCUAAAAUGUCAUUCCCUACAACUUUCAUGUUUUAAUCCAAGGCCAAUUCGGCCUCUAACUAGGAGCUAAAAAUUCGGGCAGAAUGCUCCCUCAAGAACCCUAAUUUUCUGAAAUUUCUUCCAAACCAGAAAUUGGUAGCAAUUAAUCACUUUUUCCACCUCAUAGAGUCCUUAAACAUCAUUUCCAAUCAUCAUACAUGACCCCAUAAUCAUAUCCAUAUGAAUACAGAAAAAUCCUCAAUAAUUAUAAAACUUCACCAAUUCAACCAAAAUCAAGAUAUAAUCCAUAAAAGUGCAUCUUAUACCACCACCAAUCAUGAAUUGAACAUCAUUAGAGGAAGGAGAGGGGUCCUUCACAACUCACCUUAGCAAUACAAGAGAUAGAGCAACUAGCCACCUUAACUUUCCAAACCACUCCACAAAACACCUCAAGACCACUUAGCAAAGAGAUUUUAUGGAAUGAUUUGGAGUUUUAUUGGUUGGAUUUGAAGAUUGAGCAAGAAAUAGAAGGAAGAAAUUGAUAGCUUUUCUUUCUUUUCCUUUGAGAGAGAGCCGGCUAUGAAGCUUUAGAAAUAAGGAUGAUUUUUGGUAAUUUUUUGAUUUAUUUGGUAAAGUAGGGAAUAGUGUAGUCAAAGUCCAAGACUUAAUCUUAUGGUGACACUUGUCACCUUUAGGUUUAAAACUUAUCUUUUUGUCUCUCCAAUACAAAUAUCUUAACACCUUGUAAAAUAAUCUCACUUAAUACAAAAUUCCAACAAGUUGUCAAAAAUAUAAUGCAUUUACCGCACUAGCGGGUCCCACGUCCAAAAUACGCUUUUAAUUUCUCAAAAACUAACCGAUACUAGAAAAAUCAUUUUAAAACUAUCUUUGCUCAUAAACUUUAUCUGGGAAAUUUUUCUAAUAAAGAAAUUGUAGAAAAGGCGGACGAUUAAAUAAAAUAAACCGUAGAAAAUUAGAAAAUUUCCGGGUUCUCACUCUCAUUCUUUUCGGGGUGUCACAAACUCCCCUCCUUAAAAGAAUGUCGUCCUCGACAUUCCAUCUUAUACCAAUCAAGUCGAGAUAUCCCGCAAGAAUCACUAAUAUUGCAAACCAAACCCACAGUCCGGCAUUUUAAACUUCAAGCCUAGGAUACACUACAGAGAUCUGAAACCUAAGCUCUAAUACCACCUGUGACGGCCCGACCUCCCCCUAGGGCGUACCCCAGGGUUCGGCGGGUCGCCUGCCCAACUCUCGCCGGGACUCACUCACUCACUACAGACCCCAAAAAUAUUUUUAUUCCCCUCCACAGGGCUCGUGACGAAGGAAAGGCUUGUAGUACUUACUCAUGCGACUGGAUGGCUUAUAUUUUGUACAGUUUUGAUUUGGAAUUUCCUCUGUAUAAUAGUUGGUAUCAAGGAUCAGAGUGGCGCAGCGAAAGCGUGGUCGCUUCGCUUUUGAUAUGUAAUUCUUGGAUAAUUGAUGUAUAUUUGAGAUUUAUAUUGUAAUUUGUUUGAGGUCUGUAGUGAGUGAGUGAGUCCCGGCGAGAGUUGGGCAGGCGACCCGCCGAACCCUGGGGUACGCCCUAGGGGGAGGUCGGGCCGUCACAGAUUUAAUUUCUCCAUACGAAAUGAUUUAUUUUCCAUAAAUCAUAGUAUUGUGAAAAUAUCUAAAAGACUGGGAAGUGAACACAAAAAUAAUAGGGUCAGAUCCUUAUCAUCAAUUUUUGAAUUUAUAUUCUCCAAAUUCAUAAUAAUUGAAUCAAAUUAAUCAAGAUAUGAGAAUAUAGAUGUACCUUCAGUAAUAUGAAGCAUAUACAGACUUUGUUUUAAAUAAAAUCGAUUCUCAAUUGUCUUUUUCACGUACAAAACUUUAAAUUCGUCCCACAUAACCUUUGUUGAAAUUUUAAUGGCUACCUCUCGCAAAACCUCGUCAGAGAGAUUUAAAAUAAUAUUGGAUCGAGCCUUCUUAUAUAUUCAUCUUAGCAAAAUUUGUAUCUGUCAAACUCUCUGGCUUUUUCUCAACUCCCUGUAUCUCUAAAUCAAUUCCAUUUUGAACCAAAAUGACCUCUAUCUUGAGCUACCACAUCCUAAAAUUGACAUUUCUGUUGAAUUUCUCGAUUACAACAUUUGUUAUUGGCAUUAUUGCCACGAAAUUCAAAACUUCUUUGAAAACGUUUUGAUACCAAUAUGUUAGGUCUGGUCCUAGAAAAUUGACGAAAGGAUUUUUGACAAUCCCAAAAGAUAAAUAACAAAGCAAAAAUAAAUAAAACAGAAACUCAGAAAUGUACGUGGUUCGAUCAAAUUGAUCUACGGCCACGGACGGAAAAGGAGAAAAUUUUACUAUGAAGAAGAGAGUACAAAAUGCUUUAAAAAAGUGUUCUUAAACCCAAAAUACCUACUAUUUAAAACACAAAAGCAUCCAUAAAUAUUUUAAUAAACAAAAGGUUUAAUGAUCCAAAGGCUCAAAUCACCCACUAAAAUUCUCUUGGCUUGGCGUACUUAAUCCCAUCAUAGGCCCACUCUAUUUAUAGACAACUAAGGAAAAACUCUCUUGUGCAAGAAGUUGUAAACUAAGAAAAAAGGGAGAGAAAAAUACUCUUCUUCAUAUCUUUGGACUAUACAAUAUACAAAUAUCUAUACAUAAGUGUAACCUAAUUUAGAUUCUAAAAUUAUACUAAUCUAAAUCAAUCUACUACCUAAUUAAUAUAUGAUACUGUAAUCAUAUGAUACCUAAUUAAUACAUGAUACUAUAAUCAAAUCUUUCCUAAUAUUUACAAUAUCAAAUCUUUCCAUAAUAUCAGAUCACAUAUCUUCAACACUCCCCCUCAAGAUGGAGCAUAGAUGUUUAUCAUGCCCAUCUUGCCACAAAUGUAAUCAAUUCUCAGACCAUUUAGAGGCUUAGUGAAAAUAUCAGCUAACUGUUCUCCAGUUCUCACAUGGCUGGUUAAGAUCAAGUUUCGCUGAAUUUUUUCACGAACAAAGUAGCAAUCAACUUCAAUAUGCUUUGUUCUCUCAUGAAAAACUGGAUUUGAUGUUAUAUGAAGGGCAGCUUGAUUGUCACACCAUAACUUCAUUGGAAGUGAAUUAUUGAUUCCCACCUCACGCAAUAAUUGAUGUAUCUAUAUAAACUCACAAGUGGAUUGUGCCAUAGACCGGUAUUCAGACUCUGCACUAGAGCGAGAUACUACACUUUGUUUCUUACUUUUUCAUGAUACCAUAUUACCUCCAACGAAGACACAAUAUCUAGUUGUAGAUCUUCGAUCAAUUUUAGAACCUGCCCAAUCCGCAUCUGAGAAGCAUUCAACAUGAGAAUGACCAUGAUUACCAUAUAGUAUACCACGUCCUGGAGCUCCUUUAAAAUAACAUAAGAUUUGCUCUAAAACUGCCCAAUGGGUGGUUCUUGGUGAGGACAUAAAUUGACUCACAAUACCAACUGGAUAUGCAAUAUCUGGACGAGUCAUAGUAAGAUAAUUCAACUUUUCUACUAAUCUCCGGUACAUUUCAGGAUCUGAGAAUAACUCCCCAUCAUCUGUUGUAAGUUGCAUGUUGGGGAUCAUUGGUGCACUGCAUGGCUUAGCACCUAGCUUUCCUGUUGCUUUCAAAAGAUCAAGAACAUACUUUCUUUGGCAUAAGAAGAUACCUUGUUUACAUUUUAUAACCUCAAUGUCUAAAAAGUAUUUCAACAUACCUAAAUCUUUUGUCUGAAAGCGCGAUUGAAGAAAAUUUUUAAGGGCUGCAAUACCUGCAUUGUUACUACCAGUAAUAACAAUAUCAUCAACAUAAACUACUAAUAGGAUAAUACCAACUUCAGGUUGUUGAUAAAAGACAGAAUGAUCAGAAUUAUACUUCUUCAUGCCAAACUCUUGAACCACCUUACUGAAUCUCCCAAACCAAGCACGAGGACUUUGUUUUAAACCAUAUAGUGACUUUCGGAGUCUAUAAACCUUAUCAGACUCCCCCUGAGCAACAAAUCCAAGUGGUUGUUCCAUAUAAACUUCCUCUUGCAAAUCCCCAUGAAGGAAUGCAUUCUUAACAUCUAACUGGUACAAAAGCCAAUUAUUAGUAGCAGCAAGGAAAAUAAAUAAUCGAACAGAUGUGAGUUUUGCUACGGGAGAAAACGUGUCUGAGUAAUCCACCCCAUAUGUUUGAGCAUACCCUUUUGCAACAAGACGAGCUUUGAGGCGAGCAACAAAACCAUCAGGAUUGACUUUUACAGCAAACACCCAUUUACAACCAAUAGGUUUCUUACCUGUCGGUAGAUGAACCAAAUCCCAGGUACCAUUAUUAUUUAGGGCCAUCAUUUCUUCCUCCAUAGCAGCCCGUCAACCAGGAUGUUCCAAAGCCUCAGAUAAGUAUUGAGAAAGAGAUAUUGAAUCUAAGGAAGCAGUAAAAGAACGCAAAGAGGGAGACAAAUGGUCAUAUGAAGCAAAUGAUGAAACUGGGUAAGUGCACUGUCUUUUACCUUUCUUAAAGCAAUAGGCAAAUCAAGACUAGAAUCUAGAGACUCAGGAAGCAAUAGAUCAGGACUCGGAUCUGUAGACAGAGAAGGUAGUGGAGGAUGUGAGUCUAUGUGUUGAGAACGACGAGAAUACACUUGAGUGAUCGGUGGUUUUGUAGGAAUAGUUGUUGUAACAGUGUAGACUAGAAUAUCAUCUCCCUCCCCCUGACUACUAUAGACAUUAGACUUAAGAAAAAAUGGAUGCGUCUCAAAAAAUGUAAUAUCAGCAGAGACUAAAUAACGAUUUAAAUUUGGAGAAUAAUAUCUAUAUCCUUUUUGAAGACGUGAAUAACCCAAAAACACACACUUGAGAGAUUUGGGAUCUAAUUUAGAGACCUGAGGACGGGUAUCACGAACAAAACAAGUACACCCAAAUAUGCGUGACUCAAUGGGGAAUAAAUAUUGGGUUGGAAACAAAAUUGAAUAAGGAAUCUCACCAGCAAGCACAGAAGAUGGAAUGCGAUUAAUUAAGAAACAGGCUGUUGAAACCGCAUUUGCCCAAAAUUGCUUAGGAACCUUCAUGUAAAAUAGAAGGGCUCUAGCAAUUUCUAAUAAGUGCCUAUUUUUCCUUUCAGCAACAUCAUUUUGUGGUGGUGUGUCAGGACAUGAAGAUUGGUGAAGGAUUCCAUUUUCUAACAUAUAUGAAUUAAAGGGUUUAGAAAAGUACUCUUUUGCAUUAUCACUUCGCAAAAUACGGACAGGCACAUUGAAUUGUGUUUUUAUUUCAGAACAAAAGGAACAAAAGAUAUUAAAUAAAGCUGAACGACUUUUCAUUAAAUAUAACCAAGUAACACGAGAGUAGUCAUCAACAAAGGUGACAAUAUAUUUAAAACCAAACUUAGAUACUAUUGGACAAGAGCCCCAUAUAUUUGAGUGCACUAAUUCAAAGGGGGAUGAAACCCGUUUAUUGACUCUAGGCAAGUAAGACAAACGAUGAUGCCUAGCAAAUUGGCAUGACUCACAAUCUAAAUGGGAUAAAUUCUGAAAACUUGGACACAACUUUUUCAAAGUGGAAAGAGAUGGAUGAUCUAAACGACAGUGAAUUUCAAGCAGAGUCAAGGUGGAGGAACAUACAACAGGUUUCGGCACUUUCGAUGAUGGGGUUUCAAGUGUAUACAGGCCGCCAAACUCGCGUCCUUUACCAACAAUCUUCCCCGUCAUAAGAUUCUGAAAAACACAAUAUCCAAGAAAGAAUGAAACAGAGCACUUGAGAGCUUUUGUAAUUUUACUGAUUGAGAGUAGAUUAAACGAAAAAUUAGGCAAGCAUAAGACUGAACAUAAGGGGAUAGAUGACACAGGAAUUGCUAUACCAGAACCCACAACUGAAGCACAUGACCCAUCAGCCAAAGUAACAUUCGGAUGAUCUUUGUUAGGAUUAAAAGAGGAGAGGAUACCUUUAUUACCGGUCAUAUGAUCUGUUGCACCGGAAUCGAUUGUGAAAAUCUUGAAAUUAUAAAUAUACAUAUAUAUAUACAUGUACGUGUUGCAUGUGCAUUUUAGACUUUUAAUAAAUUUUAUUAUUGUUGGUUCUUAAAUAAGUGUGUAAAAACAAUUUUAAAGUUGUAAAUAAGUUAAUUAUGCAAAAUAUUAAAUUAUUUGAAUUUUGUUAAGAUAAAUUCAUAUUUCUUGAUGUAGAUUAUUGCAUUGCUUUAAUAUUAAUCCUUUGAAUUCCGAUAGCUAAUUCUAAGUGUUAAUAACGUUAAGUGUCAACGGGAAUCUAGAAUUAAGAUGAAAUCAUUUUAGGAUAAGACUCGUUCUAAUUAUUCUUAGGAUUUUGAAUUUCGAUAAUUUAAUUUUGCGAGAUUAAUAUGCUAGUAGGCUAUCGAAUUUCAUUUGGAGUGAAAUCUAGGAAUUAGUUCACAAAUGAGAACUUGAGUGAAAGGUCGAACAAGAUGUUAAAAAACCGAAAUAGCCUUCCUCCAUUUCAAAUUCACCAUGCAGCCAUGGAACAUUCCAAACACUUCUAAUUUCCAGCCGGUUCCAUUUCCUUCAUAUCUACUCCACCAUUCCACUAACUAUAAUGUCGGUUCCUUUCUCCACUAUCCCACUCCCCUAUAUCAUUUCCAAUCCGCUACAAUAUCAUUUCCAAUCCACUACAACAUCACAUUUCCAUUUCUUUUCCUGCCGCAAGCUGAGCCGUGAGUGACCAGCUCCUUAGGAGUUAACGACCGAGAGGAAAAAUAAGGUGAGACUUUAGCUUAACUCCUAGCUUCACCUUAAGACCAACCGAGAGAGAGUGAGCAAGAGGAAGGGUGCGAACCGUCUGUCCUCACCUCCACCACCACUGCCGAGUUGCCAUUUCCUUCUUCGUCCUCCAUCAGCUGAGCUCAACCAGAACCACCAACUCCACAGCUUACACAAACCGAACUCAGCCCAGCCAUACCUGAGUUCUAUAGCAAGCCGAGAAAAAUUUUUUUGCAGCUGCUUGUCGUGUGAGCUAAGCCUUAAGCUGAGGUAAUCUCUGGACUUAAACUAGUUGAUUAUGGGUUGAUGAAGCCGUUUAUAAGCAUGCAUGUGGGGUUUGUGCAGUUGGAUGACAAAAUUAAGUUACAAGAAAUCUGGUUGUGAAGGAAUUGGAAUUGCUGAGAGCUUGAGCUGGAAAUUUCAGCUUUAAUUUGUAAAUUUGUGAUGAUCUGAGCUUGGUUGUGUGUUUAGCUAAUUAAUAGCUGGGUGAUUAUGCCUUGCAUGAGAUUAAUUAAUUGUGAGUAAGUCAGAAAAUUGAAGGAAAACAAAAGCUGCUGGCAUGCAAGCUAACCGAGUGCCGACUGGGAUGAAUUUCUGGUCGGUUAGUGACUUUGGUGCUGCUUGAACUUGGUUUUGGAUCAAAUUUGAUAGAUAGCUGUUUAUUUGGUCAUGCAUGUAGCUGAUGAUCCGUGAAAGAGGAAAAUGAAGAAAUUGAGGGAAACAGUCCUGUACUUAACUGCCGAACUGCUGGAAGUUGCAUUUAGUUGAGGACAGAAUUAAUUGUUGCUUUUGCUGGGAUUAUUUGCUCAAAUUACAUGUUAUUUGUUUUAGUUUAGGUAGGACAGAGUGUAUACUGAGUGUUGAGUGUUUUAACCAAGUAAAAUAUGGAACUUUGUUGAAAACCUUGAGGUAAUGUUGCUGGAAAUCUGUUUUGUCGGCUAAGAGAGGGGGAAGAUGAAGCUCUUAUGAUAUUUCGAAAAAUUCCAGGAUGAUUGGUUGUAACCUUGUAUAAAACAUCUUAUAACAUCUUGACCCUAUCAUUCACGUCCAUUUUAGUGAAUUUGAGACCUGAAAAGCAAAUGAAAUCUGAGAGAAUUUAAACAACAAAGUUGAUUGGAAUUUGAUUUGGCCGAGAGAGAAGAAAUGAAAAGUUUUUCCAGUUCUACUCUUUUAAGUGGGAUUGAAAAUGAUUUAAUCUUAGUUUAACUAUUUCACAAGACUUUAAAUUCGGUGUAUUUGUAUAUAUUCGUCAUUCUUAGUUAAUAAACUUAACAAAUCUUGAAGAGAAAUGUGAGAGAGAUUGUUGGAAUUUCGUAUCUUGUUUAAUAAGCUAAGAAACAUGGUUUCUAAUAAUCUAAACUUUAAAUUUGGUGAGUGAUUAGUGGCCGGAAAUCAAGUUAAAUGGUUGAAUUGGUAAUGAGAUGAAGACUUAUAUAUUGUUUUAGAAACUUUAAGGUAAUUUGUUAUGGCUAUAUACAUGAAUGGCUCCUAAUCACUUAAAUUAGUUUUUAUAAUAUUUAAGAGACUAUAAAACUUGAGAAGUUAAGGUUGUGAAACAAAAUUUAAUUCACAAACAACCUAGAGCUUAGUUAGUUUUAAAAGGGAAAAUGAAGUGUCUAUAAGCCAUAAUUAAUACUGGAUUGAGAAAGUAUAUUAGUUUAAACAUUAUACAAGUUUAUAAACUUGGAAUGUAUGUGUAUUUCUUUGGGUUUCUGUUCAAAUUUGAUGCUUGAAUUAUGUUAAAAUUGCUGGUAUGAAUGUCAUACUUAAAUGUAUGGAUGGUUUGAAUAAAAGUCUUAUGGUUUUAAAAGAGAAAAAAAAAAGAGAUUUUCACAAGAGAAAAAUGAGUUUCCAGAUUUUCGGAUUUCACUGACCAGUCCCAGUAAAAUGCUUAUAUCUUGGUGUAGGAAAAUCCGAUUGAGGUACCGUCGGUGGCAUUUGAAACUAGAAUCAUGAGCCUUUGUUCUGUAGAAAUUUCAUAUUUUUCCUCCAUGUGUACUGCUGUCCGUGACUCUUCAAAGUUUUACCCUUUUAACAAGUUACCUUAAUUAAAGCGGUCAAGACUUGUACUUAGCUUUUAGCCACCAUUUCUGAAUUUUCAAGUGAAGCUUACAUGCUAAAAUUGUCUUGUGUGUGAAUGACAUUGAGCCUAGUGAAAGACUAUUAUGGUAAUCUGAGUUUAGAUGUGCAUCUAGCUAACUAAAAUCUGGAUUUCUAGAGUUAAUUAUGAGUAAGCUAGCCGUGACUUCCUUUUAUGUUUUUGAGUUAAAAUUCUGGUUGAUUGUUGUAAGGAAUGAUUGUUUGUCGUCAAGAGCUAAUGAUUGAUGAAGCUCUUGGUCAUUUGAGUAAUUUUUGCAAGAGUUAAAUCCUUGGUGGAAUUGUUUAAGUGGUUUGGCCGAAAUUCUCCACUAGUUCUCCUGAUUGAUCAAUUUUCCAUUGUGAACUGGUGAUCAAUCAAGACAUGUUUCAUCCUUGAUCAAUCCUGAUUGAAAUCCAUGUUUCAAUAUGUAUAAGUAAACUCUUGAUUGAAUUCGCUGGCCAGUUCUCCACCAGACUUCGUGAAUUCAAUAUGUAUAAAGGAUUGGUUUCACAACAUGACUAUAAAGGAUUGUCUAGCUAUUUUAUGCCUCUUCUCACGUUCUUCCUCAAAUCCAUGUUGUAAAUGACUAUGUGUGCUUUAAACAAGCCGUAGAAAAAUUAAAUUCACGAACGGAAGCCACUGCAACCAGCAUCAUUCUUCACUCUAGAAAUAAAGUUAGAAUUCCUUCGUUGCUUAACCACUGCAUGGAAAUACUUGGAAUUAGCAUCUCCAACCUGAAGCCAUUUAACUACCGCCUAUCACUACAAGAAAAUUGGUCAUCAGUGACAACUUUUCUCUGUGACGAAAAAAAGUUGUCACAAAAGUGGAUCCUUUAUUGACGACUUUCUAACUCGUCACAAACCUCUAAUGGGAGCCAACUCAUUUGUCACGACUUUCUAAGUCGUCACUAGUAAAUUCCCGCCAAGUUUUAGCAAGAGCGCGGGAGUGUUUAGAACACACAAUAGUGACGACAUUAAGAACAUCAUCACUAUUGCUUGGCCUAUUUACGGACGACUUUUUGUUGUCGUCACUGAUCACUAAAAAAAAAAUUUAUUAGUGACAACAUUUUUGAGUGAUGACAAUAAGUCGUCACAAAAGGAGCUUCUUUAGUCGCGACACCUAAAGUUGUCAUAAUUGCAUCAAAGCAACUAAAUGUUUAGUGACGACCCGUUAUUUUCGUCACAAACUACACUGCAAGAAAUAUGGUCAUUAGUGACAACAUUUUUUAGUGACGACAAAAGUCGUCACAAAACGUGGUUGUUUAGUGACGACAAGGAAAGUUGUCAUAAUUGCUCAAAGCAACUAAGUCUUCAGUGACGACCUUGAAAAAGUUGUCACUAAAAUGAUCUAUAUAGUGACAACUUCUAAUAUCGUCACUGUCACUCUACCGAUUCGGAUUUAGUGACAAGAAUUAAUCGUCACUGUUUAAAGUACUUAUUUCUAAGUCACUUUCAUUAAUUCUACUGUGCCACCCUAACUUUUGCGAUUUAGCCCCAAAUGUUGUAAAAAAUUCCAUUAAUUCCAUUAUGAUACCUUAACUUUUACAAUUUAGCCCCAUAUGUAGUACACCGAUUUCUUUAAUUCUAUUAUUACUCCCUAACUUUUGUAAUUUAGCCCCAUAUGUAAUUCACCAAUUUCAUUAAUUCUACUAUGGCACUCUAACUUUUGCAAUUUAACCCCCAUAUGUAAUACACCAAUUUUAUUAUUUCUAUUAUGGCACCCUAGCUUUUACAAUUUAGCCCUAUUUUUUUAUUAGGAAAUUGCGAAUGGUAUCUUGAUAAACUAUGCAUAAAUAUUUUAUAAUUUUCUCAAACUUAAGUAAUAAUUUGUUAUAAACUCUAAAGAUAUAUCUUUCAUUACAAUAGUUAUAAGGCAGGCAGGUCUUUUUAUCAAUGGAAUAAGAAAUUUAUGCCAGAUUUAUCCUUUGUACUACAUGCCAAGUAGUAUUAGCAAAGGAAUAACAAAGUACUACAAAGUAAUUAACAAAAUAGCCUUCAGGGAGUGUAGUUUAUGGGCAAAUGAGCAUUAUCUAUUCAAAGUACCAACUUUUUAUGGGCAUUUUACUCUCAAACAUAUAAUUUAUGAUAAAUUUAUAAAUGUUUGUAAGUAAAAUUCAAAAAGUGUUACACUGAUUUCUUACAAAACGAAAACUGGCAGGUUAUCUUUUCAACAUAAAUUAAAUUUUUUUAAAAAAAGAAAUGGCCCAUAAAGUACCAACUCUUUGUGGGUUUCCUCCAUUACAUGAACAAAUAUUCUGCUCUUUAUGGGCAUUUCACUCUGAAUCAUUUAAUUUAUGUUAAAUACAUAAAUGUUUGUAAGUAAAAUUCAAAAAGUGUUGCACUAAUAUUUUUAUGAAAGGGAAACUGGUAGGUUUUGUAUUUAACAUAAAUUAAAUAUGUGAAAGCAAAAAAAAAAGAAAUUACCCAUAAAUCUAUGUCUUGCAAAUCUAUACUAGUAAAAUAGUUUCAAACAAAAUUAAACAUUAAAAUAAACUGUAAUUUAUACACAUUAAAAUAUCUGUAAUUUAUACACAUUUUGCAACUACUACUUUGUGUUUUCUCUGUAAUGAAUUUUUUAACUAUUGAGAACUUAAGUUUUGUUUUGCAAAUCUAUACUAGUACAAUAGUUUUAAACAAAAUUAAACAUUAAAAUAAAUGUUUGAAAAAGAACAAAAGUACAUUUAUCACUUGCAGUAAUGUAACAAAAUUUUCUCAACCAUUAUCAAUAUUUUCACAAAAGUAUUAAAAACUAGCAAUUGACAAUAUUAAAAACUAGCAAUUUAAUUAGUGACGACUUUUCUUGUCAUUAUAAUCUUGAAUAAAUUAGUGAUAACAUUAUGUCAUCACUAAAUUUUCUUUGAUUUUGACUUAACAAUAAUGUCUUAUUAAUAGCAUUUGAUUAUUUUUAAUGAAAGUCUGUUAUAACCAUAGAAUUUGACUUUCGUUAUUUUCAAUUAAUGAUGUACUUUAGUGCUGCAAUUAUAAAAAAUUGCAGGGCUAAAAUAUUUGCAAAUUAUAAAAGUAUAUUUUCACUUAUAUGUAAUUAACAAAUUUUGCCACCUAUAUUGAUGAAAAUUUGUGUUUUUGUACUAAAAAAUAAAGAAUAAUACUAUAGCAAUAAAAUCUAUGCUUCAAACCAAAUUAAAAAUAAAAAAAGCAUGAUGAUUGGUCUCAAAUGUUGGGAAAAUGAUUAUUUUUAUUGAAACUAUGUUAUAACCAUAUAAUUUGAGUUUAAUUAUUUUCAAUUACAUGAUGUUCUUUAGUGCUGCAAUUAUAAGAAAUUAGUAUAAAAUAUUAGCAAAUUAUAAAAGUACAUUUUCAAUUAUAUGAAAUUAACAAAUUUUACCACCUAUGUUGAUGAAAAUUUUUAUUUUUUGCUAAAAAAUAAAGAAUAAUACUAUAGCAUUAAAAUCUAUGGUUCAAACCAUAUUACAAAUCCAGAAAAAAACAUGAUUUUUGGUAUCAAAUGGAGGGAAAAUGAGUGAAGUCAAAAUUUUGAUCAAAUCAUAGUGAAAGUGCCGCGCAACAAAAACAAUAUCCAAAGCAAAGCACAGACCAAAGCAGCGGAACACAUUCUGAAAAGAAAAGCAACGGAACACUUGGUCUGAGUUAAAGCAACGGAACACUUGAGCAACACAAACUUUCACCGAGCUGAAACAAACAAGCUUCUGCACUGAGCACAAAACAGAGCUUCCGCACGGCACCUGAUACCUUCACCCACACAACAAAUCUGUUCUCUGGCUUCUCACUAGAAUCACCAUGGCUGUCCAGCAUUAAAGGGCAAGGUUUUCAUUGGAAAUGUUCGUUUUUCUCUCUCCUAUACAUUUUCCCCAAUUUUUCCAAAUCCCUAAUAUUCUACAAUAUUUUUUGCAAAUUUCUGCCCAAAAUCUUUUAGCUGUCGAGGAAGAAAAGGGGGACGUCGGCAGGGGAACGAAGGAAAAGACUAAAGUUUCAUUUGGGGGCUGGUGAUUGAGGAAGUGAAACCAGAAACAGAGAAAGGUCUUGGCCUAGAGGGGACACAAAGAAAAUACAGAGCAACAGCCGCUCAUCGGCCAUCGCAGCGCGCAAUCUCCAUAGCUGCCGUCACUCUGCUCUCAUCCAAUUUCCGCCGCCUCCAAGUUCCGCCACGGCACCUCCAUUUCGUGCGCCGCCUAGCUGCCUGACGCAUCUCCCCUUCCCGCACGGCCUUUCUCUCUCACUGUCGCUCCUCGAUUUCAUGUUGCCACCCACCACUGGCGCCCAGCUCCAGCGCGGCUACCAUGGCAGCUACAGCCGCCUGAUCAUUCGCACCUUCCUUCGACCAUCACCAUCACCUGCAGACUUCGCCAAGCAAACGCUGUAAGCCGUCUGCCUUCUUUGAAUUUUAGUUUUCCAUUUUUAGUAUGAACAUUGAAAAGUCUCAAAGCAUGUUUGCCGUGCGUUUGUUCAGUGCCAACUUCAUGUUGAUUGCUAACGAUUUUAGAUUGUAUGCUAUUGUAUGUUGUUUGGACUGAAAUCUCUUGUGUUUUGACAAAUUUUGGGGGGCUAAUUACAGUCCCAAUUGAGCAAAAAUUGCUGGAUCCUUCUAUGCCCAUGUACUGUUUGUUAAAAUGCCCGAGUGAAGGUCUAAAUAGAAGAUUGAUGCCUAAUCUGCUUGGGGAAGACGAUCGUUUGCUUAAAUUUGCAAUUCCGGUCAUUCCAUCAAAUAUCAACUGAACUGAAAGAGGCCUCUAAUUAGUUGUCGUUUUUAAGUGAAUUUCUUUAGAGUGCGCGCGCGAUAUCAGAACCUAAUUCAGGAUUUUAAAAUCAAUUUACUAGAAAUUGGAAUUAGACGGUUGAAGUACACUACACACAUGCUCCUUACAGAUUGACGCAGGCAGUUUAAAGUUUUAAAACUUCAGAGUCUUUGCUUUGUAGUUUGACUUCCACAAUGGUGCAUAUAUCGUUUAGACAGAUGGUUAUUUUUAGUCGCUUUUUUAUAAGUGAAUUCAUUUGAUUAUUAAUAUUUUUUUUUUAGUAAACUAAAUAGUUUCAUGGCCGCUACGCGAAACUCUUAUACAAACCUUUGAUUUAAAGGUGGGUUUUUUCACUCUCUCUUCCCAUGGCUUUGGAGUCUAGCUUUGUUAAUAUUGGAUCACUUUACGAGAUGUAAGCUGGUAAUAAUAAUAAUAAUGUAUCACUAGACAGUGGUUCUUUUUUACACUCCAUUAUUCAAUCUAGUAGGAUUUCAUUGGUGGGUGCAUUCUUUUUGUUGGUUUCUUUUAUAAACGUGUAACUCAGCCACCUCUUCGAUUCCAGAAAGUUGUCUGACCCUCUGAGGAGGUUAAAGAACGUCGUCAUGGAUAGGCCUGUUCUUAACCCUUUUUUUGUAGUAGUAGUAGUGUAUUUUUCCGAAUACGACGAUUAUUCAAAAGUUGCCGUCUGGUGUUUUAGCUUCUCUCCCACUAAAUUGCUAAAAUGACGCACAUUUAUUUAUCCCUUCCCUUGACUGACUACAUAAAGACACUUCUUUACUGGUAUUAAUUGACUAUGCCUUGAGGAGAUCCAAUCUUCUGUCGGAGCUCGCCAACCCCUUUUUUUUUUUAACGAUAACUAUUGUUUAGCUUCUUCUCGUACAGAAACAAACAAAACCGUAGCUUAUGAGCCCACGUCACGAAACGGCACAGUAGACUGGAAAUACGUAGUAGUUUAAUCACAAAUUACUGUAUAAAAGUAUGUUUCGUGUACAACUUCUUUAGGGAAAUUCCAGUUGAUUUUUGCUAUUGGUGCAAAUUAAUAAUUGAUGUUCUUUCAUUUAUGUUACAUGAUUGGAUUUAUUAUUGACAUUAUUAGUACAGAGUCUCUCUCUUAUUAUGAUGGAAUGGAACCCACUAAUUGACUCGGUUAUCUUUUCAAUAAAAAAAACUGUUUGUAUUAUUGGAAAGCAUUAAGGAUAUGUCUGUAAAUUGGUUGGAAAUGAUUCAAAUUAGUUCUCUCCAAUUAAGCCAAAAAGUAUAUCAAUUCGAAAUGAGCCAAAAAACAAAGAGUUAUUAUCUGCCACGCCCUCCUCACGUAGCAAGUGACUAAAGAUUUUUAGAAUAACUAUUAUAGGAUCUUCUUUAAACUAACUCAGUUCGCUAAUUUGAUAGGUACUAUUUGAUACUUUCAAAGCCAUUUUUUAGCAAGGAAGGAUUGGGAAGGAAGAAAAAAGGGAGAUGGGAAAAAAAACCAUUAACCACUAGGCUAUCUAUCAGAUUGUUCUUCGCAGUUCAUAUCCUUCUUCUGUUCCUGCACUGUUUGUUAGUUUGAUACUUGAUGUUCAUUUCAUUUUCUUGAAAUUAAAUGAGUUCUUAUUUUUUCCACUUGUUCUUGGGAUGGUCACCACAAUGUUUGAGCAAGCUCUUCGAACUCUUCAAUCCCACGGUUGCUCGAGUAAUUGUGGAUUUCAUCAUGAGUGUGGAAUUGCUUCAUCCUGCAGUGUUUUAGUUUUUUUCUCUCAAAAACUAUACAUAAGAGUUUUACUUUUUCCAAUAAUAUUUUUCGGUGCAAAAGGCUGUCUAUCUACAAUUUCCAUCACCAAAGAAUAAGCUGCAAAAUUGGGAAUAGUCAUUGGAAUAGAUCUUGGAACUACCUAUUCAUGUGUUCAUAUUUACAAAAAUGGUCAUGUUGAAAUCACAGCAAAUGACCAAGGAAUCGUAUUAAGCCAUCAUGGAUUGCAUUUGCUGGUAGCGAAAGACUGAUUCGAUGUUAAUGUUGAAAGAACUAUCUUUGAUGUCAAGAGACUUAUUGGAUGAAAGUAAGGCACACUCGUGUAUUUAUCAUUUUUGCUGGAACAUUUUGGUGUGUAUACAUAUGCUCACUGAAGUCUUAACUGUUAUAUAACAGGAUUGAGACUAAUGAAGUUUAGAGGGAUAUGAAGCUCGUUCCUUGUAAGAUUGUGAACAAGGAUGGAAAACCUUAUAUCUAGGUGGAAAUUAAGAAUAGUAAGGUUAAAGUCUUCAGUCUUGAGGAAAUUAGUGUAAUGGUUUUAACUAAGAUGAAAGAAGCAGCUGAAGCUUUCCUUGCAAAGAAAAUUAAGGAUGCUGUGGUAACUGUUCCCAGUAUAGUUCAAUUUCUAGAGUUACUCGUUGAAUCAUAUUUUACUUCAAUGAUGCCCAGAGGCAGGCAACAAAGAAUGCAGGUAUUAUUGCUGGGCUGAAUGCUGCUAGGACUAUCAAUGAACCCAGAGCAGCAGCAGUUGCCUGUCUAACUACGAAUUAAAAAAGUUUAUCUAACUACACUAAUUAACUGUUGAUUUUGCAAAAUAUUGAACAAUGAUUAAAGCAACCAAUUUCUUGUAUAAGUUUUAUUAGUUACAUUUCUUAUAAAAAGCUUUCAUAUGGUUCUAAUUGCUCUGUUUUAUUGUAGGCAAAGGCUUUCAUCAAAGGAUUAUAGAAUAUUUCAUCAAGUUGAUUAACAAGAAACAUGGAAAGAACAUCAGCAACCACAAUAGACCACUUGGAAAACUGAGGGAAGCUGAACGUGCCAAAAGAGCUUUAAGCAGCCAGCAGCAAGUUAGGACUCAUGCUUGAUUUGACGAGUUGAACAAUGACCUCUUUAGCAAAAACAUGGGACUUGUCAAGAAGGCUAUGGGGGAUGCUGGUUUGGAGAACCACCAGAUGCAUGAAAUUGUUCCUGUUAGUGGGGCUACCAGGAUCCCAAAAGUCCAAUAACUUCUCAAGGACUACUUUGAUGGAAAGGAACCCAACAAGAGUGUAAAACCAGAUGAAGCAGUGGCUUAUGGGGGUGGUGUUCAAGGAGGUAUUCUAAGCCGGAAAGGUGGUGAUGAAAGCAAAGGUACUUUUUAAAAUUUUUAAUGGACAUGUAAAACUUGAUAUUUUGCAAACUUAAGAUGCAACUUGAUUGUCUCAAGAAAGUUGAAACUGUUGGUAUUGAAACUGUUGCUGUGGUAAUGACCAAGUGAUUGGUACUUGUGAAUUUAUUUUGCUGCUUCAUAAUUUAUGAAUUCAUUCCUUGUGAACCCAGAACAAAAAAAAAAUUUGCAUGUGACCAAGUUGUAGCAAUAUCUUGCUACUUCCAUUAACUGUUACUGCAGUAAUGACCAAGUGAUUGGUACUUGUGAAUUUAUUUCAUUGUCAUCUGAGUUGUUGUUACAUGUUAAUGGAAUGUAUUUGAACGUCAAAGGAGCCUCUUUCUUUUGAAUCAUCUAUACUAAAUUACUGCUGUAUAUGUAAAUAUCAUGCUUUCCUUUUUCUUGUGAAUCAUUAUUACUGCAUUGGCUGUAUCCUUUGUAUUAGUACAUGACUACUCUUUGAACUAAUAUAUUUUUGACUAAUACUCCUUUUCACUCCCAGCCCAAGUUCACGAUACACACCACAUCACUCUUUUCAUCAUCUAAAAUAUUAAAAAUAUUACAAUAACAAAUACAACCUUACUAACAGGUCUAAAGUUCCCACGCCUUGCGUGGGAAGCAAUCACCUAGUUUUAAUAUAUAAACAACCAAAAGCAUAAACAUUAAACAAUAAUUACUGUGGGAGUCCAAUUUAAUUGUUCAAUAAGUUGAGCUAUUUAAAGAAGAAGAAAGAAAAUUAAAAAAAACUAUUUUAGAGAGCUCUUUAGUUGAGCUUAUGCAGUGUUGUAUUUGUAUAGAUUGGACUGUGAUUUCUAACUUCUUGCUGGUGUUGUAAUAUGUGGGCCCAAAUUAUAUGAGGUUCUUAAUGAAUUGUAAUUUUUGUCUUAAUAAUCUAAGUCUCAUUACUUGUUCUUUAUUAUUGUACUCCUCCCCUUACCUACUUCUUUUACUCUUUUAUGACAGAUAAAUGCUAUUCAUACUAGCUUUUGGAAGAUAUCUAUGGUUAUGGUUGAACAAUGUUGAAGACAAAAUUGCCUUUUGCUCAUGGAGUGGUUCAUUUAGAUGUUCUUCAAUUUCUUAAACUGUGAUUGCUUUUGUAAAUGUACCUUAUGUACAAGUGAUAUUUUGGACAAAUGUUAUUUUUGUAGGCAUUAGUUGGGCAAUGUACACUUGAAUUUGGCAUUUGAGAAUGCUAUAUUAUUACCAUAUAAUCUAAUGCAAAUACUUUUGGUUAUCAAUCGUUCAUGUUUAUUUGUAUGGUUUGUUUAAAAUCAAUGAUUUAGCAAUGAUUUAGCAAUGAUUACAGGCCAAAUUAUGACUAUUAAGCUAUUAUGAAAUUAUCUAAUGACAAAAAAAAGUUGUCACAAAAUAGAAAAUAAAAACUCCUUGUCACAACAGAGACUGUCACUAAAUCUAAGUUACAUUUGUGACGACAAUUGUUGUCAGUAAAAUAGUUAUAUACAAUGGCUUUCGGUGCUUUUUAGUGACGAUUUUAAGUAGACCAUUUUUGACAAAAGGUUAAUUCGUCAAUAAAACACUUCCAGAUUGUCGUCACUAAUGACAACUAUUUAGUGACGACCAAAUAGUUGUCACUAAAUAGUUGUCAUUAGUGACGACAAUCUGGAAGUGUUUUAUUGACGAAUUGAUCUUUUGUCAAAAAUGCUCUACUUAAAGUCGUCACUAAUGAGAACUAUUUAGUGACGACCUAAAAAUGUCGUCACUGUUUACCUUUACCGACGGGGAUUUAGUGACGACUUUGUGACGAUCAAAAAGUCGUCAAUAAAAGGUAUUUGUGACGAUAUUUGUAUGUUCUGUGAUGACUUUGUGUUGUCACUGAUGAACAAUUUUCUUGUAGUGUAUGUCGCCAAUAAUCAGGACCAUAACACCAUUUGCCCCAAGCUCACCCCACGCAGAGAUCAUGCGAAGUAGCUCUGAUACCACCUGUGACGACCCCACCUCCCCCUAGGGCGUACCCAAAGGUUUGGCGGACCGCCUGCCUAGCUCUCGCCAGGACUCACUCACUCACUCACUCAAUCAACUUUCAAGAUUAAUCAUUCAAGCCUCCAAAAUAAUAUUUAAGUUCUAUAAUUCAACCAAAAUGCAAACUUAUUUACAACCUAAAGCCAAACGUAUGAUACAACGUCAAAUGUCAAAAUACAUCUUAUCAACCAAGAGUACAAGUACAAGAGGGUUAUACACUCUAGGUCAUACUUGAUUGCUCCAGACCUCCACUCCUGUAAGGAAAACAAAAACUAAAGGAAUGAGCUAAAAGCCCAGUGAGGUUCCCAAACAAGCAAUCAGGUAGAGAAACCAUAGAAGUAUGGUACUUAACAGUUUGAACACUUUGCACAAUAAUAAAUAGUCAUUCAAGAAAUAAACAUUCAUUCAUAGGAAGGAUACGUGCUUACUUGGAGCCAUUCAUUCAGUCAUUCAGUCGCCAACCUUUUCCCUUAUUCCUCCAUCAUUUCGAAACAUUUAACAGUGAAAACUCCUUCAGUAUUCAUUGUCACUCAUUCAUUGAUUUCAUUGCAUUGAAUUCACUGGCCAGUUCUCCACCAGACUUCGUGGUAAUACCAGCCGCCCGACUGAGUCCUCUUCUGACUUGAGUCAACUGGCAACGAAGGGCAAGGGUCCAGUUCAGCCAAAGGCUUACAUUCAUGCACAAGUAACGUUCAAUCACUUGAUCAUUUUAAAUUCAUAUUCAUUUAGGUUGAGUGUGAUAAAAUACACACACGCCCAUUGAAAAUCCAUUUAACAGUUAUUGGAAAGCAUUUAACAUUCAAACAAUCACUCACAGAUAUUCACAUAGUCACUUAUUGCACAAACAUGCAAGGAACACUCACCACGGUACAAGUUCAAGUGUUCGCCUCAAGUGCACUUCCGACCUCACCUCCUCGUCCUAAAUCACAUUUUAAAGUGCCAUGAGAUCCACUAAGCCCAGUCACAUUAUUCCAAAAGAAAAAUCAAGCUCAAAAUGGUUCAACAACUCCAACUUGAAGUUGGAAGUGAAAGUAAGGAGAGCUUUAAGAAAACAGAAUUUUUCCCAGUUUUACACGAUGCUAUUUGAAAAAUCAUAUUUCAAGGUUCUUAAGUCCAAAAUUUAAAAAAUUUAUACCGUUGGAAAAUAGAUUCAAAGGAUUACAAUUUCUCAGAAGACCUCUUUGCAAGAUUCUGUCCACAAGUUAGUCAAAAUCCAAUCUAAAGCGGCUGCUUUAUCCAGUAGAAAGACAGAAUAGGAAUGGAAAUUCAGUCAAUUUUGGAAAAUCACAGAUGUUCAUAGAAAUUGAGAAAAAUUCUAAAAUUUUCACGGUCAAAAUAUCUAUAAGUCUAGUUUCCAAUGCAACAAACGGAACUCAUUUUGAAUUUUUCUACACCUAGAUGUAAUAGAUUUCCCAAGACUGCUCAAGGUCUCCUGCGGAGAAAUUUUCGGCAGCACUUCCCCUUAUUUUCCCUAAUUUCCAGCCAUUUUCAAGGCUAUAAUCUCAUAGUAUAACAGCCCCAAAUCAAGCUCACAAAUUAUAGGAGAAAAUUGGUACGUAUUCUAGAUAGCAAAGACUAACCAAAUUCAACAUAUACUUGAUAUAUAAACAAAUAUACCCAAGCUGAAAUUUUGAAACCCUAAGCUGGAAAAUUCUACCAACUUCACAAAUUCAUGAUAUCUUCCAUAUUCAAGUCAUCUAUCCAAUAAAAUGCAACAUAAGAAAGGGAAGGAGAGUUUCUUAGCUUAAUACCUUCAAACCUCAAGGAAAAAUACAAAACCAAGGCUGCCUAUGCAAAAUCACUCCACCUCAAGUUUCCUUGUCACCUUGUUGCACCUUUGUUCGGAUUAGAUUUGUAGUUCUUGUUGAUUUCUUAUUAAAUCAAGGCAAGAUCAAGAUGAUUUGUGAAGCUUUCUCCUUUAUUUUUUCUCUCUAAGGGUUGGCCAAAGAAGGAAGAAAAUGAAUAGGUUUUGAGGAGAAUUUACAAGAUAAAGACUAGAAUGGUCUUCGGUCAAAGUUGGCUUGAUGGCCAACACUUGUCGCUCUACCAUUUUUCCUCUUAUUUUUGUUCUUUUUCCUCUCUUUUUUGGUCAAUAAUUUUGGCCAACCAUAGGGAAAAUUUAGGGAAAGAAAAAUGAAAGAAAAAUAAGAUGAUUAAGGGAAAGAAAGUCUUGGUCAAGUGGUGUGCUCAACCGGUAACAAACGGCACACGUUAGUUCAAGCCUAUUUCUUAACUCUCUUAUACUUUUAUCUUAACUUAUGAUUCACUAAUUUACUCUUAGCACUUUUUAACCACAUACUUCCUCUUACUAAAUACCCGCUCUUAUCCACCAAAUUUAGUGCACACACCUCACCAAUCAAUCACACUACCAAAAUGCAUCAAAACCCUACUUACUCUAACUUUAAAUGUAAAAAUAAAACUCUUGACUCAACUAAUGAAAUCACCAUGAAAUUUAGGGCUAGUAAAUAGUUAAAUAAUCAAGUAAAUAAAUAUAGAAGGAAAUAUAAAUUAAUGUUUCAAAAAUGGGAGGAAAUUCUAAAGGAAUUUUCGGGUCCUCACACAUGGCCCCCACUGUCCCCCUUAAAUUCCUAUACUACCCAUAGAAUUUUGAUAUAAUCUUAAGUGUGUCUCCGGAAUUUUCUUAUGAAGGAAAUGAAAGAAUUACGUGGUCCUCUAAGUUAAUUCAUGAACUAAUAUUCUAAAAGAAUAUAUGGGCCACAAAAUUGCAUUUGAAGUAAGCUAAAAACAGGCUUUUCAUUUCAACUUGUUAGUGAAUAUUUUUUUUUGCUUAAAAAAUUAGAAAAAGAGUAGGUAAACAAUUUUAGUAUUACUUUUGCCCUUACUGAGAAUUUUUUUUGGCUCCGCCACUGUUACCAUUAUCUAGAUUAUGAACUUCUAUCCUUUUGGGGAUAUUCGUUAAUUGGAACGAUUCUGAACUCCUCAAAUGAUAGGUUUUCUACUAUGAACCUUUGGAAUUAACUCAGGUUCAUCAAUUAUUACUUUCAACACUUGAUUCAUUCUCAUCAUUCAUUGCUUUUCUAUAAAUUAGUCUAGCUUAUUGGUUUUCGGUUAUAAAAGUACUAUUACAAUAUAUACCUCACACAUAAAUAUACCUAGCUUCUCAUAAGUUACUACUUCUAACAUUUUUUCCCUCUAAAAUUAAAAAUUAUAUCCCAAAACCCACAAAAUAUUAAACUUAUACACUUAUAUUGUAAAUCCAAAAGUACGGAGUUUCACAAUCGAUAUUUGUCGUGUUAAUAUCUACAACUAUUAGACUUAGUGUCCAUAUUAUAUUAUGGACUUGAAACUGAUUACUAAACAUGCCCUGAAUUCGUAGUUUGGAGUUUGAACAAGAGAAUUGCAACAGAGGAUAACGAUCACGAGCUAGUAGACGUGGUUAAUGAAAAUACUAGGCAUUGUGCCCCGCGAGUUUCGCGGGGUGCCCAUUAUUGACUGUUUAAGAGUAAUGUAAGAUUUAUUUAAUAAUUAAUGUUUAGAGUGUUUUAUAUGAUAUUAGGGUUGAAAUAAUAAAUAGAGGAACAAUAUAUUGGAUUAAUAUAUUUAUAAAUAGAUAUAGUAAUAUUGUUGUGAUUUGUAUUUAAUUUUUUAAGAGUAAUAGGAGUAAAUAUUAUUUAAAUUAAUGGAAUGUAAAUAAUUUUUUAAGAGUUGAGAUAAAUUAAUAAUUCGAAAUAAUUUCGAUAUGUUUAUUUUUAUAUUGUUAAAUAUAAGUGGAAGUAGAAUAAAGAAAAUUUAGGGAACAGAUAAUUGCUAUGUGCAAGAAGCUGUAGUGGACAUGUUUACUUAUGAUUGUUGGAUAAAGUCUCUGCUGAUGAGCUACAGAUGAUAAUUGUUUUCAUUGAGCAAGGUGAACAUGAUGACACUUCCUUCAUGUAAGAAGUGUUUUUGUGUGAAUAUUGGCCAACAUUUUGUUAUUUCUAUUCCUUCUAGCUGAAAGAUCCAUCGAGUUAUAGCAUGAUAGCAAUUGAUGACUCACAUGUUGUCUGUUUGUAUAUGCGAUGGUAUAUCACCAGUGAGUACCUGAGAUAGAAAAUAGGGAAAAAAUGUAGUUGUAUUAUGAAAUGAGAGUAACAAUGUAGUGUAUGAAUUAUAUUGAUUGGAAUGUAAUUUGUAUGAAACUCACCAAAGAUUCAAAAUCGUGUGUUAGAUAAUGGAAGAGUUUAGUAUUAGAAAAACUAAAAGAAAAGAAAUAUAGUGAAGCAUAUAAAUUCAUAAAUAUAAUAUAUACAAAUUAAGGAUUUUUAACAAUUUGAAAUUAUAAAUUUAGAAUCAUAUAUUUGUAUUUAUUGAUCGAAUAAUUGUUUUUUGAAUCAAUAAAUAUUGGAUUGAUUUAUUUUUAAGUUUAUAUAUAUUAGAUACAUGUCAAGUACAUAUGAUUUUCAUUCAUUUGUAUUAAUAUGAAAUAGCAUAAUCAAUUUGUAUAUUUGACUGGAUACACAUAGAAUUUGUAUUCAUUUGCAUAUAUUAGAUGCACGUAGCAUUUUUAGCGAUUUGCAUAUUUUUUUCAUAUUUAAUAUUUUUGCUAAUAUAUACAUUUUGGAGAAAAUUAAUUAAAUUUAUAUACAUUAGAUACAUGUUAAGUAUAUAUGAUUUUCAUUGAUUUGUAUUAAUACGAAACAUCAUAAUUGAUUUAUAUAUACUGGUUGGAUACACAUAGAAUUUUUAUUCAUUUGCAUAUAUUAGAUGUACCUAAGAUUUUUAGGGAUUUGCAUUUUUUUCAUAUUUAAUAUUUUUGCUAAUAUAUAUCUUGGAGAAAAUUAAUAAAUAAGCGAAAAAACAUAAAAAGAAGGCUAUUUUAUGUAUUAGAUGUGCAUAACAUUUUUAGCGAUUUGUGUAUUUUUUAAUAGUUAAUAUUUUUUGUCAAUAUACACACUUUCGACAAAAUUAAUAAAUAAGCGAGUUAAUAAAUAAGCAGAUAAAUAUAAAGAAGGAGAGAAAAUUAUAAAUAUAGAAAUAGUCUCGAAAUUAUAAUUAUUUGAUAUAAAUAACACUUAUUAUAUGUUAAUACAAGGCAGUAUUAUUAAUUUAUAUAUAUUAGAUAUAGGUUAAACACAUAUAAUUUUCAUUGAUCUGCAUUAAUACAAAAUAAUAUAAUCGAUUUAUAUAUAUUGAUUAGAUACAUAUAGAAUUUUUAUUCGUUAGUAUGUAUUAGAUAUACAGAGGAUUUUUAGUAACCUGCGUAAUUUUUUGAUAUUUAAUAUUUUUUUCAAUACACACACUUUUGACAAAGUUAAUAAAUAAGUGAGUUAAUAAAUAAGUGGAUAAAUAUAAAGAAGGACGAAAAAUUAUAAACAUAGAAAUAGUGUCGAAAUUAUAAUUAUUUCACAUAAAUAACACUUAUUAUAUGUUAAUACAAAGUAGUAUUAUUAAUUUAUAUAUAUUAGAUGCAUGCAAAUCAUAUAUGAUUUUCAUUGAUCUGCAUUAAUACAAAACACCAUAGUCGAUUUUUAUAUAUUGAUUAGAUACAUAUAGAAUUUUUAUUCGUUUGUAUGUAUUAGAUGUACAUAGGAUUUUUAGCGACUUGCAUAUUUUUUUGAUAUUUAAUACGAAACAGCAUAAUUGAUUUAUAUAUACUAAUUGGAUACACAGAGAAUUUUUAUUCAUUUGCAUAUAUUAGAUGUACGUAGGAUUUUUAAGAAUUUGCAUUUUUUUCAUAUUUAAUAUUUUUGCUAAUAUAUAUUUUGGAGAAAACUAAUAAAUAAGCAAAUAAACAUAAAAAGAAUGCUAUUUUAUGUAUUAGAUGUGCAUAGCAUUUUUAGUGAUUUGCGUAUUUUUUAAUAGUUAAUAUUUUUUUCAAUACACACACUUUCGACAAAAUUAAUUAAUAAGCGAGUUAAUAAAUAAGCGAAAAAAUAUAAAGAAGGAGAGAAAAUUAUAAAUAUAGAAAUAGUCUCGAAAUUAUAAUUAUUUGAUAUAAAUAACACUUAUUAUAUGUUAAUACAAGGCAGUAUUAUUAAUUUAUAUACAUUAGAUAUAAGUUAAACACAUAUAAUUUUCAUUGAUCUGCAUUAAUACAAAACACUAUAAUCGAUUUAUAUAUAUUGAUUAGAUACAUAUAGAUUUUUUAUUCGUUAGUAUGUAUUAGAUAUACAUAGGAUUUUCAGUGACCUGCGUAAUUUUUUGAUAUUUAAUAUUUUUUUAGUCUCGAAAAAUAGUCUCGAAAAUGCAAAAGCUUUAAAUUAAUAAUUAGUAGUUAACAAAUAUUAUGGAAGUUCAUUUUUUAAAUAGAGGGAAAUUAUCCUAUAUUUUAAAAAACAAUUGGUCGUAUUAAUGGAAGCUAAUACAAAGUGGCACAAUUGAAUAUAUAUAUAUAUAUAAAGGCACACAAAUAGGAUGCAAGAAUAUAUAUAGAUUUGGAUAACCCAAAAAAUUCGCGUCUGCAUUAAGGAAUGGAAGGUAGCGGCUGCACAGCUACAACAAACAAAAGUAAAGAAACAAUAAUUAAGAGAGAAUAUCAUCGAAGCAACAUCUUUAUUAUUCAGUGUGUGUAUCUUGUUUCUUGUAUAUAAAUUAACAAUGUGAUAUUGAAGCAACAUAUAUAAAUUAAAGAUUUUUAACAAUGUGAUAUUAGAAAUUAAGAAAUCAUAUAUUUGUAUUUAUUAAUCGAAUAAUCAUUUUUGUAUUCUAUGAGUAUUAGAUCGAUUGAUUUGUAAAUAAAUGUUGCUGGAAAGAAUAGUACUUGCAUUAAUUUUUUGGGAAUUAAUAAGAUUCUAAAAUUUAUAGAUAACACAAUUUCAAAGAGUCCGUUAGUUUAUUGAUAUCAAAAAUUAAUAAUGCUUGAUUGAAUAGCAUAUAUGAAAAAAAAUUUAUUUAAUCAUGAAGCAAUUUAUUUAUUGAUCAAAUGGUAUCAUAUUAUAUAUAGAAUUUAUAUACUGUUCUAUACAUAUUAGACGGAUAAAGAUUUUUUAUUGAGUUUGCAUAUUUGUUCACAAAAUCAAUAUUUUUGCUAAUAUAUAUAUUAAUUAAUGAAUAUCGUAAUAAAUAUGGAAUUUAUAUACCGUUCUAUAAAUAUUAGGUGCAAAAAUAAUUUUUUAGUGGUUCGUAUAUUUUUUCACAGAAUCAACAUUUUUGCUAAUAUAUAUAUAUAUUAAAUAAUGAAUAUCGUAAUAAAUAUAAAAGAGAAGGGAAAAUUAUAUUUUGAAGAAAGAAACCUUAAUACAAUACAAAGUUAAGGGAGUUAUAUGCGAAAGAAACUUAAUAAAUAAAAGCGAGAAGCUAACAUUUUGGUGAAUAAAGUUAGACAUAACAAUUGCAGCGAAAAUGGAAGAGAAAGAAAAGGGCUAAAUCGCGGAGCGAAGGUAACAAUUACAGCUGCGGAAAACGGAGGAGAAAGAAAAGGACGAAAUUGGGGAGAAAAGCCAACAUUCGUCAGUAAACUCAGGCAACAGCGGAAGAUCGGGGAGAAACAAAAGGACAAAAUCGGGGACAAAAUUACAGGCGUACCAAGCGAAAGGGCAGAAUGGGAACAAAGCAACAAAACAAGCAACAAGGACAAGCGGAAGCAGAAGCAAUUGCGCUAGAUGAAGCCCACGAAAAGACUAAAAAGGACAAACUGAGCUGCAAAUUACAGGGAAACCAGGACAAUUGACUGUAGCAAAGCCUUCGCGGCUUUAUGUAGUUUAAGAUACACCACAAUUUCUUUGAGAGUAAGCUGGGGGAAACUGCAUCAUCUGUGUUUUAUGGACAGGCUAAUCAGAUUGAUGGAAAGGCAAUUCCCUUCUUAAAUGACUACAAUACAAUUGAGAAGAAAGAUGACCAAACAUCGAGUCCUCCAAAGUAUCUGGCAAAAAUUAAAGAAAUUCGGUCACAGGGUUACCAGGGACCGCUUGGAAUUGGACUCGAGGGACACUUCGGUGCUCCGGACCUAGCUUAUGUAAGGACUUCAAUUGAUUUGCUUGCUUCCACAAAAUUACCUAUUUGGGUUACGGAAUUGGAUGUCUCUAGCCAGCCCAAUCAGGCCACGUACUUGGAUCAAAUAAUAAGGGAGGUUCGGGGACAUCCAGCCAUUCAAGGGCUACUAAUCUGGGCUGCAUGGUCUCCUCAGGGAUGUUAUAGAAUGUGUUUGACGGACAAUAACUUCAGAAACCAUCCAACAGUGGACGUUGUUGACAAGAUCAUCAAGGAAUUGAAGCAUGAGGAUUUGAUAGGCACUACAGACGAUGAGGCCCAUUUUGAGACUUCACUUUAUCAUGGAGAUUAUGAAGCUAUAAUAAGUCAUCCAGCUAUGACGAGUUCAUCCUCCUCAGUGGGAAUCAAAUUUAAUGUGGCUCCAACAACAAACCAGGAAACUUUGGAUGUCAAGUUCUCCUCCAUCAGCUUUUCUUGAAUUAAGAAAUUCACGCUGAACUAGUGACUUGUUCACCAAGGUUAAAGCAAUACAUUUAUGUAGGGAGAAAUUUUGAACAAUAGUGGAUGAUUAUCUUCUAAUAAAAAAAAAAAAAAAAGAUCACGAGCUAGUAAGCUUCAUUCUUUUCGAUAGAGACAAUUAUGCCUACUACGGAUAUCUUGACUAAGAAUUUAAUUAAAUAAGAUUCAAUUUGUUCUUUCUUCUUCUAUUUUUUUUUUCAGUUAAUAAAUCGAGAAGUAGACUGGAACCGAGGGCAGAAAAAUCAAAACUAUACAAGUUAUCACUAGCUGAGAAAAUUCAAAUGCAAUUAUGGCAAUUGAUUCGUUAUUCUUGUCGUGGGGGAACAUGUACAGACAUGCACCUAUCACAUGAGGAGGAAAUUGAGAUGAGAAUUUCAGCUUGAAGAGAGUAGAAGUAGAAACUAUAAAGAAUGUCAAGCGUGACGCAACUAUGCCAUUAAAAUUAUGCAAGUUGGGCUUUACAACUUGCAUGUGAUAUACUUCCAACGUUGAAUAGGCAACCAUCUCCGUCUAUGUCCUACUUUGAUUUCUACCUCCCAACGAAACCCUUCAGAUUUCAUGCACAAGGCUUUAGCUGACAGCUCUUGACAAUGGUCCUACAUUUUCGAUCUUAUCAUCUAUCAUCUACCGGUGGAAUUUGAUUGGUGUUCUAUUCGCACUUGUGCUCCUCUUUUCCUCAGAUUGGUGUUCUCUUUCUCUUUUCCUCAAUUUGAUUGGUAUCAUACAAAAGUGUAAGGGAAUUAUGAAUAGUUUACCUAAAAAUGUUCCAUAUACACAAACGCUAAAUGAAUUAUGAGCUAAUUUGAAUUAUUGACAUGAAUAAAAAAAAACUCCAACGCAGUUAACGAUUUAAAAUUAUUGCAAGCUUGAAUUAAUGUAUGGAAUUUUUGUAUAUUCAAACAGAAAGUGCUAAAAUUGCACACAACUUGCAAUGAGUACCUCUUUCAAGGCCAGGGAUAUUUUCAGUUAGUAAUAUGUUGCAUCGAAAACAUUUUGGUAUCUGUGAAUGUGCAAAACCCCUGUGCUUCCAACUGCAGCUGAAGUGGAAUGUAUGUGGAAUAACAAGCAUGUUUUUUAAAAUAUAAACAGAACAACUCAACCAAUACAGAAAGGAUUUUCAUAUGACGAUAAGGAACAUCUUACACAAUAGAAUACCCUAACCUAAAAAUGUUACCAAGUUAGAGGACGUCUAACUUAGCUGAACGACAAAGUAGUAGUUGUGAAGGUCUUCCUUUAUUUUGGCAGCUCUCAAGACAGGAUAUUGUACACCAAACCCUGAUUUUGAUAAAUGAAUAGGAUAGAGUAAUAUUACAACUACUCCAAUGUAGAAGAUGAAGAAAGCUGUUGGUCAGCAAGAUUUUGUGAUAGAAUUGGAUAGAUCCAAAAAACAAAACAAAAAAAAAAAAGCAAAAAUUUUAUCAAACAAGGAAGAGAACAUAAGAGCAGAAAUUUGAAAUACAAAUGCUACAUUCUCGAUUGUGUCAAUAGUGCGAUGGUUAUCCUUUUUGUACUUUUGGCUGCUGUCCAUUGAGGUCGAAAAUAUUUUCGGCAAAUAGUAUGUGUGCAAGAAAGAUACGACUAAUCAAUAACUAAAUAAAUGAGAAAAUAUUUAGAAGAUUUUAAACAAGGUAAUUCUGAGAAAUAUGGACAUAUAUGUUAGAAGACUUUAAACAAGGUAAUUCUGAGAAAUAAAAAUCAAUAACUAAAUGAAUGAGAAAUUUUUUGACUCUAUAUUGCUUUUAGUACUAUAUGUAUGGGUAAUGCAGUUGUAUGCUUGGUGCUUAAAUUGGAAGAUAUCUAUUAUUGUGACUGUAUCUUUGUUUGAAUUCAAGGCUUCUGGAGUAUGUAAUUACUAAUUGAAUACAUCAUGAAAUACACAUUACUAUUUAGUUAGUUUCAACAUGGCCUAGUGGUAUAAUUUCAAGAAAUGUACAAUUGUAAUCUUUUAUUUAUCUAUUUAAAGUGAAGGAAUAAGUCUGACAGGCUGAUACUGAAUGAGAAUGCUCAAAUUUUCCCUGAGUUUUGAUUUGAAUUCAUUUAGUCAAGAUGCUAGGGAAAUUUGAAAUCAAGAGAACAAACCUUUUUUGUUUUUGUUGACAAGGAAACCCUCAGCCGACCGUGCAAGGGACUCAAGAGAACAAACUUUACCAACUAAUAAAACUAAUUGAUGCUUUCUUCUAGUAGACUGUAAACCCACCAAGAGUAUACUUACCUAGAAGUGCAUUUAACAUAGUAACCAAUAUACUUAUGCUGAAUAUAUUAAGAAAAAUAUGAGUAAUUAAAGAGACACUGGAUAGAGGAAAAAACUGUAACAAAGAUUUGUCCACAGCCAUGCAACUGUUUUGAAACUUCUGAAAGAUCACACUUCAGUCCAUUGCCUGAUUAGACCAUCAAAGUUCAAGUUGACAAAGCCUUUCAGAAUUCGGUCAAAAGAAGUGGCUGAACUGUUAGUUGAUCACUCUUUAUGUACUGGAGAGGAUAUGGUUGUUAAGGCGAUUAUAUAUAGAAUUGAUAAGAAAGAAUGAUGAGCCACAGAUUGGUUAUCUAUAAGACGGUGGAUAAGGCUGAAGAAACAAUCAAGGUGGAAUUCAAGGACAAGAAAUCUGUAUAUGUCAUUUUCGGAGGCAAUUGAUGACGGCUGGAGUGGAUAUGUGUACAGCCUUCUCUAUGUCGUAGGAUUUUUUUUUUUUUUUUUUUUGAAUCCUGAAAAAUUUCAUACGAAUAAUUUCUACACAAAUUCAGAAGUUUCUAGCGGCAUUUUGUCCUGCAUUGUCCAAUGAGUUCAAGUUCCUGGUCUUCAAGGUGUAUUAACUUCGCAAAUUAAAGAGUAUCACACGAUAAAGGGUACCUAUGGUCUACGAAUCACUAACAAUUUGCUAUUCAAGUUGUAUGCCAGACAUAUAAUGUGAUGUAGAGUACGAUCCAACGAGGAACUUGGCUAAGAAUUAAUUUGCAGAAGGAAGGAAAACAAUAGGACGAGAGAGCCUGGCUGCCCUGAUGCCUGUGCACUACAACCUGCGACUCUGAAAUUUCAAUCAAGAUAUAGCACCUAAUUUGAGAAUUAAUGACAUUGACCCAUGGACUAUGGCUAAUAACUCUGAAAUUUCAUUUAUAGUUGUCAAGGAAUAUGGCUAAAACCCACCUUUUGCAGCAAUCUUCCUUCACCCAAUGAAAGAUUUCUGGAGGUUAAAGUUCAGCUCCUAAAGCUCUUCUCCAGCUCACCAACCAACAGAAGAAAUUAGUUUUAGUAAAAGUUGUUAAAUUUUGGCACCAAGUUUUGAGGGUAUGUAGGUAAAUUUGUAGAUGAUAUUUUGCUUCUAAAAUAGUGUUUAAAAAGCUAUUUCAGUGAGGUAUUACGGUGAAUUUGUCCUUGAUGAUAUUGACAUUAGGUCCCAUCAACAUCAAAUACAAGUUAAUCUGAUGUUGGAAACAAGAAGGGUUCUAGCUAAAAUUAUUAGAAACCUCAGGAAAUUAUUCCUAAAAUAUUUCCUCCACACAAGACACAGUGUUCCCAUCCUAGUUCUUAUAAAUAGGGCUUUAGCUCAAUGCACUUGUCACUAGAUAUCAAUAAAUUUUGCACGUCAUUUAUAUUUUGAGCGAAAUUGUGAUCAAAUGGCGUCUUCAAAAAGUUUGCUCUUUCUUUUUGGUGUUCUCUUCGCACUUGUACUCCUCAUUUCCGCUGAUGUAACAACAGCAGGUACCCUGUUUUUUUCUUUCUUUUUUAUAUUUUUGGCUGCACCUGAACACUCAAAUGAAUGAAGCCUAGCAAACUUAUUAUUGGGAUGUGAUCAAAUUAACGUCAAAUUAAAUACUUCUAAUUCUAAUUUAUUGAGUAGACUAUAAUGCAAAAUAAUUCAUAUGCAAGUCGCAACAUCGUAUAUGCCUAGACUGUUCUGUUUAAUCCACAGUAUUCUUUUCUUUGCAUAUAUCUUGCAAAUUUUCCGCCUGGCCAGUCACUUUAUUUUCCAGCAUAAGGUAAAUCUCCUAACAGUUAUGUCUCCUUAUGUCUUGAAACAGAUCAGGAGACCACGAAGGCCACUGGUGUCCACGAUGCCAGCUCAGGUGAGGCUCAUCAGGAUCCUGUAAUCGUAGAUCGUUGCGCAUUUGGUUGUUGCCGCUUGUUCCAUGGACUUUGCUUUAGAUGCUGUCCACCUGCUGAGAAGACCCCUAAUAUUGAAUUUGGAGAUGAGGUUAAGAAUUAAAGCUAAGUCAAUAAGGAUGUGAGAUCCGUAACACCUAUAUUAUUACCUUAAUAUGUUGUGUUUGUCUUGAUGGUUGAUUUCCUCUUAUGCGUAAAAAGGACUCGUGGAGCUUCUCUUUGACUUGGUGUAGAAUCAACAGGGGAGGCAUGUAAUGAGUACUCAGCUCGACUGCCCUUCUUGUGUUGUUGUCAUGUUGAAUAAAUAAAUCUACUUGAUCAUCUACGACACUUGAUGAUCUCUAUCUCAGUUACAUCAGAAACUUCUGUACCUUGGACUUGCUAGAAUUUAGUGUGAUUGAUACAAGACGUGCAGAAUGUUCAAUAUAUGUAUAUACGUGCUUCUUCAUCGUCCCAUGUCUUUACAGUGUAAAAUAAUUCAGUAAACCCAAUCCUGUUCCUUCCUGAGAAAGGAACUAAAGUCCUUUAAAUGGAUAUUUUGGAUGCUAUCAAGGGUUUGAAUGGAUUGCCAUUUAGAGAUCUGAAUGUUGGUCUUUUCUCUUUAUCUUUGCUCAAGAAUUUUUUUUGGCGGAAAUGCUUUACUUAUACGAAUUUUCCUAGUCAGUGAAUAUUUUAAUUAUACUUGCACAACACAAUGUUUAUAUGGAUAACACAAAAAAGCUUCUGUAGUUUGUAUACUUGAAAAAUAUUCAUAUAUACUUUUUAACUAACCUAGAAAAAUACAUAAUAAAUUCUUGAUGCAUUAUACUUUAAAUUUUAAAAAAUUUUAAUACUAACACUUAUCAAUGACUCCACAUGUUAAUUUGUCUUCCAACUCAAUAAUUUAUAGUAGUUAAUUUUCAAAGCUAACUGACUCCAAUAUUCCUGAUGCGUGGGGAGUUUGAACCUUAAUUAUUUUCAAAUUUUAAAUAUAAUCCAAACUUUCACUGCUGAUGCGUGGGGAGUACGACCUGUACACGAGUAUAGGGAAUGCUGGAGUGUCAACCCCAGAGAGAAGAUUGUCAAUUAUUGGAGUGAUUCGAACUCCUCUAUUAUUUAGAUUGUCACAAUUAAAACAAGUAAAUCUAAUUUACAAAUAUAAAGUAGUAAAAAUAACAAGGAAAUGUGCCUAGGGUUAUAUCAUCUUUAACUACUCUUACAAGUGAAAAUAACCAAUUAAAUGAGUUGAUUAUCUUGACUAACUCAUGGCUAAUUUUCUAAUAUAAGUGAUAUUCGCUUUCGCUAAUGUACCAACCAUACAUAUAACUAUCCCUCACCUAUGUUUAGUGAUAAAGAAACUAUCUAUAAACUCAUAGAAUCUAUGAAAUUAUUUGUUAAAGCCACAAAGGUUUUUUCCUCCUUUCGUGAGAAUACUUCCUAAGUUGAACACUUCCACGAACUAAUGUUAAAUCACAACUUUCAUUGAUGAAACAACACCUUUAGAUAAUCACCAUUAAUGAUCAGUUAAUCGUGAUUGUAAUAACAAAAGUGUUAAAUAACUUGCUCAAGAAUUAAGAUGGAAUAACCAAGAAAAUAUCACUAACAAGCAUAAUAGUUUAUCCAUCCCUAUGCAUACAAACUAGCAAAACGUAGAUGAAACAGAAAUAACAACCAAACAUGUAUAUUCACUAAAUAUGAGAAUCAAUUUAAGAAAUAAAGUGAUAGAAAAGAAGUCACCCUUGACACAUGAGUUCCAAAACUCUCAAUCUUCAUCUUCAUCCUCAACUUCAUCUAUAUUUAGUUACAAUACAAGAUGGAUAAAACUUACCUACACUAAGCUAAUUAACUAAUGAGAAUAGUGAAAGUUACAUUUUUUGUGGUAGUUCCUAACCUUCAAAGGUUAUGAAAAUGAGUUUUGAAGGCCCCUAUUUAUAGAAGAAAUUGCUCCAAAUAAUCAUGUUUCAAGUUGUGCAAUUUGUGCUUUCGAAUCUCCAAAAGUUAUUUCUUGAAAUCUCCAAUAUUUCUUCAGUAGUUACCGCUAAAAUUUGAUUAGAAAAAUAAGCUAUAAAAGCUAUGGAAAAGCUAUACAAGGCCAUGAGAAAAUACAGGUAAUGACCCUCAUUUUACCUCUUGUUUUGCCUCCCAUGUAUUUUCCAUGUCAUUUCUGGUUUCAUCCCAAUACGAGGGUCAAAACAUUGGUUACUCCUCAUUUUAGCCCUGAUUUUCUCCUCAGAAGAGUAAUUUUGUAGCUUUUGUCAUUUCCGAAUCGUUCUCAAAUCAUCUCUGACAAUAUCUUACUUGUAUUUCACUUGAUUCGAAAUAAACAUGAAAGACCAAAAUCUACAAAAACAACAUGUUUUGCACAUUAAACCAUUCAAAUACAAGUUUCGGUUAUUAACUGCAGCUUGAAGAAAUGUUUGCUUAAAAUGAGUAUUUUUCAUCCUUAAAGCCCUAAAAACAAACCAAAAACUAAGUAACAAAACAUAUUAAAAAUAUGCAAAGUAAACACUGUUCAAUUCCCUCACUUUCUUCAUCUCCUAAUGGAUUUAUUUCCUAAGCAUGAGUUUUGCAACCCCCAACAUUAAAUCUCAAUGAUUGAUUUCGGUGGUUAUAAAGGCUUCUAACUUUUCACACGUUUGUUUCAUAGUGUACUAUUGGUUUGCUAUUAAUUCUAACUAGACAUUUACUAGGUCUUGUAGAAUUUAUUCCUUCUUAUCACUUAAUUCAUAAGCCUUAUUAAUCAUUAAAUUUAUCAGUUACAACCAAAAGGCAAAUGCCUUGCAUUUCAAUCUUUAAUGUCUGUACUUAACUUAUAUUAGCCAUUCGUACUGAUUGAUUUUAUUAUAUUGCUUCUAGAAUGUUACUCGUCAUGUUCUUACCAUUAUCUGGAUUAUGAACUUCUAUCCUUCUGCGGAUAUUCGUUAAAAUUGGGACGAUUCUGAACUCCUCAAAUGAUAAGUAUUCGACUAUGAACCUUUAAAUUUAACUCAAGUUCAUCAAUUAUUACUUUCAACACUUGAUUCAUUCUCAUCAUUCAUUGCUUUUCUAUAAAUUAGUCUGGCUUAUAGGUUUUCGGUUAUAAAAGAACUAUUACAAUAUAUACUUCACACAUAAAUAUACCUAGCUUCUCAUAAGUUAUUACUUCUAACAUUUUUUCCCUCUAAAAUUAAAAAUUGUAUCCCAAAACCCACAAAAUAUCAAACUUAUAUACACUUAAUGUAAAAGCCAAAAAUAUGGGGUUUCACAAUCUAUAUUUGUUGUGUUAAUAUCUACAACUGUUAGAGGUAGUGUCUAUAUAAUAUUAUGGAGUUGAAACUGAUAAUUAAACAUGCCCUAAAUCCAUAGACUGUAAAAAUUCUAAAUUUGCUUGUAUGCUCUAUGGUUUCAAUGUUCUAACCUCCAUGGUUAAUUUGAAGUUUGAACAAGAGAAUUGCAAUAGAGGCCAACGAUCACGAGCUAGUAAGCUUCAUUCAUUUCGAUAGAGAUAAUUAUGUCUACUAUGGAUAUCUUGACUACGACUUUAAUUAAACAAGAUUUAAUUUAUUUUUUCUUCUUUUUUUCAGUUAAUAAAUCUAGAAGUAGACUGGAAUCGGAGGCAGAAAAAUCAAAACUAUAAAAUUUAUCACUAGCUGAGAAAAUUUUAAGGCAAUUAUGGUAAUUGAUUCAUUAUUCUUGUCGUGGGGGAACAUGUACAGACAUGUAGCCAUCACAUGAGGAGGAAAUUGAGAUGAGAAUUUUCAGCUUGGGGAGAGUCGAAGUAGAAAGAAUGUCAUGUAUGACAUGCACAAGAAUAAUUGGCAUUUCCAUUAAAAUUAAAUCUCCAUCAAUUUCAUUAAAAUUAUGCAAGUUGGGCUUUGCAACUCGUAUGUGAAAUACUUCCAACGCUCAAUAGGCAACCAUCUCCGUCUAUGCCCUACUUUGAUUUCUACCUCCCAACGAAACCCUUCAGAUUUCAUGCAUAAGGCUUUAGCUGACAGCUCUUGACAAUGGUCCUACAUUUUCGAUCUUAUCAUCUAUCAUCUACUGGUGGAAUUUGAUUGAGCUUUGAGAUCAAAUCGCAUUCUCCAAGAACUUGUUUCUUUCUCCUUGGUGCUCUGCUCGCACUUGUGCUUCUCAUUUCCUCAAGACUCUCUGAGGUUCCAGCUUGACUAAGUGCCUAUUUCAUCGAUCGUUUUAAUUUUUGUCUUUUGGGAUGUUCCAUUUUAACUCUACUCAACAUGUUGGGCCCAUAAGAAGUCGGUAAGAGGAUAAGUGUAUGAUCCAAAAAUUUAGCGUAAGUUGUUUGUUUCAUAACAAAUUACUAUUGAUAAAUGUUACAAUUGCAUUUCUUUUUCUAGUUCAAAGAGAAAUUCUAAACCUUAUAAGAGAGAAGAUUGAGAAUCGAAUCAGAAUUCUCAUAUUCGCCUAAUUAGUGGUUCUAUUAGUUGAGUUGGAUUUUAAGGACCGUUACAAAAUAACUUUGUAUCUUUAACAUUAUGACCUUACAUAGGUAAUUGGAUCACAUACUCUGCAAUAACGUUGCCUAGGACAAAUGUCAUGCACGAAAGAGUUCGUGUCAAUCCAUUCAUUAAAUGCACAAAAGUAUAUAUUGACGCAUAAACUAUAAGCAGAGGUGGAGCUACUUAUAAGCGACAGAGUUCGUGAUAAAGAAACAACUUAUAAGCUCAUUAGAAUCUAUGAAAUUAUUUGUUAAAGUCAUAAAGUUGUUUCCCUACUUUCGUGAGAGUACUUUCCUAGGUUGGACACUUCCACGAAUUAAUAUUAAAUCACAACUUUCAUUGAUGAAACAACACCUUAACAUUAUCACUAUUAAUGAUCAGUUAAUCAUGAUUGUAAUAGCAAAAUGUUAAAUAACUUGCUCAAGAAAUAAGAUGAAAUAAUCAAGAAAAUAUCACUUAACAAGCAUAAGUAGUUUAUCCAGCCCUAUGCAUACAAACUAGCAAAAUGUAAAUGAAACACAAAUAACAACCAAACUAGUAUAUUCAAUAAACAUGAGAAUCAAUACAAGAAAUAAAGUGAUAAGAGAAAAGUCACCCUUAUUACAUGUGACAAGUAUCUAUUUUACCUAAUAGUUUGUCUAUAUUUUAGUUCAUUUAUAGUUAAUUUUAAGUUUCUAAGACAAUAUGAGUGACCAUUUUGACAAUAUUUGAUGUUCUUGAGUAAUUUUGAUAAGACUUGUGAAUUCAUCCCUUUUACUUGUUAACGUUUAUAAUGUUUUGGUAGGGAAGAAUGACGAGGUUCUACCAUGCACCAAAUUUUAAUAAAACCUAAAUAUCCCUUUUUCUAUAAGUAUACAUAUCAUUUAUCGAGUAUAGGGAUAUUAGAUGUCCAUCCCAUAAGGAAGAUUGCCAAUUAUAGAUAGUUUUCGAACUCUUUUAUUAUUUAGACUAUCGCAAAUGCAAGAUAUUAAAUUUACACUAUAAACAUAAAAUAAAAGUAAUAAUAAUAAUAAUAGAAAGUUCUUAGGGUUAUGGAAUUCCUCACUACUCUUGCAAAUAAAAUUACUGGUUAAUUGAAUGUUAUUAUCUUGGCUAGUUAUGGUGUAAUUUUCUAAUGUAUGUGAAACCUAUUGUCGUAAUGAAUCAACUAUACUUGUAACUAAACCAUACCUACUCUCGUGGUUAUGAAAUUAACUACAAAUUCAUUUUUUCUAUGAAAUUAAAUUAAACAAACCACUAAAACCACAAAGGUACACAUCUACUCUUGUGAGUGAACUAUCUAAAUUUAGCACUUCUUUGAACUAGUGUCAAAUCCCAAUUUUCAUUGCAAACUUAAUCCCUUAAGAUUAUUACAAUUAAUGACCAGUUAAUCAUGAUUAGAUAAGCAAAAGUGAUAAAUAACUUGCUCAACAUAACAGCAUCAAAUAACUAAUUUAGCAUCAGUAACAAGAUAUAGAAAGUUCAUCCAUAACUCUAGGCAAAAACUUUAAUAAAACAUGAUAAAAUUCAAACUUGUAUUAUAAUUGAUAAGAGUUUAUUUUACGUAUUUUUAGUGUGUUUUAUUAGUUAAUUUUGGUUUGAUUAUUUAGUUUUAUAACUAAAAUAACUAAGGUUUUGGUAAAAAUCUACAUUUUAUGUUAAAGUGGCUAACAUUGCAUUUCUAUUGAUUUUUAUGGGAAAAACUUCAUAUUUUGUAGGUUUAAUGAUUCAAUCAUCAAAUGAAGUGCAUUGAGAAGAUAUUUGGAUGAUUGAAGAUGGAUUAAAGUGGUGAAAUUAAAAUAUGAAGUGUAAAAGGAAGAAAUGCAAUUUGAGGACAAAAAAAUCAAGAAAAGUCAGCUUUGACAACUCAGACACAUUUUCGUAUUUUGACUAUACCAGGAGCUACAAUGAUCGGAUGAAGGUGAUCUUGGUAUCAUUUUGAAGGUAAGAGAUAUAUCUACAUUUGGUAUGAAGACAUCAAAGUCCAAUUCAGCCGUUUUCUUGGUCAAAAGGUCGAAACACAGAAACUUAUCUGGAUGGUCGAAAGCUGAAGCCCAGAAUUGACCAGUCUAUGGUAUUUGGACCAUAUCUCCGUCCGCCGAUCUCCAAAUUAGAUGAUUCUUGAAGCAUUGGAACGCUAAUUCAAAGGGCUACAACCUUUGUGUUUUCCACAAAAGCCAGUUCGGCCUUCAUCAUGGAGAAAAAUGCAGUUGAAGUGAGGUCAAAAGUGAAAACGUGUAUGGCAGCCGAAUUUCUGUAAUUUGCUCAGCCAUUUUUCUCAUCUUCACACUACUUUCCAGCUAGAGUUGGAGAGAAAACGUAGGCUGCACAUGCUUCAGAAGACAUAAGGAAGAGAUAUAGCCAAGGUUCCAAGUCAAAAGCCAUUAUUUUUUACUCCCUUAACAAAUUCAGAUUUGGAGAAUCAUAGCAGAAAUUUUGGACCAGUGGAAAGGCACCUCAUAUCAGUUUUAUAUAGAGAGCAAUCAGAGGGAGAAGAGAUAUACAGGGGGAGAGAACUUGAAGUGCAGAAAUGUAGUUCUUUCAUUUCCUUAGUGUAGGAUAGUGUAGUAAGUGUAGUUAAUCCAUUCUUGUAUAAUAGCUAGAUUAGGAUGAAGAUUGAGAUGAAGAAGGAGGAGUUGAAGCUCAAGUGACAUGGGUUAUCUCUACUCCAAUUCUUUAUCUUUUGUAUUGGAUUCUUAACUAUGGUUAUUAUGCAAGUUCUGAAAUUUAUGUUUAUAAUUUGUUUUUAAAGUUUAUACAUUGGGUUUGGUUGAACUUUCUAUGAUUGUUAGUGUUCAUUAUUUGGCUAUUUGACUGCCAUAAUUUGAGCAAGUUAUUUAGCACUUUACCUCUUUAAAUCAUGAUUAAUCUGGUACCAUUAAUUGUGAUUAUCUAAGGUGUUAUUUCUACAAUGAAAAUUGAGAUUUAAUAUUAGUUCAAUAAGUGCUAAACAUGGGGAGUACACUCACGAGAGUAGAGGUGCACCUAUGGGGUUUUGGUGAUUAAUUUCAUGUAAUUUCACUGAAGAAAUGAACUUGUAGCUAAUUUCAUAACCAUGAGAAUAGGUAUGGAUUAGUUAUAAGUAUAAUUGAUUCACUACGAAAGUAGGUUUCACAUGGUUAAGGAAAUUACACCAUAACUAGCCUAGAUGUAGUAUUCAAUGAUCCAAAUAUAGCACUUGCAUGAGUAGUUAGGGAUACCACAACCUAAGGAGCAUUUAUUUGUUAUUUUGUAUAAUUUCAGUAGGAUAAAUUUGUUAUAAUUCAUUGAUAGUUUAAAUAAUAGAGAAGCUUUAGUAAUACCGGUAAUUGUUCACUCUUCCCUGUGGGAUCGACCCGAUAUAUACCCUAAACUACUAGUUGAUCUGUAUACUUGCAGUGAACGGGUGUAAUUCGGUAUUUUUUAGCUUGCACGUAUGUAAAAUACCCGUCAAGUUUUUGGUGCCGUUGCCGGGGAAGAUUUGGCAAUAUCGGUGUGAAGAGCAACUUUAUUAAUUUAGACAAUUUUUCUUAUUUUUGUUGUUUUUGUUGUAUCUUAUGUGUUUUAUGUCAUUUUUUUUUAGUCAACUUUUAUUUUUUUUUUCUGUUGUAGUUUGUGUCUUGGAAUCUAUCCUUCUUAACUAAUCUUACUUUUGAGAUUGUUUAAAAGCAAUUUUAGGUGAUGAGAAGGGUAGGUCAAUUUGGAGGACAAUGCUUGAGGAAUGGAAGAUUGGCAAUGGAUGGUUACCAAGUGCAAAACUCCUUCAAUAAAGGUAACCAAGAAAUUACCAAAGGUAUGUCUUUUGAAGAUGGUUUGAAGUGCUUAAAGACAAAAUUUGAUGUAAUUAUGUUACAAGUUCAAAUGGACACAAUUAUACAUGAAAUUGAGCAAGGGAGGAAUGUUAAUACUUUUAAUUCUUAUCAUGUGAUUUGUGACUUGUGUGGAGGUUAUCAUGCAACUAAUACAUGUAUGCAAGCACAAAAUGUGGAUUACUAUGAUGAAUUAGAACAUUACAAUCCUUAUUUUGAUCAAUACAGUGCUAAUUGGAGCAAUUCUCUUUCUUAUGGUUGGGAAAAUCAAUGUGCAUAUAGUGAUUAUCCAUAUUUUUAUAAUUACCAAUCUGAAAAUGUCCAAUAUAAAGCAAAACCAUCUUGGGAGUUAGCUAUAGAAAAAUUAGCUAAUGUGACUUCCGACCGUUUUGAUAGGAUUGAGGAAAUGAUAGAUGAAUUGGCUUCUCACUUUGGUAGAAUAAAAGAUCAAUUACAUGUAUUGUGUGAAGUUAUUUCCUCUAAUAAUGUGCAAAAUGAUCCUAGCAUGAAUGGUGGGAAUGUUGUAUGUGAAAAUGGGUUGCAUUUUAAUGAAAAUGAUGAAUCUCAAUUGUGUUUCAAUGAGCAAAUGUCCAUUUCACAUGAUAAUAUCUUUGGAACUAACUUUGAACCUCAAGAGGUGAGUUUUAAUGACUCAUUUUUCACCCCUCUUGAGGAGUGUAUAAAAAGUACAGGUUUUAAAGAUAUUCCUGCCCAAGAUACUUUCGUGGCAUUUCCUUUGGUAAGUUCUCAAGUGGUGCAUAUUCAAGGUAAUAUUUAUGAAACACUUGGAAUAUGUAAGUCACUUUCAUUUCUCACAUCAUUAGAUUAUGUGGCUUUCGCGAUAAAGCCACCUUUUAAUGAUCCACCACGGCCUAAAAUGGUGGAUUAUUCGUUAACUAACCCUCCUUGAAAAAUAAGGUGAAAUAGUCAAGCUAUUGACUUUAAAGAAGCGCUUAUUGGGAGGCAACCCAAUGUUUGUUUAAGUUUAUGUUAUUUUGGGGUGAUUUUAUGUUUAAAGUAUGUGUUUGAGUUAUUUUGUUAUUUUUCAUUUGUAGGUAUUGGAAAUGGAAGCAAAAGUGACCAAAUGAGGUGAAAAAGGCGAAAUUUGAUCGAGGAACUCAACCCCUCGAUUUGAGUAAUUGUUGUUUUUGAUCCGUUAAAAGGGGCUAAAAUGCAUGUUUUUAAUGUUUUACAUGUGUGCACAUUGAUAAAUUUUACAAACAAAUGAUUUAUGAUGCAUUUUGAGUGAUUGGGGAAUUAUUUGUAAAUUUUCAAAAGUUGAAUUUCUGCUAAAAUUCGCAGCAGAAAACGCAUUUCUCAAGAAAACGCGCCUCUGAGUCGCGUGUUCACAGAAUCGCGUUUUCAAUUCUGCACCUGCAGAACAGAAAACGCGCCAUUAAAACGCGACAUUAAGUCGCGUUUUGAAGGAAGUCGCGUUUUGUUGCCUGGAUCAAAGAUGAAAACGCGCCAUUGAAAACGCGACUUCAAGUCGCGUUUUCUCACAGAACCGCGUUUUCAGUACUGCAACUUUUGGGAAGAAACGCGCCUUCAAAACCGCGAGUUAAAGGCGCGUUUCUACUCACGUUUUCUGAGCAUUUUUUUUUUGAAAGAAAAAAUGCAGGUUCCUUGGUUCUCUUUUUCUUCUUUUCCUCAUAUAUUUUCUUGUACCUUGAGUUGCUUAUUAUGUAUUUUUUAUAGGUACAUCACCAAAACAAGGGCUUGAAGUUACGGAUAGCCGUUUUGAUGUCUUAAGCCUUUGUUAUCACUUUGGUUUCUCAUUUUCCAUUCUUAGGUUUAUAUUACUAAUGGUUAUCCAAUGGAACUCGUGAAGUGAUGAAGACCGGCGAACAACAUACCUUGAAGCUUCAUAUUCAAUCACAACAAUAGAGGAGUAUUAUUUUUCUUUAUCUUCAUUUUCCUUUUUACACAUUGAGGACAAUAUGCAUGUUAAGUGUGGGGGGAGAAUUGAGAUUAUAUAUAUUGUAUGUGAUUGACUUAUUAGUUGCAAAUAUUGGACUCGUGUUAAAAUUCAAAAUUUUUCUAACAUCUUGUCCAAAAUUGCAAAUUUGCCCCAAAAAUUUUAAAUUUUAAAUUUCAUCCAAAGGGAUAACAAAGUUCCAUACCAUUAGUAGUUCAAAUUCCUUCUACAUUUGAGAUAAAUAUAUAUGAUUUGGAAACUUCUUUUCUCAUUUAACUUGGAAAUGACUAUUAUGUGAUUAUAAUUUUGCAUUUGUAGGAAAAUAUAUCUUGUGAAGUGGAGAAAAUUAUGCCUAUUUUUUUGCAUAUUUAAUGAAAUUUCUUUUCUUUACUUGAUUUUAUAUAGUUAAGUGAUAAAUAUGGUCAAUAAGUGCAAUACUCUUCUCAUGAUUAUUUUUUUUAAAAUUAUUAUUCUCUUUGCUAUUAAAAAAAAAAAAAGAGAAAGAAAAAAAAACAAAAGAGAAAAGAAAAUAAAUAAAAAUUGUUCUACUCCAAUGAUUCUCGUACCGAGUAACCGGGGGUUGGCAUCUACAAAUGUCAACAUUCGCGUAAAAAGGUACUUGAAUUAAGAGUAUGCAAAGCAACUUGAGUAUGUGAAGUGUUGAGUAACCGGUGAUUUUCAUCUAAAAAUGUUGAUCCUCGCGUAAAAAGAUACUUUCACAACUUAAGUAAUAUUUAGCUAUAUUAUAUAAAUAAAUCCCUCUUUAAGUUAAAUAAGAAGAUGAUCAUGGGUUUAGGAAGCAUAUUAUUGACCAUAUGAGUUACUUACUUGUAAGAUUGGGUAAGGAUGAAAAAUUGAUUUGAAUUUGUUAUAAUGACGGUAUAAUUGGCUCUCCUUUACUUGAUAUUAUGAGUACUUGAAUUUAAUUAAAUAAUUGCAUAAUGGUUAUUUACUUUGUUUUGAGGAAAUGAAGUUGAAAUGCUACAUAUGUUUAUUUUCAAAUUUUGGAUCAUUGUUGGUUUGUAUUUUUUUUAUUGCUUGAGGACAAGUAAUGGUUCAAGUGUGGGGGUAUUUGAUAAGAGUUUAUUUUACGUAUUUUUAGUGUGUUUUAUUAGUUAAUUUUGGUUUGAUUAUUUAGUUUUAUAACUAAAAUAACUAAGGUUUUGGUAAAAAUCUACAUUUUAUGUUAAAUUGGCUAACAUUGCAUUUCUAUUGAUUUUUAUGGGAAAAACUUCAUAUUUUGUAGGUUUAAUGAUUCAAUCAUCAAAUGAAGUGCAUUGAGAAGAUAUUUGGAUGAUUGAAGAUGGAUUAAAGUGGUGAAAUUAAAAUAUGAAGUGUAAAAGGAAGAAAUGCAAUUUGAGGACAAAAAAAUCAAGAAAAGUCAGCUUUGACAACUCAGACACAUUUUCGUAUUUUGACUAUACCAGGAGCUACAAUGAUCGGAUGAAGGUGAUCUUGGUAUCAUUUUGAAGGUAAGAGAUAUAUCUACAUUUGGUAUGAAGACAUCAAAGUCCAAUUCAGCCGUUUUCUUGGUCAAAAGGUCGAAACACAGAAACUUAUCUGGAUGGUCGAAAGCUGAAGCCCAGAAUUGACCAGUCUAUGGUAUUUGGACCAUAUCUCCGUCCGCCGAUCUCCAAAUUAGAUGAUUCUUGAAGCAUUGGAACGCUAAUUCAAAGGGCUACAACCUUUGUGUUUUCCACAAAAGCCAGUUCGGCCUUCAUCAUGGAGAAAAAUGCAGUUGAAGUGAGGUCAAAAGUGAAAACGUGUAUGGCAGCCGAAUUUCUGUAAUUUGCUCAGCCAUUUUUCUCAUCUUCACACUACUUUCCAGCUAGAGUUGGAGAGAAAACGUAGGCUGCACAUGCUUCAGAAGACAUAAGGAAGAGAUAUAGCCAAGGUUCCAAAUCAAAAGCCAUUAUUUUUUACUCCCUUAACAAAUUCAGAUUUGGAGAAUCAUAGCAGAAAUUUUGGACCAGUGGAAAGGCACCUCAUAUCAGUUUUAUAUAGAGAGCAAUCAGAGGGAGAAGAGAUAUACGGGGGGAGAGAACUUGAAGUGCAGAAAUGUAGUUCUUUCAUUUCCUUAGUGUAGGAUAGUGUAGUAAGUGUAGUUAAUCCAUUCUUGUAUAAUAGCUAGAUUAGGAUGAAGAUUGAGAUGAAGAAGGAGGAGUUGAAGCUCAAGUGACAUGGGUUAUCUCUACUCCAAUUCUUUAUCUUUUGUAUUGGAUUCUUAACUAUGGUUAUUAUGCAAGUUCUGAAAUUUAUGUUUAUAAUUUGUUUUUAAAGUUUAUACAUUGGGUUUGGUUGAACUUUCUAUGAUUGUUAGUGUUCAUUAUUUGGCUAUUUGACUGCCAUAAUUUGAGCAAGUUAUUUAGCACUUUAGCUCUUUAAAUCAUGAUUAAUCUGGUACCAUUAAUUGUGAUUAUCUAAGGUGUUAUUUCUACAAUGAAAAUUAAGAUUUAAUAUUAGUUCAAUAAGUGCUAAACAUGGGGAGUACACUCACGAGAGUAGAGGUGCACCUAUGGGGUUUUGGUGAUUAAUUUCAUGUAAUUUCACUGAAGAAAUGAACUUGUAGCUAAUUUCAUAACCAUGAGAAUAGGUAUGGAUUAGUUAUAAGUAUAAUUGAUUCACUACGAAAGUAGGUUUCACAUGGUUAAGGAAAUUACACCAUAACUAGCCUAGAUGUAGUAUUCAAUGAUCCAAAUAUAGCACUUGCAUGAGUAGUUAGGGAUACCACAACCUAAGGAGCAUUUAUUUGUUAUUUUGCAUAAUUUCAGUAGGAUAAAUUUGUUAUAAUUCAUUGAUAGUCUAAAUAAUAGAGAAGCUUUAGUAAUACCGGUAAUUGUUCACUCUUCCCUGUGGGAUCGACCCGAUAUAUACCCUAAACUACUAGUUGAUCUGUAUACUUGCAGUGAACGGGUGUAAUUCGCUAUUUUUUAGCUUGCACGUAUGUAAAAUACCCGUCAAGUUUUUGGUGCCGUUGCCGGGGAAGAUUUGGCAAUAUCGGUGUGAAGAGCAACUUUAUUAAUUUAGACAAUUUUUCUUAUUUUUGUUGUUUUUGUUGUAUCUUAUGUGUUUUAUGUCAUUUUUUUUUAGUCAACUUUUAUUUUUUUUUUCUGUUGUAGUUUGUGUCUUGGAAUCUAUCCUUCUUAACUAAUCUUACUUUUGAGAUUGUUUCAAAGCAAUUUUAGGAGAUGAGAAGGGUAGGUCAAUUUGGAGGACAAUGCUUGAGGAAUGGAAGAUUGGCAAUGGAUGGUUACCAAGUGCAAAACUCCUUCAAUAAAGGUAACCAAGAAAUUACCAAAUGUAAGAGCCCGGUGCAACCCAAUGAGUACAAACAAUUUCACAAUGAUGCACAAAGAUAUAUCAAAUUUAAGCACAAUAAAGAAAACUUAAUUAAAGAGAAAAGAUAAGAAAUGCAAACCAAAUAUCAAUCCAAUAGCCUCUUCAAUUGAUGGCGAUGCUAACCAAGAUGUACAAGUGAAGGCUCACUCCUUCCUCACCCCAAACACACUUUGGUUGAGCCAAGGAGUUUUACAACUAUUCUAGUUAACCCUCAACAACCUACACUUGAAAGAUCACUCACCCAAUUAAGAACUAUUUUAUACAAAUGAGGCAACGUUCACCAAGGCUUUACCACUUCAAAUGAUAGGUUCACCUUCACCAAGGUUUUUCUCCUCCUAGAGAGUAACCUUCACUUGAGCAACCUCACAACCCAACUUUCCCAACCCCUUAUACAACCAACAAGGAAUCUUUCUACUCAAAAAUCUCACUUGUAAGCUUGUAUUUUGUGUUGGCAAAAGUCCCUUGUCUUCUUGUGCUUUGGGGUUUUUAUAGAAGGUGAGAAAUGGCACCAAAAGGCUCUCCAACGGUCAAAUAUUAAAUGCUGUCAAAACUAGCCGUUGGCCUGUCGGACGUUCGAACCACCUGUCGAACGUCCGAACCCUGCGUCCAAACCACCUGUCGGACGUCCCAACCCUGCGUCCGAACGUCUUCAGAGAGUCAUCAAAUCUUUGCGAAAUUUCUCGGACGUCCGAUGCGAUCGAUGUGCGUCCGACAGAGUUUCCUUCUUGACGUUCUUCAUCCUUUCGGACGUCCGAUAGCUUCCUUUCGGACGUCCCACAUGAGUGCCCUGUUUUUGCUUAUUCUUUUGUGCCACAAGAAUCUGUUCUAACAAAUUGCUCACAUAAAAACAUUAGCCCAAAUCUACAUUUUGGUUUGUUAAUCAUCAAAACCAAGGAUUGAUCGACCAAGGUCAACAAUCUCCCCCUUUUUUUAUGAUGACAAACAAUCGGAAUUUGGCAUGGUUUAAGGCGUUGGAAAACACAUUCAUAGAGCUAUAAUUUCACAGAAGAAAUCAUUCUGAAAUUCGGCACACAACUAGCUCGAAUUCGAGUCACAAGUUGCAGCCUCAGCAUUUUGUUCUUUUAAAACAGAGAAACAUAACAACCGACUUAAAAUAGUUGGUUUGGCUCACAUUCAUGGAACCAGAAUGUGUAUUUUAUAUCGUCGGAAAGGUUGGAAUGUCUAGUUUCAAAUGCCGCUGACGGCACCGCUGACGGCACUCGAUUUCAACUCGGAGUUCAAAAUUAUGGCCGAAAUACGAAAGCUGGUCAGAGCAUUUCGGAAAUAGUUCCAGAUUUACUAGCUUUGUUAAAUCGAUUUAUUUGACGAACCAAACCUCAAUAUUUUUCAAUGAAACUUUGUACACCAUAUAUUCAACAUAUCAACAUGAUAUACAAGUCAUGAAACCCUCAAAAUUUUGCAAAAAGGGUUGCGAUUAAAACAGGGCAAAUCUGAACAUUUUUGAACUAUGCAUCUCUUGGAGUCUAGACUAGCUAGGUAUCAUUAAUCUACCUAUUUAAACACUAAACUAGCAUUAUAUCCAUCAUCAAUCCAAGGGUGGGAGUUCAUAGAGCCCACCAUCAAAAUUUUCCGACAUGAAACAAAACAAAUAGCAUGUGAUUUUGGCAAAUAAUUCCACCACAAUAAAUCUGUCCUUGGCUAAACAGAAUUUCCAGCAGCUAAUUGGUCAUAAUCCAACUUUUUACUCGGCUAAAACAUGAUAUUAAGUACUCAAUUUUGGCAUGCAAUUUCUUAACUAGCCAAUUAACAUUUCCAGUUCAAAAUUAGAUUCAAACAACAGUUUUACUCAUCUAAAACAAAUCCAGAAAUUCUGUUUAGCUUGGCCUCAGUCGAACAUACGUGUAGCAGAUUUCUAAUUCAUUUUAUUUCUCUGAUUUAAACCCAUUAAUUAGCUACAUGCAAAGAUCAAUUAUCAUGUUAUUAACUAGUUAAUCAUGGUUACAAACUCAAAACAACAAAAUUGAAUCAAAUGAAGCUGUAAAAUACAGGACAAGCUCUCGGCUGCAGCAAUUCAUAACAACAGAAUUUCUUAUUUUUCUUGAUUCAUCAUCCGGCUGCAUAGAGUUAACAUGCAUGGUCUUAAUCUUCAAGUUUUCACUCAGCUAAUGACACUUAGGUGUUCAGAUUGCCACGGAAAACAAAAAUGGAGCUGCAUUAUCACCUCAGUUUCUCGGCAGCAACAUUUCAUCAAAACAGAAUUUUUCUGGUGUCUUGGUUUCAUCAACCGACUUCACAAGCAACACAUGCAGCUCUGAUAUGGCUUCAUCUACUAAAAGUUAACUUAAUAUAGCCCAGAAAUUACCUCAGAAACAACUUAGCUCACGCACAAGAAAUCUGAAAAGAAAAAUUCUGUUCUCCCUCUCGACUCUCGGCUCGCUUGUGGCUGCAGGUUGGUUGCUGCUGUGAUGGUGUUGGGUUCUGAGGUUGUUUUGUAGUUGGUUGAGGUUGCAGCAAGGGAUGAAGCUCACGUAGCCUCCCUCAUUUCUCCUCUUUAGUUUACGGACAGAACGGAAGUUGCAGCUCGCGCGAUUUCCUUUCUUUUCUUUCUUUCCUCUCGGCUUGCAGAGUGCAGCCCGGCCUCUCACUCUCUCUCAGUCAAUAUUCACGAGGUGGAGGCUGGAGAGGAAAUGUUUGUGGUUGUGGUCUGGAUGAGUUUGUGCAGAGAAAAUGGGAAUGGUGGUUUGUGAUAUAGGAAUGAGGUAGAAAUGUUGCCGCGGUUUUGGAGAAGGAAGAAAGAAUGGUUUACGGUUUUGGAGUGUAUGAAAUGGUUGCAUAUAGAAUUGGUGAAAAUGUGAUUGGUCGAUUGGGGCGGUGAUUGAAAUGCUAUCAGAGGGAUUGUUUGGUUUUGCAUGGAAACGUUGGGGUUGUAAGGGCAUUUUAGUCUUUUCACUCUGCUUCCUAACCUCUACUUAAAUUCUCCAUUCUAACUUAGCUCCAAAAUUAUCCCAAGUGUGAUUUGAACGCCUAAUUAUACACUAGUAUACUUAAACCAUUUUUAUCGAAUAUUUAUCGAUCACAAUUUAAUAUUAAGGUUCCUAGUAAUUCCUAACAUUAUUACCUAAAUAUUUAAACUACAAAAAUCAAGUUUGACCUUAAUAUAUAAAUUUAACAUUCUUAAUAUUCGUUUAUCCUUUUAUAUCAAAACUUAUUAACUUAAUCAUUAUUAACGCUUAAGAUUAGCUAUCGGAAUUCAAAGAAAUUUAAUUGUUAAAUCAAUGAAAUAAUUUACCUUCGAAAUAUGAAUUUAAUGUAACAAAACUAGGAAAUUUAACCACUUAUUCGUUAUAUGUAAUUUCUUGAAUCGAUUAUUUACUCCAAUCGCGUAUUUACUAUUUUCACUUAACGAACUUACAGAAAUGAAAUUUCGAAACGAAUUGCUUUAAAAAUAUAACUAAACUAUGGAUACGUUUAAUUAAACCGAAAAAGCUUAGAAAAUAAUACUCAGAGAAAUCGGGUGAGUAAAUACUUAUUUUAGCCAGUAAAAUAAAUAAAAUAAACAAAAUUUUCGGGUCCUCACAACCUACCCUCCUUAAAGAGAAUUUCGUCCUCGAAAUUCAUACCUUCUGAAAUCUUGGAUAACCCUGAACCAUGUGGUGUGAUCAUGUCAUAUGUUCGUUCAGACGCCACUGGUCGGUUCCUCCUUCCAUUGACUUGUCGAGGGACAGUUCCAUUUCCCUGUUGAGCAGUGGUUUCUCGUAGAUACCUCCUUAGACAGUCAUGAACUUUAUGGCUAGUACUCCACAUCCCAUACACUUUCGUCCCUUUAGCCAACAGUUUUCUUCAAUGUGAUUCGUCCUUCCACAAUAUCCACAAAUUGGAUGAGGUGUUGUGACCUGACUUGUUUGCGAGGUUUUCUUUGAUCGUGUCUGUCCUACUGAAGUCUCUCGCGACAUAAUUCCUUUUGGUUCCUUUAUCCUGAGUGGUGCAGGAAGUAACAGUCCUACCCCAUCCACUUCUUUUCUAACUUUGGGUAGUGGUCCAUUUUCUCCUAGUGUACUGUCAGAUGCGUCUCUUUUCCUUGCUUGAAAAGCUCUCAGUUGAGAUUUUGUGAUUUCUACCCUUUGCGCUUUUUCGAGAGCGUCACUAAAUGUUUCAACCUGUGCUGCGGCAAGGGCAUCUUGGAUUUCUAAAUCUAAUCCUUGGAUAAACCGUCUUAUUCUCUUCCUUUCAGUAGCCACCAAUUCUGGAGCAUAUGUAGAUAACUUCGUAAAGCGUGUUUUAUACUCAGAUACAAUUAAAGUUCCUUGACGAAGCUUUAUGAAAUCAUCUUCUCUCUUUUCUUGGACUAGUGGUGGAAGAAAUUUUCCAUUAAAUUCUAGGACAAAGUUCAUCCAAGUUUUCGGAGUUUGUUCCCUUUCCCACUUAUUUCUUAUAACAUUUCACCGUGCUCGAGCCGGCCCUUCAAGUUGGAACACAGCAAAAUUUACUUCUCUCUCCUCGGAAUAAUCUAGUGCAUCAAAUAUAUUUCUUAUUUUUCUAAUCAAUUCUCAGCCACCUCUGGAUCAGGUCCUCCAGCAAACUUAGGCGGGAAGAAUUUCUGAAACCGCUCUAAAGCUCGAUCCUCCCCUAUUUCUUGGUUUCCCUGUCCAACACCUUGACCUUGUUGAGCUACUAAGAGCUCUAGUAUAUCCGUCAUGCGGUUUAGAACUUGUCCCAUUUGGUCAUUUCCUCUCCCAGCACUGGGCUCGGCAUUUUGGUCAAUAUCAGAUCCAUUAUCUACUCUUUCAUUUCGGGGUUGUCUAGAUUGACGUCCCUUUCGUCGUCUCCCAGCUUCCAUUCUCACAACUAAUCUAUACAAAUAUGUGCAAAUGGCUCACUAAACUAAAAAUUAUCUAUGCACACGUAUAUUUAACAAUUUUCAAAAUGAGCAAUAAAACUAUAUCCACAGAUGACAUUUUCACAAAUAGCACAUUAACAGUUAACAUAGAAUUUAAACUAGUCUCAAUUAGGUUGCAUACCAUUACAAAAUUAGAGCUAAUCAAGUCAUAAUACAAGUUGAAAUCAAAGGUCAUUUAUCCAAAGUUUAAAAAUCUUUAGCAAGCCAGCCAAUAACUAAAGUGCAUUCAUCUCCAAGAAUAACCAACCUUGGAAUUUCUAGUUAAAGCCUCAAGUACCAUUUUCAAACUCAGGGAAUAUGUACAACUGGCUCACUUAAGCGUCAAGUGGGAACCAAGUCAAUUCGCACUAGGACUGGCCAUCUCCAGAUGCAAAUCAACUCAAUCGCCACCAUUCCUCAAAGAAAAUUUCACAAAAUGUCUCAAUCAAGCAAUCGAUCUAAGAUUCACAUUCAAUUUCAUACAUAUACUUACGAAGAUUACAAGCCUAGAGGAUACCUCGAAUCUUACAAUUUACCCAGUCAAAUUCGAUCUUAUAGAUAUCAGCUAGUACCAAUAUUCAAGAAACUCAACUAUUACUUUUCAAAUCAAUUCUCACACAAUUCUCUUCAGUUUCUUACAAUAUAAGAAACCCUAGUGUGUAAACCCACUUAAAAACAAACACUUCAAUAUUACUCAAUCAAUCAUCAAGUAUUAAGAUCACAUUCCACUUACUAAACAAUCAAACUCCACAGUCCGGCAUCUUAUGCUUAAAGCCUAAGAUACACUACAAAGAUCUAGAGUCUAAGCUCUGAUACCACCUGUGACAGUUCUCAGGGUCACAUCACGGGGUACCUAUCAGCUUGCCAUCCGCACGCGGGCAUCCCCUACGGAGAGUUUCGCUUCGUGACUCUUCACGAACGAAAGGCUCGGGGCUUUUCCAGACGAAGGACUUAAAGUCCCAACUGUCGGCAUAUGGCUCUGAUACCACCUGUGACGAUCCCACUUUCCCCUAAGGCGAACCAGAGGGUUGGCGGGUCGUCUGCCUAGCUCUCGCCAGGACUCACGCAAGCAAGCUAGCAAAAAUCCUUCCGAAGUAUAACCUAAUCUAUUACAACAUCGUUUCCCUCCAAAUAAGCCGGUUUCUAGAAUCACAUUAACUUCAGAGAUAACAGUGCCUUAAGAUAGCCAACGUCGAUUCUUAAAAUACCUUCCCGAAUACAACCCAAGAAACAAAACAUCAAUUCAAAUACAUCCUUACAAGCCAAGUAACAAAUUCAUACAAGCCACAUACAAAUCCAGGGUUUACACUUUUCCAGCUUCAAGUGGCAACCUAAGGCAAAACUACAAUGUUUAACUCGAAUUACAUUCAUGAAAUAAACAAUCUAGUACUACUUCGAGCACCUUUGGUCUCAAAUCCUGUAAAAGAAAAUCACAACGUGGAAUGAGCUACACAGCCCAGUGAGGUUCCAAGACACUCUAACAGUUCAAACAAAUCAAGAAAGUUGUGCAUGUCAUAUGCAUGGUGCGAGGUUACACAAUGGCAGGUUAUCAUGAGAUGAUAAUCAUUACUCGGGUAAUUGCUACUUUGAAAACACAUGUAGUAGUAGUACUUUUGCUGGUAACUUUACUAUGGUACAACUCAUAAAUUAUCUAAAAUCACUAACGUAUUUUUGGAAUGAAUGACCAUAUAAAUAUAUUUUCAUGAAUUUUUAGUCAAACAAAUAGUGGCUCGUCUGACUAGAAGAACAUUACAAGGAUUGCUUCAUCUCAGAGAUUAAUGCUCAUGAGGAGUCUUACCCGAGAAAUGUCAACUAGGAGAGCAAUAACAUUAUUAAUAGCAAAGCAAGCACAAAAGGAUACAGUACUCGGUCCACUUCCCGUCCUUAUAACUCCGAUCGGUAACUCUUUCGAUUGACUGGCCAUCACCUUAUCCCUCCAGUGGUAGUACUCGAGUAUACCGAAACGGUUGUCCAGGGUUCCAACCUACCCGACCGAGCCCAGUCCUGGCUCGAGUAGGUCAGUAACCGAGGCAGGCCCAAGUUCAGCUUAUAGCUUACAACAUGCACAGGUAACCAAGUAAUUCGACAAAAAGUAAAAUUCAUCAUUUGAAUAGGUCGAGUGAGGUAAAGUACACACGCCUAACAAUGAUGGACAACUUCAUAUAACGUGUGAUUCAUGAUAAUCAAGUAAUCAAGUGGAUACUUAGCACGUAAGCACGUAAGCAAUACAAGUUGAUUUCAUGGGAGCAUGUAAUUCACGGAUAUCGAAUAAUCAUAUAGAUUAGAAAUCAUGUGAGCAAAUAGUCAGGUAAUCAGGUAGUCAUGUGGUUGGUAAACGGUUCACAGUUAACGGUUAACGGUUGACGGUUGAGUAAUGACGGUUAUUUGGCAGGCAUUUGCCAUAUUAAUAGGCCAUCAUUGGCCGUUAUCCCAUUUUUACCAUGUGAGAGUCGAGGAGAUUCACUCCAACGACGUAUGCAACCAUAGCAUACCAAGUCAUGUUAUUCGAGCAUUUUCAAGCAUGGGUAUGGUAAAUAUUUAACACAUAGUACUUAACACUUAGAAAUCAUGAAAUGAGCAUGUCCUAGACUUAUUCCAUUACGCAUUCCUAUAUGGAACACUCACCUAGUCAAACAAGCGCAAUAGGUCUCAAACAAGCGUUUUAGGCGUCCGCUCCGAGUUCCUCUUGGAGAUCUCCUCGAUUGCCUGAGCAAACAAUAAUUCAAGUACUACUCAAUAUCGCUACGAAUUCUCUAGUUUUCGAUGAAGAUUGUACGCUAGUGCAAUCUAAGAAUUAACGCGGAGACGAGCCUAAAUUCGUGUAACUCGAGCUUCAAAAGUGGGGUUUUAAAACACAAGACAAAUUUGAUUUCCAUCUUUGGAUUCAAAUGUAAAACAAUCAAAUGAUAUUGAAAGAAAUGAAGAGUUCGAAACCCCUUUGUUUCCUUUAAGUUAGAAAAUUCCAGAUUUAACAAGUAAUCUUUGAAAAAUCAUAUCUUACUCUCUACAAGCCCAAAAUUGGAAAACUUGGUACUAUUGGAAACUCUUUGAAAGUACUAAAAGUUCCUAGAAUACACUUUUCCAUGAUUCUAAAUGGAAGAUAGUAAAAAAUGGGCUCAAAGUUACUUUUUGGUUCAUAAGGCAGAUUUAAGUUGGUUUUUGGCCAACUUUGGAAUUUCGGCAAAAUUCACUUGUUUGGAACUAGCUUUUGAAAUUUUUGAACUCUAUUAGUGUUGUAAUCCAAGAGUAUAACAAAACAAACGGAAUGAGAAACGGGUUUUGAGCACCAAGAUACGGUAGCUCAAAUUUACUAAAAUUCCCUUGUGAAACAUGGGUUUUUCAAAUCUCGAGUCAUGAACUUUGGUAAUUUAUUUGACCCAUGAAACGGCCUCAGAAUAAUACCAUAAUUAGCAGUAUAAUACUACCAUAUAAGGGUUGUUCCUCUACCAAAUUUCAUGGAAAAAUAACUUCGGAAAGGUGGUCAAUCAAACACCUAAAAUUUCGCAAAUACUAAGACAAAACUGCCUUGAACCUUUUGUUUUUCCAUUUCAGACAUUUGGUCAAAGAAAGAUUCCUCCAAACCUGGUUCAUUUGUUUAGGUAAAACUUAAAGAACGUUCAUGGUACAUUUGGUAAGUGUUUAGCAUCAAAAUAUUCAGUUAGCAAGUCUUUGCCAAACCUUGCAUCAAAUCUGUCUAAAAAUCAGGGUUUUCAAGGGCAGAGCAGGUUUCAUAUUUUGAUCACAGAUCUCUCAAAUUAACUCAUAAUUUGGCAUGGUUUAAGGCGUUGGAAAACACAUUCAUAGAGCUAUAAUUUCACAGAAGAAAUCAUUCUGAAAUUCGGCACACAACUAGCUCGAAUUGAGUCACAAAUUGCAGCCUCAGCAUUUUGUUCUUGUAAAACAGAGAAACAGAACAGCCGACUUAAAAUAGUUGGUUUGGCUCACAUUCAUGGACCGAGAAUGUGAAUUUUAUAUCGUCGGAAAGGUUGGAAUGUCUAGUUUCAAAUGCCGCUGACGGCACUCGAUUUCAACAUCGGAGUUCAAAAUUAUGGCCGAAAUACGAAAGCUGGUCAGAGCAUUUCGAAAAUAGUUCCAGAUUUACUAGCUUUGUUAAUUGAUUUAUUUGACCAACCAAACCUCAAUAUUUUUCAAUCAAACUUUGUACCAUAUAUUCAACAUAUCAACAUGAUAUACAAGUCAUGAAACCCUCGAAAUUUUGCAAAAAGGGUUGCGAUUAAAACAGGGCAAAUCUGAACAUUUUUGAACUAUGCAUCUCUUGGAGUCUAGACUAGCUAGGUAUCAUUAAUCUACCUAUUUAAACACUAAACUAGCAUUAUAUCCAUCAUCAAUCCAAGGGUGGGAGUUCAUAGAGCCUACCAUCAAAAUUUUCCGACAUGAAACAAAACAAAUAGCAUGUGAUUUUGGCAAAUAAUUCCACCACAAUAAAUCUGUCCUUGGCUAAACAGAAUUUCCAGCAGCUAAUUGGUCAUAAUCCAACUUUUUACUCGGCUAAAACAUGAUAUUAAGUACUCAAUUUUGGCAUGCAAUUUCUUAACUAGCCAAUUAACAUUUCCAGUUCAAAAUUAGAUUCAAACAACAGUUUUACUCAUCUAAAACAAAUCCAGAAAUUCUGUUUAGCUUGGCCUCAGUCGAACAUACGUGUAGCAGAUUUCUAAUUCAUUUUAUUUCUCUGAUUUAAACCCAUUAAUUAGCUACAUGCAAAGAUCAAUUAUCAUGUUAUUAACUAGUUAAUCAUGGUUACAAACUCAAAACAACAAAAUUGAAUCAAAUGAAGCUGUAAAAUACAGGACAAGCUCUCGGCUGCAGCAAUUCAUAACAACAGAAUUUCUUAUGUUUCUUGAUUCAUCAUCCGGCUGCAUAGAGUUAACAUGCAUGGUCUUAAUCUUCAAGUUUUCACUCAGCUAAUGACACUUAGGUGUUCAGAUUGCCACGGAAAACAAAAAUGGAGCUGCAUUAUCACCUCAGUUUCUCGGCAGCAACAUUUCAUCAAAACAGAAUUUUUCUGGUGUCCUGGUUUCAUCAACCGACUUCACAAGCAACACAUGCAGCUCUGAUAUGGCUUCAUCUACUAAAAGUUAACUUAAUAUAGCCCAGAAAUUACCUCAGAAACAACUUAGCUCACGCACAAGAAAUCUGAAAAGAAAAAUUAUGUUCUCCCUCUCGGCUCUCGGCUCGCUUGUGGCUGCAGGUUGGUUGCUGCUGUGAUGGUGUUGGGUUCUGAGGUUGUUUUGUAGUUGGUUGAGGUUGCAGCAAGGGAUGAAGCUCACGUAGCCUCCCUCCUUUCUCCUCUUUAGUUUACGGACAGAACGGACAGGUUGCAGCUCGCGCGAUUUCCUUUCGUUUCUUUCCUUUCCUCUCGGCUUGCAGAGUGCAGCCCGGCCUCUCACUCUCUCUCAGUCAAUAUUCACGAGGUGGAGGCUGGAGAGGAAAUGUUUGUGGUUGUGGUCUGGAUGAGUUUGUGCAGAGAAAAUGGGAAUGGUGGUUUGUGAUAUAGGAAUGAGGUAGAAAUAUGGUGCCGCGGUUUUGGAGAAGGAAGAAAGAAUGGUUUACGGUUUUGGAGUGUAUGAAAUGGUUGCGUAUAGAAUUGGUGAAAAUGUGAUUGGUCGAUUGGGGCGGUGAUUGAAAUGCUAUCAGAGGGAUUGUUUGGUUUUGCAUGGAAACGUUGGGGUUGUAAGGGCAUUUUAGUCUUUUCACUCUGCUUCCUAACCUCUACUUAAAUUCUCCAUUCUAACUUAGCUCCAUAAAUUAUCCCAAGUGUGAUUUGAACGCCUAAUUAUACACUAGUAUACUUAAACCAUUUUUAUCGAAUAUUUAUCGAUCACAAUUUAAUAUUAAGGUUCCUAGUAAUUCCUAACAUUAUUACCUAAAUAUUUAAACUAUAAAAAUCAAGUUUGACCUUAAUAUAUAAAUUUAACAUUCUUAAUAUUCGUUUAUCCUUUUAUAUCAAAACUUAUUAACUUAAUCAUUAUUAACGCUUAAGAUUAGCUAUCGGAAUUCAAAGAAAUUUAAUUGUUAAAUCAAUGAAAUAAUUUACCUUCGAAAUAUGAAUUUAAUGUAACAAAACUAGGAAAUUUAACCAUUUAUUCGUUAUAUGUAAUUUCUUGAAUCGAUUAUUUACUCCAAUAGCGUAUUUACUAUUUUCACUUAACGAGCUUACAGAAAUUAAAUUUCGAAACGAAUUGCUUUAAAAAUAUAACUAAACUAUGGAUACGUUUAAUUAAACCUAAAAAGCUUAGAAAAUAAUAAUCAGAGAAAUUGGGUGAGUAAAUACUUAUUUUAGCCAGUAAAAUAAAUAAAAUAAGCAAAAUUUUCGGGUCCUUACACUAUCUAAACCCAUGAUCAUCUUCUUAUUUAACUUAAAGAGGGAUUCAUUCAUAUCACAUAUAGCUAAAUAUUACUCAAGUUGUGAAAGUGUCUUUUGACGCGAAGAUCGACAUUUUUAGAUGAAGAUCUCAGGUUACUCAAUAUUUCACAUACUCAAGUUGCUUUGCAUACUCUUAAUUCGAGCACCGUUUUGCGCGAAAGUUGACAUUUGUAAAUGAAGACUCCCGGUUACUAAGUACAAGAACCAUUGGAGUAGAAUAACUCUUAUUCAUUUUUUUCCUUUUUUUCUUUUUUUUCUUUUUUUUUCUUUUUUUGUUUAAAGUAAAGAUAAUAUUUAGUCCCUCAAAAGAAUAAUGAUAAGAAGAGUAUUACACUUAUUGACCAUAUUUAUCACUCAACUUAUAAAAUCAAGUAAAGAGAAGAAAUUUCACUAAACUUGCAAAAUGUUGGCAUAAUUUUCUCUACUUUACAAGAUAUACUUUCUUAUAAAUGUACAAAUUAUCAUCAUAUAAUAGUCAUUUCCAAGUUAAUAAGAAAAGAUGUUUUCAAGCCACAUACAUUAAGCUCAAAAGUAGAAGGAAUUUGAAUUACUAAUGCUGUGAAACUUGUUAGCCCUUGGAUAAAAUUGAAAAAAAUUUGAAACUUUUUGGGGCAAAUUUGCAAAUUUGGACAAGAUUUUGAAAAAAUUUUGACUGAGUUUCCCCUUAAAUUUGGACGAAACUCCCUGCCAGCAACCUAAGAUUAACAACAAUUAAGUGUAAUCAAAUUCCAAACAUCAAGUCCAUGCAAUAAACACAAAAAUACUAUCAAGUACCAUACAUUUCCUCCCCCACACUUAAAAUACACAUUGUCCUCAAUGUGUAGGGAAAGAAAAAUAACAAAAGAUAGAAAGAAAUACUUCCCAGUGCAAUGGCUAAGAUCCAGAUCAACCAUGAAUCACGAACCUUCGCCAAAACACAAAUAUCUACUAAGACUGUCCAAAAGGUGAAAUUGAAAACAGAAAAGGGUCAAGUUAAACAUACUACAAACAAAAGAUUAAACACGACAAACAAAUCUGGAAGCAACAAAAAUAGCCAUGCUAAAGGUGCAGCUUCAAUCAUUAUCUUCAUCUUCAUCGCUGUCAUGAGGUGAAGGAAUGCCUAAAUGAUACUUGAUCCUCUCCAAGCGAGUAUCCAUUCAUCCCAAUUGAUACUCGAUGUCAUCCAAGUGAGUAAAGAGCCACUGCCAAUUCGAUUGCGGUGGUGGAGGAGAAGAUGCAGUAGUAGAAGAUCCGACUCCCUCUUGGCCAUGUCGUGCCUUUUGUCGCCUUUCACGAGCAGGUUGAGGAAUGUUAUCCGUACCAAUACCCAAACAAUUGAUACCCAAACGAUAACUCGGUUCUAGGCUUAACAAAAUCCCGAGUUACACCCUGCAAGUUAACAUAGAAAUGCUCGAAUACCAAAGAGAGCAGACGAGGAAAUGCCAAUUUGAACGAAGUAGUCCGCCGCCUCUCCCUAGAGCUUAUGUGGUUAAUGAAAAUGUUUGGAAAUGGAAUUCAAGCGUAGGAGGACUCCCGAUUAUGAAACAUAUGAUCCAAAAAAUAGAUAUCACUUUUUCGGACCUCCGUAAGACCCGUCUUCUUGGGUAUGACGUUGUGUGCCAUCAUAUAGAUAAUGAGACGAUGACAAUGUUCAAAGAUGCUUGCCAUCAUUGUCUCCUUCCAUGAAGACCUAAAAGGUUGGUACUCAAAACCAACCCUAGUUAUGGCGUGCGAUGGAUCCCACUGCCUAUUUAGUGCGACAAAACCCUUCUUUAGGUUGACUGCCCGACCUUGGUUGGUACAACCCAAAAUGGUAGCUAAAUGCUCCCGUGACAAAACAAUACGGGUCCCACGCACCCAUGACUCCACCAUCUCGCCACUGUGACGUGCUUUGGAAUCAAUGUUGGCGUAGAACUCACGCACAAAGUCAGGGUAGUAGUGAGUCGGCAAUGUGAGAAUCGGCGCCCAACCUAGUUGGUUAAACGCUUCCGAGAUGUGAUAAACCACUUCAAUUUUUGGACUCACAUGCAUCUCAAAAAGAAACUCCAAAUUAGCGUGCGUCUCGUGCCACUCUUGAUGUCUAAGAUUGAUGAACUUGGCACUAUUAAAGAUGGCAGUUUUGGCACUACGAGAAGUGCCCUCCCCUUGUCGUCGCUGCACCGAUUGAGGUGAAGGUGACCUCUCUUCUUGACUUUCUUCAAUAUCCUCACUCACCUCCAUUUCAUCGCUAGUAAAGGAUGAAUAGACAACUUGCUUUCCUCUUCCAUAGUACCUAAGAAAAAUGACUCAAUUCCAUAUGUACUAAGACAUAUUUCAUAACUUGGACAAUAAGUAACCUCAAUUGGCUCAAAUAACCACAAAUACAUGCCUCCAUGUCAUAAGAAAUCAAAUAAACAUACUUAAAUGACUACUAUUAUGACAUAUGAGAAAUGACAUAGUCAAAAUGCCAAAAAUUGCCAAAAUCACCAAUUUAUCAAAAUCGGCAACAAAUAUAUCCAAAUCAGUGAAAUUAGCACUAAUCAUGAUUAUGGCAGUCGAACUUUAGUAACAAUAAUGGACAUUUAGCUAUAAACAUGGUUAAGCAAAAGUUAUCCUAAUAACUCACAAAAUUCAUCAAAAUUACUCACUAUACACAAUGUACAUACCAAACCAUCAUCACUCAACCCUUUGCAUCCAUAAUCUGUAAACACAAAUGGCUCAACAACAUUCCAAGCUAACUUUCCAAUUUUAGCCAAAUAUAGCAAUUUAAAAUUUUAAAGAACUAUUAAUCCAUCAAAUUGCUACAUUUGAACAUGUAAACAUGCUUAAACAACCUUAAUAUGCAUAAUGGAAGUCAAAAACAUCAAUAGAAAUCAUCAAAAAUUUGAAAUUAAAAAAUGUUAGAAAGUUCAAAAAAUUGAAAACUAUCAACUUUUAAAAUAUGAAGAUUUGAUGAAGAAACUUACUUGAAUCACGUAGAAGGAGGUUUGGUGAUGCUAAUGAUGCAAAAAUCCCUAUGAAACACCCUCCGAUUGACCCUCAAUUGCUUGGAAAAAUGUUGAGAAACCCUAGCCUUCAAUCUCCUUACAACUGAUUUUAAGUUAUUUAUGUUGGAUUUUAAUCGGUUAAAAAGAUGUUAUGAAGGCUAGAUGAUGAUGGGUAGAUGUUUUCUAGCAAGAAAAUGUAGUAAAAAUGGAAUUUUGUGAAGGUGUGAGUAUGGAGAGAAGAGAAAACACGGCUAGAGAAGAUGAAGGAAGAAGAAUGAAACUAAAAAGGGAAAGUCGUGUUUACUGGUUUUGUACAAAGGAAGAAAAACGCGGCUUCACAAAACACACCUUCAACUCGCGUUUUGCUUAAGUCGCGUUUUCUAGUGAAAUUUUACACGCGACUUCAAGAAAACGUGGUUUAAUGUUACGUUUCCUAAUUGCGUAUUCUUCUUUAUCUUUGCGGAACUGAAAAUGUGCCUUCUUGAACGCCACUUAAAGUAGCGUAUUCAUGUCGCGUUUUAUACAGAAAUAAAAACGCAAUUGUAAGUCGCAUUUUACUACAAUGUGUGUUUUCUUCUACGAAAUUUGCAAAAAUGCUAACUUAAAAAAAUUACACAUAGUAUCCCAAUUGCUCAAAAUGCAUUCUAAAUUAUUUUUUUGCCAAAUUUAUCAUCGCAUACACAUGUAAAAUGAUCAAAACAUGCAUUUUAUCCCUUUUAACGGAUCAAAUACAUCCUUAACGCAAGUCGAGGGGUUGAGUUCCUUGAUCAAACUUCGCCUUUUCCACCUCAAAUGGUCAUCUUUGCUUCUGUUUGCCGAACCUAUAACACAAAAAUAACAAACUAACUUAAUUGCAUGCAUUAAAUAUAAAAUCAUACCAAAUUAACAUAAAUAACUUAAACAUUAGGCUGCCUCCCAACUAGCGCUUUUGUUUAUAGUCGUUGGAUCGACUUAAAAGGUUUGGGUUAUUAAGUUGAAGAAGAGUCACCCAAAGGACAUAUGAGUCCUUUGGGAAUGAUUUCCCCCCGCCCAGUAGAGUUUUAAUCGUUGUUCGUUGAUCUUGAAUCGUUCGUUUCUUGCAUUAACCACUUCAACGGCCCCAUAUGGAAACACUUGAGUAAUUUCAAAUGGUCCAGACCACCUUGAUUUGAGUUUUCCAAGAAACAACCUAAGGCGCGAAUUGUAUAAGAGAACCAUUUUCCCCAUCUCAAAUUGUUUGGGUAUAAGAUGAUUAUCAUGCCAAUAUUUCACUUUAUCUUUAUAGAUCUUGGCAUUCUCAUAAGCAUGUAGCCGAUGUUCCUCGAGUUUGCUCAACUCAAGUAGUCUCCUCCCACAUACAAGACGAAAAUCCAUUGUAAUUGAUUUGAUAGCUUAAUAUGCCUUAUGUUCAAUUUUUACUGGUAAAUGACAAGUUUUUCCAUAUACUAAUUGAUACGGUGACAUCCCCAAAGGUGUCUUAAAUGCCGUUCAAUACGCUCACAAUGCAUCGUCGAGUCUUCUUACCCAAUCUUUUCUCGAGUUGUUCACCGUUUUCUCCAAGAUGAGCUUGAUCUCUCGAUUGGCCAACUCCGCUUGUCCAUUCGCUUGUGGAUGAUAUGGUAGUGAUGUCUUAUGCCUACAACCAUAUUUAAGCAACAAAGAAUCAAGUUGUUUGUUAUAAAAGUGUUUUCCUUCAUCACUUACUAUGGUCCUAGGAAUACCAAAUCUACUAAAAAUGUUCUUUUUGAGAAACCAAAAUACUAUCUUAGUAUCAUUCGUAGGUGAGGCAAUUGCCUCCACCCAUUUAGAAACAUAGUCCACUUGUGACGGCCCCAUUCUCCCUAAGGCGAACCAGAGGGUUGGCGGGUCGCCUGCCCAGCUCUCGCCAGGACUCACACAAGCAAACCGACCAAUUAUCCACGUAUAACUUAAACCAAAACACAAUUCGCCAUCCGAACAUGCCAACCUUUAAGCGACUUGAAUACUAAAACACAUUAACUUCAGAGAUAACCUUACCAUUGAACAUCCACAUGUUCACUCCUCUAAAUACAUCUGUGACCAGAUCACCACAUAAUCUCAAAUAUACAAUACAAACCACACAGUAAGUUCAUAAAGCUCAGAUAAAAUUCAUACAAGCCAAAUCUUAGGGUUUGCACUUUUCCUGCUUCAAGUGGCAACCCAAAACGAAGAUACAAGUAUGAUUCGAAAUAACAUUUACAAAACGAUAAGAUAGACUUCAAGUCUCUCGAUUUCCGGAACCUGUUAAGGAAAACAAAUAUCGUGUGGUGAGCUAAAGCUCAGUGAGGUUCCGAACACAUAGGCAACAAGAAAAUCAAUGCAUUCAUUACAUAUAACCAAUAAUUCAAGAGACAAGUACAAAUAAAGCAAUAAACACGUUCAUGAAAAGGAUACGGGCUCACAGGGAGCCAUAUGUUCGUUCGUUCGUUCGCUGACAUUUCCCCUUAUUCCUCCAGUCAUUUGCAAAAUCCAUUUUGUAUAAGUAAAACCCCUCAUUCAUUCAUUCGUUCAUUCCUUUCAUUCACGCCACUCCGCUCCCUUUUUGGCCAGGCCUCCACCAACCUACAGGGUAAUACUCGAGUAUACCGAAACGUUCACCCAAGUCCUAAUCGCCCGACCGAAUCCGCUUCUGGGCUCGAGACGACCGGUAACAAGGGCAAUGGCCAGUUCAACCCCAAAAGGCUUACAUUCAUGCGCAAGUCACAUGUCAAUCAUUCAAUCAUUAAAAUUUCAUAAUCAUUUAGGCUAAGUGCGAUAAAGUACACACUCGCCUUGAAAACUCGUUUUGACAAUCAUUGAAAGCAUUAACACAUUAUCAAGCAAUAAGAUCAAGCCAAUAAGCCAAGGAAAUCUAACAAACAAGGAACACUCACCAAGAGUGAAGUCACAACCACGCUGGAAAUCGAAAUCCGCGUCCUCGCUAAACCCUAGAAAUCCAAGUUUUAAAACUAUAAAUUUCACUAAGCACACCCUUGUUUUAUAUAUAAAAGGUUAUCUUAUAUAAAACUAAUUUAAUUUCCCGCAACAAGUCAAUAAAUUUCUUAAAAAAAACAAAGCUAGUAAAGGAAUAAAAUAUUCGUGUGGUUUCUUUAAGGUAUUUCCCCUCUAGAGGCAAACUAGAAUCAAAUUGGUUCAAACGGGUUUUCUUGCCGAACAAGUUUCUAUGUCUGUAAUUUGAAAUUAUUCAAAUCUAGUGUUUUUCCAAAUUUCCUUUAAAACAACUAGUCAAGGAUAGUUUAUGAAAAACUUAAAGUUUAGAAGUUAAAUACAAUUAUUCCGCUAAAGUAAUAAAACUAGUUUAAGCAAAAGAAAAGAAAUUAACUAGUCGGCAAGGUUUUAAAAGUCCCAAUAUCUAACUUUUUAAUAAACAUACUAAGCUCAAAUGCUAUCACUUGAUAUUAAAACAAAGUAUUUCCACGAAACUUGAUUUUGAAAGUAUUCAAGUUCAAGAAAACCAAAACGGUCUUUAACAAUUCUAGCUCAUUUGCACAAUGAAUUCCCAAGUCAUCAAGAUUGAAACAUUACAAACCAAAUAUCAAUUUCACUAGGGUUUCAUCAAUCAUUAGCCUAGGUCUCAACAAAUUCCAGUACAAUUAAAAUUCAACAAAGGAAGUCCAAGGUACUAAAGCAAUCCAAAUCACAACCCACGGACCUUCCAAGUACAUUUCAACCAAACCACUUGAACAAAUUCACCAAAAAUUAAAAUUAUUGCAAAACUACUCAAAUGGUCAAGAGCUUCAUCAAUCAUUAGCUCUUGACAACCAAUACUCACUUCAAACACCAAUCCAUUCAAAACAAGAAUAAAACUACAGCCAACUUGAGUUCCAAAUGAUUCCAAGAAUCCAAAUAUCCAUUAACACUUCUUUCCUUUUUCUUGCUAAAAUCACUAUACAUAUAGUUUAUAAUCUGCUCAAACUUAAACUGAAGCAAACAAUACUCAAAUCAAAAGAAAAAUAACUCACUAAGAGCUUGAACUAGUAUGGCUAGCAAUUAUAUACAAAUUUCCAGCGAAGAUAUUCCAAAAUUUCAACAAGGUUUCCAUCCUUAGCUUGCUUUAAACACUAAACACUUAACAUGCAUUUUGUCCAACAUGAAGUGAGUCAAAUAACAGGAAAUUUCAGCAAAUUAUUCCACCAAGAAGCCCCAUAAAUCUGUCAUCAGCUAGGAUAUAAUUUUCCAGCAAUUGAUAGUUUAAAUUUGAAACUUUCCCCAUAAUCCUCAUUUUUUUUUCCAUUCCAGCUCAACAUGCAGGUACGAUUAUCAUGCUAAGGUGUAUCUUGUGCAAAAAUAUGAAAUUUAUAACCAAAGAUUCAAAAGAAAAAGUUGGAUAAAACUCUGGCUUCUUUCUCUCGGCCAAAGCUAAGAAACUCCAGCAGCUUUCUUUCAUAUUUUUUUUCUACAAAUCCACGACUCAUAUCAGCUUCAUGCUUGAUCAAAAUAAUUAACUAUCUAUUAGGUCUUGAUCCAACCAAGUGCGGACAACAUAAAAAAAAAACAUCAUCUAACCAGAAAUUUAAUCAAUCCUGCUCUCGGUUGGCUUACAUGCAACCUGAUUUUGGUAUCUUUUCAAUUUUCUGACUUAAUCAAAGCUAAUCAAUCUCAUGCAAAGCUUAAUCAUCCAGAUUUUAGUUUAGUUAAGAACACAUCUAGGCUCAGAUCGUCACAGGUUAGCCAAUUAAAGUUACAAAUUUCUAGCUCAAACUCUCGUAGCUUCAAUUCUUUCUCAAACAGAUUUUUCUAUGAUUUAAGCUAUCAUCUAACCACACAAUCCCACAUGCAUGCUUAUAGUCAGCUUCAUCAACCCAUAAACAACUCAUCUAAGUUCAGAAAUUAUUACCUUAGCUUGAAGCCUAAAAAACAACACGACUAGCAGCUGCAGCAAUCCUCCACUCUCGCUGUCCAGAAAUUUAGCCCGCUAGCUCUUCCUCUCCCUUGCUCAAGCUCGUCACUAGGAUGAAGAAGGUUUGGUUCAGACUCUUCACCAACUCACGGAUGAAAGAAAGAAGGAGUAGCAGCUCUCACCUUUUCUUAGCUCACGGCAGAAUGGAAAGGAAAUGAGAGGCUCGGCUCACUCUCUCCGCGGUCGAUAAUUCCAAGGCUGCUCCCUCACAGUUCACGGCAGGGAAGAAAUUGGAGUUGUGAUAUUGUGGUGAAGUGAGAAUGAUAUAAUGAAAGUGUGUGAGUAGUGUAAUGUAUAUAAGGUGAGGCUGUGAGUGGAGUUGGUCGGCAAUAUCAAAUGGAAAAGGCUGGAAUGACACGUGGGAAGUGGAACCGGCAGGAAUUGGAAUUGUUUGGAAUGUUCCAUGGCUGCUUGGUGGAUUUGUAAUGGAGGAGGGCUGUUUUAGUCUUUUAGCAACUUGUUCAACCUUUCACUUAGGUCCCUCAUCUUAAACUAAUUCCAAAAUUUACCCCAAGUGUAAAUCGAAUGCCUACUAGUACACUAAUCUCGCAAAAUUCAAUUAUUGAGAUUUUAACCUCCUAAGUGUACCCAAUGCACUUGUAACGGUUUAUCAAAAAUAUAUCGAUUCAUCUUAAUUCUAAGGCUCCUAUUAACACUUAACGUUAUUAACACUUAAAACUAGCUAUCGGAAAUUCAAGGAAUUAAUCUUAAAACAAUAAAAUAGUUUACAUCAAGAAAUAUUAUUCUAACUUGGCGAGAGUCAAAUAACUCAAUAUUUUGCACGAUUAACGUGUUUGAAACUUUAAAAUUGUUUUUACAUACUUAUUCAAAGACAAAAAUUCAUUUUCCUGAAGAAACAAGACAUUCAAGCAGGACAGCCUACUUCUUGAGCAAAUGAAUGAUUUCAAUGGUAAAUUUAUAAUUCGUAAGUGAUCACUUAUCAUUCUUACCUUAUUAUUUAAGUUAUUAAAAUCAAGUUUGACCUUAAUAUAUAAAUUUAACAUUCUUAAUAUUCGUUUAUCCUUUUAUAUCAAAACUUACUAACUCAAUCAUUUUCAAACCAUGAACAUACCUAUCUUCAAGUUUAACUUGUAUACUCAUUCAAUCUAAUAUACUCUAUAUACAUAUCUCGCACAUAAAUACACAUAACAACAAGGCCUUUCGUUGUUUCCAACGAGUAGUUAACAAAUUUGCACGUAAGAGGAGAAAAUGAGAAGAAACAAUAGACUAAGGAAAUAUGCAAAUUCUAGGGUUCUCACACCACUGCUACUAAGAUGUACUUAUUAUUGAAAGAGCUUUAAAAUGGUCCCAUAAAAUCCAUACCCCACACAUCAAAUAACUCAACUUCUAAAAAAAUAGUGUAGGGCAUUUCAUUUUUUCUAGAAAUAUUUCCAAUUCUUUGACAGGUAUCACAACUUUUAACAUAUUUCCAAGUAUCUCGGUACAUGGUAGUCGAAUAAAAUCCCGAUUGCCAUACCUUAGCCACGGUCUUAGAAGUGCCAAAAUGACCACCCAUUUCUAAAUUAUGAUAAUGAAGUAAAAUAUCACGUACCUCCUCUUCGGGAAUACAUCUUCUUACCAUACGAUCGGCACAAUGCUUAGCAGUGGUUCUUCCCAAAAGUAGCUUUUAACAUCAUGUAAAAAUUUCUUCCUUUGGUGAAAAUUAAAACCCUUCGGAAGUGCCCCACUUGCCAAGAAGUUAGCAAAAUCCUCAUACCAUGGAGACUUGGUUAGUGCUAGAAAAACCUCGUCCGGAAAAAUCUCCUUAAUUGGAACUUGAUCAUUAGUAGGGAUAUACUCUAAUUGCGAUAAAUGAUCUACCACUAGGUGUGACGACUUGAAAGAUUGCUUAUAUUUUCUUAUAAUACCCUCUUAUUUUGAUUAAGUUAACUUAUAAUUCCUUUACUACUAAUUUACUCUCUCAAUAGUUGUAAUAAAUAAUAAAAUUGAGAGUUUUACCUUUGCUUUUAUAGUUAGGGUAAACUAGGGUUUUUGCAUAUUUUGGUAGUGUAAUUAGUUGGUGAGGUGUGUGUACUAAAUUUGGUGGAUAAAAGUGAAUAUUAGGUAAGAGAAAGUGUGUGAUUAGAAAUGCUAAUAAUAAGUUAGUGAAUCAUAAGUUAAAACACAAGUACGAGAGAGUUAAGGAAAAUAGGCUUGAACCGACGUGCACCGUUUGUUAUCGAUUGAGUACACCACUUAACCACUACUUUCUUACUAUAAUCCUCUUGUUUUUAUUUCAUCUAAUCAGCCCUAAAUUAAACCCUAAACCAGCCAAAAUCUUUGACUAAAGAAAAGGUGAGAAAAGAAAAAAAAAGGAAAAAAUCUUGAUUGAAAAGUGUUGGCAAUCAAAGAAGGGUUUGACCAAGUUAUUUCUUUCCUUCUUAUCUUUCAUCUUGGCUACAUUUCCUCCAUUAUUUCUUCAUGUUGGCCGAGAGCAAGAGAGAAAAAAAGAGAGAAGAAAACCUUCAUUCCAAUCUUGAUUUUGCCUUGUUUGAGUUGAGAUCACAAAAACCAAACCGAUGAAACUAGUCCCUUGAUGCUUAGGAAGCUUGGAGUGGAGAGUUUCUUGGAGAAAGUGUUUGGUUCUUCAUUUCUCAAGAAAUUUGGGAGGUAUAAGUUCAUCAACUUCUUUUUUUGUUCUUAUUCUUGCCAAAUAUGGUAUCGAUGCCUUGAAUCUUGGAAUAUUAUGGAUGAUCUUCUAGUUUUGGUGUAGAUUAGUGGAAUUUCAGCUAGGGUUUUGCCAUUUUUCAUCUUUCAUUUCAUUAUGUUUAACUAUAAAAUGUUGGUAUUGGGCUUGGAUAUGAAAAAUUUGUGAGGUGUUUAGUGUGAGACCCGAAAUUUUACUUGUCUUUAUAGCUUUUAUUUGAAGUUACUUGCCUUAGUUCUUGGUUGUUUUAAUGGUUGAAUUUGAGCCAAGAGAGUGAAUUUUGUUAAGAAAAGUUUCAUAAUCUCAAGUUGUUAGAAAAUCUAGAAAUUUUCGCAAGAGGCUCUGCGCAGCUUUGGGAAAUUGGCUAUAACUUCGUAUAGGAAAGUCGGAAUUGAGUUCCAUUUGUUGUGUUUGAAACUAGACUCAUUGUGACGCCCCCCAUCUCUCCCUAGGGUGAACUUUAGGGUAUCAGUGGAACGCCUGCCCAACUCUCGUCAGGACUCACGCACUCAUUCAAGCUUAAUAAAGGAUUACAAAUUAACCAUCGACUUAAUUAAGAAGUACUUCGAAUAUACAAGCUCGAAACUCCCAAGUAUACCAUUUAUGAUUACAAACCACAAAACCCGAGUUUACAAAAUUUAUACUUUAAUGGACUCCAAUAACAUACAUAAGUAUAGUAGCUUCAACUAAGAGUCACUAGUCUAGGAACUCUAAUUUCCACAUCCAAAACCUGUUAAGGAAAACAAACUUAAAGGGAUGAGCUAAUGUUCAAUGAGGCCAAGAAAACAAGCAAGCAAGCAAGUAGAACCAAUUAAUCGAAUAGCAUGCUUUAACAACUUUAAACAUGACAUUUUAUUUAAGUGCACAAGUAGGAAUUAACACACAAGAAAGAAUACAAGAGCUCUCAGGAGCUAUUCCACGUCUCGAUCAAUUAAGCCUUCGGGGGUUGACCCUCCGUCAAUUCAAGUAGUAACACGACCGUAGUGCUCCACUUACUUCCUCCAUCCAACAUAACACCCACUCGGAUCCAGAACCAAACAUGUAAGAGGUGGUGAUACUAUUCGAGCAUGCCAUGCGAGAUCUCAAAAGAUCAAGCUAUUUUUUUCCCAAGGUUCACCAAGCUUCUCGACCAAGCCCUUGCCAGCUCGAGUUACAAGGUAGCUGAUGGGUUAGGGAGUCCCCACACGUGUAUUUGGUAGAUGAGAUAUCGUUUCAAUCGACUUUGAGUCGAUCAUAGCACUGGGUCAGGGUGAGCGAUAACUCUUACCCGAAUAGGGCGUGAUACUUCUAGCCGCUCAGUGCUUACGACUUAAAACAUGUUCAUGUACAAGAGCAAGUCAUAUAUAUUCACGUAACAAGUAUCAUAUAAUCAAGAGAGAGAGAGAGGACGAGAGCGAUAAAGUACACCCUCACCUCGGUAAGUUCACGUAUCAUAUAUAGUACUUGUUCAUCUAUCAUUUCAAACACAUAAGCAUUUAACAUGCACUUGACACUCACCAAAAGUCAAGGCAAAACAAGAGCAAAGCGAGAAGUCAGAUGAGCUCUUCGGCAUCCUCGUGACCACCUGAGACAUGUACAACCAUAAUUAUCUAGGUGCUUGACCAAGGUUUAAAAGAAAGACAUUUUCUCGCUACCCACUCCCCAAGUCACAAGUUCGAGUCAAGUUAAAGAAGUUUUUCUAGCUCAAACGUUGGAAUAAUAGUCAAAGAGAGCUCAAAGGUUGUUUUUGAUCCAAGUCGUGGUAAAUAAAUCUCAAUUCCAAAAGAAAGUACCAUUUUUACUUCAGCACGAAAAUCGAGAAAAAAGGGUAGAUGGUUCAUCUCCCAAAACUUCAAAUUUCAUAUCCAAGGUUUAGAAUAUAAAGAGCAUGCACAUUAUCCAAACUAAUGGAGUUAAAACUCAUCCAAACUCCACUCAUUUUCAUAGAAAAAUAUCAAAGCUAAGAUUCCAAUGUUCAAGUAUAAAACUAGUGAAAUUCAGCAAGAAUUACUCUAGUCAAAACACUCCCUUUUUAGAUUUUCAACUCAUGGAAAUCGAUGCAAUAAGAAUAGGGUUGUAGUCUAUAAUUCGAGUAUGAAGAGAAGUGCUAUUAACCAAGGGAAGCUAUAGAGCCAAGAAGAAUCACAAAAAGGGGAUUAAUCCCUUGGAAACUAAGAUUCGAUAUAAAGGUUUAAAGUUCAAAGAGACCUUGUAUGAAAUCAUGAAAUGAAACUUAAAACAAUCCAACAAUCACAAAGGAAGGUGGAAAGUUCUUAAAAGAGUAAUUUGGUUGAAAACAGAAAAUUUCCAACUUAGAGUGACACUACUUGGAAAACUCAUAUCUCAAGUUCCGUAAGUCCAAAAAUUGAAAACUUUAUGCCGUUGGAAAUUAGACUCAAAACACUAAAACUCUCUAGAAGACACUUUUCUCAAAAUCCAAUUCAAAAUCAUUCAAAUUUUAGCUCAAAGUCACUGUUCUAGACAGGACAAAGCAAAACAGGCUUGUAAAUUCAGUAAAGUUUGGAAAUUCGGUAAAAUUCGUAAAAAAGGAAUGAACCCCUGAAAUUUAUUCCACAAUUAAAAUUCCAAAUCUAGUUUCAAAUGCAAGAAACAGAACUCAAUUCGGACCUUCCUACACCAAGAUACGAUAGUUCUAAAAAAACUAAAGUUUGGAACCUGUUUACGAAAAUUCCAGUUCUGACGAACUAGAUAGAGUUUCAAAAUCUGAUCAUAACUAGAGCUACACGCCUCAAAAUUUAGUGAGGUUUGUAGCAUUGAAAAUUAAUUCAAAAUGAUACAAUUAACUAGAAGCGACUGUCUUAAAAUUCAUUUUGAAAGAUAAGCAAAAUUGAGCUACAAACUGUAGCUAAGACUGUUUCUCGGAUGAAAGCAGGAAGGAAUUUCAGUCAUUUUUGCCGGUUCAUUACCACUUGUAGGAAACGAGUUAGAAGGUGUGUUUUAUACCGACAGAAAUCUCUCAGGAGUCUAGUUUUAGAUGCCACAAACAGCACUCGAUUUCAACUCCCAGACAAAAUGUUAUGACCAAAAACGUGAACAUUGGGUGGUGUCACCUGAUCAGAAAAAUUCCAGAAUUCAUCCUCACUUUCACUUCACUUUAACUCAACGAAUUGGAAAGUUUUUUGGGAGAUAUUUCAUACACAUAAUCACCAACAUGUAUCAAGUAUUAUUGCACCAAAAUAGCAUCAAAAUUUCGAAAUUAAUAAGAGAGGAACAACCAGAAAAUUUCGGCCAGCAAGCACUUUCAUUCCUCUAGCUUGCUUUUCCAAUUUUCCAACUAGAACUACACCAUAUCUCAUCAAAGCAAGUAACAAACAAGCAAAUAAACACACAAAAUCCUCAAGGCCUCUACCUAUCAAACCACCUCAAGUUCACUACCUAAUGUCAAGGUUCUUGUGAAUCCAUCAACAACCCAACAACUAAACUAACUAAACUAUCUUACUAAUAAGCUUUGACAGGAAAAGUUGAAGGUUUCUUGGAUGAUUACCUUGCUGCCAAAAGAAGAGUAAACAUUAGGGUUUGAGCUCUUAAAUCACCAAAGUUUCUUCCUUGAUCAAGUCCUCUUCCAAGCUUGUAUGAAGAACCAAAAGGAAUAGCAAAUUUGGGGAGCUUUCUUGGAGGAAAAAUGGAAGAGAAAGAGCUGAAAUUUUUUUGUAGGAAAUGGGGGAAGAGGGAUCGGCCAAAGCAAGAGGAAGAAGAAGGAGUUUUUGUUGGUAGAUGAGUGAUGUGAUAGUGUGUAAGAAGGAUGGACAUAAAGUGCUCUUGGUGCCCAAAAGUCAACGUCCGAUUAGUGUGCAAUUAGUGCUCCAAAUUGAGAUUAACUUAACUCACUCACAUCUAAUCCCUCAAUUAACUUUUUUUAGUCUACUAUUGAUCAUUCUUAAUUCUCCAAGAUUAUUACACUUUCGGAUCUAAUUUAUCUCAAAAAAUGUAUAUUUACUAUUUCUCGCUAAAUGAGCCACCAAAAAAAGUUAAAUUCGCUAAUGAAAUGUUUUAAAAAUAUAAACGAGACAUGGUUCCAUGCAAAUGGGUUUAAAAUGGGUGAAAUAAAUUAUUUGGAGCAAACGGGUGAAUAAAUAAUUAAAUAAACCAGUAAAAUGAAAUAAAAAUAAGAAAACUAAAAAAUUCGAGUUCUCACAUUCUUCCCCCCUUAAAAGAAUUUCUUCCUCAAAAUUCAUGCAUUGAUUUAGAAACAAUUCUGGAUAUUUCUUCUGGAUCUUUUCUUCUACUUCCCAAGUCGCUUUCUCCAUUCCAUGAUUUCUCCAUAAAAUCUUCACUAGAGGGAUUUGCUUGCGUCUUAACUCCUUCACUUUUCGAUCUAAAAUCUUUACCGGCUUUUCCUUAUAGGACAAAUUCUCAUCAAACUCUACUUCUUCCGGUCGUAACACAUGAGACGGGUUGGAAUGAUAUUUCUUAUGUGACGACCCCACUUCCCAAGGGCGAACCCAAGGGUAUCGGCGGGCCGCCUGCCUAGCUCGCGCCAGGACUCAAAACUUAAAGCAAUCAAACGAGAUAGAUCGAAAGAGCACUAUAUACAAUAUAUAUACAAUCCCAAAAGUUAUAUUUACAUCUUCAAAAGUCUCGAGUCAAACCACUCUAAUAUACUACAACCACAAUCAGUAGAAGAUAGACCCUAAGAAGGGUCCUUAUACAAACCACCAAAACAAAACAAACAUCCUAACUGUUCAACUAUUACAAGCCAAUCUAACUAUACUAGUAUACGAGCCAAAAGUCCCCGCGUCGGCCCCUGCUAAGGAAAACAAAAGGAAUGGGGUAAGCUAUAUGCUUAGUAAGUAAACAGGGGCGAAAGCAUAAAUUCACGUAGCAACAAUUACACAAUAAGAGUAAAGCAAAAGCAGAAAAGAACAACAUCAUAUAACAAGGAUACGGGUGGCUCCAAAGCCAAUUCAUGUGCCAUGUAUGAUCUCCUGCCGACACUCCGUCGACCACAAAUAAUAGUCCGUAGAACUUCACUUGUACACCCACCGACACCUUAUCACCCUCACUGGCCAGUCACCUCACAAACUUGCCCGGGCGAACGAAAUCACAAACUUGAGCUUGAGUCACAAGCUCGGUCACAAACUUGGUCACCUUCUCGGUGAACCGGAUUCACAAAAUUGGUUCAUAACAUGAACCUACAAACUUGGUGACCUCAGACUAAGUUGGACUGACUUCGACCAACCCCCAACCGGCUCGAAUAGUCCAAACAGGUCUUAGAUCGGGCCCACGAACUCACAAACUUCACAAAAUUCACAAACUUUACUCGAAAGUCGCCCCGAGCCACAAGCUCAAGGGUUUUGGUUCUAAAAGGUUCAUAUACAUAUGCUAAGUACAAUUAUACAUUCAAAUUAGGGUUUAGGUCGAGUGCGAUAAAGUACACUCUCGCCUAAGUACCCUUUUCACAUAUCUCAAACACAUAGCAAAGAAAACACAUCAAACUGGCCUGAAUACUUACUCAAAAUACCAAAAGUAGUACGAAAGCAAAAUCGCUUCGCGCGUUCGCUAGUAGUGGGCCCCACCGGCUCCGCCUAGCUCACCGCUGUCUGAAAUAGAAGAUUUUAUCACAAACGGCCACUAACAUGCCCAAAACAAGCAAAACGGCAAAACAACACGCGCGCACGAAAAUAUGACGGACGGAAACGGAAACGGCAGAUUUGAUACUCAUUUCUAGUUUACUCAUAAGUUGAGCUACGAAUAUCGGAUUAAGGCGUAUGAGAUGCCAAAUCGAAGCUUAAAGGAUGAACAACAACUGUUAUGAAGACAUCCAGAACUGAAACUGGAGGCUUCAGUCCCAAAUGAACCAAACACAAUCACUUACGAAAUCUGGCCAAUGCACAAAUGGUCAGUUUUGAGUGCGAACUGUUUUCUAUGCUACACAUGGUCAAAAGAGCUGAAAAUUGGCAGUUAGAUAGUUCAUUCCAAAUGGAACAACUUUCAUGAAGGUCGGCAAUCAAAAUUCGGAACGGAAAUUGGUCAUCAGGACCAAAACAGAUCUGACCAGAGAAUGGUCAUCUUCACGGCCAGGCCUUAUUUGCUCGGCUAUAUCUCAGGUCUUAUAAAUCCGAUUCCUGAAAUCCCAAGGGCGUUAGAAAGCUCUGAUAUAGGGCUAUAAGUUUGGUUUUUUGGUCGCGAGCCCAAACAGCUUGUAACCCAGUCAAAUGUGAAGCCAAAGUUCCAGUCAUAAACUGUCCAAAAACGUAACAGAAUUUGACGGUCAAAACAGGUCUGAGUAUUUCGUUUAUAGCUCAGGAUAUACUAAUCCGUUUAACCUGAAACUUUACAAGGAUAUCCAGGACUUAAGGGGAUACAAUGUUGAAGAAGGAAACUUUGUCCAAUUUUGAAUGUAACAAGGUCAAAAAUGCAAGACACUAUACCAGAAUUGCAAAACAGGAUCACAAACCGUAUUUGACCUUAAUAUGCGGUAAUGGCACCAAAUUCACUACGGUUAUCGAAUGGGGGUGUAAGACCCACCGUUUCGAAGCUAAGAAACAGGGCUACAACAAUGUAGAAGGUCACUCAGUCCAAAUCCUAACACAACUAGGUCAAAAUGCAGAAUACCAAAUCCAGAACCGUAAUUGCAGGUUCCCAAAUCGCACUAUGCUGUAAUGAACACAACUCAGUCUAUACAGGUCCAAAUGCCGAAAUUCCAAAGGCAUAUGUUAGCUAAGACAUCCAGAUACAUUUCAUCAGAAGAUACCAACUUCAAAAUCUAAACCAAUUCUAGUCAAAACAAAUGAUUACAAGCGCAGUUUUCACAUUCUGAGCAACCCUGGACAGCAACAGUAAAAACGACAUAACUCACUCUACACAAAUCCAAAUGACCUAAAAUUUUGCAGGCACUUCAAACUCAUCAAUACCUACAACUUUCAUAUUUUGAGCAAAGUCCAAUUUGGCCUCUAACCCUAUGAUCUAAAACCGGACAGAAUUAGGGGAUUAUGAACCCUAACUUUCCAUUUUUCCAUCCAAAUCCAAAAUUAGUUGCAUUUAUCAUCAAUUCACACCUACUAGAGUCAUUAUAGUCCAUUGCCAAUCAUCCAAGAUAGCCACAACAUCCCAUUCAUAUUAAACCAGAAAAUUCAUCAUAAAAUUGAAAACUUCACUAAAACACUUCAAAUCAAGAAAUAAAUCACAUAAUCCAUCACUUUAGCCACUCCUAAGCAAAUCAUAAGCAUCAUUAGGUGUAGCAUGGUGUUCAAGCAUCACUUACCAAGAAAUCAAGAGAGAGGGAGAUGAUGGACACCUUAGCUCUUCCAAAAAGCUUCACUAAACCAACCACUAUCACCAACUAGAAAAGUUGUAUGGAAAGGAAACUAAUUUAUGUGCUUGAUUGAGAUGAUUUGCUAGUGGAAAGCUUGAAGAUUGAAGAGGUUUUUCUCCUUCUUGCAAGCGAGAGAGAGAGCCGGCUAUGGAGAAAGAAAAUGAGGGAAUUUUAGUGAAUUUUUGAAGAUAUUUAACCUUUGGUCAAAAAGUCAAAAAUGUGAAUAGUGUUUCUUAAAGUCCAACCAAUGAGAAAGUGACACUUGUCACCUCAUUAAUGCAAUCCUAUCCUUUCUUUUCUCUCUCACAUCAAUUAUUUCACACACUCUACUUAUCUCUUGACACCGAUAAAUUUUACACAGUAUCCGGAAUUUAACCUAAUUGGCCGAAUUUUUCUGAACUUUUCACACUAGUGGGUCCCACGUCCAAUAUACGUUCUUAUUUUCUCAAAAUCUAACCGAUACUAGAAAAAUCAUCUAAAAACUCUAUUUACUCAUAAAAAUUAUCUGGGGAACUUUCUAAUAACGAAAAUAUCAAAAAGACGGGUGAACAAUCAAACUCCACUUAAGCUUUCUACUAAAAUGAACUAGGGUUUUCAACCCUAAUCGAGGUUAGGGUUUUCUUCUUAGCCUUAAAACCCUAAUUCCACCCCACCGAUCAAUGAAUAACCCUCAUAUCAGCUUACGAACGGACUGGGGCCUCACAUCUUAAGUAUGGAGACAUGGAAGACAUCGUGAAUCCUAGACAAACUUAAAGGCAAUUCCAACUUGUAAGCUACAUUUCCUACGCACUAGAUAACCUUAUAGGGUCCCACAAAUCUCGGUUGCAACUUCUUCCCUUUUCCCGCCAUUGGAUUUGCUUUCAAGGGUGUAAUUCUAAGAAACACUUUAUCUCCAACCUCAAACUCUAACUUCUUUCUCCGAUUAUCCGCAUAGCUCUUUUGGCGGUUUUGAGCUGUUCGAAUCCUCUGACGAAGUAAUUUCACCUUCUCAUAAGCUUCCUCAACCCAAGCUACGGUAGUCGGGUCCCAAAUCUUCUUUUCUCCAACUUUGUCCCCAUGAAUCGGAAAUCGACACUUUUGACCAUAAAGAGCUUCGUAAAGAGCUAUAUGUGUUGAGGAAUGAAAACUGUUGUUAUAAGAAAAUUCCACCAACUUAUGGUAUUGAAUCUAAUUUUCUCCAAAAUCCGCAAUACAUGACCUCAACAUGUCCUCUAGGGCUUGAAUUGUCCUUUCCGACUGUCCAUCAGUUUGCGGGUGGUAAGUGAUACUAAAAUUCAGUUUAGUCCCCAAACUCUCUUGCAUCUUUGGCCAAAAUCGAGAUACAAACCUAGGGUCCUGAUCUGAGACUAUACUCACUGGUAUCCCAUGCAGUCUUAUAAUUUCAUCCAAGUAUAAUUUAGUUAACUUUUCCAAGGAAUACUUCAUACUAAUCGACAAAAAGUAAGCAGAUUCGGUCAAUCGAUCUACUAUUACCCAAAUAGCGUUGUGUCCUCUCUGAGUCCUUGGUAACCCUGAUACGAAAUCCAUUGUGAUAUUUUCCCACUUCCACUCAGGUAUUUUCAACGACUGUAAUAAUCCAGAUGAUUUCUGAUGUUCGACCUUAACCUGCUGGCAAGUGAGACAAGCUCGAACAAAUUCAGCAAUUUUUCUUUUCAUAUUCUCCCACCAAUACAGGCUCUUCAAAUCUUAAUACUUCUUAUUACUUCCAGGAUGCAUCAUAUACUUUGAACGGUGAAUUUCGUUUAAAAUUUCCUUCUUUAGACCUUUAUCCUUGGGUACCACUAUGCGAUUUCUAAACUUUAACACUUCAUCAGUCCCCAAAUUGAAGUCAGACUUUUUCCCCUUUUGAACUUUCUCAACCCAUUUUUACACUUCAGGGUCUCCUUUUUGAACUUCUUUGAUUCGAUCUAAUAAAGUAGAUUUCACAGUAAUAUUCCCAAAGAUUACCCUCUGUGGUUCAAGAUGCGGAUUCCAAACACUAAUUUCUUCUAGCAUGUGCCAUUCUCUCACCAUAAAUUGGCCACUUGUGUGAGGACCCAUCAUUUUCUUAUUUUCUAGGUUUUAUUCUAUUUAAUUGCAUGCUUUUCUGCAUUUUCUUUAUUAGAAAAAUUUUCUAGAUAAGUUUUAUGAGUAAAUAUAGUUUUAAAAUGAUUUUUCUAGUAUCGGUUAAUUUUUGAGAAAUUAAGAGCGUAUACCGGUUGUGGGACCCACUAGUGCGGUAAGUUCGAUAAAAUUCGGUCAAUUAGAUUAAGUGGUGUAUACCGGGUUUAAUUUAUCAGGUGUUAAGAGAUAAUUAGAAGUUACCUAGAUGGAUUAUCAUUGGAGAGACAAAAGGAUAGAGUUGCAUUAAAUAAGGGUGACAAGUGUCACCUUGUGGUUUAUUCUUGACUUUGACCAUCUUACUUACCUUUACUAAUUAGUCAAAAUUGACCAAAAAUUCACCUUAUUUCUCCCUCUCUUGGCUGAAUUUCUUGGAGCAAAAAGAAGAGAAAACUUCCAACUUCUUUCUUCAAUUUCUUGUCUUGAUCUCACAAACCAACCGUUAAAACUUUGAUUUACUCCAUAAAAACUCUUCUCUAGGUAGGAUUAAGGUUGUUGGUGAAGUGAUUUGGAAGAAAUUGGUGCUAAGUAGCUUCCUUUCUUGAGGUUGCAAGGUGAGUAGCUAAGGAGUUCAUUCUUUGGUCUUACUAAUGUUAAAUUGGUAGAUUGUGUUAGUCAAAGAUGUGAUUUAGUGGAAGAUUUCAUGACUUUUAGUUGAGAUUGGUGAAUUUUAUAUUUAUUCUUGAAUUUUUCUGUUUUAUAUGUUUAUUAUGGUGUGGCCAUGGAUGAUGACUUGGGAUAGUUUAGAAUGAAACUAUUGUGCGUAAAUUGUAGUUAAUUGCGGAAAAUUUCCACUUUGUGCGGAAAAUUUCAGAUUAGGGUUUCAUUUUCCCAAAUUCUGCCCGGUACUGUUCUACAUAGUUAUAGGCCGAAUUAGCCUUAGGGGAGGUGGGGCUGUCACAGUUGGUAUCAAAGCCUGCUUCGCGUGGUCUCUGCGCGGAGCGAGCUUGGGGCCAAGUGGUGUUAUGGUCUUGAUUCUGUGAAUGUGUUUAAAGGAUUAAGUGCUCUUCUAGAGUAUAAGUUAUGAACUGAUAAGUGUAAACAUCUUUAUCAUGGAACUUGAGGAAAAUAGAUAUGUAGGUCGGGUAGGAAUCUUUAAUAUGGAUGGUUUACUCUUGGGACCGGCCGGCUCGAGUUGUGAAGUAUCUUAUUUGAGAUUCUUGUGCCCGGCUACUAAAUAAAUGAGAGCCUAGGUUAGGAGCGACUUGGGCGACCUAGGAAUGUGAUUCUAUGGAACUUUGUGUAGUUUGCUCGGGUGUAAGUAAGCAUGGCUAACCUUGAUUAAGAUAUACAUUGUGUUAUUCCUGUAGGCUAUGGACGGAGCCCUAGAGAGGAUAGUUUAUCGCGCGUUAUUGUUGUACUUUUGGCCUUGUUUAUCUAUAGUGCCUUUUGGAUGACCCCGCUACCUUCAUGGCUUUCCUUAUUUGUAGUUAACUGACUGCUACCGUGUGAUUUGUUUGAUAACGUGUGUGAUGUAUCUAUGCUUUUGAUCUGUGUGUACCUCUAGUUACUUGUUUAUUUAAUAUUAUAUUCACGAUUCGAUCCUAAAUUGGAUAGACCAAUGGAGGGUUCUCAUAGUGGAUGAGGUCGUGGGCGCGGGCGUAAGCAACCCACGAAUGAAGGGGGUAAUCGGGAACCAAUACAUGAACCUAGGGCCGACCAAAAUACCCAAGUAGCCACUGCUAUUCAGCGCAUGACCGAUCUGCUAGCCCACAUAGUGGAAUACCAGGGCCAAAACCCCAAUUCUCAACCUGGAAGCCCUGGUAAUCAUAUAGAGGGCGAGGAUAGAGCCCUUGAAAGAUUUCAAAAGUUCUCCCCACCCAAAUUUCUCGGAGGCCCUGAUCCUGACGUGGCUGAGAGGUGGCUGGAGAAGAUGAUCGAUAUUUUUGCUGCAUUACACUACAUUGAGGAGAGACAGGUGACAUUUGCUAUCUUUCAACUAGAGGGAGCCGCCCGUUCCUGGUGGAAUAUCCUUCGAAUGAAAUGGGAAAGAGAACAAACCCCGAGGACGUGGGCGAACUUUAUGAGAGAAUUUAAUGCCAAGUUUUUCCCUCCUCUAAUCCAAGAAAAGAAGCAAGAUGAAUUUAUUCGGCUUCGCCAAGGAACUCAGACCGUAGCGAGUGUGAGAGUCAAUUCACUCGGUUGUCUAAGUUUGCGCCGAACUGAUUGUAAUCGAACAAAGACGGAUAAGGCGAUUCAUCCAAGGAUUAAAUGUUGAAAUUCAGAAAGAUCUGGCGGUAGCCCAACUUAAUGCCUUUAGUGAUCCGGUGGAGAAGGCCCAGCGAGUUGAAACUGCGAGGUUACAAGUUAGAAACUUCCAAGCCAAAAAAAGGAGGCUUUCCGGGGAGCAGCUCGGAACAGGAAGAUAAGAGCACACCCCCUAAGAGUGGAAGAGGAAACGGGGAGUACGAAAACGGGGGUGGCCAGUGGUGUCUCACCGGGAGGAUCGGUCUCUGCUACUCGAGGUUCCUGUGGAUAUUGCGGAGGGCCAAAUCACACGGAGGCAAAUUGUUAGAAGAAAAAAGGAAAAGGCCUGCGUUUGGGAACGCCGAACAUCGAAUUGCUAAUUGUCCAGCUCGACUGUGCGAAGGGAGAGGGACUCCGCCGCCAACCAAGACCAACUCUAAGCAACCAGCUAAGACCAACCCUGGACAGUCGAAAGGAGAAGGGACUGGAGCGAAGGUACCGACUGGAGUAUAUUCCCUGGACCAUCAUCAGGUCCCUGACUCAUCUGAGGAUGUAGAAGGUAUGAUCCAUUGGUUACCUUGGAUUUUGAUAGAUCCCAAUGAUAAGAAAAUUUCGAGUACGAAAUUUCUUUAAGAGGGAGAGAGUGUGAGGACCCAUAAUUUUCUUAUUUUCUAGGUUUUAUUCUAUUUAAUUGCAUGCUUUUCUGCAUUUUCUUUAUUACAAAAAUUUUCUAGAUAAGUUUUAUGAGUAAAUAUAGUUUUAAAAUGAUUUUUCUAGUAUCGGUUAAUUUUUGAGAAAUUAAGAGCGUAUACCGGUUGUGGGACCCAUUAGUGCGGUAAGUUUGGUAAAAUUCGGCCAAUUAGGUUAAGUGGUGUAUACUGCAUUUAAUUUAUCAGGUGUUAAGAGAUAAUUAGAAAUUACGUAGAUGGAUUAUCAUUGGAGAGACAAAAGGAUAGAGUUGCAUUAAACAAGGGUGACAAGUGUCACCUUGUGGUUUAUUCUUGACUUUAACCAUCUUACUUACCUUUACUAAUUAGCCAAAAUUGAACAAAAAUUCACCUUAUUUCUCCCUCUCUUGGCCGAAUUUCUUGGAGCAAAAAGAAGAGAAAACUUCCAACUUCUUUCUUCAAUUUCUUGUAUUGAUCUCACAAACCAACCGUUAAAACUUUGAUUUACUCCAUAAAAAAUCUUCUCUACGUAGGAUUAAGGUUGUUGGUGAAGUGAUUUGGAAGAAAUUGGUGCUAAGUAGCUUCCUUUCUUGAGGAUGCAAGGUGAGUAGCUAAGGAGAUCAUUCUUUGGUCUUGCUAAUGUUAAAUUGGUAGCUUGUGUUAGUCAAAGAUGUGAUUUGGUGGAAGAUUUCAUGACUUUUAAUUGAGAUUGGUGAAUUUUAUAUUUAUUCUUGAAUUUUUCUGUUUUUAUAUGUUUAUUAUGGUGUGGCCAUGGAUGAUGACUUGGGAUAGUCUAGAAUGAAGCUAUUGUGCGUAAAUUGUAGCUAAUUGCGGAAAAUUUCCACUUUGUGCGGAAAAUUUCAGAUUAGGGUUUUAUUUUCCCAAAUUCUACCCGGUACUGUUCCACAUAGUUAUAGGCCGAAUUAGUCUUAGGGGGAGGUGGGGCUGUCACAACUUGCACCUUACGACUUAGGGCAUCCGCCACUACAUUAGCCUUUCCAGGGUGGUAAUUUAACGAACAGUCAUAAUCUUCCAAAAAUUUCACCCAUCUACGUUAUCUCAAAUUCAAGUCUUUCUGGGAGAACAAAUACUUAAGCCUCUUGUGAUCCGUAAAAACCUCAAAAGUCACUCUAUACAAAUAAUAUUUCCAUUUUUUCAAGCAAACACUACUGCCACUAACUCCAAAUCAUGGGUCGGGUAAUUCUAUUAAUGAGAUUUUUCAACUUACGAGAGGCAUACGCAAUUACCUUUCCAUUUUGCAUUAAUACACAUCCUAAACCAUUCUUUGAAGCAUCUAUAUAAACCACAAAACCAUCUCCUCCGCUUGGCAAUACUAACACAGGUGCCUCGGUUAAACACUUUUUCAAUUCUUGAAACCCUUCCUCAUAUUUAGAAUCCCAUAUGAACUUGCCAUACUUCUUAAUCAACUCGGUUAAGAGUUUUGCAGUCUUAGAAAAAUCCUUGAUAAACUGACGGCAAUGUCCGGCUAACUCUAAGAAACUUCGAAUUUCCGUAGGGUUCUCUGGUUGUUUCCACUUAGAAUUAGCUUCUACCUUAGCUAGGCCCACAGUAAUUUCCUUUCUUAGAGAUUAUAUGACCUAGAAAGGUUAUUUCUUCCAACCAAAACUCACAUUGAUUUAACUUAGCAAAAAGUUGGCACUUUCUCAGGGUUUAUAAAACUAUUCUCAGGUGCCGUUCAUGUCCUUAUGUUCUAGAGUUUGAGAAUUUGUUAUUCAUUCUAGCCUUUUGAAAUUCUUGUUCACAGGUCUAAAGGUAUGGGGUAAUAAAUUAGAUAUACACGUAAGCCGUAAAAUCAAUUAAAGCAAAGUAAAUUUUUAUAUGUUCUAAAAGAUCAUAAUAGUUACACCAAGUGAGAAUAACUUCAUAAAAUCAUUUCAAAAGAAAGGGGAGACAAACAAAAUCAAAAGAAAACGUGCUAAGUUGCAAAUGUACAAAACAACAAAAGGACUUUAUCCCUUAUACAAAAGAUUACAACCUCCAAAAGUACCAAUUUAAACUAGGGUAAAAUUACACCCCCUAUCCCUCGAGUAAAAUCAGAUCCAUCCCCUACUCGUAAAGUUUCUACUACUUGGAUCCCUCUUACAAUCAUUAACAUUAAUUACUCAUUCUGGCACUCGAUUGCUUUGCAGCGGACCUAGCAGAUUGCUGAAUAUUUUCUCUUUUUAGAGGCAUUAGGGCAACUUGAAACCUGAUGUUUGGCACUACCGCAAGUCAGACAUUUUCCUUGCUUUGUCCAGCACUUGGUCUCCGCAUGGUUAAACUUGCCACAGUAUCCAUAGGCCACACGAGAAGUCACGGCCUAACUAGUUUGGGAAUUUUCUUUGUUUUUCUUUUCCAGUUCCACUUUCUUGUGUAGCAACUCAAUUUUUUCCGCAUAUUCUUGUUUCCAUCGUCCUUCCCAGUAGUCAGCUAAUUUCUUUUAAAACUCUACCUCCUUUCGAAGAGUGUCUAUUUCCAUAUACAUCUCUCCCAAAUUUGUCAUCUCACUGAUUGGUGUAAGGAUUGAAGACAACCUAAGAGGGGGGUGAAUUAGGUAAAUUAAAAAUUAACCAAGUUAUGAGACACUUUUUGUUAAAUAUGAAAUUUACCCCCUUUUCGAUGACCACACAAUGGAACAAUCAAUGAGAAAGCACGAAUGCUCGUGAGUAGAAGAGAUGAACAAUUUAUAUUGCAAGAUAGUAAAUAAAAGAGAUAGAGUAGCAAACCAAAUUCCAAACUCCUCUUGAUUUUGAAUAUCACUUUAUAAAGUAAGUUUCUUCUAGUUGAUCAAUUACAACCAAUCUUUGUGUACAAAGGAAGGAUCACUUCCUCCUUACCCCAAGCCACACUUGGUCAAGUUAGGAAGUUUUACUAUCACUCGGAUAACCCUCACAAAGUUACACUAUUGAAAUAAUUUUCUCACACAAGAAAAGCUUAUACAAGAUUCACACAACUAAGAGUACAAAUUUUUCUUUAAGAGAAUUUUCUCACUAAAAAUGCUCUUGAUCUUUUGUAGUCUCAAUGUGCAAAAGUGUUUUGAAGUGGUUGACUUUGCUCUGUUUAUAUGAGACCAAAAAGUUCCUUCAUUAAUGUUUCCAAUGGAUAGAGGGCAGCUGAAGAGUCAACUAGCCGUUGGUGGUGUCGGACGUCCGGUGAUCUUGUUUCUUGCGUCCGACAGUAGGUAGUGAGCAAAAGAGAUUUUCUUUAAUUCAUUCGAAUGUUCGGUACCUUCAUAGUUCGCAUCCGAAAGCAGAUAAUAAAAUUAAAAAUUUUCUUCAAUACUUUCGGACGUCCGGUACCUCCAAUGCUCUGCGUCCGAAGUCUUACGCAGAUUAUUGGAUGUCCGGUGCUCUAAUGUUUUACGUCCGAUCAAGGUUGGCAAGUUUAGAAAAAUGUUUUGAACAUCUCUUGUUGAAGAUCUUCUUGAAACUUUUGAUGUGAGGAGUUAUAUCAUUGUCCACUUCCAUGAUUUCAUUACCCAUGAAGGAUGGGUUAUCCCCCACUUGAGAUGCUUUAAAAGCAAUGCCUCUCUUAUACAAUCUUGCAUUUUCUUCCUCUUGCACUUUGAAUUUCAGCUGUAAUUCAUAAGAGAUUAGGGUAUCCACAAGAGAUUCAAUGGACAUAGAAUUUAAAUCCUUUGCCUCUUCUAUAGCAUUUAUUUUGUUUUCCCAUUCUUUUGGCAAGGCAUUCAAAAUCUUUCUAUUUUUCUCACCCAAAGAAUAUUCUUUUCCAAGCAAUUUAAGAUCUUGAAUAAUGUCACAAAAUCUACUACACAUCUUAUCAACAUUUUCAAGAGGAUGCAUUUUGAAAAAUUCAUAUUGAGAAACAAGUAAAGAUUUCUUUUGUUCUUUAAUAUCUUGGUUACCUUCAUGAAAUUCACACAAUUUAUCCCAAAUAUCUUUAGCUGAUUUACAACCUUUAAUUCUACCAGAUUCAUUUACAUCUAACGCAAUGCACAAUAUAUACAUGGCCUUGGCAUUCAAAGAAAGAUAUAUCUUGUCUUUUUCAUUCAAUUCUUGUCUAGUCUUUAAUCUACUCAAAUUAGUGGUAGAGUCAAUUAUUCUGGCUUCAUAAGGACCAUUUUCUACCACAUACCAUAAUUCAAUAUAAACGGAUUGUAAGAAAAUCAUCAUUCUUUGUUUCCACAUGCUAAAAUGAGAACCAUUAAACAUAGGUGGUCUAUCAAUAGAUUGCCCUUCUAAAAAAGAAACUUUUAUGGUUGCCAUGAUCUUUACUCUAAGCGGUUAAGCUUGAUCAAAAGAGACCAAGCUCUGAUACCAAUUGUAAGAGUCCGGUGCAACCCAAUGAGUACAAACAAUUUCACAAUGAUGCACAAAGAUAUAUCAAAUUUAAGCACAAUAAAGAAAACUUAAUUAAAGAGAAAAGAUAAGAAAUGCAAACCAAAUAUCAAUCCAAUAGCCUCUUCAAUUGAUGGCGAUGCUAACCAAGAUGUACAAGUGAAGGCUCACUCCUUCCUCACCCCAAACACACUUUGGUUGAGCCAAGGAGUUUUACAACUAUUCUAGUUAACCCUCAACAACCUACACUUGAAAGAUCACUCACCCAAUUAAGAACUAUUUUAUACAAAUGAGGCAACGUUCACCAAGGUUUUACCACUUCAAGUGAUAGGUUCACCUUCACCAAGGUUUUUCUCCUCCUAGAGAGUAACCUUCACUUGAGCAACCUCACAACCCAACUUUUCCAACCCCUUAUACAACCAACAAGGAAUCUUUCUACUCAAAAAUCUCACUUGUAAGCUUGUAUUUUGUGUUGGCAAAAGUCCCUUGUCUUCUUGUGCUUUGGGGUUUUUAUAGAAGGUGAGAAAUGGCUCCAAAAGGCUCUCCAACGGUCAAAUAUUAAAUGCUGUCAAAACUAGCCGUUGGCCUGUCGGACGUCCGAACCACCUGUCGAACGUCCGAACCACCUGUCGAACGUCCGAACCCUGCGUCCAAACCACCUGUCGGACGUCCGAACCCUACGUCCGAACGUCGUCAGAGAGUCAUCAAAUCUUUUCGAAAUUUCUCGGACGUCCGAUGCGAUCGAUGUGCGUCCGACAGAGUUUCCUUCUUGACGUUCUUCAUCCUUUCGGACGUCCGAUAGCUUCCUUUCGGACGUCCCACAUGAGUGCCCUGUUUUUGCUUCUUCUUUUGUGCCACAAGAAUCUGUUCUAACAAAUUACUCACAUAAAAACAUUAGCGCAAAUCUACAUUUUGGUUUGUUAAUCAUCAAAACCAAGGAUUGAUCGACCAAGGUCAACACCAAAGGUAUGUCUUUUGAAGAUGGUUUGAAGUGCUUAAAGACAAAAUUUGAUGUAAUUAUGUUACAAGUUCAAAUGGACACAAUUAUACAUGAAAUUGAGCAAGGGAGGAAUGUUAAUACUUUUAAUUCUUAUCAUGUGAUUUGUGACUUGUGUCGCGCCCCAUUUUUUGAUAAAUAAAUAAAAUGGUUUUAAAAAUGUAUUUUUUGAUUCAAAUUUUUUAUAGGAAAAUGAGUUUUGAUUUAAAAGAAAAAUGGGUCUAAAUGGGGGUUUGAGAAUGCGACGAUUUGACCCAAAAUGUAGUUUAAAAAGGGUUUUUGCAAUGAAAAUCGGAGUCGCCACUUGGUAAUGAGUUAAGGUGUACCAAAUCACCUAAAAAUGAAUUUUUAAAGAAAGAUAGGAAAAAGUAGUAAGAAACCCCUUUUAAACGACUCCUAGUCCACGUAAACCAACGAAAAAGGUUCGGGAGUCACAUUUGACGAAGGGGAAGGCAAGGAUAGAAAUCCAAGGCACCCUUUCGACCUAGCCAAGGCUAGUUGCGUGAUUUAAUCAAAGAUUUUCUUGUUUUAACCAAAGAAUUUAUUACAUUUGGAUGCACUACAUGAAUGCAAACCCUAGACCUAGGGGUAUUGGGGGAAAUUUCUCUUCAAAGGUUGAGUGGUGCCAAUCACAUUAAUUGUGAAGCCCAAUAACGACCCUUUGAAGAAGUCACGAAUAAUGUGAUUGGGAUGCAAAUGAAUGGAAUGCAUGCAUGCAAUGUGAGGAUAUGUGAAGUGAGAAAAAUAAUAAAAAUAAUAGGAUGUAAGUGGAGGUGUGCAAAUGUAUUUACAAGUGUUUGUGUGCAAGUGAAGGGAUAAAAAGGUGCAUGUGUGCAAAUGAGACAAAAGUGAAAGUGUGCAAGUGAAAGGAUAAAAGGUGUACGUGUGCAAAUGGGAGGAAAAGUGAAAGUGUAAUGAUAGAGUGGACUUAGAAAUGCAUGAGCCUAGGGAAUUCAUGCAUAUUGGGUACGGGGAGACCUAAAUCGUGACUCAAUUUGCCCUUUUAUAGAGGGAAUACAAGCGUGCUAAGGCUUAGAAAAAGCCACACUCGUCUAUAUCCCAUAUUUAAGGGGACUCUCAAGCAAAUGAAUCCUAUAACUAGCAUGAAAUGCAAAAAUCCUAAAAUGGAGGGAAAAGAUUCGAGGGGCAUGCAAAAUGAUAAAACUAAAAAGAAUGCAUGACAUGUAAUGAACAUGCAAACAUGUACUAACGAGGGGAAAUCCCUAAGGGUCUAGCGUUGGACUAGCCCAUUCUAUGAAUUCCGACUAGCGUUGGACUAGUGGAAACGUACAUUCAUCCAUCACAUUCAUCCAGGCUAUAAAAAGCGAGUAGACAUGCCAAAACACUCAUAAACAUAUAGCACAUAACACUUAGCAUGCUCGACUAGAUGCAAGACCUAACAAAGCAAGUUAACACGUAGCACGUAAGCAUGCAAGUCACACAAAGCGAUUAAGGCCCUAACUAUUACAUUUUGAGGGGAAGAAGGCCUACUACAAUCUAGGAGGGGGAACGGAAUAAAAAUAAAAAUAAUAACCUAGCUAUUACAACUUGGCAUUCAAGUGCCUUCAAAUGACUUUGCGCAUUAAGAAUAAUGAAACAAAAAGAAAGUGAAAUAGGCAAUUAAACAUGAAAUGGAAAGCGACUUAAAGCAUGCAUAUUCACACAUAGCACAUAGGAGCACGUAGAGUCAAAUAAAGUAAGAAAUAAAUGAUUAGAUAUACCUCCCCCUCGAUGGUAAUCAAAUGAAGUGAAAAUGGCUUCAAAACAAUAAAAAAAUCAAGGUACCACUUUAUUUGGGAAAAUUAAAGAAAACAUACAAACACGGGCUCACAUGGUCAUAAAGCUCUUAAAUUCAUGCAUGAAGUGCAAUUUAAACAAAGCAUGGUGAUUAUUUGAAGCAAACAAGCAAUAAAACUUACAAAAUUAAAGCUGCCAAGGACCAAAUUGAGGACAUUAUUCAAUUGGUUGGGUCAUAGUAGAAUAAAGGGAGACUUGGGGGGUCAAAGUGCAAUUUCUGAAACAUUCUCAUGCAAAUUCAUGCAAAGCUACGAAGGAAAUGGGCUUCUGCAACUAACUCAUAUGCUCUAGCAAAAGAAAUGAAAACUGCUGCGCUUGCUUCUCAAACUCAAAUCUCAUAAUCACAACCUUGGUUAGAUUUUUCCAAAAACAACUAACUUCAUUCAUACCAAACAACCGAAAGCUUAGCCACUACAUUCAAACAAACGAAAAAACUUAGCAAAACAUCAAUGGUUUCAAACUUCAGCAAGCAAUGGAGCCUGCUGCGAUUGGUUUUCAAGCUCAAGAAGGGAAAAAAAAAUGGAGUCUGCUGCAAUAUUAUUUCCAAGUCUCUGUUACCGAAAAAACUUUGCAAUUUCCUUAUGGGCUUCAUGGUAUAGGUUCCCUUUCGCAUAAGACAUCAGCUAGACAUCAAAACCUUAAUUCAAAUACUGAAACACAACACUUUAACAUCCAAUAAGUAACAAAUUGCAGUCACAAGGAAGAAAAAGCAAGGAAUGCAAGACGCCGCACUUUUCUGCUGCAAUUCCGCAGCUUCAAACCAUUCGGCCGAGACAAGCACUCAUGCCAAGGACCCAACCCAUUCCCACAUACUCAGGCACACAAUGCAAAUGCUUACAAACGAAGGCAAAAAGGAGAAUAAAACAGGCCCUUGAACUAAAGUAUGUAAUAAACAUGAUCUGCAAACAUGCUCGCUUUGAAGAACAAAAUUUCUGUAGCUUUCUUAUGCAAACCAAAGAUGAUUAUACGCAGUGCUAGGAAUGAAACUUAUGGGUUUAUCCACCGAACCCCAAUAUUAUAGCUUCCUACUCUUGUGGUUAAUGUCAAAGCAACCAUUUAUUUCCAAAAGAUCUACUUCCAGAAACUGAACAUAAAACAGCGAAAACCGUGAAGAAAGCAUUCUGAAACCAUUUAGCAGCCCAGAUUCAUUCAUUGUUUCAAAUUUCUGGGUUUUCAUCAAUUAAAAAAACGCUGCCAACACACACCCACAACUCAUACCAAACAAAAACCAAUUAUGCAAUCUGAAAUCUAACCAAGACUCGUCAUUUAAACAUCAUCUUAAUCACAUACAACAGGACGGGCAUCUCAAACCACAUACUGACAAACAAAACAGUGAAUGACACAAAACCUUCGUUUUCUAAGAUUGAAUCUUCACACGAGUUGUAUAAAGUCAACAGGAAAAAGGUUAAGGUCACCUGAUGAAACUAGCGCAGUCCAAUGGAGGUGAAGUGUUCUGAGGAAGUCGUAUGGAUUUGCUGGAACAAAAACCCAGAAAGCUUCGUUGCUGCAAGGUUCUUCCAGUGAUGUUUGUCGCAGGAGGGUUCUCGGUGUGGGUGAUGGCCGUCGUAAGACUCUCCCUCGUUCUCACGACCUCCUUUCCUAGCCGCAACCCUCUUGCCUUUAGAUUCUCUGAUUCUCUCCUCCAAGACUCAGCUCUCGGUUCCGUUCUUUUCCUUUGGUCGCCGACCUUUACAGACUGCCCUUACUUUUUGUUUUCCUUUUCUUCCUCCACCAGCCCAUUUCUAGCAUAGCUUUCCCCCCCCCUUUGCCCGUAGGUUUUUCCUUUUUUUUUUAAGCCGUCGCCACCAACUCCCUUUUUCUCUCUUGUUUUGUUCUACCCGCCGUCCACUUCUCUCCGUCUCUGUUUUUGCAGCCCCCAACCUCUCUUCUGAUUUUUCCUUUUGCCGUUUUCCCUCUCUCUCCCUCUCUCUCCUUAUCAGCCGUCACUUUCCUCACCCUCAACUCUCUACUCUAUCCGCUACCUUAUUUUUUCCUGUUUGCGGCUGUCUAUCCCCUUCCCCCCUCUUGCAUCUCAUUCUUUUAUAUACGGGACUCCUACCCUAAAACCCUCAAACACUCUCUCCAAAAUUGCAGCCCAAGGGCUGCCCAUGAGCCCUUCCUUGCAAGCUGCAAAAACGCAGCUUUCAAGUCGCGUUUUUUUUUUUUUAAUAAUUAUAAUAACAAAUUGACAAAAACCAGGUAAUAAUAAUAAUAAAAACAAAUUAAAAAAACUAAACAAAUGGAAACAACAAAAAUGGUCAUUUUUCAAUUUUUCUUUCAUUUUUUCAAUUUUGUCUCAAAAUAACUUAAUAAAAAUAACUAAAAUGCCAAAAGAUUGAAUUUAAAGAAAUAAACAUAUUUUUGUGAACAAAAUUUCCUUUUCCUUUUCCAUUUUUUUCAAGAAAACUAAAGCCUAUUUUUUGAAUGUUUUUGUAUUUUUCUUCUUUUCCCUCUUUUCUUUAAUUUUCUCUUUUCUCUUUUUUUUUAUGAUUUUUCAUUUUCAUUUUUCCUUCAAGAAAGCAUUGAAUAAAAACAACAUGACUAAAACAUAUUUUUGAUGUUUUCCUUUUCUUUUUCUAAAACUCUAUGCUAAUCCUAAACUUAAAAGCUAAAACUAAAAACUAAAACUAAAAGUAAAUAAGAAUGAAUAGCAAAUGAAAUAGGUCAACUAAAAGGGCGAAAAUGAAUAAAACUAAAAUAUCAUAACAACUAAUAGUGCAAAACACACAAUAACGAACUAAAAUGCAAGCAAUCUAAAAUGAAAAUCAUGAAAUAGAUGAUACAUACAAAUUAUUCAAAAUUUGGUGUCUACAACUUGUGUGGAGGUUAUCAUGCAACUAAUACAUGUAUGCAAGCACAAAAUGUGGAUUACUAUGAUGAAUUAGAACAUUACAAUCCUUAUUUUGAUCAAUACAGUGCUAAUUGGAGCAAUUCUCUUUCUUAUGGUUGGGAAAAUCAAUGUGCAUAUAGUGAUUAUCCAUAUUUUUAUAAUUACCAAUCUGAAAAUGUCCAAUAUAAAGCAAAACCAUCUUGGGAGUUAGCUAUAGAAAAAUUAGCUAAUGUGACUUCCGACCGUUUUGAUAGGAUUGAGGAAAUGAUAGAUGAAUUGGCUUCUCACUUUGGUAGAAUAAAAGAUCAAUUACAUGUAUUGUGUGAAGUUAUUUCCUCUAAUAAUGUGCAAAAUGAUCCUAGCAUGAAUGGUGGGAAUGUUGUAUGUGAAAAUGGGUUGCAUUUUAAUGAAAAUGAUGAAUCUCAAUUGUGUUUCAAUGAGCAAAUGUCCAUUUCACAUGAUAAUAUCUUUGGAACUAACUUUGAACCUCAAGAGGUGAGUUUUAAUGACUCAUUUUUCACCCCUCUUGAGGAGUGUAUAAAAAGUACAGGUUUUAAAGAUAUUCCUGCCCAAGAUACUUUCGUGGCAUUUCCUUUGGUAAGUUCUCAAGUGGUGCAUAUUCAAGGUAAUAUUUAUGAAACACUUGGAAUAUGUAAGUCACUUUCAUUUCUCACAUCAUUAGAUUAUGUGGCUUUCGCGAUAAAGCCACCUUUUAAUGAUCCACCACGGCCUAAAAUGGUGGAUUAUUCGUUAACUAACCCUCCUUGAAAAAUAAGGUGAAAUAGUCAAGCUAUUGACUUUAAAGAAGCGCUUAUUGGGAGGCAACCCAAUGUUUGUUUAAGUUUAUGUUAUUUUGGGGUGAUUUUAUGUUUAAAGUAUGUGUUUGAGUUAUUUUGUUAUUUUUCAUUUGUAGGUAUUGGAAAUGGAAGCAAAAGUGACCAAAUGAGGUGAAAAAGGCGAAAUUUGAUCGAGGAACUCAACCCCUCGAUUUGAGUAAUUGUUGUUUUUGAUCCGUUAAAAGGGGCUAAAAUGCAUGUUUUUAAUGUUUUACAUGUGUGCACAUUGAUAAAUUUUACAAACAAAUGAUUUAUGAUGCAUUUUGAGUGAUUGGGGAAUUAUUUGUAAAUUUUCAAAAGUUGAAUUUCUGCUAAAAUUCGCAGCAGAAAACGCAUUUCUCAAGAAAACGCGCCUCUGAGUCGCGUAUUCACAGAAUCGCGUUUUCAAUUCUGCACCUGCAGAACAGAAAACACGCCAUUAAAACGCGACAUUAAGUCGCGUUUUGUUGCCUGGAUCAAAGAUGAAAACGCGCCAUUGAAAACGCGACUUCAAGUCGCGUUUUCUCACAGAACCGCGUUUUCAGUACUGCAACUUUUGGGAAGAAACGCGCCUUCAAAACCGCGAGUUAAAGGCGCGUUUCUACUCACGUUUUCUGAGCAUUUUUUUUUUGAAAGAAAAAAUGCAGGUUCCUUGGUUCUCUUUUUCUUCUUUUCCUCAUAUAUUUUCUUGUACCUUGAGUUGCUUAUUAUGUAUUUUUUAUAGGUACAUCACCAAAACAAGGGCUUGAAGUUACGGAUAGCCGUUUUGAUGUCUUAAGCCUUUGUUAUCACUUUGGUUUCUCAUUUUCCAUUCUUAGGUUUAUAUUACUAAUGGUUAUCCAAUGGAACUCGUGAAGUGAUGAAGACCGGCGAACAACAUACCUUGAAGCUUCAUAUUCAAUCACAACAAUAGAGGAGUAUUAUUUUUCUUUAUCUUCAUUUUCCUUUUUACACAUUGAGGACAAUAUGCAUGUUAAGUGUGGGGGGAGAAUUGAGAUUAUAUAUAUUGUAUGUGAUUGACUUAUUAGUUGCAAAUAUUGGACUCGUGUUAAAAUUCAAAAUUUUUCUAACAUCUUGUCCAAAAUUGCAAAUUUGCCCCAAAAAUUUUAAAUUUUAAAUUUCAUCCAAAGGGAUAACAAAGUUCCAUACCAUUAGUAGUUCAAAUUCCUUCUACAUUUGAGAUAAAUAUAUAUGAUUUGGAAACUUCUUUUCUCAUUUAACUUGGAAAUGACUAUUAUGUGAUUAUAAUUUUGCAUUUGUAGGAAAAUAUAUCUUGUGAAGUGGAGAAAAUUAUGCCUAUUUUUUUGCAUAUUUAAUGAAAUUUCUUUUCUUUACUUGAUUUUAUAUAGUUAAGUGAUAAAUAUGAUCAAUAAGUGCAAUACUCUUCUCAUGAUUAUUUUUUUUAAAAUUAUUAUUCUCUUUGCUAUUAAAAAAAAAAAAAGAGAAAGAGAAAAAAAACAAAAGAGAAAAGAAAAUAAAUAAAAAUUGUUCUACUCCAAUGAUUCUCGUACCGAGUAACCGGGGGUUGGCAUCUACAAAUGUCAACAUUCGCGUAAAAAGGUACUUGAAUUAAGAGUAUGCAAAGCAACUUGAGUAUGUGAAGUGUUGAGUAACCGGUGAUUUUCAUCUAAAAAUGUUGAUCCUCGCGUAAAAAGAUACUUUCACAACUUAAGUAAUAUUUAGCUAUAUUAUAUAAAUAAAUCCCUCUUUAAGUUAAAUAAGAAGAUGAUCAUGGGUUUAGGAAGCAUAUUAUUGACCAUAUGAGUUACUUACUUGUAAGAUUGGGUAAGGAUGAAAAAUUGAUUUGAAUUUGUUAUAAUGACGGUAUAAUUGGCUUUCCUUUACUUGAUAUUAUGAGUACUUGAAUUUAAUUAAAUAAUUGCAUAAUGGUUAUUUACUUUGUUUUGAGGAAAUGAAGUUGAAAUGCUACAUAUGUUUAUUUUCAAAUUUUGGAUCAUUGUUGGUUUGUAUUUUUUUAUUGCUUGAGGACAAGCAAUGGUUCAAGUGUGGGGGUAUUUGAUAAGAGUUUAUUUUACGUAUUUUUAGUGUGUUUUAUUAGUUAAUUUUGGUUUGAUUAUUUAGUUUUAUAACUAAAAUAACUAAGGUUUUGGUAAAAAUCUACAUUUUAUGUUAAAGUGGCUAACAUUGCAUUUCUAUUGAUUUUUAUGGGAAAAACUUCAUAUUUUGUAGGUUUAAUGAUUCAAUCAUCAAAUGAAGUGCAUUGAGAAGAUAUUUGGAUGAUUGAUGAUGGAUUAAAGUGGUGAAAAUAAAAUAUGAAGUAUAAAAGGAAGAAAUGCAAUUUGAGGACAAAAAUCAAGAAAAGUCAGCUUUGACAACUCAGACACAUUUUCGUAUUUUGACUAUAUCAGGAGCUACAAUGAUCGGAUCAAGGUGAUCUUGGUACCAUUUUGAAGCUAAGAGAUAUAUCUACAUUUGGUAUGAAGACAUCAAAGUCCAAUUCAGCCGUUUUCUUGGUCAAAAGGUCGAAACACAGAAACUUAUCUGGAUGGUCGAAAGCUGAAGCCCAGAAUUGACCAGUCUAUGGUAUUUUGACCAUAUCUCAGUCCACCGAUCUCCAAAUUAGAUGAUUCUUGAAGCAUUGGAACUCUAAUUCAAAGGGCUACAACUUUUGUGUUUUGCACAAAAGCCAGUUCGGCCUUCAUCAUGGAGAAAAAUGCAGUUGAAGUGAGGUCAAAAGUAAAAACGUGUAUGGCAGCCGAAUUUCUGUAAUUUGCUCAGCCAUUUUUCUCAUCUUCACACUACUUUCCAGCUAGAGUUGGAGAGAAAACGUAGGCUGCACAUGCUUCAGAAGACAUAAGGAAGAGAUAUAGCCAAGGUUCCAAGUCAAAAGCCAUUAUUUUUGACUCCCUUAACAAAUCCAGAUUUGGAGAAUCAAAGUGGAGAGUCAUAGCAGAAAUUUAUGACUGGUAAGGGAAGGACUUUUCAUCAGCUUAUAUGUAGAGACAUUUGAGGUCUAUGAGGAGGGAGGAAUCAUACGGGGAGAAGCUUGAAGAGUGCAGAAAUGUAGUUCUUCCAUUUCCUUUGUGUAGGAUAGUUUAGCUAGUGUAGUUCAUCCAUUCUUGUAUAUUGCUAGACUAGGAUUAAGAUGGAGAUGAAAAAGGCAAGGUGAUGAGCUCAAGUGACAUGGGUUACAUUCCUUUCCAACUCUUUAUCUUUUGUACUUGAUUCCAAAUUUAGUUAAUAUGCAAGUUCUGGAAUUUAUGUCUAUUAUGUGUUUCUAAAGUUUAUGCCUUGGGUUUGGUUGAACUUUCUAUGAUUGUUAGUGUUUAUCAUUUGGCUAUUUAACUGCUAUGAUUUGAGCAAGUUAUUUAGCACUUUAGCUCUUUAAAUCAUGAUUAAUCUGGUACCAUUAAUUGUGAUUAUCUAAGGUGUUAUUUCUGCAAUGAAAAUUGAGAUUUAACAUUAGUUCAAUAAGUGCUAAACAUGGGGAGUACACUCACGAGAGUAGAGGUGCACCUAUGGGGUUUUGGUGAUUAAUUUCAUGUAAUUUCAUUGAAGAAAUGAACUUGUAGCUAAUUUCAUAACCAUGAGAAUAGGUAUGGAUUGGUUAUUAGUAUAAUUGAUUCACUACGAAAGUAGGAUUCAAAUGCAUAAGGAAAUUACACCAUAACUAGCCUAGAUGUAGUAUUCAAUGAUCCAAAUAUAGCACUUGCAUGAGUAGUUAGGGAUACCACAACCUAAGGAGCAUUUAUUUGUUAUUUUGUAUAAUUUCAGUAGGAUAAAUUUGUUAUAAUUCAUUGAUAGUUUAAAUAAUAGAGAAGCUUUAGUAAUACCGGUAAUUGUUCACUCUUCCCUGUGGGAUCGACCCGAUAUAUACCCUAAACUACUAGUUGAUCUGUAUACUUGCAGUGAACGGGUGUAAUUCGGUAUUUUUUAGCUUGCACGUAUGUAAAAUACCCGUCAAUAAUUAAAUAUGAAAUCAAAUGCAAAAGAGAAAGUAAUAGGAGAGAUGUCACCCUUGUCAUAUGACGGGUUUUUGAUAUGAGUACAAGUUUAAUUCCGAAAUAUGUCCAUUUUAACUGCAAGUAUACAGGUCAAAUUAGUAGUUUAGGGCAAAUAUCAGGUCAAUCCCACAGAGAGCAACUUUACAAGUUAGGUCCCUACUUACUUUAUUAUUUAGACUAAUGACCGAUUUAAACAAGAGAAAUUAUAAUUACUACUAUCUAACUAGUUUUAACUAGAUAUUUGCAAGGAAGCAAUAACUAGAUCUACUUUUGUUUUCUUCAUGAAAUGCAAGUUUAAUCUACUUAAGUGUACCUCUAUUCUCAUGACUCUACUACUCAAGCUCUAUUUAUAUUGUUCUAUCAUUAUUACCAACUUUCAUUGAAUAAUAAUAACUAAAAGCUUGCUAUUGGUGAUCAAGCAACAACAAGUGAUAAGCAUGCAUAAAUAGAAAAGUUAAUACAAGGUGUAACUAGUGUAAAUCAUAUUCACUUCAUAUCAAGUAGCCAUAAGUUUCAUCUACUCCCUAGAUCUAGAAAUUUAGCUACUCAUAUAAUAUGUAACAAGAAAGAGCAUAACUUCAUUGCAUGAACACAUAUUGAAUUACAAAUGAAAGAUAGAUAAAGAAAGCUUAUCCAAGAUCAAUGAAGAAGCUCCCAAUGAUCUUCUAUUUCUUCAACAAAAUGAGUUGUACGAUGAAGUCUCCAAUUGUUCUCACAAAAUUUCUAGCUAGAGAGAACAAAAAAAAACUAACCACUAAGCUCUCAUCCUCAAAUCUGAUGAGAACUACCUCUAAUAUGUCCUCUUCUCCCUCUCUAAUGAUUCUAACAACUCUAGUGUUUAGAGAGUCAAAAAGUGGUGUUUUGACAAGACAUCAAGCUCAUUUUUUUCUUCCAAAAGGUUCCUUGAACAUGUGCAGCUGAAAUUCUUGUCUGGAGUUGAGCUGGAAAGUUGUGUGAAAGCAAAGCAAGUGGCUGAGCAAAUUGCAGAAAUCAGGCUACAAUACGCGACUAUGUAAUAUGCGACUUCAACCCACGUAUUGCCAAGUCUUGUAUUAUUUUCUGUGAAUUUUGCGUCACUGAAACUGAGAUUUCCUUAAUGAUGUUGGCCAAAAUAGCUCUUGUGAAAAACAUGAAAGUUGUAGCCCUUUGUGUUAGAUUUCCAAUGAUUCAAGAAUCAUCCAAUUUGGAGCUCUGUGGACCGGGAUAUGACCAAAAUACCAUCAACUGGUCAGAGCUCUAUUUCAGCACUCGACCAUGCAUACACACUUUUGUAUUUCAACUUUUUGACAAGGAAGAAGACUGAACUGGAUUUUGAUGUCUUCAUACCAAAUGUAGAUCUAUCUAUUAGCUUCAAAAUGGUAUAAUAAUUACCGCAAUUUGAUGUUUGUAGCUCAAGAUAUUGCCAAAAUACCGCCAUGUAUCAAAACUAUCUUCACUUGCAUUUCUUCAUUUGAGUGUUUUGCACUUCAUGCCUUCUUAAAACCACUUCAAAUCAUCGAUAAUUAUUCAAUUCUCUUCUCAAUUCAUGCCAUUUGAUGUUUGAAUCAUUAAACCUAUAAAACAUGAAGUUUUCACCAUUAAAAUCUAUAGAAAUGCAAUCUUUACCACUUAAACCACAAAAUGCAUUUUUUUUUCACUAAAACCCUAGUUAUCUAGCUAUAAAACUAAAUAAAACACACCAAAACUAACUAAUAAAACACACUAAAAUCAAGUAAAAUAUACUCUUAUCAAACUCCCCCACACUUGAGCCAUUGCUUGUCCUCACGCAAUUAGAAAUACAAACCAACAAUGAUCCAAACUUUUGAAGAUAAACAUAUGUGCACAAUUCAACUUCAUUUCCUUAAAACAAAGUAAAUAACCAUUAUGCAAUCAUUUAUUAAUCCUCAAGUACUCAUAAUAUCUAGUAAAGGAAAGCUAAUUAUACCCUAAUUAUGCUAGUUCAACUCAAUUUCUCAUCCAUAUCCAAUUUCACAAGCAGGUAACUCAUAUGGUCAUUAAAAGUGCUAUCUGUGACGACCCCACUUUCUCCUAAGGUGAAUAAGAGGGUUGGCGGGCCGUCUGCCUAGCACUCGCCAGGACUCACGCAAGCAAGCUAGCAAAAAUCCUUUCGAAGUAUAACCUAAUCUAUUACAACAUCGUUUCCCUCCAAAUAAGCCGGUUUCUAGAAUCACAUUAACUUCAGAGAUAACAGUGCCUUAAGAUAGCCAACGUCGAUUCUUAAAAUACCUUCCCGAAUACAACCCAAGAAACAAAACAUCAAUUCAAAUACAUCCUUACAGGCCAAGUAACAAAUUCAUACAAGCCACAUACAAAUCCAGGGUUUACACUUUUCCAGCUUCAAGUGGCAACCUAAGGCAAAACUACAAUGUUUAACUCGAAUUACAUUCAUGAAAGUAAACAAUCUAGUACUACUUCCGAGCACCUUUGGUCUCAAAUCCUGUAAAAGAAAAUCACAACGUGGAAUGAGCUACACAGCCCAGUGAGGUUCCAAGACACUCUAACAGUUCAAACAAAUCAAGAAAGUUGUGCAUGUCAUAUGCAUGGUGCGAGGUUACACAAUGGCAGGUUAUCAUGAGGUGAUAAUCAUUACUCGGGUAAUUGCUACUUUGAAAACACAUGUAGUAGUAGUACUUUUGCUGGUAACUUUACUAUGGGUACAACUCAUAAAUUAUCUAAAAUCACUAACGUAUUUUUGGAAUGAAUGACCAUAUAAAUAUAUUUUCAUGAAUUUUUAGUCAAACAAAUAGUGGCUCGUCUGACUAGAAGAACAUUACAAGGAUUGCUUCAUCUCAGAGAUUAAUGCUCAUGAGGAGUCUUACCCGAGAAAUGUCAACUAGGAGAGCAAUAACAUUAUUAAUAGCAAAGCAAGCACAAAAGGAUACAGUACUCGGUCCACUUCCCGUCCUUAUAACUCCGAUCGGUAACUCUUUCGAUUGACUGGCCAUCACCUUAUCCCUCCAGUGGUAGUACUCGAGUAUACCGAAACGGUUGUCCAGGGUUCCAACCUACCCGACCGAGCCCAGUCCUGGCUCGAGUAGGUCAGUAACCGAGGCAAGGCCCAAGUUCAGCUUAUAGCUUACAACAUGCACAGGUAACCAAGUAAUUCGACAAAAAGUAAAAUUCAUCAUUUGAAUAGGUCGAGUGAGGUAAAGUACACACUCGCCUAACAAUGAUGGACAACUUCAUAUAACGUGUGAUUCAUGAUAAUCAAGUAAUCAAGUGGAUACUUAGCACGUAAGCACGUAAGCAAUACAAGUUGAUUUCAUGGGAGCAUGUAAUUCACGGAUAUCGAAUAAUCAUAUAGAUUAGAAAUCAUGUGAGCAAAUAGUCAGGUAAUCAGGUAGUCAUGUGGGUUGGUAAACGGUUCACGGUUAACGGUUAACGGUUGACGGUUGAGUAAUGACGGUUAUUUGGCAGGCAUUUGCCAUAUUAAUAGGCCAUCAUUGGCCGUUAUCCCAUUUUUACCAUGUGAGAGUCGAGGAGAUUCACUCCAACGACGUAUGCAACCAUAGCAUACCAAGUCAUGUUAUUCGAGCAUUUUCAAGCAUGGGUAUGGUAAAUAUUUAACACAUAGUACUUAACACUUAGAAAUCAUGAAAUGAGCAUGUCCUAGACUUAUUCCAUUACGCAUUCCUAUAUGGAACACUCACCUAGUCAAACAAGCACAAUAGGUCUCAAAGAAGCGUUUUAGGCGUCCGCUCCGAGUUCCUCUUGGAGAUCUCCUCGAUUGCCUGAGCAAACAAUAAUUCAAGUACUACUCAAUAUCGCUACGAAUUCUCUAGUUUUCGAUGAAGAUUGUACGCUAGUGCAAUCUAAGGAAUUAACGCGGAGACGAGCCUAGAAUUCGUGUAACUCGAGGUUCAAAAGUGGGGUUUUAAAACACAAGACAAAUUUGAUUUCCAUCUUUGGAUUCAAAUGUAAAACAAUCAAAUGAUAUUGAAAGAAAUGAAGAGUUCGAAACCCCUUUGUUUCCUUUAAGUUAGAAAAUUCCAGAUUUAACAAGUAAUCUUUGAAAAAUCAUAUCUUACUCUCUACAAGCCCAAAAUUGGAAAACUUGGUACUAUUGGAAACCUCUUUGAAAGUACUAAAAGUUCCUAGAAUACACUUUUCCAUGAUUCCAAAUGGAAGAUAGUCAAAAAUGGGCUCAAAGCUACUGUUUUGGUUCAUAAGGCAGAUUUAAGUUGGUUUUUGGCCAACUUUGGAAUUUCGGCAAAAUUCACUUGUUUGGAACUAGCUUUUGAAAUUUUUAACUCUAUUAGUGUUGUAAUCCAAGAGUAUAACAAAACAAAUGGAACGAGAAACGGGGUUUUGAGCACCAAGAUACGGUAGCUCAAAGUUACUAAAAUUCCCUUGUGAAACAUGGGUUUUUCAAACUCGAGUCAUGAACUUUGGUAAUUUAUUUGACCCAUGAAACGGCCUCAGAAUAACACCAUAAUUAGCAGUAUAAUACUACCAUAUAAGGGUUGUUCCUCUACCAAAUUUCAUGGAAAAAUAACUUCGGAAAGGUGGUCAAUCAAACACCUAAAAUUUCGCAAAUACUAAGACAAAACUGUCUUGAACCUUUUGUUUUUCCAUUUCAGACAUUUGGUCAAAGAAAGAUUCCUCCAAACCUGGUUCAUUUGUUUAGACAAAACUUAAAGAACGUUCAUGGUACAUUUGGUAAGUGUUUAGCAUCAAAAUAUUCAGUUAGCAAGUCUUUGCCAAACCUUGCAUCAAAUCUGUCUAAAAAAUCAGGGUUUUCAAGGGGAGAGCAGGUUUCAUAUUUUGAUCACAGAUCUCUCAAAUUAACUCGGAAUUUGGCAUGGUUUAAGGCGUUGGAAAACACAUUCAUAGAGCUAUAAUUUCACAGAAGAAAUCAUUCUGAAAUUCGGCACACAACUAGCUCGAAUUCGAGUCACAAGUUGCAGCCUCAGCAUUUUGUUCUUUUAAAACAGAGAAACAUAACAACCGACUUAAAAUAGUUGGUUUGGCUCACAUUCAUGGAACCAGAAUGUGUAUUUUAUAUCGUCGGAAAGGUUGGAAUGUCUAGUUUCAAAUGCCGCUGACGGCACCGCUGACGGCACUCGAUUUCAACCUCGGAGUUCAAAAUUAUGGCCGAAAUACGAAAGCUGGUCAGAGCAUUUCGGAAAUAGUUCCAGAUUUACUAGCUUUGUUAAAUCGAUUUAUUUGACGAACCAAACCUCAAUAUUUUUCAAUGAAACUUUGUACACCAUAUAUUCAACAUAUCAACAUGAUAUACAAGUCAUGAAACCCUCAAAAUUUUGCAAAAAGGGUUGCGAUUAAAACAGGGCAAAUCUGAACAUUUUUGAACUAUGCAUCUCUUGGAGUCUAGACUAGCUAGGUAUCAUUAAUCUACCUAUUUAAACACUAAACUAGCAUUAUAUCCAUCAUCAAUCCAAGGGUGGGAGUUCAUAGAGCCCACCAUCAAAAUUUUCCGACAUGAAACAAAACAAAUAGCAUGUGAUUUUGGCAAAUAAUUCCACCACAAUAAAUCUGUCCUUGGCUAAACAGAAUUUCCAGCAGCUAAUUGGUCAUAAUCCAACUUUUUACUCGGCUAAAACAUGAUAUUAAGUACUCAAUUUUGGCAUGCAAUUUCUUAACUAGCCAAUUAACAUUUCCAGUUCAAAAUUAGAUUCAAACAACAGUUUUACUCAUCUAAAACAAAUCCAGAAAUUCUGUUUAGCUUGGCCUCAGUCGAACAUACGUGUAGCAGAUUUCUAAUUCAUUUUAUUUCUCUGAUUUAAACCCAUUAAUUAGCUACAUGCAAAGAUCAAUUAUCAUGUUAUUAACUAGUUAAUCAUGGUUACAAACUCAAAACAACAAAAUUGAAUCAAAUGAAGCUGUAAAAUACAGGACAAGCUCUCGGCUGCAGCAAUUCAUAACAACAGAAUUUCUUAUUUUUCUUGAUUCAUCAUCCGGCUGCAUAGAGUUAACAUGCAUGGUCUUAAUCUUCAAGUUUUCACUCAGCUAAUGACACUUAGGUGUUCAGAUUGCCACGGAAAACAAAAAUGGAGCUGCAUUAUCACCUCAGUUUCUCGGCAGCAACAUUUCAUCAAAACAGAAUUUUUCUGGUGUCUUGGUUUCAUCAACCGACUUCACAAGCAACACAUGCAGCUCUGAUAUGGCUUCAUCUACUAAAAGUUAACUUAAUAUAGCCCAGAAAUUACCUCAGAAACAACUUAGCUCACGCACAAGAAAUCUGAAAAGAAAAAUUCUGUUCUCCCUCUCGACUCUCGGCUCGCUUGUGGCUGCAGGUUGGUUGCUGCUGUGAUGGUGUUGGGUUCUGAGGUUGUUUUGUAGUUGGUUGAGGUUGCAGCAAGGGAUGAAGCUCACGUAGCCUCCCUCAUUUCUCCUCUUUAGUUUACGGACAGAACGGACAAGUUGCAGCUCGCGCGAUUUCCUUUCUUUUCUUUCUUUUCCUCUCGGCUUGCAGAGUGCAGCCCGGCCUCUCACUCUCUCUCAGUCAAUAUUCACGAGGUGGAGGCUGGAGAGGAAAUGUUUGUGGUUGUGGUCUGGAUGAGUUUGUGCAGAGAAAAUGGGAAUGGUGGUUUGUGAUAUAGGAAUGAGGUAGAAAUGUGGUGCCGCGGUUUUGGAGAAGGAAGAAAGAAUGGUUUACGGUUUUGGAGUGUAUGAAAUGGUUGCAUAUAGAAUUGGUGAAAAUGUGAUUGGUCGAUUGGGGCGGUGAUUGAAAUGCUAUCAGAGGGAUUGUUUGGUUUUGCAUGGAAACGUUGGGGUUGUAAGGGCAUUUUAGUCUUUUCACUCUGCUUCCUAACCUCUACUUAAAUUCUCCAUUCUAACUUAGCUCCAAAAAUUAUCCCCAAGUGUGAUUUGAACGCCUAAUUAUACACUAGUAUACUUAAACCAUUUUUAUCGAAUAUUUAUCGAUCACAAUUUAAUAUUAAGGUUCCUAGUAAUUCCUAACAUUAUUACCUAAAUAUUUAAACUACAAAAAUCAAGUUUGACCUUAAUAUAUAAAUUUAACAUUCUUAAUAUUCGUUUAUCCUUUUAUAUCAAAACUUAUUAACUUAAUCAUUAUUAACGCUUAAGAUUAGCUAUCGGAAUUCAAAGAAAUUUAAUUGUUAAAUCAAUGAAAUAAUUUACCUUCGAAAUAUGAAUUUAAUGUAACAAAACUAGGAAAUUUAACCACUUAUUCGUUAUAUGUAAUUUCUUGAAUCGAUUAUUUACUCCAAUCGCGUAUUUACUAUUUUCACUUAACGAACUUACAGAAAUGAAAUUUCGAAACGAAUUGCUUUAAAAAUAUAACUAAACUAUGGAUACGUUUAAUUAAACCGAAAAAGCUUAGAAAAUAAUACUCAGAGAAAUCGGGUGAGUAAAUACUUAUUUUAGCCAGUAAAAUAAAUAAAAUAAACAAAAUUUUCGGGUCCUCACAACCUACCCUCCUUAAAGAGAAUUUCGUCCUCGAAAUUCAUACCUUCUGAAAUCUUGGAUAACCCUGAACCAUGUGGUGUGAUCAUGUCAUAUGUUCGUUCAGACGCCACUGGUCGGUUCCUCCUUCCAUUGACUUGUCGAGGGACAGUUCCAUUUCCCUGUUGAGCAGUGGUUUCUCGUAGAUACCUCCUUAGACAGUCAUGAACUUUAUGGCUAGUACUCCCACAUCCCAUACACUUUCGUCCCUUUAGCCAACAGUUUUCUUCAAUGUGAUUCGUCCUUCCACAAUAUCCACAAAUUGGAUGAGGUGUUGUGACCUGACUUGUUUGCGAGGUUUUCUUUGAUCGUGUCUGUCCUACUGAAGUCUCUCGCGACAUAAUUCCUUUUGGUUCCUUUAUCCUGAGUGGUGCAGGAAGUAACAGUCCUACCCCAUCCACUUCUUUUCUAACUUUGGGUAGUGGUCCAUUUUCUCCUAGUGUACUGUCAGAUGCGUCUCUUUUCCUUGCUUGAAAAGCUCUCAGUUGAGAUUUUGUGAUUUCUACCCUUUGCGCUUUUUCGAGAGCGUCACUAAAUGUUUCAACCUGUGCUGCGGCAAGGGCAUCUUGGAUUUCUAAAUCUAAUCCUUGGAUAAACCGUCUUAUUCUCUUCCUUUCAGUAGCCACCAAUUCUGGAGCAUAUGUAGAUAACUUCGUAAAGCGUGUUUUAUACUCAGAUACAAUUAAAGUUCCUUGACGAAGCUUUAUGAAAUCAUCUUCUCUCUUUUCUUGGACUAGUGGUGGAAGAAAUUUUCCAUUAAAUUCUAGGACAAAGUUCAUCCAAGUUUUCGGAGUUUGUUCCCUUUCCCACUUAUUUCUUAUAACAUUUCACCGUGCUCGAGCCGGCCCUUCAAGUUGGAACACAGCAAAAUUUACUUCUCUCUCCUCGGAAUAAUCUAGUGCAUCAAAUAUAUUUCUUAUAUUUUCUAAUCAAUUCUCAGCCACCUCUGGAUCAGGUCCUCCAGCAAACUUAGGCGGGAAGAAUUUCUGAAACCGCUCUAAAGCUCGAUCCUCCCCUAUUUCUUGGUUUCCCUGUCCAACACCUUGACCUUGUUGAGCUACUAAGAGCUCUAGUAUAUCCGUCAUGCGGUUUAGAACUUGUCCCAUUUGGUCAUUUCCUCUCCCAGCACUGGGCUCGGCAUUUUGGUCAAUAUCAGAUCCAUUAUCUACUCUUUCAUUUCGGGGUUGUCUAGAUUGACGUCCCUUUCGUCGUCUCCCAGCUUCCAUUCUCACAACUAAUCUAUACAAAUAUGUGCAAAUGGCUCACUAAACUAAAAAUUAUCUAUGCACACGUAUAUUUAACAAUUUUCAAAAUGAGCAAUAAAACUAUAUCCACAGAUGACAUUUUCACAAAUAGCACAUUAACAGUUAACAUAGAAUUUAAACUAGUCUCAAUUAGGUUGCAUACCAUUACAAAAUUAGAGCUAAUCAAGUCAUAAUACAAGUUGAAAUCAAAGGUCAUUUAUCCAAAGUUUAAAAAUCUUUAGCAAGCCAGCCAAUAACUAAAGUGCAUUCAUCUCCAAGAAUAACCAACCUUGGAAUUUCUAGUUAAAGCCUCAAGUACCAUUUUCAAACUCAGGGAAUAUGUACAACUGGCUCACUUAAGCGUCAAGUGGGAACCAAGUCAAUUCGCACUAGGACUGGCCAUCUCCAGAUGCAAAUCAACUCAAUCGCCACCAUUCCUCAAAGAAAAUUUCACAAAAUGUCUCAAUCAAGCAAUCGAUCUAAGAUUCACAUUCAAUUUCAUACAUAUACUUACGAAGAUUACAAGCCUAGAGGAUACCUCGAAUCUUACAAUUUACCCAGUCAAAUUCGAUCUUAUAGAUAUCAGCUAGUACCAAUAUUCAAGAAACUCAACUAUUACUUUUCAAAUCAAUUCUCACACAAUUCUCUUCAGUUUCUUACAAUAUAAGAAACCCUAGUGUGUAAACCCACUUAAAAACAAACACUUCAAUAUUACUCAAUCAAUCAUCAAGUAUUAAGAUCACAUUCCACUUACUAAACAAUCAAACUCCACAGUCCGGCAUCUUAUGCUUAAAGCCUAAGAUACACUACAAAGAUCUAGAGUCUAAGCUCUGAUACCACCUGUGACAGUUCUCAGGGUCACAUCACGGGGUACCUAUCAGCUUGCCAUCCGCACGCGGGCAUCCCCUACGGAGAGUUUCGCUUCGUGACUCUUCACGAACGAAAGGCUCGGGGCUUUUCCAGACGAAGGACUUAAAGUCCCAACUGUCGGCAUAUGGCUCUGAUACCACCUGUGACGAUCCCACUUUCCCCUAAGGCGAACCAGAGGGUUGGCGGGUCGUCUGCCUAGCUCUCGCCAGGACUCACGCAAGCAAGCUAGCAAAAAUCCUUCCGAAGUAUAACCUAAUCUAUUACAACAUCGUUUCCCUCCAAAUAAGCCGGUUUCUAGAAUCACAUUAACUUCAGAGAUAACAGUGCCUUAAGAUAGCCAACGUCGAUUCUUAAAAUACCUUCCCGAAUACAACCCAAGAAACAAAACAUCAAUUCAAAUACAUCCUUACAAGCCAAGUAACAAAUUCAUACAAGCCACAUACAAAUCCAGGGUUUACACUUUUCCAGCUUCAAGUGGCAACCUAAGGCAAAACUACAAUGUUUAACUAGAAUUACAUUCAUGAAAAUAAACAAUCUAGUACUACUUUCGAGCACCUUUGGUCUCAAAUCCUGUAAAAGAAAAUCACAACGUGGAAUGAGCUACACAGCCCAGUGAGGUUCCAAGACACUCUAACAGUUCAAACAAAUCAAGAAAGUUGUGCAUGUCAUAUGCAUGGUGCGAGGUUACACAAUGGCAGGUUAUCAUGAGAUGAUAAUCAUUACUCGGGUAAUUGCUACUUUGAAAACACAUGUAGUAGUAGUACUUUUGCUGGUAACUUUACUAUGGGUACAACUCAUAAAUUAUCUAAAAUCACUAAUGUAUUUUUGGAAUGAAUGACCAUAUAAAUAUAUUUUCAUGAAUUUUUAGUCAAACAAAUAGUGGCUCGUCUGACUAGAAGAACAUUACAAGGAUUGCUUCAUCUCAGAGAUUAAUGCUCAUGAGGAGUCUUACCCGAGAAAUGUCAACUAGGAGAGCAAUAACAUUAUUAAUAGCAAAGCAAGCACAAAAGGAUACAGUACUCGGUCCACUUCCCGUCCUUAUAACUCCGAUCGGUAACUCUUUCGAUUGACUGGCCAUCACCUUAUCCCUCCAGUGGUAGUACUCGAGUAUACCGAAACGGUUGUCCAGGGUUCCAACCUACCCGACCGAGCCCAGUCCUGGCUCGAGUAGGUCAGUAACCGAGGCAAGGCCCAAGUUCAGCUUAUAGCUUACAACAUGCACAGGUAACCAAGUAAUUCGACAAAAAGUAAAAUUCAUCAUUUGAAUAGGUCGAGUGAGGUAAAGUACACACGCGCCUAACAAUGAUGGACAACUUCAUAUAACGUGUGAUUCAUGAUAAUCAAGUAAUCAAGUGGAUACUUAGCACGUAAGCACGUAAGCAAUACAAGUUGAUUUCAUGGGAGCAUGUAAUUCACGGAUAUCGAAUAAUCAUAUAGAUUAGAAAUCAUGUGAGCAAAUAGUCAGGUAAUCAGGUAGUCAUGUGGGUUGGUAAACGGUUCACAGUUAACGGUUAACGGUUGACGGUUGAGUAAUGACGGUUAUUUGGCAGGCAUUUGCCAUAUUAAUAGGCCAUCAUUGGCCGUUAUCCCAUUUUUACCAUGUGAGAGUCGAGGAGAUUCACUCCAACGACGUAUGCAACCAUAGCAUACCAAGUCAUGUUAUUCGAGCAUUUUCAAGCAUGGGUAUGGUAAAUAUUUAACACAUAGUACUUAACACUUAGAAAUCAUGAAAUGAGCAUGUCCUAGACUUAUUCCAUUACGCAUUCCUAUAUGGAACACUCACCUAGUCAAACAAGCGCAAUAGGUCUCAAACAAGCGUUUUAGGCGUCCGCUCCGAGUUCCUCUUGGAGAUCUCCUCGAUUGCCUGAGCAAACAAUAAUUCAAGUACUACUCAAUAUCGCUACGAAUUCUCUAGUUUUCGAUGAAGAUUGUACGCUAGUGCAAUCUAAGGAAUUAACGCGGAGACGAGCCUAAAAUUCGUGUAACUCGAGCUUCAAAAGUGGGGUUUUAAAACACAAGACAAAUUUGAUUUCCAUCUUUGGAUUCAAAUGUAAAACAAUCAAAUGAUAUUGAAAGAAAUGAAGAGUUCGAAACCCCUUUGUUUCCUUUAAGUUAGAAAAUUCCAGAUUUAACAAGUAAUCUUUGAAAAAUCAUAUCUUACUCUCUACAAGCCCAAAAUUGGAAAACUUGGUACUAUUGGAAAACUCUUUGAAAGUACUAAAAGUUCCUAGAAUACACUUUUCCAUGAUUCUAAAUGGAAGAUAGUAAAAAAUGGGCUCAAAGUUACUAUUUUGGUUCAUGAGGCAGAUUUAAGUUGGUUUUUGGCCAACUUUGGAAUUUCGGCAAAAUUCACUUGUUUGGAACUAGCUUUUGAAAUUUUGAACUCUAUUAGUGUUGUAAUCCAAGAGUAUAACAAAACAAACGGAAUGAGAAACGGGAUUUUGAGCACCAAGAUACGGUAGCUCAAAUUUACUAAAAUUCCCUUGUGAAACAUGGGUUUUUCAAUCUCGAGUCAUGAACUUUGGUAAUUUAUUUGACCCAUGAAACGGCCUCAGAAUAAUACCAUAAUUAGCAGUAUAAUACUACCAUAUAAGGGUUGUUCCUCUACCAAAUUUCAUGGAAAAAUAACUUCGGAAAGGUGGUCAAUCAAACACCUAAAAUUUCGCAAAUACUAAGACAAAACUGCCUUGAACCUUUUGUUUUUCCAUUUCAGACAUUUGGUCAAAGAAAGAUUCCUCCAAACCUGGUUCAUUUGUUUAGGUAAAACUUAAAGAACGUUCAUGGUACAUUUGGUAAGUGUUUAGCAUCAAAAUAUUCAGUUAGCAAGUCUUUGCCAAACCUUGCAUCAAAUCUGUCUAAAAAAUCAGGGUUUUCAAGGGCAGAGCAGGUUUCAUAUUUUGAUCACAGAUCUCUCAAAUUAACUCAUAAUUUGGCAUGGUUUAAGGCGUUGGAAAACACAUUCAUAGAGCUAUAAUUUCACAGAAGAAAUCAUUCUGAAAUUCGGCACACAACUAGCUCGAAUUUGAGUCACAAAUUGCAGCCUCAGCAUUUUGUUCUUGUAAAACAGAGAAACAGAACAGCCGACUUAAAAUAGUUGGUUUGGCUCACAUUCAUGGACCGAGAAUGUGAAUUUUAUAUCGUCGGAAAGGUUGGAAUGUCUAGUUUCAAAUGCCGCUGACGGCACUCGAUUUCAACAUCGGAGUUCAAAAUUAUGGCCGAAAUACGAAAGCUGGUCAGAGCAUUUCGAAAAUAGUUCCAGAUUUACUAGCUUUGUUACAUUGAUUUAUUUGACCAACCAAACCUCAAUAUUUUUCAAUCAAACUUUGUACGCCAUAUAUUCAACAUAUCAACAUGAUAUACAAGUCAUGAAACCCUCGAAAUUUUGCAAAAAGGGUUGCGAUUAAAACAGGGCAAAUCUGAACAUUUUUGAACUAUGCAUCUCUUGGAGUCUAGACUAGCUAGGUAUCAUUAAUCUACCUAUUUAAACACUAAACUAGCAUUAUAUCCAUCAUCAAUCCAAGGGUGGGAGUUCAUAGAGCCUACCAUCAAAAUUUUCCGACAUGAAACAAAACAAAUAGCAUGUGAUUUUGGCAAAUAAUUCCACCACAAUAAAUCUGUCCUUGGCUAAACAGAAUUUCCAGCAGCUAAUUGGUCAUAAUCCAACUUUUUACUCGGCUAAAACAUGAUAUUAAGUACUCAAUUUUGGCAUGCAAUUUCUUAACUAGCCAAUUAACAUUUCCAGUUCAAAAUUAGAUUCAAACAACAGUUUUACUCAUCUAAAACAAAUCCAGAAAUUCUGUUUAGCUUGGCCUCAGUCGAACAUACGUGUAGCAGAUUUCUAAUUCAUUUUAUUUCUCUGAUUUAAACCCAUUAAUUAGCUACAUGCAAAGAUCAAUUAUCAUGUUAUUAACUAGUUAAUCAUGGUUACAAACUCAAAACAACAAAAUUGAAUCAAAUGAAGCUGUAAAAUACAGGACAAGCUCUCGGCUGCAGCAAUUCAUAACAACAGAAUUUCUUAUGUUUCUUGAUUCAUCAUCCGGCUGCAUAGAGUUAACAUGCAUGGUCUUAAUCUUCAAGUUUUCACUCAGCUAAUGACACUUAGGUGUUCAGAUUGCCACGGAAAACAAAAAUGGAGCUGCAUUAUCACCUCAGUUUCUCGGCAGCAACAUUUCAUCAAAACAGAAUUUUUCUGGUGUCCUGGUUUCAUCAACCGACUUCACAAGCAACACAUGCAGCUCUGAUAUGGCUUCAUCUACUAAAAGUUAACUUAAUAUAGCCCAGAAAUUACCUCAGAAACAACUUAGCUCACGCACAAGAAAUCUGAAAAGAAAAAUUAUGUUCUCCCUCUCGGCUCUCGGCUCGCUUGUGGCUGCAGGUUGGUUGCUGCUGUGAUGGUGUUGGGUUCUGAGGUUGUUUUGUAGUUGGUUGAGGUUGCAGCAAGGGAUGAAGCUCACGUAGCCUCCCUCCUUUCUCCUCUUUAGUUUACGGACAGAACGGACAGGUUGCAGCUCGCGCGAUUUCCUUUCGUUUCUUUCCUUUCCUCUCGGCUUGCAGAGUGCAGCCCGGCCUCUCACUCUCUCUCAGUCAAUAUUCACGAGGUGGAGGCUGGAGAGGAAAUGUUUGUGGUUGUGGUCUGGAUGAGUUUGUGCAGAGAAAAUGGGAAUGGUGGUUUGUGAUAUAGGAAUGAGGUAGAAAUAUGGUGCCGCGGUUUUGGAGAAGGAAGAAAGAAUGGUUUACGGUUUUGGAGUGUAUGAAAUGGUUGCGUAUAGAAUUGGUGAAAAUGUGAUUGGUCGAUUGGGGCGGUGAUUGAAAUGCUAUCAGAGGGAUUGUUUGGUUUUGCAUGGAAACGUUGGGGUUGUAAGGGCAUUUUAGUCUUUUCACUCUGCUUCCUAACCUCUACUUAAAUUCUCCAUUCUAACUUAGCUCCAUAAAUUAUCCCAAGUGUGAUUUGAACGCCUAAUUAUACACUAGUAUACUUAAACCAUUUUUAUCGAAUAUUUAUCGAUCACAAUUUAAUAUUAAGGUUCCUAGUAAUUCCUAACAUUAUUACCUAAAUAUUUAAACUAUAAAAAUCAAGUUUGACCUUAAUAUAUAAAUUUAACAUUCUUAAUAUUCGUUUAUCCUUUUAUAUCAAAACUUAUUAACUUAAUCAUUAUUAACGCUUAAGAUUAGCUAUCGGAAUUCAAAGAAAUUUAAUUGUUAAAUCAAUGAAAUAAUUUACCUUCGAAAUAUGAAUUUAAUGUAACAAAACUAGGAAAUUUAACCAUUUAUUCGUUAUAUGUAAUUUCUUGAAUCGAUUAUUUACUCCAAUAGCGUAUUUACUAUUUUCACUUAACGAGCUUACAGAAAUUAAAUUUCGAAACGAAUUGCUUUAAAAAUAUAACUAAACUAUGGAUACGUUUAAUUAAACCUAAAAAGCUUAGAAAAUAAUAAUCAGAGAAAUUGGGUGAGUAAAUACUUAUUUUAGCCAGUAAAAUAAAUAAAAUAAGCAAAAUUUUCGGGUCCUUACACUAUCUAAACCCAUGAUCAUCUUCUUAUUUAACUUAAAGAGGGAUUCAUUCAUAUCACAUAUAGCUAAAUAUUACUCAAGUUGUGAAAGUGUCUUUUGACGCGAAGAUCGACAUUUUUAGAUGAAGAUCUCAGGUUACUCAAUAUUUCACAUACUCAAGUUGCUUUGCAUACUCUUAAUUCGAGCACCGUUUUGCGCGAAAGUUGACAUUUGUAAAUGAAGACUCCCGGUUACUAAGUACAAGAACCAUUGGAGUAGAAUAACUCUUAUUCAUUUUUUUCCUUUUUUUCUUUUUUUUCUUUUUUUUUCUUUUUUUUUGUUUAAAGUAAAGAUAAUAUUUAGUCCCUCAAAAGAAUAAUGAUAAGAAGAGUAUUACACUUAUUGACCAUAUUUAUCACUCAACUUAUAAAAUCAAGUAAAGAGAAGAAAUUUCACUAAACUUGCAAAAUGUUGGCAUAAUUUUCUCUACUUUACAAGAUAUACUUUCUUAUAAAUGUACAAAUUAUCAUCAUAUAAUAGUCAUUUCCAAGUUAAUAAGAAAAGAUGUUUUCAAGCCACAUACAUUAAGCUCAAAAGUAGAAGGAAUUUGAAUUACUAAUGCUGUGAAACUUGUUAGCCCUUGGAUAAAAUUGAAAAAAAUUUGAAACUUUUUGGGGCAAAUUUGCAAAUUUGGACAAGAUUUUGAAAAAAUUUUGACUGAGUUUCCCCUUAAAUUUGGACGAAACUCCCUGCCAGCAACCUAAGAUUAACAACAAUUAAGUGUAAUCAAAUUCCAAACAUCAAGUCCAUGCAAUAAACACAAAAAUACUAUCAAGUACCAUACAUUUCCUCCCCCACACUUAAAAUACACAUUGUCCUCAAUGUGUAGGGAAAGAAAAAUAACAAAAGAUAGAAAGAAAUACUUCCCAGUGCAAUGGCUAAGAUCCAGAUCAACCAUGAAUCACGAACCUUCGCCAAAACACAAAUAUCUACUAAGACUGUCCAAAAGGUGAAAUUGAAAACAGAAAAGGGUCAAGUUAAACAUACUACAAACAAAAGAUUAAACACGACAAACAAAUCUGGAAGCAACAAAAAUAGCCAUGCUAAAGGUGCAGCUUCAAUCAUUAUCUUCAUCUUCAUCGCUGUCAUGAGGUGAAGGAAUGCCUAAAUGAUACUUGAUCCUCUCCAAGCGAGUAUCCAUUCAUCCCAAUUGAUACUCGAUGUCAUCCAAGUGAGUAAAGAGCCACUGCCAAUUCGAUUGCGGUGGUGGAGGAGAAGAUGCAGUAGUAGAAGAUCCGACUCCCUCUUGGCCAUGUCGUGCCUUUUGUCGCCUUUCACGAGCAGGUUGAGGAAUGUUAUCCGUACCAAUACCCAAACAAUUGAUACCCAAACGAUAACUCGGUUCUAGGCUUAACAAAAUCCCGAGUUACACCCUGCAAGUUAACAUAGAAAUGCUCGAAUACCAAAGAGAGCAGACGAGGAAAUGCCAAUUUGAACGAAGUAGUCCGCCGCCUCUCCCUAGAGCUUAUGUGGUUAAUGAAAAUGUUUGGAAAUGGAAUUCAAGCGUAGGAGGACUCCCGAUUAUGAAACAUAUGAUCCAAAAAAUAGAUAUCACUUUUUCGGACCUCCGUAAGACCCGUCUUCUUGGGUAUGACGUUGUGUGCCAUCAUAUAGAUAAUGAGACGAUGACAAUGUUCAAAGAUGCUUGCCAUCAUUGUCUCCUUCCAUGAAGACCUAAAAGGUUGGUACUCAAAACCAACCCUAGUUAUGGCGUGCGAUGGAUCCCACUGCCUAUUUAGUGCGACAAAACCCUUCUUUAGGUUGACUGCCCGACCUUGGUUGGUACAACCCAAAAUGGUAGCUAAAUGCUCCCGUGACAAAACAAUACGGGUCCCACGCACCCAUGACUCCACCAUCUCGCCACUGUGACGUGCUUUGGAAUCAAUGUUGGCGUAGAACUCACGCACAAAGUCAGGGUAGUAGUGAGUCGGCAAUGUGAGAAUCGGCGCCCAACCUAGUUGGUUAAACGCUUCCGAGAUGUGAUAAACCACUUCAAUUUUUGGACUCACAUGCAUCUCAAAAAGAAACUCCAAAUUAGCGUGCGUCUCGUGCCACUCUUGAUGUCUAAGAUUGAUGAACUUGGCACUAUUAAAGAUGGCAGUUUUGGCACUACGAGAAGUGCCCUCCCCUUGUCGUCGCUGCACCGAUUGAGGUGAAGGUGACCUCUCUUCUUGACUUUCUUCAAUAUCCUCACUCACCUCCAUUUCAUCGCUAGUAAAGGAUGAAUAGACAACUUGCUUUCCUCUUGCCAUAGUACCUAAGAAAAAUGACUCAAUUCCAUAUGUACUAAGACAUAUUUCAUAACUUGGACAAUAAGUAACCUCAAUUGGCUCAAAUAACCACAAAUACAUGCCUCCAUGUCAUAAGAAAUCAAAUAAACAUACUUAAAUGACUACUAUUAUGACAUAUGAGAAAUGACAUAGUCAAAAUGCCAAAAAUUGCCAAAAUCACCAAUUUAUCAAAAUCGGCAACAAAUAUAUCCAAAUCAGUGAAAUUAGCACUAAUCAUGAUUAUGGCAGUCGAACUUUAGUAACAAUAAUGGACAUUUAGCUAUAAACAUGGUUAAGCAAAAGUUAUCCUAAUAACUCACAAAAUUCAUCAAAAUUACUCACUAUACACAAUGUACAUACCAAACCAUCAUCACUCAACCCUUUGCAUCCAUAAUCUGUAAACACAAAUGGCUCAACAACAUUCCAAGCUAACUUUCCAAUUUUAGCCAAAUAUAGCAAUUUAAAAUUUUAAAGAACUAUUAAUCCAUCAAAUUGCUACAUUUGAACAUGUAAACAUGCUUAAACAACCUUAAUAUGCAUAAUGGAAGUCAAAAACAUCAAUAGAAAUCAUCAAAAAUUUGAAAUUAAAAAAUGUUAGAAAGUUCAAAAAAUUGAAAACUAUCAACUUUUAAAAUAUGAAGAUUUGAUGAAGAAACUUACUUGAAUCACGUAGAAGGAGGUUUGGUGAUGCUAAUGAUGCAAAAAUCCCUAUGAAACACCCUCCGAUUGACCCUCAAUUGCUUGGAAAAAUGUUGAGAAACCCUAGCCUUCAAUCUCCUUACAACUGAUUUUAAGUUAUUUAUGUUGGAUUUUAAUCGGUUAAAAAGAUGUUAUGAAGGCUAGAUGAUGAUGGGUAGAUGUUUUCUAGCAAGAAAAUGUAGUAAAAAUGGAAUUUUGUGAAGGUGUGAGUAUGGAGAGAAGAGAAAACACGGCUAGAGAAGAUGAAGGAAGAAGAAUGAAACUAAAAAGGGAAAGUCGUGUUUACUGGUUUUGUACAAAGGAAGAAAAACGCGGCUUCACAAAACACACCUUCAACUCGCGUUUUGCUUAAGUCGCGUUUUCUAGUGAAAUUUUACACGCGACUUCAAGAAAACGUGGUUUAAUGUUACGUUUCCUAAUUGCGUAUUCUUCUUUAUCUUUGCGGAACUGAAAAUGUGCCUUCUUGAACGCCACUUAAAGUAGCGUAUUCAUGUCGCGUUUUAUACAGAAAUAAAAACGCAAUUGUAAGUCGCAUUUUACUACAAUGUGUGUUUUCUUCUACGAAAUUUGCAAAAAUGCUAACUUAAAAAAAUUACACAUAGUAUCCCAAUUGCUCAAAAUGCAUUCUAAAUUAUUUUUUUGCCAAAUUUAUCAUCGCAUACACAUGUAAAAUGAUCAAAACAUGCAUUUUAUCCCUUUUAACGGAUCAAAUACAUCCUUAACGCAAGUCGAGGGGUUGAGUUCCUUGAUCAAACUUCGCCUUUUCCACCUCAAAUGGUCAUCUUUGCUUCUGUUUGCCGAACCUAUAACACAAAAAUAACAAACUAACUUAAUUGCAUGCAUUAAAUAUAAAAUCAUACCAAAUUAACAUAAAUAACUUAAACAUUAGGCUGCCUCCCAACUAGCGCUUUUGUUUAUAGUCGUUGGAUCGACUUAAAAGGUUUGGGUUAUUAAGUUGAAGAAGAGUCACCCAAAGGACAUAUGAGUCCUUUGGGAAUGAUUUCCCCCCGCCCAGUAGAGUUUUAAUCGUUGUUCGUUGAUCUUGAAUCGUUCGUUUCUUGCAUUAACCACUUCAACGGCCCCAUAUGGAAACACUUGAGUAAUUUCAAAUGGUCCAGACCACCUUGAUUUGAGUUUUCCAAGAAACAACCUAAGGCGCGAAUUGUAUAAGAGAACCAUUUUCCCCAUCUCAAAUUGUUUGGGUAUAAGAUGAUUAUCAUGCCAAUAUUUCACUUUAUCUUUAUAGAUCUUGGCAUUCUCAUAAGCAUGUAGCCGAUGUUCCUCGAGUUUGCUCAACUCAAGUAGUCUCCUCCCACAUACAAGACGAAAAUCCAUUGUAAUUGAUUUGAUAGCUUAAUAUGCCUUAUGUUCAAUUUUUACUGGUAAAUGACAAGUUUUUCCAUAUACUAAUUGAUACGGUGACAUCCCCAAAGGUGUCUUAAAUGCCGUUCAAUACGCUCACAAUGCAUCGUCGAGUCUUCUUACCCAAUCUUUUCUCGAGUUGUUCACCGUUUUCUCCAAGAUGAGCUUGAUCUCUCGAUUGGCCAACUCCGCUUGUCCAUUCGCUUGUGGAUGAUAUGGUAGUGAUGUCUUAUGCCUACAACCAUAUUUAAGCAACAAAGAAUCAAGUUGUUUGUUAUAAAAGUGUUUUCCUUCAUCACUUACUAUGGUCCUAGGAAUACCAAAUCUACUAAAAAUGUUCUUUUUGAGAAACCAAAAUACUAUCUUAGUAUCAUUCGUAGGUGAGGCAAUUGCCUCCACCCAUUUAGAAACAUAGUCCACUUGUGACGGCCCCAUUCUCCCUAAGGCGAACCAGAGGGUUGGCGGGUCGCCUGCCCAGCUCUCGCCAGGACUCACACAAGCAAACCGACCAAUUAUCCACGUAUAACUUAAACCAAAACACAAUUCGCCAUCCGAACAUGCCAACCUUUAAGCGACUUGAAUACUAAAACACAUUAACUUCAGAGAUAACCUUACCAUUGAACAUCCACCCGUUCACUCCUAAAUACAUCUGUGACCAGAUCACCACAUAAUCUCAAAUAUACAAUACAAACCACACAGUAAGUUCAUAAAGCUCAGAUAAAAUUCAUACAAGCCAAAUCUUAGGGUUUGCACUUUUCCUGCUUCAAGUGGCAACCCAAAACGAAGAUACAAGUAUGAUUCGAAAUAACAUUUACAAAACGAUAAGAUAGACUUCAAGUCUCUCGAUUUCCGGAACCUGUUAAGGAAAACAAAUAUCGUGUGGUGAGCUAAAGCUCAGUGAGGUUCCGAACACAUAGGCAACAAGAAAAUCAAUGCAUUCAUUACAUAUAACCAAUAAUUCAAGAGACAAGUACAAAUAAAGCAAUAAACACGUUCAUGAAAAGGAUACGGGCUCACAGGGAGCCAUAUGUUCGUUCGUUCGUUCUCCUGACAUUUCCCCUUAUUCCUCCAGUCAUUUGCAAAAUCCAUUUUGUAUAAGUAAAACCCCUCAUUCAUUCAUUCGUUCAUUCCUUUCAUUCACCCCGUCCCUGGCUUUUGGCCAGGCUCCACCAACCUACAGGGUAAUACUCGAGUAUACCGAAACGUUCACCCAAGUCCCUAAUCGCCCGACCGAAUCCGCUUCUGGCUCGAGACGACCGGUAACAAGGGCAAUGGCCAGUUCAACCCCAAAAGGCUUACAUUCAUGCGCAAGUCACAUGUCAAUCAUUCAAUCAUUAAAAUUUCAUAAUCAUUUAGGCUAAGUGCGAUAAAGUACACACUCGCCUUGAAAACUCGUUUUGACAAUCAUUGAAAGCAUUAACACAUUAUCAAGCAAUAAGAUCAAGCCAAUAAGCCAAGGAAAUCUAACAAACAAGGAACACUCACCAAGAGUGAAGUCACAACUCACGCUGGAAAUCGAAAUCCGCGUCCUCGCUAAACCCUAGAAAUCCAAGUUUUAAAACUAUAAAUUUCACUAAGCACACCCUUGUUUUAUAUAUAAAAGGUUAUCUUAUAUAAAACUAAUUUAAUUUCCCGCAACAAGUCAAUAAAUUUCUAAAAAAAACAAAGCUAGUAAAGGAAUAAAAUGUUUCGUGUGGUUUCUUUAAAGGUAUUUCCCCUCUAGAGGCAAACUAGAAUCAAAUUGGUUCAAACGGGUUUUCUUGCCGAACAAGUUUUCUAUGUCUGUAAUUUGAAAUUAUUCAAAUCUAGUGUUUUUCCAAAUUUCCUUUAAAACAACUAGUCAAGGAUAGUUUUAUGAAAAACUUAAAGUUUAGAAGUUAAAUACAAUUAUUCCCUAAAGGUAAUAAAACUAGUUUAAGCAAAAGAAAAGAAUUAACUAGUCGGCAAGGUUUUAAAAGUCCCAAUAUCUAACUUUUUAAUAAUAACAUACUAAGCUCAAAUGCUAUCACUUGAUAUUAAAACAAAGUAUUUCCACGAAACUUGAUUUUGAAAGUAUUCAAGUUCAAGAAAACCAAAACGGUCUUUACAAUUCUAGCUCAUUUGCACAAUGAAUUCCCAAGUCAUCAAGAUUGAAACAUUACAAACCAAAUAUCAAUUUCACUAGGGUUUCAUCAAUCAUUAGCCCUAGGUCUCAACAAAUUCCAGUACAAUUAAAAUUCAACAAAGGAAGUCCAAGGUACUAAAGCAAUCCCAAAUCACAACCCACGGACCUUCCAAGUACAUUUCAACCAACCACUUGAACAAAUUCACCAAAAAUUAAAUUAUUGCAAAACUACUCAAAUGGUCAAGAGCUUCAUCAAUCAUUAGCUCUUGACAACCAAUACUCACUUCAAACACCAAUCCAUUCAAAACAAGAAUAAAACUACAGCCAACUUGAGUUCCAAAUGAUUCCAAGAAUCCAAAAUAUCCAUUAAACUUUCCCCUUUUUCUUGCUAAAAUCACUAUACAUAUAGUUUAUAAUCUGCUCAACUUAAACUGAAGCAAACAAUACUCAAAUCAAAGAAAAAUAACUCACUAAGAGCUUGAACUAGUAUGGCUAGCAAUUAUAUACAAAUUUCCAGCGAAGAUAUUCCAAAAUUUUCAACAAGGUUUCCAUCCUUAGCUUGCUUUAAACACUAAACACUUAACAUGCAUUUUGUCCAACAUGAAGUGAGUCAAAUAACAGGAAAUUUCAGCAAAUUAUUCCACCAAGAAGCCCCAUAAAUCUGUCAUCAGCUAGGAUAUAAUUUUCCAGCAAUUGAUAGUUUAAAUUUGAAACUUUCCCCAUAAUCCUCAUUUUUUUUCCAUUCCAGCUCAACAUGCAGGGUACGAUUAUCAUGCUAAGGUGUAUCUUGUGCAAAAAUAUGAAAUUUAUAACCAAAGAUUCAAAAGAAAAAGUUGGAUAAAACUCUGCUUCUUUCUCUCGGCCAAAGCUAAGAAACUCCAGCAGCUUUCUUUCAAUAUUUUUUUUCUACAAAUCCACGACUCAUAUCAGCUUCAUGCUUGAUCAAAAUAAUUAACUAUCUAUUAGGUCUUGAUCCAAACCAAGUGCGGACAACAUAAAAAAAAACAUCAUCUAACCAGAAAUUUAAUCAAUCCUGCUCUCGGUUGGCUUACAUGCAACCUGAUUUUGGUAUCUUUUCAAUUUUCUGACUUAAUCAAAGCUAAUCAAUCUCAUGCAAAGCUUAAUCAUCCAGAUUUUAGUUAGUUAAGAACACAUCUAGGCUCAGAUCGUCACAGGUUAGCCAAUUAAAGUUACAAAUUUCUAGCUCAAACUCUCGGUAGCUUCAAUUCUUUCUCAAACAGAUUUUUCUAUGAUUUAAGCUAUCAUCUAACCACACAAUCCCACAUGCAUGCUUAUAGUCAGCUUCAUCAACCCAUAAACAACUCAUCUAAGUUCAGAAAUUACCUUAGCUUGAAGCCUAAAACACACGACUAGCAGCUGCAGCAAUCCUCCACUCUCGGCUGUCCAGAAAUUUAGCCCGCUAGCUCUUCCUCUCCCUUGCUCAAGCUCGUCACUAGGAUGAAGAAGGUUUGGUUCAGACUCUUCACCAACUCACGGAUGAAAGAAAGAAGGAGUAGCAGCUCUCACCUUUUCUUAGCUCACGGCAGAAUGGAAAGGAAAUGAGAGGCUCGGCUCACUCUCUCCCGGUCGAUAAUUCCAAGGCUGCUCCCUCACAGUUCACGGCAGGGAAGAAAUUGGAGUUGUGAUAUUGUGGUGAAGUGAGAAUGAUAUAAUGAAGUGUGUGAGUAGUGUAAUGUAUAUAAGGUGAGGCUGUGAGUGGAGUUGGUCGGCAAUAUCAAAUGGAAAAGGCUGGAAUGACACGUGGGAAGUGGAACCGGCAGGAAUUGGAAUUGUUUGGAAUGUUCCAUGGCUGCUUGGUGGAUUUGUAAUGGAGGAGGGCUGUUUUAGUCUUUUAGCAACUUGUUCAACCUUUCACUUAGGUCCCUCAUCUUAAACUAAUUCCAAAAUUUACCCCAAGUGUAAAUCGAAUGCCUACUAGUACACUAAUCUCGCAAAAUUCAAUUAUUGAGAUUUUAACCUCCUAAGUGUACCCAAUGCACUUGUAACGGUUUAUCAAAAAUAUAUCGAUUCAUCUUAAUUCUAAGGCUCCUAUUAACACUUAACGUUAUUAACACUUAAAACUAGCUAUCGGAAAUUCAAGGAAUUAAUCUUAAAACAAUAAAAUAGUUUACAUCAAGAAAUAUUAUUCUAACUUGGCGAGAGUCAAAUAACUCAAUAUUUUGCACGAUUAACGUGUUUGAAACUUUAAAAUUGUUUUUACAUACUUAUUCAAAGACAAAAAUUCAUUUUCCUGAAGAAACAAGACAUUCAAGCAGGACAGCCUACUUCUUGAGCAAAUGAAUGAUUUCAAUGGUAAAUUUAUAAUUCGUAAGUGAUCACUUAUCAUUCUUACCUUAUUAUUUAAGUUAUUAAAAUCAAGUUUGACCUUAAUAUAUAAAUUUAACAUUCUUAAUAUUCGUUUAUCCUUUUAUAUCAAAACUUACUAACUCAAUCAUUUUCAAACCAUGAACAUACCUAUCUUCAAGUUUAACUUGUAUACUCAUUCAAUCUAAUAUACUCUAUAUACAUAUCUCGCACAUAAAUACACAUAACAACAAGGCCUUUCGUUGUUUCCAACGAGUAGUUAACAAAUUUGCACGUAAGAGGAGAAAAUGAGAAGAAACAAUAGACUAAGGAAAUAUGCAAAUUCUAGGGUUCUCACACCACUGCUACUAAGAUGUACUUAUUAUUGAAAGAGCUUUAAAAUGGUCCCAUAAAAUCCAUACCCCACACAUCAAAUAACUCAACUUCUAAAAAAAUAGUGUAGGGCAUUUCAUUUUUUCUAGAAAUAUUUCCAAUUCUUUGACAGGUAUCACAACUUUUAACAUAUUUCCAAGUAUCUCGGUACAUGGUAGUCGAAUAAAAUCCCGAUUGCCAUACCUUAGCCACGGUCUUAGAAGUGCCAAAAUGACCACCCAUUUCUAAAUUAUGAUAAUGAAGUAAAAUAUCACGUACCUCCUCUUCGGGAAUACAUCUUCUUACCAUACGAUCGGCACAAUGCUUAGCAGUGGUUCUUCCCAAAAGUAGCUUUUAACAUCAUGUAAAAAUUUCUUCCUUUGGUGAAAAUUAAAACCCUUCGGAAGUGCCCCACUUGCCAAGAAGUUAGCAAAAUCCUCAUACCAUGGAGACUUGGUUAGUGCUAGAAAAACCUCGUCCGGAAAAAUCUCCUUAAUUGGAACUUGAUCAUUAGUAGGGAUAUACUCUAAUUGCGAUAAAUGAUCUACCACUAGGUGUGACGACUUGAAAGAUUGCUUAUAUUUUCUUAUAAUACCCUCUUAUUUUGAUUAAGUUAACUUAUAAUUCCUUUACUACUAAUUUACUCUCUCAAUAGUUGUAAUAAAUAAUAAAAUUGAGAGUUUUACCUUUGCUUUUAUAGUUAGGGUAAACUAGGGUUUUUGCAUAUUUUGGUAGUGUAAUUAGUUGGUGAGGUGUGUGUACUAAAUUUGGUGGAUAAAAGUGAAUAUUAGGUAAGAGAAAGUGUGUGAUUAGAAAUGCUAAUAAUAAGUUAGUGAAUCAUAAGUUAAAACACAAGUACGAGAGAGUUAAGGAAAAUAGGCUUGAACCGACGUGCACCGUUUGUUAUCGAUUGAGUACACCACUUAACCACUACUUUCUUACUAUAAUCCUCUUGUUUUUAUUUCAUCUAAUCAGCCCUAAAUUAAACCCUAAACCAGCCAAAAUCUUUGACUAAAGAAAAGGUGAGAAAAGAAAAAAAAAAGGAAAAAAUCUUGAUUGAAAAGUGUUGGCAAUCAAAGAAGGGUUUGACCAAGUUAUUUCUUUCCUUCUUAUCUUUCAUCUUGGCUACAUUUCCUCCAUUAUUUCUUCAUGUUGGCCGAGAGCAAGGAGAGAAAAAAAGAGAGAAGAAAACCUUCAUUCCAAUCUUGAUUUUGCCUUGUUUGAGUUGAGAUCACAAAAACCAAACCGAUGAAACUAGUCCCUUGAUGCUUAGGAAGCUUGGAGUGGAGAGUUUCUUGGGAGAAAGUGUUUGGUUCUUCAUUUCUCAAGAAAUUUGGGAGGUAUAAGUUCAUCAACUUCUUUUUUUGUUCUUAUUCUUGCCAAAUAUGGUAUCGAUGCCUUGAAUCUUGGAAUAUUAUGGAUGAUCUUCUAGUUUUGGUGUAGAUUAGUGGAAUUUCAGCUAGGGUUUUGCCAUUUUCAUCUUUCAUUAUGUUGUUUAACUAUAAAAUGUUGGUAUUGGGCUUGGAUAUGAAAAAUUUGUGAGGUGUUUAGUGUGAGACCCCGAAAUUUUACUUGUCUUUAUAGCUUUUAUUUGAAGUUACUUGCCUUAGUUCUUGGUUGUUUUAAUGGUUGAAUUUGAGCCAAGAGAGUGAAUUUUGUUAAGAAAAGUUUCAUAAUCUCAAGUUGUUAGAAAAUCUAGAAAUUUUCGCAAGAGGCUCUGCGCAGCUUUGGGAAAUUGGCUAUAACUUCGUAUAGGAAAGUCGGAAUUGAGUUCCAUUUGUUGUGUUUGAAACUAGACUCAUUGUGACGCCCCCCAUCUCUCCCUAGGGUGAACUUUAGGGUAUCAGUGGAACGCCUGCCCAACUCUCGUCAGGACUCACGCACUCAUUCAAGCUUAAUAAAGGAUUACAAAUUAACCAUCGACUUAAUUAAGAAGUACUUCGAAUAUACAAGCUCGAAACUCCCAAGUAUACCAUUUAUGAUUACAAACCACAAAACCCGAGUUUACAAAAUUUAUACUUUAAUGGACUCCAAUAACAUACAUAAGUAUAGUAGCUUCAACUAAGAGUCACUAGUCUAGGAACUCUAAUUUCCACAUCCAAAACCUGUUAAGGAAAACAAACUUAAAGGGAUGAGCUAAUGUUCAAUGAGGCCAAGAAAACAAGCAAGCAAGCAAGUAGAACCAAUUAAUCGAAUAGCAUGCUUUAACAACUUUAAACAUGACAUUUUAUUUAAGUGCACAAGUAGGAAUUAACACACAAGAAAGAAUACAAGAGCUCUCAGGAGCUAUUCCCACGUCUCGAUCAAUUAAGCCUUCGGGGGUUGACCCUCCGUCAAUUCAAGUAGUAACACGACCGUAGUGCUCCACUUACUUCCUCCAUCCAACAUAACACCCACUCGGAUCCAGAACCAAACAUGUAAGAGGUGGUGAUACUAUUCGAGCAUGCCAUGCGAGAUCUCAAAAGAUCAAGCUAUUUUUUUCCCAAGGUUCACCAAGCUUCUCGACCAAGCCCUUGCCAGCUCGAGUUACAAGGUAGCUGAUGGGUUAGGGAGUCCCCACACGUGUAUUUGGUAGAUGAGAUAUCGUUUCAAUCGACUUUGAGUCGAUCAUAGCACUGGGUCAGGGUGAGCGAUAACUCUUACCCGAAUAGGGCGUGAUACUUCUAGCCGCUCAGUGCUUACGACUUAAAACAUGUUCAUGUACAAGAGCAAGUCAUAUAUAUUCACGUAACAAGUAUCAUAUAAUCAAGAGAGAGAGAGAGGACGAGAGCGAUAAAGUACACCCUCACCUCGGUAAGUUCACGUAUCAUAUAUAGUACUUGUUCAUCUAUCAUUUCAAACACAUAAGCAUUUAACAUGCACUUGACACUCACCAAAAGUCAAGGCAAAACAAGAGCAAAGCGAGAAGUCAGAUGAGCUCUUCGGCAUCCUCGUGACCACCUGAGACAUGUACAACCAUAAUUAUCUAGGUGCUUGACCAAGGUUUAAAAGAAAGACAUUUUCUCGCUACCCACUCCCCAAGUCACAAGUUCGAGUCAAGUUAAAGAAGUUUUUCUAGCUCAAACGUUGGAAUAAUAGUCAAAGAGAGCUCAAAGGUUGUUUUUGAUCCAAGUCGUGGUAAAUAAAUCUCAAUUCCAAAAGAAAGUACCAUUUUUACUUCAGCACGAAAAUCGAGAAAAAAGGGUAGAUGGUUCAUCUCCCAAAACUUCAAAUUUCAUAUCCAAGGUUUAGAAUAUAAAGAGCAUGCACAUUAUCCAAACUAAUGGAGUUAAAACUCAUCCAAACUCCACUCAUUUUCAUAGAAAAAUAUCAAAGCUAAGAUUCCAAUGUUCAAGUAUAAAACUAGUGAAAUUCAGCAAGAAUUACUCUAGUCAAAACACUCCCUUUUUAGAUUUUCAACUCAUGGAAAUCGAUGCAAUAAGAAUAGGGUUGUAGUCUAUAAUUCGAGUAUGAAGAGAAGUGCUAUUAACCAAGGGAAGCUAUAGAGCCAAGAAGAAUCACAAAAAGGGGAUUAAUCCCUUGGAAACUAAGAUUCGAUAUAAAGGUUUAAAGUUCAAAGAGACCUUGUAUGAAAUCAUGAAAUGAAACUUAAAACAAUCCAACAAUCACAAAGGAAGGUGGAAAGUUCUUAAAAGAGUAAUUUGGUUGAAAACAGAAAAUUUCCAACUUAGAGUGACACUACUUGGAAAACUCAUAUCUCAAGUUCCGUAAGUCCAAAAAUUGAAAACUUUAUGCCGUUGGAAAUUAGACUCAAAACACUAAAACUCUCUAGAAGACACUUUUCUCAAAAUCCAAUUCAAAAUCAUUCAAAUUUUAGCUCAAAGUCACUGUUCUAGACAGGACAAAGCAAAACAGGCUUGUAAAUUCAGUAAAGUUUGGAAAUUCGGUAAAAUUCGUAAAAAAGGAAUGAACCCCUGAAAUUUAUUCCACAAUUAAAAUUCCAAAUCUAGUUUCAAAUGCAAGAAACAGAACUCAAUUCGGACCUUCCUACACCAAGAUACGAUAGUUCUAAAAAAACUAAAGUUUGGAACCUGUUUACGAAAAUUCCAGUUCUGACGAACUAGAUAGAGUUUCAAAAUCUGAUCAUAACUAGAGCUACACGCCUCAAAAUUUAGUGAGGUUUGUAGCAUUGAAAAUUAAUUCAAAAUGAUACAAUUAACUAGAAGCGACUGUCUUAAAAUUCAUUUUGAAAGAUAAGCAAAAUUGAGCUACAAACUGUAGCUAAGACUGUUUCUCGGAUGAAAGCAGGAAGGAAUUUCAGUCAUUUUUGCCGGUUCAUUACCACUUGUAGGAAACGAGUUAGAAGGUGUGUUUUAUACCGACAGAAAUCUCUCAGGAGUCUAGUUUUAGAUGCCACAAACAGCACUCGAUUUCAACUCCCAGACAAAAUGUUAUGACCAAAAACGUGAACAUUGGGUGGUGUCACCUGAUCAGAAAAAUUCCAGAAUUCAUCCUCACUUUCACUUCACUUUAACUCAACGAAUUGGAAAGUUUUUUGGGAGAUAUUUCAUACACAUAAUCACCAACAUGUAUCAAGUAUUAUUGCACCAAAAUAGCAUCAAAAUUUCGAAAUUAAUAAGAGAGGAACAACCAGAAAAUUUCGGCCAGCAAGCACUUUCAUUCCUCUAGCUUGCUUUUCCAAUUUUCCAACUAGAACUACACCAUAUCUCAUCAAAGCAAGUAACAAACAAGCAAAUAAACACACAAAAUCCUCAAGGCCUCUACCUAUCAAACCACCUCAAGUUCACUACCUAAUGUCAAGGUUCUUGUGAAUCCAUCAACAACCCAACAACUAAACUAACUAAACUAUCUUACUAAUAAGCUUUGACAGGAAAAGUUGAAGGUUUCUUGGAUGAUUACCUUGCUGCCAAAAGAAGAGUAAACAUUAGGGUUUGAGCUCUUAAAUCACCAAAGUUUCUUCCUUGAUCAAGUCCUCUUCCAAGCUUGUAUGAAGAACCAAAAGGAAUAGCAAAUUUGGGGAGCUUUCUUGGAGGAAAAAUGGAAGAGAAAGAGCUGAAAUUUUUUUGUAGGAAAUGGGGGAAGAGGGAUCGGCCAAAGCAAGAGGAAGAAGAAGGAGUUUUUGUUGGUAGAUGAGUGAUGUGAUAGUGUGUAAGAAGGAUGGACAUAAAGUGCUCUUGGUGCCCAAAAGUCAACGUCCGAUUAGUGUGCAAUUAGUGCUCCAAAUUGAGAUUAACUUAACUCACUCACAUCUAAUCCCUCAAUUAACUUUUUUUAGUCUACUAUUGAUCAUUCUUAAUUCUCCAAGAUUAUUACACUUUCGGAUCUAAUUUAUCUCAAAAAAUGUAUAUUUACUAUUUCUCGCUAAAUGAGCCACCAAAAAAAGUUAAAUUCGCUAAUGAAAUGUUUUAAAAAUAUAAACGAGACAUGGUUCCAUGCAAAUGGGUUUAAAAUGGGUGAAAUAAAUUAUUUGGAGCAAACGGGUGAAUAAAUAAUUAAAUAAACCAGUAAAAUGAAAUAAAAAUAAGAAAACUAAAAAAUUCGAGUUCUCACAUUCUUCCCCCCUUAAAAGAAUUUCUUCCUCAAAAUUCAUGCAUUGAUUUAGAAACAAUUCUGGAUAUUUCUUCUGGAUCUUUUCUUCUACUUCCCAAGUCGCUUUCUCCAUUCCAUGAUUUCUCCAUAAAAUCUUCACUAGAGGGAUUUGCUUGCGUCUUAACUCCUUCACUUUUCGAUCUAAAAUCUUUACCGGCUUUUCCUUAUAGGACAAAUUCUCAUCAAACUCUACUUCUUCCGGUCGUAACACAUGAGACGGGUUGGAAUGAUAUUUCUUAUGUGACGACCCCACUUCUCCCAAGGGCGAACCCAAGGGUAUCGGCGGGCCGCCUGCCUAGCUCGCGCCAGGACUCAAAACUUAAAGCAAUCAAACGAGAUAGAUCGAAAGAGCACUAUAUACAAUAUAUAUACAAUCCCAAAAGUUAUAUUUACAUCUUCAAAAGUCUCGAGUCAAACCACUCUAAUAUACUACAACCACAAUCAGUAGAAGAUAGACCCUAAGAAGGGUCCUUAUACAAACCACCAAAACAAAACAAACAUCCUAACUGUUCAACUAUUACAAGCCAAUCUAACUAUACUAGUAUACGAGCCAAAAGUCCCCGCGUCGGCCCCUGCUAAGGAAAACAAAAGGAAUGGGGUAAGCUAUAUGCUUAGUAAGUAAACAGGGGCGAAAGCAUAAAUUCACGUAGCAACAAUUACACAAUAAGAGUAAAGCAAAAGCAGAAAAGAACAACAUCAUAUAACAAGGAUACGGGUGGCUCCAAAGCCAAUUCAUGUGCCAUGUAUGAUCUCCUGCCGACACUCCGUCGACCACAAAUAAUAGUCCGUAGAACUUCACUUGUACACCCACCGACACCUUAUCACCCUCACUGGCCAGUCACCUCACAAACUUGCCCGGGCGAACGAAAUCACAAACUUGAGCUUGAGUCACAAGCUCGGUCACAAACUUGGUCACCUUCUCGGUGAACCGGAUUCACAAAAUUGGUUCAUAACAUGAACCUACAAACUUGGUGACCUCAGACUAAGUUGGACUGACUUCGACCAACCCCCAACCGGCUCGAAUAGUCCAAACAGGUCUUAGAUCGGGCCCACGAACUCACAAACUUCACAAAAUUCACAAACUUUACUCGAAAGUCGCCCCGAGCCACAAGCUCAAGGGUUUUGGUUCUAAAAGGUUCAUAUACAUAUGCUAAGUACAAUUAUACAUUCAAAUUAGGGUUUAGGUCGAGUGCGAUAAAGUACACUCUCGCCUAAGUACCCUUUUCACAUAUCUCAAACACAUAGCAAAGAAAACACAUCAAACUGGCCUGAAUACUUACUCAAAAUACCAAAAGUAGUACGAAAGCAAAAUCGCUUCGCGCGUUCGCUAGUAGUGGGCCCCACCGGCUCCGCCUAGCUCACCGCUGUCUGAAAUAGAAGAUUUUAUCACAAACGGCCACUAACAUGCCCAAAACAAGCAAAACGGCAAAACAACACGCGCGCACGAAAAUAUGACGGACGGAAACGGAAACGGCAGAUUUGAUACUCAUUUCUAGUUUACUCAUAAGUUGAGCUACGAAUAUCGGAUUAAGGCGUAUGAGAUGCCAAAUCGAAGCUUAAAGGAUGAACAACAACUGUUAUGAAGACAUCCAGAACUGAAACUGGAGGCUUCAGUCCCAAAUGAACCAAACACAAUCACUUACGAAAUCUGGCCAAUGCACAAAUGGUCAGUUUUGAGUGCGAACUGUUUUCUAUGCUACACAUGGUCAAAAGAGCUGAAAAUUGGCAGUUAGAUAGUUCAUUCCAAAUGGAACAACUUUCAUGAAGGUCGGCAAUCAAAAUUCGGAACGGAAAUUGGUCAUCAGGACCAAAACAGAUCUGACCAGAGAAUGGUCAUCUUCACGGCCAGGCCUUAUUUGCUCGGCUAUAUCUCAGGUCUUAUAAAUCCGAUUCCUGAAAUCCCAAGGGCGUUAGAAAGCUCUGAUAUAGGGCUAUAAGUUUGGUUUUUUGGUCGCGAGCCCAAACAGCUUGUAACCCAGUCAAAUGUGAAGCCAAAGUUCCAGUCAUAAACUGUCCAAAAACGUAACAGAAUUUGACGGUCAAAACAGGUCUGAGUAUUUCGUUUAUAGCUCAGGAUAUACUAAUCCGUUUAACCUGAAACUUUACAAGGAUAUCCAGGACUUAAGGGGAUACAAUGUUGAAGAAGGAAACUUUGUCCAAUUUUGAAUGUAACAAGGUCAAAAAUGCAAGACACUAUACCAGAAUUGCAAAACAGGAUCACAAACCGUAUUUGACCUUAAUAUGCGGUAAUGGCACCAAAUUCACUACGGUUAUCGAAUGGGGGUGUAAGACCCACCGUUUCGAAGCUAAGAAACAGGGCUACAACAAUGUAGAAGGUCACUCAGUCCAAAUCCUAACACAACUAGGUCAAAAUGCAGAAUACCAAAUCCAGAACCGUAAUUGCAGGUUCCCAAAUCGCACUAUGCUGUAAUGAACACAACUCAGUCUAUACAGGUCCAAAUGCCGAAAUUCCAAAGGCAUAUGUUAGCUAAGACAUCCAGAUACAUUUCAUCAGAAGAUACCAACUUCAAAAUCUAAACCAAUUCUAGUCAAAACAAAUGAUUACAAGCGCAGUUUUCACAUUCUGAGCAACCCUGGACAGCAACAGUAAAAACGACAUAACUCACUCUACACAAAUCCAAAUGACCUAAAAUUUUGCAGGCACUUCAAACUCAUCAAUACCUACAACUUUCAUAUUUUGAGCAAAGUCCAAUUUGGCCUCUAACCCUAUGAUCUAAAACCGGACAGAAUUAGGGGAUUAUGAACCCUAACUUUCCAUUUUUCCAUCCAAAUCCAAAAUUAGUUGCAUUUAUCAUCAAUUCACACCUACUAGAGUCAUUAUAGUCCAUUGCCAAUCAUCCAAGAUAGCCACAACAUCCCAUUCAUAUUAAACCAGAAAAUUCAUCAUAAAAUUGAAAACUUCACUAAAACACUUCAAAUCAAGAAAUAAAUCACAUAAUCCAUCACUUUAGCCACUCCUAAGCAAAUCAUAAGCAUCAUUAGGUGUAGCAUGGUGUUCAAGCAUCACUUACCAAGAAAUCAAGAGAGAGGGAGAUGAUGGACACCUUAGCUCUUCCAAAAAGCUUCACUAAACCAACCACUAUCACCAACUAGAAAAGUUGUAUGGAAAGGAAACUAAUUUAUGUGCUUGAUUGAGAUGAUUUGCUAGUGGAAAGCUUGAAGAUUGAAGAGGUUUUUCUCCUUCUUGCAAGCGAGAGAGAGAGCCGGCUAUGGAGAAAGAAAAUGAGGGAAUUUUAGUGAAUUUUUGAAGAUAUUUAACCUUUGGUCAAAAAGUCAAAAAUGUGAAUAGUGUUUCUUAAAGUCCAACCAAUGAGAAAGUGACACUUGUCACCUCAUUAAUGCAAUCCUAUCCUUUCUUUUCUCUCUCACAUCAAUUAUUUCACACACUCUACUUAUCUCUUGACACCCGAUAAAUUUUACACAGUAUCCGGAAUUUAACCUAAUUGGCCGAAUUUUUCUGAACUUUUCACACUAGUGGGUCCCACGUCCAAUAUACGUUCUUAUUUUCUCAAAAUCUAACCGAUACUAGAAAAAUCAUCUAAAAACUCUAUUUACUCAUAAAAAUUAUCUGGGGAACUUUCUAAUAACGAAAAUAUCAAAAAGACGGGUGAACAAUCAAACUCCACUUAAGCUUUCUACUAAAAUGAACUAGGGUUUUCAACCCUAAUCGAGGUUAGGGUUUUCUUCUUAGCCUUAAAACCCUAAUUCCACCCCACCGAUCAAUGAAUAACCCUCAUAUCAGCUUACGAACGGACUGGGGCCUCACAUCUUAAGUAUGGAGACAUGGAAGACAUCGUGAAUCCUAGACAAACUUAAAGGCAAUUCCAACUUGUAAGCUACAUUUCCUACGCACUAGAUAACCUUAUAGGGUCCCACAAAUCUCGGUUGCAACUUCUUCCCUUUUCCCGCCAUUGGAUUUGCUUUCAAGGGUGUAAUUCUAAGAAACACUUUAUCUCCAACCUCAAACUCUAACUUCUUUCUCCGAUUAUCCGCAUAGCUCUUUUGGCGGUUUUGAGCUGUUCGAAUCCUCUGACGAAGUAAUUUCACCUUCUCAUAAGCUUCCUCAACCCAAGCUACGGUAGUCGGGUCCCAAAUCUUCUUUUCUCCAACUUUGUCCCCAUGAAUCGGAAAUCGACACUUUUGACCAUAAAGAGCUUCGUAAAGAGCUAUAUGUGUUGAGGAAUGAAAACUGUUGUUAUAAGAAAAUUCCACCAACUUAUGGUAUUGAAUCUAAUUUUCUCCAAAAUCCGCAAUACAUGACCUCAACAUGUCCUCUAGGGCUUGAAUUGUCCUUUCCGACUGUCCAUCAGUUUGCGGGUGGUAAGUGAUACUAAAAUUCAGUUUAGUCCCCAAACUCUCUUGCAUCUUUGGCCAAAAUCGAGAUACAAACCUAGGGUCCUGAUCUGAGACUAUACUCACUGGUAUCCCAUGCAGUCUUAUAAUUUCAUCCAAGUAUAAUUUAGUUAACUUUUCCAAGGAAUACUUCAUACUAAUCGACAAAAAGUAAGCAGAUUCGGUCAAUCGAUCUACUAUUACCCAAAUAGCGUUGUGUCCUCUCUGAGUCCUUGGUAACCCUGAUACGAAAUCCAUUGUGAUAUUUUCCCACUUCCACUCAGGUAUUUUCAACGACUGUAAUAAUCCAGAUGAUUUCUGAUGUUCGACCUUAACCUGCUGGCAAGUGAGACAAGCUCGAACAAAUUCAGCAAUUUUUCUUUUCAUAUUCUCCCACCAAUACAGGCUCUUCAAAUCUUAAUACUUCUUAUUACUUCCAGGAUGCAUCAUAUACUUUGAACGGUGAAUUUCGUUUAAAAUUUCCUUCUUUAGACCUUUAUCCUUGGGUACCACUAUGCGAUUUCUAAACUUUAACACUUCAUCAGUCCCCAAAUUGAAGUCAGACUUUUUCCCCUUUUGAACUUUCUCAACCCAUUUUUACACUUCAGGGUCUCCUUUUUGAACUUCUUUGAUUCGAUCUAAUAAAGUAGAUUUCACAGUAAUAUUCCCAAAGAUUACCCUCUGUGGUUCAAGAUGCGGAUUCCAAACACUAAUUUCUUCUAGCAUGUGCCAUUCUCUCACCAUAAAUUGGCCACUUGUGUGAGGACCCAUCAUUUUCUUAUUUUCUAGGUUUUAUUCUAUUUAAUUGCAUGCUUUUCUGCAUUUUCUUUAUUAGAAAAAUUUUCUAGAUAAGUUUUAUGAGUAAAUAUAGUUUUAAAAUGAUUUUUCUAGUAUCGGUUAAUUUUUGAGAAAUUAAGAGCGUAUACCGGUUGUGGGACCCACUAGUGCGGUAAGUUCGAUAAAAUUCGGUCAAUUAGAUUAAGUGGUGUAUACCGGGUUUAAUUUAUCAGGUGUUAAGAGAUAAUUAGAAGUUACCUAGAUGGAUUAUCAUUGGAGAGACAAAAGGAUAGAGUUGCAUUAAAUAAGGGUGACAAGUGUCACCUUGUGGUUUAUUCUUGACUUUGACCAUCUUACUUACCUUUACUAAUUAGUCAAAAUUGACCAAAAAUUCACCUUAUUUCUCCCUCUCUUGGCUGAAUUUCUUGGAGCAAAAAGAAGAGAAAACUUCCAACUUCUUUCUUCAAUUUCUUGUCUUGAUCUCACAAACCAACCGUUAAAACUUUGAUUUACUCCAUAAAAACUCUUCUCUAGGUAGGAUUAAGGUUGUUGGUGAAGUGAUUUGGAAGAAAUUGGUGCUAAGUAGCUUCCUUUCUUGAGGUUGCAAGGUGAGUAGCUAAGGAGUUCAUUCUUUGGUCUUACUAAUGUUAAAUUGGUAGAUUGUGUUAGUCAAAGAUGUGAUUUAGUGGAAGAUUUCAUGACUUUUAGUUGAGAUUGGUGAAUUUUAUAUUUAUUCUUGAAUUUUUCUGUUUUUAUAUGUUUAUUAUGGUGUGGCCAUGGAUGAUGACUUGGGAUAGUUUAGAAUGAAACUAUUGUGCGUAAAUUGUAGUUAAUUGCGGAAAAUUUCCACUUUGUGCGGAAAAUUUCAGAUUAGGGUUUCAUUUUCCCAAAUUCUGCCCGGUACUGUUCUACAUAGUUAUAGGCCGAAUUAGCCUUAGGGGGAGGUGGGGCUGUCACAGUUGGUAUCAAAGCCUGCUUCGCGUGGUCUCUGCGCGGAGCGAGCUUGGGGCCAAGUGGUGUUAUGGUCUUGAUUCUGUGAAUGUGUUUAAAGGAUUAAGUGCUCUUCUAGAGUAUAAGUUAUGAACUGAUAAGUGUAAACAUCUUUAUCAUGGAACUUGAGGAAAAUAGAUAUGUAGGUCGGGUAGGAAUCUUUAAUAUGGAUGGUUUACUCUUGGGACCGGCCGGCUCGAGUUGUGAAGUAUCUUAUUUGAGAUUCUUGUGCCCGGCUACUAAAUAAAUGAGAGCCUAGGUUAGGAGCGACUUGGGCGACCUAGGAAUGUGAUUCUAUGGAACUUUGUGUAGUUUGCUCGGGUGUAAGUAAGCAUGGCUAACCUUGAUUAAGAUAUACAUUGUGUUAUUCCUGUAGGCUAUGGACGGAGCCCUAGAGAGGAUAGUUUAUCGCGCGUUAUUGUUGUACUUUUGGCCUUGUUUAUCUAUAGUGCCUUUUGGAUGACCCCGCUACCUUCAUGGCUUUCCUUAUUUGUAGUUAACUGACUGCUACCGUGUGAUUUGUUUGAUAACGUUGUGUGAUGUAUCUAUGCUUUUGAUCUGUGUGUACCUCUAGUUACUUGUUUAUUUAAUAUUAUAUUCACGAUUCGAUCCUAAAUUGGAUAGACCAAUGGAGGGUUCUCAUAGUGGAUGAGGUCGUGGGCGCGGGCGUAAGCAACCCACGAAUGAAGGGGGUAAUCGGGAACCAAUACAUGAACCUAGGGCCGACCAAAAUACCCAAGUAGCCACUGCUAUUCAGCGCAUGACCGAUCUGCUAGCCCACAUAGUGGAAUACCAGGGCCAAAACCCCAAUUCUCAACCUGGAAGCCCUGGUAAUCAUAUAGAGGGCGAGGAUAGAGCCCUUGAAAGAUUUCAAAAGUUCUCCCCACCCAAAUUUCUCGGAGGCCCUGAUCCUGACGUGGCUGAGAGGUGGCUGGAGAAGAUGAUCGAUAUUUUUGCUGCAUUACACUACAUUGAGGAGAGACAGGUGACAUUUGCUAUCUUUCAACUAGAGGGAGCCGCCCGUUCCUGGUGGAAUAUCCUUCGAAUGAAAUGGGAAAGAGAACAAACCCCGAGGACGUGGGCGAACUUUAUGAGAGAAUUUAAUGCCAAGUUUUUCCCUCCUCUAAUCCAAGAAAAGAAGCAAGAUGAAUUUAUUCGGCUUCGCCAAGGAACUCAGACCGUAGCCGAGUGUGAGAGUCAAUUCACUCGGUUGUCUAAGUUUGCGCCCGAACUGAUUGUAAUCGAACAAAGACGGAUAAGGCGAUUCAUCCAAGGAUUAAAUGUUGAAAUUCAGAAAGAUCUGGCGGUAGCCCAACUUAAUGCCUUUAGUGAUCCGGUGGAGAAGGCCCAGCGAGUUGAAACUGCGAGGUUACAAGUUAGAAACUUCCAAGCCAAAAAAAGGAGGCUUUCCGGGGAGCAGCUCGGAACAGGAAGAUAAGAGCACACCCCCUAAGAGUGGAAGAGGAAACGGGGGAGUACGAAAACGGGGGGUGGCCAGUGGUGUCUCACCGGGAGGAUCGGUCUCUGCUACUCGAGGUUCCUGUGGAUAUUGCGGAGGGCCAAAUCACACGGAGGCAAAUUGUUAGAAGAAAAAAGGAAAAGGCCUGCGUUGUGGGAACGCCGAACAUCGAAUUGCUAAUUGUCCAGCUCGACUGUGCGAAGGGAGAGGGACUCCGCCGCCAACCAAGACCAACUCUAAGCAACCAGCUAAGACCAACCCUGGACAGUCGAAAGGAGAAGGGACUGGAGCGAAGGUACCGACUGGAGUAUAUUCCCUGGACCAUCAUCAGGUCCCUGACUCAUCUGAGGAUGUAGAAGGUAUGAUCCAUUGGUUACCUUGGAUUUUGAUAGAUCCCAAUGAUAAGAAAAUUUCGAGUACGAAAUUUCUUUAAGAGGGAGAGAGUGUGAGGACCCAUAAUUUUCUUAUUUUCUAGGUUUUAUUCUAUUUAAUUGCAUGCUUUUCUGCAUUUUCUUUAUUACAAAAAUUUUCUAGAUAAGUUUUAUGAGUAAAUAUAGUUUUAAAAUGAUUUUUCUAGUAUCGGUUAAUUUUUGAGAAAUUAAGAGCGUAUACCGGUUGUGGGACCCAUUAGUGCGGUAAGUUUGGUAAAAUUCGGCCAAUUAGGUUAAGUGGUGUAUACUGCAUUUAAUUUAUCAGGUGUUAAGAGAUAAUUAGAAAUUACGUAGAUGGAUUAUCAUUGGAGAGACAAAAGGAUAGAGUUGCAUUAAACAAGGGUGACAAGUGUCACCUUGUGGUUUAUUCUUGACUUUAACCAUCUUACUUACCUUUACUAAUUAGCCAAAAUUGAACAAAAAUUCACCUUAUUUCUCCCUCUCUUGGCCGAAUUUCUUGGAGCAAAAAGAAGAGAAAACUUCCAACUUCUUUCUUCAAUUUCUUGUAUUGAUCUCACAAACCAACCGUUAAAACUUUGAUUUACUCCAUAAAAAAUCUUCUCUACGUAGGAUUAAGGUUGUUGGUGAAGUGAUUUGGAAGAAAUUGGUGCUAAGUAGCUUCCUUUCUUGAGGAUGCAAGGUGAGUAGCUAAGGAGAUCAUUCUUUGGUCUUGCUAAUGUUAAAUUGGUAGCUUGUGUUAGUCAAAGAUGUGAUUUGGUGGAAGAUUUCAUGACUUUUAAUUGAGAUUGGUGAAUUUUAUAUUUAUUCUUGAAUUUUUCUGUUUUUAUAUGUUUAUUAUGGUGUGGCCAUGGAUGAUGACUUGGGAUAGUCUAGAAUGAAGCUAUUGUGCGUAAAUUGUAGCUAAUUGCGGAAAAUUUCCACUUUGUGCGGAAAAUUUCAGAUUAGGGUUUUAUUUUCCCAAAUUCUACCCGGUACUGUUCCACAUAGUUAUAGGCCGAAUUAGUCUUAGGGGGAGGUGGGGCUGUCACAACUUGCACCUUACGACUUAGGGCAUCCGCCACUACAUUAGCCUUUCCAGGGUGGUAAUUUAACGAACAGUCAUAAUCUUCCAAAAAUUUCACCCAUCUACGUUAUCUCAAAUUCAAGUCUUUCUGGGAGAACAAAUACUUAAGCCUCUUGUGAUCCGUAAAAACCUCAAAAGUCACUCUAUACAAAUAAUAUUUCCAUUUUUUCAAGCAAACACUACUGCCACUAACUCCAAAUCAUGGGUCGGGUAAUUCUAUUAAUGAGAUUUUUCAACUUACGAGAGGCAUACGCAAUUACCUUUCCAUUUUGCAUUAAUACACAUCCUAAACCAUUCUUUGAAGCAUCUAUAUAAACCACAAAACCAUCUCCUCCGCUUGGCAAUACUAACACAGGUGCCUCGGUUAAACACUUUUUCAAUUCUUGAAACCCUUCCUCAUAUUUAGAAUCCCAUAUGAACUUGCCAUACUUCUUAAUCAACUCGGUUAAGAGUUUUGCAGUCUUAGAAAAAUCCUUGAUAAACUGACGGCAAUGUCCGGCUAACUCUAAGAAACUUCGAAUUUCCGUAGGGUUCUCUGGUUGUUUCCACUUAGAAUUAGCUUCUACCUUAGCUAGGCCCACAGUAAUUUCCUUUCUUAGAGAUUAUAUGACCUAGAAAGGUUAUUUCUUCCAACCAAAACUCACAUUGAUUUAACUUAGCAAAAAGUUGGCACUUUCUCAGGGUUUAUAAAACUAUUCUCAGGUGCCGUUCAUGUCCUUAUGUUCUAGAGUUUGAGAAUUUGUUAUUCAUUCUAGCCUUUUGAAAUUCUUGUUCACAGGUCUAAAGGUAUGGGGUAAUAAAUUAGAUAUACACGUAAGCCGUAAAAUCAAUUAAAGCAAAGUAAAUUUUUAUAUGUUCUAAAAGAUCAUAAUAGUUACACCAAGUGAGAAUAACUUCAUAAAAUCAUUUCAAAAGAAAGGGGAGACAAACAAAAUCAAAAGAAAACGUGCUAAGUUGCAAAUGUACAAAACAACAAAAGGACUUUAUCCCUUAUACAAAAGAUUACAACCUCCAAAAGUACCAAUUUAAACUAGGGUAAAAUUACACCCCCUAUCCCUCGAGUAAAAUCAGAUCCAUCCCCUACUCGUAAAGUUUCUACUACUUGGAUCCCUCUUACAAUCAUUAACAUUAAUUACUCAUUCUGGCACUCGAUUGCUUUGCAGCGGACCUAGCAGAUUGCUGAAUAUUUUCUCUUUUUAGAGGCAUUAGGGCAACUUGAAACCUGAUGUUUGGCACUACCGCAAGUCAGACAUUUUCCUUGCUUUGUCCAGCACUUGGUCUCCGCAUGGUUAAACUUGCCACAGUAUCCAUAGGCCACACGAGAAGUCACGGCCUAACUAGUUUGGGAAUUUUCUUUGUUUUUCUUUUCCAGUUCCACUUUCUUGUGUAGCAACUCAAUUUUUUCCGCAUAUUCUUGUUUCCAUCGUCCUUCCCAGUAGUCAGCUAAUUUCUUUUAAAACUCUACCUCCUUUCGAAGAGUGUCUAUUUCCAUAUACAUCUCUCCCAAAUUUGUCAUCUCACUGAUUGGUGUAAGGAUUGAAGACAACCUAAGAGGGGGGUGAAUUAGGUAAAUUAAAAAUUAACCAAGUUAUGAGACACUUUUUGUUAAAUAUGAAAUUUACCCCCUUUUCGAUGACCACACAAUGGAACAAUCAAUGAGAAAGCACGAAUGCUCGUGAGUAGAAGAGAUGAACAAUUUAUAUUGCAAGAUAGUAAAUAAAAGAGAUAGAGUAGCAAACCAAAUUCCAAACUCCUCUUGAUUUUGAAUAUCACUUUAUAAAGUAAGUUUCUUCUAGUUGAUCAAUUACAACCAAUCUUUGUGUACAAAGGAAGGAUCACUUCCUCCUUACCCCAAGCCACACUUGGUCAAGUUAGGAAGUUUUACUAUCACUCGGAUAACCCUCACAAAGUUACACUAUUGAAAUAAUUUUCUCACACAAGAAAAGCUUAUACAAGAUUCACACAACUAAGAGUACAAAUUUUUCUUUAAGAGAAUUUUCUCACUAAAAAUGCUCUUGAUCUUUUGUAGUCUCAAUGUGCAAAAGUGUUUUGAAGUGGUUGACUUUGCUCUGUUUAUAUGAGACCAAAAAGUUCCUUCAUUAAUGUUUCCAAUGGAUAGAGGGCAGCUGAAGAGUCAACUAGCCGUUGGUGGUGUCGGACGUCCGGUGAUCUUGUUUCUUGCGUCCGACAGUAGGUAGUGAGCAAAAGAGAUUUUCUUUAAUUCAUUCGAAUGUUCGGUACCUUCAUAGUUCGCAUCCGAAAGCAGAUAAUAAAAUUAAAAAAUUUUCUUCAAUACUUUCGGACGUCCGGUACCUCCAAUGCUCUGCGUCCGAAGUCUUACGCAGAUUAUUGGAUGUCCGGUGCUCUAAUGUUUUACGUCCGAUCAAGGUUGGCAAGUUUAGAAAAAUGUUUUGAUGCUUUUAGACGUUCGGUGAUGGAGUUCUUCAUGCGUCCGAAGUUGCUCAAUGAUUGUCGGACGUCCGAUCCAGUUUUUACGUGUAUCCGACAACCUCAACAACAGCUUCACUUUUGAACCUGAUUUGCUUUCAUUUCUGAAAAGGUCAUUGAGGAGAUGUUAGUAACAUUUAUUUGUUUUGUAAUCAUUAAAAGUUAAGAAGAGAAAUUAACAAUCUCCUCCUUUUUGAUAAUGACAAAAUAAUGGAUGGGGGAAAAUAAGAAAAAUAAUUGAGUCAAGAUUUCCCCUCAUUUAAUGCAUCAAAAAGGUAGAUACUUCCCCUCAGAAUAGCUCCCCCUCACACAUUUACCAGGUUACAUUUCCUGGCAACAACUUAACAUCAUUUCUCCCACUUUUUGUUAUCAUUAUAAGACAAUUCAAAUCCAAUUUAAAUACAGUGACAUUAAUGCAAAUACAAUUUAAAUCCAAUUUAGAUCCAACAUCUAGAAUCCCAACAUCAAUGUUAGCAGCAAUAUCAUUAACCAAGAAUACCCAACAAAAUCAGCAACCACCAAUAUCAGCAAACAAUGUCAAAAAUCAGAAGUCACAGGGACACCGAGCACACAAAAGCAAACAAGUUAACCAAUCAAAGAGAUAACCAACAAAUUUAACCAGAAACCAUUCAACAUAGAGAAAUUAACCGAAUAAUUUACAAGCCAAAAGAGUUAACCAAAUAACUAGAAUUAGGAGCACAAAGUACUUGAAAUGCAAAAGAUACAAAUGUCAAUUAUGAAAUGCCAUCCUAAACAUUAAGUGCAAGUGCCUAGAGGUGCCCAAAUUGUGAUGUUGGACAAUCCAGACCUUCUCCUAGCUAGCGUAAAACUGGGCAAGAUCCACUUCUUCCUCCUCAGUUUCCUCAUCAUGAUCACUGUCUUCAGUUGUUGGAGCAUUUCCCAUGUCUUGUGGCUGAGAACUGGAAGCACGAACCUCUGGAGUGGUUUCAGUAUGUGGAGUUUGCUCAGUUGGCUCAGUUCUAGGCUCCUUUUGAUGUACAUUCUCAUCCUCCUGAGGGAUAGGGGGGACAAGUAGGUUCCUUUUGUCAAUGAAAGCAGCUUGCUGAUCUGGUGACAUGGUCAUUAUCAGACCAUCUUUAAUAAGGUGAAUGUGUUGUUUGAGAUACUCAGCAAGGAGAUGACCUCAUGAGCGGAUGAAGAAGGCCGAUUGGAUGACUUUCUGGGAUGGAUGGUAAAGGGGGAAACAAAAUGAGACUAGUCUCUACGAGAUCUAGGAGUGACAGGAGUGUCAUAAUGGCUCUUAGUUCUAAACUCCAAAACAGAUUCCUUGUAACACCAUUUACCAUUAAAGAAACCCAGAUUUUUCCUUCGAAAUAAGCUUUUGAAAAGACAAUUGAUGCAGUCACUUUUGGUGAGACUCUAGUAAAAGGAAUGUUGAAGUGAGCAAAAAUUGGAGUGAGAAAUUUUCCAUAGAAAAGUUUCCUACGGCUAUUAGUACUGGUUUUUAGCAGAAACUUACACGUAACAAAGCCAAAAUUAAUUUUGAUCUUUUCAAGAAAGCAGUAGAACAAGUAAAGCUUCAUUUUGUUGGCAAUAGUCCUAUGACCAUCAGUAGGAACCAAUAGAUUUGAAAUUAUUGAAAAGAUAAUCAAAUUUUGAGGACUGAGAUCCUUCAAUCUUGCCUCGGCAGGAGUGUUAAAAUAUUUUUGAAAAUAAGUCAUCAGUUUUGCAACAUGAAAAUGAUGAUAGGCAGAAGGAAACUCUUCAUAAGAGAAAAAAUUUACAAUUUUUCCUUUAAAACUAUUUUCAAUUUUGGUUUUUAAAAUAGUAUUAACAGCAUCAGGAUUAAAGACAAUAUCAACUGAAUUGACUCGAGAAAUAAGGUCAGUGUGUGAACUACUGUUCCUAAGGUUAGCAAAAAACUGAUAAAGCAUAUCAGGAUAAUAGGUGUUGGGUAAUUUCAGAAUGUGAGACCAUUUUUGGAAUCCAAAGAGUUCAAUAACUGGUCCAAGGUCAAGUUUACGAAAUUCAUAGGGGAUGAUGGUCCUUUGAGUGAUGAACCCUUUCUGUGAAAUCCAUUCAAAUCUCUUUCUGGCAUCAUCAUCAAUGAAUCUGGGCGGUGGAGUUGGCACUUCCUCAGUUUGAGUAGCAGAUUGUCCUCUAGCAGAACGUUUCCUUUUUUCACCAUGCUGAGCAUUAGUUGGCACAGCAGUAGCCUCAGCAGUUGGCACUUUAUCAGUUGUUCUCUUCCUCAAAGAUCUUCUGGUGGAAGGUUCAGUAGUUUGUUGUUUCUCAGCACUUUGCUCAGCAGUUUGCUUAACAUAAGGUACAGUAGUUUGCCGUUCUUCAGGUUGGGUAGUCUGUUCUUUUCUUGCAGACUGUUUUCUUUUGCCACCACGGGUUUUAGUUCCUUUUCUGGAUGGAUUUGUGGUGGAGGGCUCUACAAUUUCAAUGUUUUCAUCCCUCGGUCUGGUGAUGCAUUCGGCACCAGCAGAUCCUCCUCUCACUCUCACCAUGGUGAAAUGAAGAGAGAUUUUGAUGUAGAGAAUGAUGCGAAUGUAUAUGAGAUUGACUAGAAGUGCGAUAUGGACUGCAAUGCAGGCUUGAAUUGUCCAAAGAGAGUGAAUUUUGAGUGGCUAGGGUUUCGGUUGAGAAUUGGAAUUUAUAGGGUAGUUUGCAGUUAGCGAAAGUUAUGAGGAGUAAUGAUCGGGCAAAAGGAGUGUAAUGACUUUGAACAAAUCAAUUUCUUAGAACUUGCUCAGAAGAGAGACGAAUUUUGAAAUUUGAAAGUAGGAGAGGAUGAAGAGUUGCGUCCAAGACAACAACUAAAAAAAUGAACUAAAUGAAGAAAAUGACAGACUUAUAACAAGCAUUUUUUGAGUGUUGGACGGCCGAACGAAGUGAAACGUUAGACACUACUGUCCAAAACAAGAUUUUUCUGGAAAAAAGACUAAGAACAUUAUUGGACGUCCGUUCAUCAAGUAUCGGACAUCCGAUAAAGUGUGACCAGAUAAUUUUUUCGGAAAAAUUUUUCAAUAACGGCCAAUUUUGUUCUAAAAAAUACAAAUUGAUCCAGUGGAAGGGCUUUUGUAAGAAUGUCAGCACUUUGAUCCUUUGAACAAACAUAUUGUACACAAAUUUCACCUUUUUCGAUGAGAUCUCUAAUGAAAUGAUGCUUUAUGUCUAUAUGCUUUGUCCUAGAAUGUUUAAUGAAAUUUUUUUAUCAAAUUUAUAGCACUUGUAUUGUCACAAAACACAGGCACACAAUCAUAUGCUAAUCCAAAAUCAUUCAAGGUGCUUUUCGUCCACAUUAAUUGACCACAACAUGCACCAAUGGCAACAUAUUCCGCUUCGGCGGUAGAUAAGGAAAUAUCAUUUUAUUUCUUACUUAGCCAAGACACUAAGCAAUUACCAAGAAAGUGGCAUGUACCACUUGUACUCUUUGUAUCUAUUCUAUAUCCACCAAAGUCAGCAUUCGAAAAUCUACAUAAAGGAAAUUCAUGACAUUUAGGAUACCAAAGACCAUAGUUCAAAGUUCCUUUCAAGUAUCUAAAAAUUCUUUUCACAGCAAUCAAGUGAGAUUCUUUUGGACAUUAUUGGAAACGAGUGCACAAGCAAACAGCAAAUAGCAAACAUGAUAUCAGGUCUACUUGUGGUUAAAUAAAGUAAGCUGCCAAUCAUACAUGUAUACUUCUUUUCAUCAGCAUUUAUACCUCCUUUAUCCUUGUCAAGUUUGGUAGAUGUGUACAUUGGUGUUCCAACUUGCUUUGAUUCCUCCAUACCGAAUCUUUUGAGCAGCUGCUUGGUGUAUUUUGCUUGAUUAAUGAAUGUUCCUUGUUGAGUUUGUUCCACUUGAAGCCCAAGGAAGAAAUUCAAUUCUCCCAUCAUACUCAUUUCAAACUCUUUUUGCAUAAUAGUGAAAAAUCCUUACACAAACAUUCAUUAGUAGUACCAAAUAUAAUAUCAUCAACAUAUAUUUGUACAAUUAGUAAAUCAUUGGAGUAUUGUUUAGUGAAAAGAGUGGUGUCUACAAUGCCCCUUUUGAAACCAUUUUCAAUCAAGAAACCACUUAAUCGUUCAUACCAUGCUCUUGGAGCUUGAUUUAAACCAUACAAAGCUUUUGAGAGUUUAAACACAUGAUUUGGAAACAUUUCAUUUUUAAAGCUGGGAGGUUGGUCAACAUAUACCUCUUGAUCAAUAAAACCAUUUAAGAAAGCACUUUUAACCUCCAUUUGAAAUAAUUUAAAAUCCUUGAAACAUACAAAUGUCAAAAACAUUCUAAUUGAUUCUAGUCUAACGACGGGAGCAAAUGUUUCAUCAAAAUCUAUUCCUUUUUCUUGAGCAUAUCCCUUAUCUACUAGUCUAGCUUUGUUUCUUACCACUUCACCUUUGUCAUUCAUUUUAUUUCUAAACACUUAUUUUGUACCAAUGAUAGGAUGAUUUUGAGGCUUUUCAACUAAUAUUUACACCUUGUUCCUUUCAAAUUGUUUUGGUUCCUCUUCCAUGGUUAAAAUUCAGUUUUCAUCAGUCAAUGCAUCAACAAACAGUUUUUGGUUCAAAAUGUGAGACCAAAGCAAAAUUAUCCAUCAAUUAUUUCUAAGAGGAGCGAGUUCUUAUCUUUUCGAAUGGAUCACCAAUAAUAAGUUCCUUAAGAUGAUUUUGAACAAACUUCCAAACUUUUGGAAGAUCCAUAGGUGCAUCAUCGUGAUUGUCAUUUUCUUCCAAUGCUUGAUGGUCUUGAGGAUCAUCUCCCUUUGAACUCUCUUCUUGUGGAGCAUUGUUUUGAUCAUGAAUUGUGAGCUUCUUAAGUCCUUGUUGAACACCUACAUCAUCAUCCUUACAACUACUCUUGAAAAUAUCACUAUUAGAUUCAUCAAAAGUGACAUGUAUGGCUUCUUCAAUAACAAGAGUCCUUCUAUUGUAGACUCUAAAACCUCUUUUGUUCUCACAAUAUCCCAAGAAAAUACCUUCAUCAGAUUUUUGUCAAAUUUUUCAAAAUGUUCCUUGACAUUUAAAAUAAAACAUUUGCAACCAAAGACUUUGAAAUAACCAACAAUUGAUUUUUUAUCAAACAUUAACUCGUAAGAGGUUUUGUUCAAAAUAGGUUUCAAAAGAACUCUAAUCAUAGCAUAACAAGCGGUAUUAACGGUUUCGGCCCAAAAAUAUUUUUGCAAAUUACAUUCACUCAACAUGGUUCGUGCGGUUUCUUGAAGAGUUCUAUUCUUUCUUUCGACAACACCAUUUUGUUGAGGAGUUCUAGCAAUUAAAAACUCAUGUGUGAUUCCAUUGUUAUCACCGAAAUUUCGAAAAAUCAAAAAAUUUAAAUUCCAAGCCAUUGUCACUUCUAAUCUUGAUAAUUUUCAAUCUAAUCAGAUUUUGAACUUUUGCAAAUAAUGAAACAAAAUUUUUGAAAGCAUCAUUUUUGUGUGCAAGAAACAUCACCCAAGUGUAUCUAGAAUAAUCAUCAACAAUAACCAAACAAUAUCUUUUACCACCCAAGCUAGCAAUUUGUGUAGGACCAAAUAAAUCAAGAUGUAAAAGCUCCAAAGGUUUUGAAAUAGAAACACAUUUCUUAGGUUUAAAUGAAACUUUGACUUGUUUUUCAAAUUGACAAGCAUCACAUAUUUUGUUCUUUUCAAACUUAAUUUUUGGUAAACCUUUAACAAGUUCCUUUUUGAAAAUUUCUUUUAACAAAUUCAUGUUGAAAUGACAAAGUCUUCUAUGCCACAACCAAGGGUUUUCAUUUGUAACUUUAAGACAUUUAAGGCUUGAAGAAUCAAUUUUUUCAAGAAUAACUGCAUAAAUGCUAUUCACUCUUUUUCCUUUGAAGAUAAUGUUGAAUUUUGAAUCAAGAACAAGACAUUCAUGUUUUUUGAAUAGCACAAAUAGAUUUCUAUCACAUAAUUGACCAAUACUCAACAGAUUAUAACUUAAAUUAUCAACAAGAAGAACAUUGUGAACAAAAGUUUGAUCAUUCUUACCAACAUCUCCUACUCCAACUGUUUUGGCUUUGUUAUCAUCUCCAAGUGUUAAUUUUUCACUUGAUUUUGACUUGAGUUUGAUGAACUGUGAUGGAUCACCAGUCACAUGCCUUGAGCAUCCACUAUCAAUGAACGAUUUUGAUUCCUUAAUGACAUUCACCAAGUUCACCUACACAAGAGUUCACUAGAUGAUAUUUGAUACCCAUUUACUUUUUGGAUCCUUGAAAGUUAGCAUUAUAUCUAACUAUCCACAUGCAUUUCAUGCCAUUUUUCAUAUUCUUUCUUACAUAACAGUUAUUCUUUAUGUGUCCAACUUGGCAACAAAAGCUACAUAUAGUUAGCGAAUUACUUACAUAAACAGGUUUAACAAAUUUAACUUGGUUUUUUUAUAAAUAAUAAAUUCGUUUGCAUUGAAAUUCAACCUAUUCUUAUGAAUGUCAAAGUGAGGUCUUGACUCGUUCUUUUGAAAACAAACUUGUUUCUUGUGUUUAAACAACUCAUUUAAACCAUCCAUUCUUCUUUUCAAAUCACCUUGUUCCUUUUUGAACAAUUCACAAAGUUUUCUUUUUUAAUCAAGUUCAACAUGUAGAUCAGUCUCAACUUUAUUCAAGUUAUCAUUUUCAACUUUCAGAUUCUUGUUCAGUCGUAAAAGACUUGCAUUAUCCUGAAUAAGAAAAUUAAUUUUUUGUUUUAGUUCCUUGUUUCUAGCAUAAGAAUCUUUCAGGCUGCUAUGCAAUCUUUCAAUGAAGGAAUUAACAUCAUCAUCAGAUUCCUCUUCACUGUCAGGUUGAGAAUUGCAAGUAGUUACCUCAUCAUCACCAAUGGCCAUGAAAGUCAUUUGAGCAGAUUCUUCUUCCUCUUCAACAUCACCAUCCGAGUUGCAAUCAUUCCAUGUGAUUUGAAAAUUGUUAAACUUUGGUUUUCAUUCAACUUUUCCUUCUUUUUUUUCUUCAUUGGGCAUUCAUUCAUGUAGUGUCCAGGCUGGUCGGAUUCAAAAUAUUUUUCAACUUGCUUUUUGUUGGCCUCUAGCUUUCCUUUGUUUCUUGCAUUGUUGAAUUGAUUUGGAAAUGUAUUGCUAGGUCCUCCUCUUUUGAAUCUCCUAUUGUUGAGGAUUCUUUUGAAACUCUUUGUGAUGAGAGUAAGGUCAUUGUCAUCAAUUUCAACAUCUUCUCCAUUCAAGGAAGUUGAGUCAUUUUCAUCUUGAGAAGGUUUUAGAGCAAUGCGCCUCCUCCCUUUAGCAUCCUCUUCCUCUUGCACUUUAGACUUAAGUUUUAGCUCAUAAGAGAUUAGAGAAUUAAUGAGAAAUUCAAUAGGCAUAGAAUUCAGAUCUUUGGUCUCUUCAAUGGCAGUCAUGUGACGACCCCACCUCUCCCUAAGGCGUACCAAAGGGUUCGGCGGACCGCCUGCCCAGCUCUCGCCAGGACUCACUCACUAUCUCAAUCGAAUCAUAAAUACACAACCAUGCACCAUAAAUAAUAUUCAUGAUUCAGACUUAUAAUUUACAUUGAUAGGAAUCAGGUACAAAGUCUUAAUACACCAACUAGUACAAAACGUAUACAAUCCAAGUACAACAUGUUUCGUUCGAGGAAUAGCGCGAGUACAAGACCAAAAGUCAAAAGUCAAAACAAACGGCUACACUAGUCUUUUACAAGUCUCUCGCGUCACCCGUACCCCUGUAAGGAAAACAAACUAACGGGGUGAGCCAAAGCUCAGUGACGUUCUCAAAUAUCAAAUUGGUCAGCAACCAAGUUAUAGCAAAAUAAAAGUGAAAUGGCGAGCAAAUAAGUCAAAUCAAGGAAAUAGUACUUCAGCUAGUCAAGUAGUAUUAGAUGCACAUUCACAUAUAAGGAUACGGUAUUCAUGUUACGGCUCCAUUCCAGCUUGGUCAAGUGGUAGUCGACACUCCGUCAACUUUCAAGUAAUUCCAAGUCCAAAUAAACUCUGCUACACGCCAAUUUCCGUCCACCGAUCAACCCCCUAUUCCGGGCCCGCACGCCAUACGAAACAUGGGUGGUAAUACUCGAGUAUACCGUUAGUCGAGGAGAUAACACUCCACUCGACAUUACAAGUGACCCAGGGUUUGUUAUCUAAUCGACCAGGCCCUUGCUGGCUCGACUCGAUUAACUAGCCACAGGGUUUCUGGAAUUCCAGGCAAGAUACAAUUCAAGUACAUGUACAACAAGUCAAGUAUGAUCAAUAGCAAGAACAGGUCAUAUUAGGGCAAGUGCGAUAAAGUACACCCUUGCCCUUUCAUUCAUUGUCAUGUAAUCACGCAAGUCAAGUAGGGGGUACACAUAUCAAGUACAAUCGGAUAUUUGAAAGCACUCACCAAAAUAGUGCUUCUAGUGCUCGUGUCUGGGUGGUACUCCGAGUUGGGAGUCCAAAUCUGCGAUAAAACUUAACUUGAGAACUUUGAAAAUCAACCAAAGUUUGAGACUUAAGUGUUUCGUUCAAUAAGAAUCAAGAAAUUGAAAUUCACUUGAGAAGAGUCGUGAAAUAGUUGCUCGCUCUUUAAACUGAAAAAUUUAAUAACAUUUUUGCUUGAAGAUGACUCUUGAGUCAAAAGUGCAAGUAAAACGGUUUCAUAGUGUUUCAUAUCGCUUUCCUAAGGGUACAAGUUCGGCCAAGUCCUAACAUAUAACCCUCGAUAAACAAGUGGCAAAGGUCCUCGAUAGUUCAAGUGAUAAUCACUUAACCUAUACUCAAGUCGCAAAGAUAGUUUUCUAGACCUCGAAUAAAAAUUUGGGCAGCGUGCCCUUUGUGUUUACCUAAUUUCCAGCCAUUUAGGCUUCAAUAUUUUCCUUCAACAAUAUCCCAACAUCAUACAAAUAAGCAAUUUAUGUCAAGAGCCGUUCCAUAGGCUCACAAUAUUAUAACAACAAGAAUCGCCUCAAGUACAAGUGCAGAAAUUCAAUGUGGCACAAGACAGAUUUGACGUACAAAUGCGGUAAUAACACAUCCGAGGCUACGCUUAUCAGAUUAAGACGAAACCUGUGCCCUUUCGAAGCUAAGACACAAAGCUACAACAUUCAUGAAGGUCACUUAGUCCAUUUCCUAAUGUAACUUAGUCAAAAUCUCAGAUUACUAAACCAGAAACCAAUUCACCGGCAGUUUAAACGCAUUAUGCUGUAACGGACCUAACUCAGUGUACACAAGUCCGAAUCAGGUUUCCUUUGAGGCAUUUUAAAGCUACUUCAUAACACUACAACUUUUAUGUUUUGGCCCAGAGCUAAAUCAGAAUGGAUCCUGGUCAAAAAUCGUGAUAAACUGGACUGAACUGAAGAAACGGACUGCUGGGAAAUUCUUAAAACAGUAGGGGUAUUUUGGACUUUUCACGUUUUGCGUUGCUCCGAUUGAGCUGAAAUUUUAUAGUCACCUAUAAAACACCAUUCUAUACAACUUUCCUUCUUUGACCAAAGGCCAAUUCGGCCUCUAACAUGUAGAUACAAUUUCAGACAGAAUGCUUGGGAAAUUUUCCAGAAAUCUGGAAUUUGUAGCUCUAAGUGUAAUUUCCUCAAAUUUCUGGUUCUAAUCACCACUAAACAACCUUAUAUAACUUUAAUUACAACAUUCAUGCAUCAUACAUCAACUUGAGCAGAAAAUCAGAAACCCUAGUUCAUCAACUAAAUUGGGGAAAAACUACUACACAUGCUAGCAUCCAUGAAUCUACCACCAAUCAAGCUACUAAGCUUACUUUAACCAUGAUUGAAAGAAAAAGUUAGAGAGAUAUCAUCCUCUUACCUUGAUUAGAAGUCCCUAAGAGCAGCCCCAAGCUUUCCCUUCCCAAAUUUCCACCACCAAUCACUAGAUAAUCACUCAAUAGUAGGUUUAAUCGGUUUACUUUGUUGAUUUUCUCACUAAGUUGUUGGAUUUGAAGGUGAAAUGAAGAAAUCUUCCUUGGUGUUUUCUCCAAGCUAAGUUCGGCCAGCACCAGCAGAAAUGAGGAAGAAAUGGCUAAGUCUUGAGGUUAUAUGGAUGGUAAUGGUCUUGGGUAAGAAGCCAUGAGGUGGUGACACUUGUCACCACCACCACCCUUUCUUUUUCUCUUUCCUUCUUGCCUUUCUUAGCCACCAAUUUUCGGUCAACAUGCUGCCAAGAGAGAAGAUAUUAUGUGCAAAAGUCAACAACUUGUUGGGUAAGAAAAAAUGGUGGUCAAGUGGUGCGUUCAAUCGGUAAUGCGCGGGACCCGCCGGUUCGUGCCGUUUUUCUUAAAAACUCACGUACUAGGGUUUUUACUUCUCAUUCACUAACCUUAUAUCAUUGCUACUACUCACAUAUUAUUUCUCACUUAAAAGUCACUUUUAAUCAUCAAAUUGAUCCUCGGCCAGUACCGAAAAUUCAUCCGGCGGAAAAAUCGCAAAAAACCCUAAUUUUGCUCAAAAUUUGAAACCAAAGCGUAAAACCUUAUUUUCUAGGUUUAUUUACACUUAGUGUGAUAUAAUGAGGUAGGGGUCUUAAUAAAUAAUAAUUUUCGAAUAAAAGACAUUUUUGAGGGAAAAUGUAGGAAAUUUGCGGGUCCUCACAUCCUCUCCCCCUUAAAAGAAUUUCGACCUCGAAAUUCAUACCUUUUGUCGUGAACAGGCCAGGAUACUUUUCUUGCAUAUCCGUUUCUAGCUCCCAAGUUGCUUCUUCCACUUCAUGAUGCUUCCAUAGUACCUUUACUAAAGGAAUCUGCUUGUUUCUCAGGUCCUUCACCUUUCGAUCCAGUAUCUGAAUAGGUCGUUCUUCAUAGGUUAAAGACUCGUCAAGUUCAACAUCUUCGGGUGGCAAAAUGUGAGUCGGAUCCGGAUGGUAUUUCUUAAGCAAAGAGACGUGAAAGACAUCGUGGAUCCUAGACAAGUUAGCUGGUAACUCAAGUCGAUAAGCCACCUUUCCUAUUCGCUGAAGCACCUUGAAAGGUCCUAUAUAUCGUGGUUGCAACUUUUUCCCUUUUCCGGAUCUAAUCUUUCCCUUCAAUGGUGUGAUCCGAAGAAACACCUUAUCUCCUAUUUCAAACUCCAAGUCUUUCCUCCUAUGAUCGGCAUAGCUCUUCUGACGGCUUUGGGCGGUUUGAAGUCUCUGGCGGAUCACUUUCACCUUUUCAUAGGCUUCCUCAACCCAUGGUAUAGUAGCUGGAUCUAUUACUUUUCUCUCUCCUACUUCAUCCCAAUGGAUUGGGGAUCGACACCGUCGUCCAUACAAGGCUUCAUAUGGGGCCAUUUGAAUAGAGGAAUGAUAACUAUUGUUAUACGCGAAUUCAACCAAAGUCAAGUAUUGACUCCAACUUCCUUUAAAAUCCACAAUACAGGCUCUCAACAUAUCCUCAAGAGUUUGGAUAGUUCUCUCAGAUUGUCCAUCAGUUUGCGGGUGAUACGCUGUGCUAUAACUCAGCUUAGUUCCUAGAGCCUCUUGUAAUUUCUGCCAGAAUCGGGAUACAAACCUAGGGUCUCUAUCAGAUACAAUGCUCACUGGUACCCCAUGUAGUCUCACUACCUCAUCCAUAUAAAGUUUAGCAAGUUUCUCCAAGGAAUAUUUCAUAUUUACUGGCAGAAAAUGUGCAGUCUUAGUCAAUCGAUCCACUAUUACCCAAAUUGCAUCAUGCCCCUUUUGUGUUCGUGGCAAUCCUGACACAAAAUCCAUCGUUAUGUGCUCCCACUUCCACUCAGGGAUCUCUAAAGGCUGUAACAAACCUGACGGCUUUUGAUGCUCAGCUUUCACCUGUUGGCACGUAAGACAUUUUUGCACAAACUGGGCAAUCUCCGCCUUCAUUUUCUCCCACCAAUACAGAUUCCUAAGAUUUUGGUACUUUUUAUUAUUCCCUGGGUGCACCGUAUACCUAGAGCAAUGUGAUUCUUCUAAAAUCUCCCUUUUCAAUUCCUCAUCCCUAGGUACCACGACACGAUUUCGAAACUUUAAAAUUCCAUCAGGGCUUAGAUUAAAAUUAGGUAACUCCCCUUUCUUCACUCUCUCUACCCACUUCUGCACUAUUGGAUCCUUCACUUGGCCCUCUUUGAUUUGUUCCAUCAAUGCCGAUUUCGCCUCAAUAUUUCCAAAAACCACCUUUUCCGGUUCCAAACGAGGUUUCCACUCACAUACAUCUUCCAAUAGGCUCCACUCUCUCACUAUAGAACUUGCCAGUUGAGCCUUCCGGCUUAAAGCAUCUGCUACAACGUUGGCCUUUCCAGGAUGAUAGUUAAUUGUACAAUCAUAAUCCUCUAAGAACUCUACCCACCGACGUUGUCUUAGAUUUAACUCCUUCUGAGAAAACAGAUACUUAAGGCUCUUAUGAUCCGUAUAAACCUCGAAAGUUACACCAUAGAGAUAAUGUCGCCAUUUCUUCAAAGCGAACACUACAGCUGCAAGUUCCAAGUCAUGGGUCGGGUAAUUUUGCUCAUGAGUUUUUAACUUUCGGGAUGCGUAGGCAAUCACUUUCCUAUUCUGCAUCAACACGCACCCUAGCCCUUCUUUUGAAGCAUCGGUAUAAACCGUAUAACUAUCCUUUCCACUGGGCAAAGCUAAAACUGGAGCCAUAGUCAAUUGUUUCUUAAGCUCUUGAAAACCAUUUUCACACUUAACGUCCCAAAUAUACUUUCCUUGUUUCUUGGUCAGGUUAGUCAAGGGUCCUGCAAUUCUCGAGAAAUUCUUUAUAAAUCUGCGGUAGUACCCUGCUAAGCCUAAAAAACUUCGAACCUCUGUGGGAUUUUCUGGCCGCUUCCACUUAGCCACAACUUUCACUUUCGCCGGGUCUACAGCAAGACCAUCUUUUGAAAUUAUAUGACCUAAAAACGCCACCUCUUCUAACCAAAAUUCACACUUACUGAACUUAGCGAAUAGUUGGUGCUCUCUUAGGGUUUGCAAUACUAUCCGCAAAUGUUGUUCAUGCUCCUCCCUUGACCUCGAAUAUACCAAGAUAUCAUCAAUGAACACCACUACAAACCUGUCCAAGUAAGGUUUGAACACUCGAUGCAUCAUGUCCAUGAAUGCUGCUGGGGCAUUGGUUAAACCAAAAGGCAUCACAGCGAACUCAAAAUGCCCAUAUCGAGUGUUAAAUGCCGUUUUUGGCACAUCCUCCUUUCUAAUUCUCAAUUGAUAGUACCCUUGUCGCAGGUCCAAUUUGGAAAACACUACAGCCCCUUGUAACUGAUCAAAUAACUCAUCUAUGUGGGGCAAAGGAUAUUUAUUCUUAAUGGUUACUGCAUUCAAUCCUCGAUAGUCAAUGCACAACCUUAAACUCCCGUCCUUUUUCUUAACAAAUAGAACUGGAGCUCCCCAUGGAGACUCGCUCGCAUGAAUAAACCCUCGUUCUAGCAAGUCUUGCAGUUGCACCUUCAACUCCUUGAGCUCAGCAGGUGCCAUACGAUAAGGAGUUUUAGAGAUGGGAGUGGUUCCGGGUACUAAAUCCACUUUAAAUUCAAUCUCCCUUUCGGGUGGCAAAGACUCCAAUUCUUCCGGAAAUACGUCCGGGUAUUCACUGAUUACUGGCAUGUCUUCCAACUUAGUCUUUUCUCCCGGAGUGUUAAUUAGGAAAGCUAGGUAACCACGAGCCCCACGACUAAGCAAUUUCCUAGCCCUUAUACCCGAAAUAAGUGCAGAAGAGGCUAUCAUACCCCUCACAUCAAGCUUUAGAGUUGCCUCUCCUGGUAUACAAAAUUCAACCACUUUCAUCCUACAAUCUACUCGAGCAUGAUAGUGAGCUAGCCAAUCCAUACCUAGGAUAACAUCGUACCCCUUAAUGGCUAGACUAAUGAGGUCCACUACCAAUUUCCGUUCGCCAAUCCAAAUAUCACAAUUCCUAUACAUCUCAUUCGCAAGCAAAAUUUGAUUACCCGUAGGUGUUCUUACCUCUAAGUCAUAAGGUAACCUUUCAACUUUCGAGUCAAUUCCAAGCAUAAAUACAGGAUUAACAAAAGAGUGAGUAGCACCGGGGUCUAUUAAAAUUCUAGCUAACCGGUGAAAAACAGGGAUUGUACCUUCUACCACCUUGGUUGGUUCAAGCACAGUUGUUUGAUCUAGCGAGUACACUCUGGCCGGUACCCUCGACCUGGCCCCUCCAGUAGUAGUCGGCUUUGGGUUUGACCUGGCAGUCGACUGAGUGUCAUUGAUUAGCGGACAAUUGACCAUCUGAUGAUCCGCACUUCCGCACCUCAAACACUUUCGAGCCUUUCUCCAGCACUCGUCCUCCGUGUGGUUUGAUUUUCCACAAUACCCACAUGUCACUCGGGGAGUGGAGGUUUGACCUCCUUGAGUAAAACCUCUACCUUGACCUCUACCGCCCUGGCCUCCCCUCUGGGCAUUCCCUCUCGGAGCACUGCCCCUAAACGUGUUCGAAAAUCGUCCACCUCCAGCUCCACGACCGGAUUUAGCGGGUGGCAUGCUCCGCUCGCCUCGUACCGACCCUUGGGCUCCACUAGGUGCCCCUUUCCGCUUAGCGUGGAAAUUCCUUACUUGCGUCCUAGCAGUUUCUAUCCUUAAAGCCUUCUCCAGAACCUCCGUGAAAGUAUUGAUUUGGACCGCUGCUAAGGCUUCUUGCAAUUCCACAUUUAACCCUUGUAUAAACCUUCGUACUUUCCUUGGUUCCGUAGCAAUCAAUUCGGGAGCGAAUUUAGAUAAUUUGGUAAACUGAGUCUCAUACUCAGUUACACUCAUCAGUCCCUGACGGAGUUUAAUGAAUUCGUCCUCUCUCUUCUCCUGGACGAUGGGUGGAAGGUAUUUUUCGUUGAAGUCCCGUACAAAGUUUAGCCAAGUCCAGGCAGUUUCCUCUCUCUCCCACUUGGCCCUCACUACAUUCCACCAAGCCUUAGCUGGCCCUUCAAAUUGGAAUACGGCAAAUUGGACUUGUCUCUCCUCAGUGUAGUUUAGGGCAGCAAAGAUAUUUACCAUGGCCUCCAGCCAUUUCUCAGCCUCAUACGGGUCUGGUCCUCCUAGGAAUUUGGGUGGAGAGAACUUCUGGAAUCUCUCCAAGGCUCUAUCCUGCCCUGAAUCAGGGUCUCUAGGUUGAUUUACAGAACCUUGACCCUGUUGCUCCACCAACCGAGUUAAAAUAUUGGUCAUCUGUUGGAUGGCAGUGGCCACCUGAUCUUCCCCGGUAGUCUGGGGUUCAGGUUGCUGUUCAACCGCUGCCUCCCUCUCCUCUAUCGGUUCAGGCACCGGUUCCUGUACCUGCUCACCCUCACGGCCUCGCCUGGAACCGCGUUCUCGAUUAGUUUUCUUGGUCCGACUCCUUUUAUCCUCCAUGUUUGAGAGUCAACCAACUAGAACAUAUAAACGGGGUAAGGUACGACUCAUAUAUCGCGUUGCAACAAUAUAACUAGAGGCAAAUAAACACGUAAGAAACAAGCACUUUAUUUACAUAUCAAACAGGUCGUAUAUACAGGCCAACAAGUCACGUAGUCAAAGGCUAUAACAGCCAAGGAACAUAGAACAAAAGAUAUUUACAUCCACCAGGACCCGUCUAAAACAAAAACAAAAGAAGACAUGUCGUCCCACUAUGUUCCUAACUAGCCCACAAAACCUCCUAAAACCCCGAUCCUAACAAGUGGUCUGGCUAGACGCCGACCCAACUGACUCCGAGGACGCGCUCGGCUCCUCCUCCAUGUCCUCCUCAGGAUCCUCCUCAGGGGCACCGGGAGCGGCAGGAGCUACAGGCGCUUGGCCUUCCUCGGCCAAGUCCUGGAUCACGUCCUCAACAAGUGCCUCGCACUCGGUCAGGAUGUGGUCAGUCCGGUCUCGUAUAUGGCCAACUAUGUGCAUCAAACGUCCAGUCACCGCAUGAGCCUGAUCACGGUAAGCAUCUGACUGCUGCUGCUCUGCCAGAACCGCGGCCUCCAACUCUCGUAUCCGAGCUCCCUGAUCUCGGAGAGUGGCCUGGAGACGCUCUAUCUCCGCAAAGCACCUACGAUUGGUGCUACUCGGUCUCCGAUCGUCAUCUAUAGCAAGCACUACUCGGUCAGGGUAAGAGUAGGUCUUCCAGCAAUCGCAGCGCCGGAUCUUGCGCGCUGGGGACCACCGCUGCACUGGCCCGCCGGGAACCUCCUGGUAUGUGAUCACACGACAUACAGGUCCCGCUAGAUAUGGUUCGACCACGGGAGCGUCAGUAGGUGCGUCAGUAGGCACCUCAGGCACCUCAGUAGGUAUCUCGGUCGGUAUGUCAGUAGGUGCAGGCUGGGACGGUCCAGCACCCCCAGAAGAGUCAGUGUCUGCCAUCACCUAAGUUUGCAAAUAACAUUGCAAAGGUAAGUACACAUCAAGCACAAAACAAGGCUAAGGCUAAACUCGAUAAUAAAACCCUAGCCUAUCAAGUCAAGCACUCAAACUAUCCAGAUCAAUUCAAGCCUAAGCUCUGAUACCACCUGUGACGACCCCACCUCUCCCUAAGGCGUACCAAAGGGUCCGCCGAACCCUUUGGUACGCCUUAGGGAGAGGUGGGGUCGUCACAAGUCACCUUACUCUCCCAAUCUUUAGUCAAGACCUUCAAAAUUUUUCUGUUUUUCUCACCUAGGGAGUAUUCAUUUUCUAGCACUUCUAAAUCCUUAAUGAGAUCAUUGAAUUUACAAUACAUCUUGUCAAUGUUUUCAUGAGGUUCCAUUUUGAAUGAUUCAUAUUUGGUGACUAGGAUAGAUUUCUUUUGUUCUCUCACAUUUUCACUCCUUUCAUGAAUUUCUCUAAAUUUAUCCCAAAUCUCUUUAGCAGACCUAUAACUUUUGCCUCUAAUAGACUCAUUUGAAUUUAAAGCACGGUACAACACAUUCACAGUCUUGGCAUUCAAAGUGAGAUGAGUUCUAUCAUCACCAGUCAACUCAUUUCUUAUUUUUGGUCUUGGUCUAUGAGAGACAUCAUCAAUUAUGCAGGCAUCAUAUGGACCUUCAUUAAUAAUAAACCACAGUUCAAUAUCAAUAGAUUACAAGAAGAUAAUCAUUCUUUCCUUCCAACUCACAUAAUUGGAUCCAUUAAACAUUGGGAGUCUAGUGAUAGAUUGUCCUUUAAAAAAUAUGGCAUUGUUGGUUGUCAUUCUUACUCCAAAGCCGAUUGAACUUAAUCUCUAGGAGACGAAACUCUGAUACCAAUUGUAAGGAUCGAAAACAACCUAAGAGGGCGGUAAAUUAGGUAAAUUAAAAACUAACCAAUUUAUGAGACAUUUUUUGGUUAAAUAUGAAAUUUACUCCCUUUUCGAUGACCACACAAUGGAACAAUCAAUAAGAAAGUACGAAUGCUUGUGAGUAGAAGAGAUGAAUAAUUUAUAUUGCAAGAUAGUAAAUAAAAGAGAUAGAGUAGCAAACCAAAUUCCAAACUCCUCUUGAGUUUGAAUAUCACUUUAUAAAGCAAGUUUCUUCUAGUUGAUCAAUUACAACCAAUCUUUGUGUAUAAAGGAAGGAUCACUUCCUUCUUGCUCCAAGCCAUACUUGAUCAAACUAGGAAGUUUUACUAUUACUCGGAUAACCCUUACAAAGCUACACUAUUUAAGUAAUUUUCUCACACAAGAAAAGUUUAUACAAGAUUCACACAACUAAGAGUAUAAAUCUUCUUUAAGAGAAUUUUUUCACUAAAAAUGCUUUUGAUUUUUUGUAGUCUCAAUGUGCAAAAGUGUUUUGAAGUGGUUGACUUUGUUCUAUUUAUAUGAGACCAAAAAGUUCCUCCAUUAAUACUUCCAACGGAUAGAGGGCAGCUGAAGAGUCAACUAGUCGUUGAUGGUGUCGGGCGUCCGGUGAUCUUGUUUCUUGCAUCCAACAGCAGGCAGUGAACAAAAGAGAUUUUCUUUAAUUCAUUCGGACGUCUGGUACCUUCAUAGUUCGUGUCCGAAAGCAGAUAAUAAAAUUGAGAAAUUUUCUUCAAUCCUUUCAGACAUCCGGUACCUCCAAUACUCUGCGUCCAAAAUCUUGUGCAGAUUACCGGACGUCUAGCGCUCUAAUGUUUUACGUCCGAUCUAGGUUGGUGAGCUUAGGGAAAUGUUUUGAUUCUUUCAGACGUCUGGUGAUGGAGUUCUUUAUGCAUCUGAAGUUGCUCAAUGAUUGUCGUACGUCCGAUCCAGUCUUUACGUGCGUCCGACAGCCUCAGCAACAGCUUUACUUUUGAACCUGAUUUGCUUUCAUUUCUGAAAAGGUCUUUGAGGAGAUAUUAGUAACAUUCAUUUGUUUUGUAAUCAUCAAAAACUAAGAACUGAGAUUAACAAUUGGCUUAAAUCAAAUCCUAGCCUGCCAGACAAAUCAGAGAAACAAAAUAAGUAACUAUUCACAAUGGAAACUCCGGCCAUAUUACUCUUCUGUUCUUUUGAUUAUGGUUACCCCAGAGUAUAAAUCUUAACUAAUCUCUACUUAAUAUGGACGAGCUCUUGGAUCUUUGAAAGAAUUACUAUCAUUACUUAUAUACAUAACAAAAUACGGAAUCAUACUCCUUAACAUAUAAGUUCCACACCCUAACUCACUCUCCAAUUCUCACUUACAAAGUUGUUCAAGAAGAAUCCCUAAUCUUUUGCUCUCACUAGUGCCUUAUUAUUGUCCUCUCAGACCACUUUUCUACUGCUUCGAGAUCAAACCCUCCGUGAACCUUAGGUGGGGCGAACUUCAAGAAUCGCUGUAAAGCUCUAUUCUCACCCCUCUCUUGGUUCUUAGGUUGAUUGAUUGGCUCAGGGCCUUGGCGCUCAACUAACCUUGCUAAGAUAUCAGUCCCACGGUUAAUAGCAGUAACUACUUGGUUAUCCCCUUUAUUUUCUUGUCCUUAAUUUGAUCCAAUUGUCGAUCCCUGAUCAUCCCUUGAGUUUGGGGUUGCCUAACCCCUCGCCCUCUCUCCCUUUCACUUCUUCGGCCGUCCAUAAUUUAAUAUUUUCUAAAGGUAUAAUACAAAAUAAAUGUACAUAAGCGAAGUUUAAAAAUGACACUUUAAUCGUGAAAAAUGAAAAAUCAAAAUAAUUACAAAUAUGCACAUCCCAUAACAUAUAUUAGAAAUCAUAGAGUAAUAAAGUUAAGCACCUCAUAAGUAACGUUCAAGUGCUUCAAAAGAUAGAUAGCAUAGGUAAGCAAAAUACAUUGGCCUUUGAACAAGCACCACCCCGACUAUCCUAGACAAAAACUAUCAAAGUAGACUAAAUCACUAGUUUAGUAAUUGGCGGAGUCAGAAGUCUCUGCUAUUUCAGUAGAAUCAUUUUUAUAUUCAGCACUAGGAGUUCCUGCUUCAUGUCCCUCGUCGAGUAUCUUGCCAUCCACCACUUGUUCGACCAAGGUGACACACUCAUCCAUCAUCCCCUCAGUCCGGUCUCUAAUUUCAUGUACUACCCUAGCAAGUUGGCGCUUAACCUCCUAAAGCUGCUCACGAAGAGUCUCAGCCUUUUUCCGCUCCUCAAGUACAUCCGUCUCCAAUUCAUGAAUUCUAGCAGUUUGGACAUCCACCGUCGCUCUCAGUCCUAGAUUAUCCUCUCGAACUACCCUAACUUUCUUGGAUAACCGCCUCCGAUCAUCGAUUACUGUUAGCACCACUUCGUUAGGGUACGAGUAAGUCUUCCAACAAUCGCAUGAAGACCUAGUUUGACGAAAGAGGACCCAAGGCCUCACUUGAUAACAAAUCACUGGAAGGUGCCUCAGAGGUGACCCAUCUCCAACAUUUCCUUCCAUAACCUACAAUUAACCCACAAAACUAAAGGUUAGGACCUUAUAAUCACUGGUGCCAUUCAAAAAUUUAGCUUAAGGUUUAUCACUAAUUUCUAUGACCAAGAGUUCACGAUUAAAACUCCUAACCUUAUUCUAGAUAUUUUAAACCUAGCACUCUGAUAGCUAAUACUACUAUUUGCACUGAUUCCUUUCAUUCCUACAAGUAUAAGGAUAAUUCGAAUCUCAUUCAAUCUUUCACUACUAAUCUCUCACAUAAUGUUUCCUUUCGAUAUAACACCACAAAAUUCCUCAGUUUCGUUUCCACCAAUGCCAUAUAAGAAACUUUCAAGUACCCAUUUCUCUUUAACCACUAGGACACAGUAGGUUCUCCAGUUCAGGUAAUAUUCAAGUUAAUCCCACAGUCCGGCAUCCUAAAUUUCAAGUUUAGGAUACACUACAAAAUCUGAAACCUAAAACUCUUAUACCAACUAUUACGCCCCCACUUCUCCCUAAGACGAACCCUAGGGUAUCAGUAGAAGGCCUGCCCAACUCUCGUCAGGACUCAUGCACUCAUUCAAGCUUAAUAUAGGAUUACAAAUUAAUCAUCGACUUAAUUAAGAAGUAUUUCGAAUAUACAAGCUCGAAACUCCCAAGUAUACCAUUUAUAAUUACAAACCAUAAAAUCCGAGCAUACAAAAUUUACACUUUGAUACCAACUGAAGCCUAGGAAUUUGUGAUGCCCCACUUCUCCCUAAGGCGAACCAAAGGGUAUCCGCGGACGCCGGCCGAGCUCUUGCCAGGACUCAAGACAAUUCGAUUCAUAUUACAAGCCUAAUAAAGAGAAGUCGCUUUCAUAAACGAAUCUCUAAGUCUUAUAUCACGAAUUCAAAAUACAUCCACAGCCCAAAAGAUAUAUCAGUUCCAAAAUAACCAACAGCCGAAAGUCUAGUCAAUUACAUUCAAAAUCCGAAUACAAAAGUACAUCUAAAGGUUCUGCCGAGUUUCACUCCAUGUCCAUUCCUAUUAAGGAACACAAAUCUACGAGGUGAGCAAUAGCUCGUGAGGCCAAGAACACACAUGCAAGCAUAUUACCCAAGUAGCAAUCCCAUUCAAUAAUGAAAACAAUAACAUUCGAAUAAUUAACAAUUCGUGUGAAAAUUUAAACAGAAACAAUUCAAGGAUAUGGUAAUUCUCAGGAGCUAAGUUCCACUUGCUUUGCUAGAUUUCAAUCGUAUACCUUCCCAUGAUGACACUCCGUCAACCAGGAUGGUAUUUCCAAUCCGUAGAACUCCACUUAUUUCUCAGGUCCGUCCACCGUACACCGCACCGGACCCGCACGACAUUUAUAAGGCGAUACUCCACGAGUAUACCAAGCAAUAUCUCUCCAAUAGAUCAAGCUUAUCAUGCAAUUCUCAUGGCUCACCGAGGUGUCCGACCAGGCCUAUGUCGGCUCGAGUCCCAAGGUCGGCCUAUGAGUUUGGGCGUCCCCCAUGUAACAUUUGUGUGUCGAAAAGAUUCACUCCAACGACGUGUGCAGUCAUAGCAUACAAUUUCAUUUCAUUCAGUCAUUCAAUCAGUCAUUUCAUUCAAUCAAGUCAUUUAUGAUUCAUUCAUUUCAUUUUAAUCAAUUCAAUCAUGAGUCAUUCAUUUCAAAUGAGAACGAGUGCGGUAAAGUACACACUCGACUUCAUUUUCAAAGUUUCCAAUCAUGAACAAUAGUUAAGCAGGUAUCAAGUUUGCAUACACUUGACACUCACCAAGUAAUCAAGAAACAAGUACAGGCAUUUGUUUUAGGCAUCUCCCGUGAGAUCCUCUUGAAAGUCCUCUUGAGUGCCUGAGUAAUUAAUAAUUAACUAUCACUUAUAAACGUCAAUUAUUAAGAAAGAUUGCAUACUUGUACAAUCUAAGAAAAUUUGAUGAAAAUGAGCUUAAUUACUUGUAAAUCGAGACUCAAAAAUGGGGUUUUAAAACACAAGCGAAAUUUGAUUUUCAUCUUUGAAUUCAAGUGUAAAACGGUCUAGCAAUAUUGAAGGAAAAUAGAGAGUUCGCAACCCUCAAUUUCCUUUAAGUUCGAAAAUUUCAGAUUUGUCGAGUAAUCUUUGAAAAAUCGUAUCUCACUCUCUAUAAGUCCAAAAUUCGAAAACUUGGUGCCGUUGGAAACUAUUUUCGUAGUACUAAAAGUGCUAGAAGACACUUUUCCAUGAUUCAAAAUAGAAGACAUUCGAAUUUUGGCUUUGAGUUGUUUUGGCUAUCAAGACAGUUUUGGGGUUGGUUUUUGGCAAACUCUGGAAAUUCAGCAAAAUUCACACAAAACGAACUAGCCUCUGAAAUUUGGAAUUCAAUUAGAUUUACAAUCAAAGUUUAAAACAAAGCAAGCGGAACAAGGAUUGGAGUUUUGAGUACCAAGAUAUGGCAGCUCAAAGUUACCCAAAAGUUGGGACUGUUAGACCAUUUUUCAGGUUUAAAAAAUAGAUUUUGAAUCUUUAGUUGAGCAUUGAAAUGGAUUCGGAAUGGCACCAAAUUUGGUAUGAUUAUACUACUAUGUAAGGGCUAUUCCUCUGUCAAAUUUCAUGUAAAAAUUCAUUUAGAAUUUUGGUUAACAAAACUAUUAAAGUUCAACAAUUUGCUAAGGCAAAUCUGCCUUGCACUUUCGUUUUUCUUUUCUCAAACAUUUGGCCAAGGAAAAUUCCUCGAACAUGAUUCAUUUAUGAAGACAAAGUCUAGAAAACAUCCCAAAAUACAUUUGGUAGGUGAUUAACACCACGGAUUUCGAAUAACAAGUCCCAAAUUAAGAUUAGCUAUAAAUCAGUCCAGAAUUAGGAUUUUCUUUCACGAAGACAGCUCUGAAAUCCGGCCACAACUCACUCAAUUCAACUCAGAAUUGAGCAAGGUCAGUGGCAUUGAAAACUACAUUCAUAAGGCUACAAUUUCUCAGAAGAAUCAUUUUAAAAUUCUAUCCACAACUAACUCAUAUUUGAGCAUCAAGUCACAGCUCAAAAUAAGGUUUCUAGUACAGACGAGAAACAGAACAGGCAACUUUACAAGGUUGGUACGGCUCACUCAGGUAGAAUCAAGGCAUACAUUUUAUACCGUUGAAAAACUAGAAAUGUCUAAUUUCUAAUGCCGUAAACAGAACUCGAUUUCGACGUCGGACCAAAGGGUUAUGGCCGAAACAAAAUCACUACAAAAGAGGCUCUGGUUACGUUUCCAGUUUUGCUACAUUUUCGAAAUCUCAACUUUUGGCCAACCAAAUUGGAUGAUUUUUGGUGAAAACUUUUCACACAACCCACACAACAUAUUGACAUCAAAAUCAAGUUAAUUGAACCACAAAAAAAUGCACUAAGGGUCACGGCAAAACAGGGGCAGAAGCGUCAUUUUUGCUCAUCUCACUUCCUUUGAGCUUUCUUUCACAACACAAUUUAUUUUCACUAGAUUAAGCACAAAUCCAACAUAAAUAACAUCAAAUCAGUUCAUCAAGCCACUGUGGGAUUUCAUAGACCCCACUCACAAGAUUUCUAACAAUAUAAAGCUACUAAUAUGAAUCUAUGAGCUCACAAGUGCAAUACAACUUAUAUAAACCAAGAUUCAAGAGGUUGAUCAUCAUUUACCUCCUUAGAUGGCUAGAGCAGAAAUUUUUGGUCAUCUUAAGCCCAAGAAAACCAUGACAAAAAAGCUCGUUGCCUAGCUUAAGUUGAUUUCCAAAUAGUUUGCAAGUUGUGUGUAAAUUUUGGAGUGAUUUGAUGAAGAAAUGAAGCAAGAAAUGAUGAAGAUUUUGGUUGUUUUGUCCUUGAAGAUGGCCGGCUGUUAGGGAGAGAGAAAGGAGAGUGUUUUGUUGCAAAUGAAGCUUCCUUGAGAAGCUUAAAUGUGUGGUUCAAAAGUGUUCAAAAGUCAAUUCUCCCUCCGCGCACGCACGCGCGCGUUUCGUACUUGAUUCCUUUCGAGUUUGUUUCACUAGUGCACUAAAUCUCUAAUGCACUUCCAUUCAUACUAUUAUUAUUCAUUCUUAAUAGCCCUAAAAUAAAGGUUUUAAAUCCAUCAAUUAAUCGCGCGCGCGAAAUCGCGUACUUUCGAUUUAUGCGCGAUAGAGUGAAAUUUCUAAUAAAUUCUUAUAACGAUAUAUAACUAACUAACACUUGAGCACUUAAACAUAAAAAAAUAUACCUAUUUCAAGACUAAUGUACAAGUCUCUAAUUUUUCAAACUUAUUGUAUUCUCGAAUCGAUUAUUAUCUCCAAACGCACAUUCACUAUUCUCACUAAAUGAUUUUUCAAAAAUUAAAUUUUGUAACAAGUCAUUUUAAAAAUAUAUGCAAGUCAUAGUUUCAUGUAAUUGGGUCUAAAAAGGUUGGAAUUAAAUAUUCGUAGCAAACGAGCAUUUAAAUAUUUAAAUAAACUAGAAAUAGAGGUUUAAAAUAAGUAAUUUUGCGAGUUCUCAAAUCUUCUCUCCCUUAAGAGAAUUUCGUUCUCGAAAUUAUACCUUGAUUUGUGAAUAAGUUUGGAUAUUUUCUUCGAAUCUCUUCUUCAACUUUCCAGGUUGCCUCCUCUAGUUCAUGGUUCCUCCAAAGAACUUUUAUCAAUGGAAUCCACUUGUUUCUCAGUUCUUUCACCUUACUAUCUAGAAGCUUCACUGGUUUCUCCUCAUAGGUCAGCGUCUUAUCAAUUUCAAUACUUUCCAGUUGCAAGAUAUGAGAAAGGUCUAGAUGAUAUUUCUUAAGCAUGAAUACGUGGAACACAUUAUGAAUCCGAAACAGAUUCGGUGGCAAUUCCAACUUAUACGCUACAUUUCCCACGCGUUGGAUAACCUUAUAAGGUUUUACAAACCUCGGUUGUAAUUUCUUUCCCUUCCUAGACAUUAAACUUGCUUUCAGAGAUAUAAUCUUAAGAAAUACUAGAUCCCCAACCGCAAAUUCUAAGUCCUUCCUCUGAUUAUCUACAUAACUCUUUUGACGACUUUGAACGGUCUGAAUCCUCUGGCGUACCAACUUUACUUUCUCAUUAGCUUUUUCAAUCCAAGGCACUGUAGUCGGGUUUAAAAUCUUUCAUUCACCUACUUCAUCCCAACAAAUCGAAAACCUAUAUUUUCGACCAUAAAGUGCUUCGUACGGGGCCACUUGAAUAGAAGAGUUGAAUCUAUUGUUAUAGGCAAAUUCCACCAAUGUCAAAUACUUACUCCAACUUUCCCCAAAAUCCAAAACACAAGUUCUUAACAUGUCCUCAAGGGUUUGAAUCGUCCUCUCAGACUGUCCAUCGGUUUGGGGAUGGUAAGUAGUACUAAAAUUCAAUCUAGUCCCCAAUACUUCUUGUAUCUUUUGCCAAAACCUUGAAACAAUUCUCGGGUCUCUAUCGGACACAAUAUUUACAGGUAUUCCAUGUAACCUGAUAAUCUCAUCCAAAUAUAACUUAGCUAACCUCUCCAAUGGAUACUUCAUAUUAAUCGGCAGAAAAUGAGCCAAUUUGGUCAAUCUAUCCACUAUUAUCCAAAUAGCAUCAUGGCCUCUUUGUGUCCUAGAUAACCCUGAUACAAAAUUCAUAGUGAUGUUUUCCCAUUUUCACUCAGCUAUCUCCAAAGGUUGCAACAAUCCUGAUGGUUUCUGAUGUUCAGCUUUAACCUGUUAACAAAUCAAACAGGUCAGGACAAAUUGAGCAAUAUCUUUCUUCAUGCUCUCCCACCAGUACAGACUCCUCAAGUUUUGGUACGUUUUAUUUCCUCCAGAGUGUACCGUAAACUUCGAUCGGUGUGCCUCUUCAAAAUUUCCUUCUUAAGCCCUUCAUUUUUUGGAACUAUUAUUCGAUUUCGAAACCUCAGUAUACCAUUUAUUCCCAACUUAAAGUCCGACUUUUCGCCCUUUUUGAUUCUUUCCAACCACUUUUGCACCUCAGUGUCCUUUUCCCGGGCUUCUCGAAUACAUUCCAACAAAGUGGAAUUCACUACAAUAUUUCUAAGAAUUACUCUCCUUGGUUCAAGUCUAGGAUUCCAAUAACUAACUUUUUCUAACAAGUGCAUCUCUUUAAUCAUUAAUCCGGCCACUUGUACUUGAUGAUUUAAAGCAUCGGCUACUACAUUGGCCUUUCCUGGAUGGUACUUUAUCGUGCAAUCAUAGUUUUCCAAAAAUUCCAUCCACCUACGUUGCCUCAAAUUCAACUCCUUUUAAGAGAACAAAUACUUAAGGCUUUUGUAAUUAGUAAAAACCUCAAAUGUUACUCCAUAAGGUAAUGCCUCCAUUUCUUUAAAGCAAACACUAUAGCUGCUAACUCCAAGUCAUGAGUCAGGUAACUUCUUUCAUGCAGUUUCAACUUCCUAUAUGCAUGCACUAUCACUUUCUUAUUUUGCAUUAAAACACAUCCCAAGCCUUACUUGGAAGCAUCAAUGUAAACCACGAAUCUAUCUUUUCCAUUCAAUAAAACUAAUACAGGCGCUCUUGUCAAACAUCUCUUCAAUUCCUAGAAACUCUCUUCACACUUAAAACUCCAUAUAAACUUUUCACUUUUCUUGGUAAACUCAUUCAUAGGUCCAGUAAUUCUAAAAAAAUCCUUAAUGAAUCUCCGGUAAUACCCUGCUAACUCUAUAAAACUUCGAAUCUCAGUAGGGUUUUCUGGUCGUUUUCACUUCGAAACAGCUUCAACUUUAGCUGGAUCCACUUUAAUCCCAUCCUUAGAAAUUAUGUGUCCCAAGAAUGUCACUUCUUUCAACCAAAAAUCACACUUGCUAAACUUAGCAUACAAUUGAUGUUCCCUCAGAGUUUGUAAAACAAUUCUCAAGUGCUUCUCGUGAUCCUCCACAUUCUUAGAGUACAUUAAUAUAUCAAAUACCGCCACAGAUUAAUCCAAAUACGAUUUAAAACCCCGAUGCAUUAAGGUCAUAGUUGCUGCUAGUGAAUUAGUCAACCAAAAGGGCAUAACUAAAAAUUCAAAGUGUUUCUAUCUUGAAUUGGGAGCGGUCUUUAGCACAUCAGUUUCUAGGAUCCUCAACUGAUAAUAGUCCUACUUUAAAUCCAACUUAAAUAGUACCACGACUCCUUACAGUUAAUCGAAUUCUUAUCCAUGUAAGGCAAAAGGAUAGUUGUUCUUAAUGGUCACAUCGUUCCAGUCUCGAUAGUCUAUAUAUAGCCUCAAGCUUCUACUCCAAAUAUGAUAACCUAUCCCUUAAUCUUUAGACUCAUUAAAUCUAUCAAAUAUUUCCUUGCACUAACCCAAUUUUCACAAUCUUAAUAUAUCAAUUUGGCAAUCAAAUAUUAGGUCCUAACUUCAACCCUAAGUUCUCGAUUUUUUUUCACCGAUCCCUGGUCAUCCCCAAGACCUUAGGGUUGUCUAUAUUCUCAAAUAUGAUCUUGAUCGUGUUUACUACCGUUCAUGUCUUAUUAUAAAUCUAAAAGUGUGGGGCAAAGUUUAAAUUUACAUAUAAGCCAUGAAGUUAAAAGCAAAGUAAAUUCUCAUAUGUUAUAAAAGAUCAUAAUAGUUGCACCAGUGAGGAUAAUUCAUCAAAUCAUUUCAAAAGAAAAGAGGAGACAAUAAAGUCAUGGGAAAGCGGAUUAAGUCGCAAUUGUACGAAAUACCAAAAGGGCUUUGGUGCUCAACUAACCGUGCUAAGACAUCAAUCAUAUGGUCAAUAGCAGUAGCUACCUGAUUGUUUCCUUCAUUUCUAGGAUUUUGGUUCGCCCCAAUUGCCAUUCCCUAAACAUCCCCUUGAACUUGGGGUUGCUUAACCCCUUGCCCUCAGUCCCUUUUCAUUUCUUUGGCCGCUCAUAAAUUUAACAUUUAUAAAGGCAUGACGUAAAAUAAGUGCACACAAAUGAAGUUUGAAAAGUGACACUUAAUCAUGCAAAACGAAAAUAAAAGGGAAGACACCAAAAUAAUCGCAAAUAUGUACAACCUAACCAUAGAUUUGAAGUUAUAAAGCAAGAAGGUCAAGCACUUCACAAGUAACGUUCAAUCAUUUCAAAAGGUAAGAAGUAUAGUUAAACAAAACACAAAAUGCAAUGGCCUUUGAACAAGCACCACCCCGACUAUUCUCAACAAAACUUUUAAAGUGGUCCAAAUCACUAAUUUAAUGAUUGGUGGAGUCAAAAGUCUCUACUAUUUCAGUAAGAUUAUUUUUCAUCUUCAGCACUAGGAGUUGUCUCAUCACUUUCCCCGUCAAGUAUCUUGCCAUUCACCACUUGAACAACCAAAGCAAUACACUCAGCCAUCAUCCCCUCAGUCCGGUCUUCUAAUUUCAAGUAUUACCCUAACAAGUCGGUGCUUAGCCUCCGAAAGCUGCUCACAAGGAGUCUCAGUCUUUUUCCAUCCCUCAAGUACCUCCGUUUCAAUUCAUGAAUUCUAAUAGUUUGAGCAUCCACAGUUGCCCAAAAUCCUGGAUUAUUCCCUCGAACUACAGUAUUUUUCUCAAAUAACCAUCUCCAGUCAUUGACCACCGUUAACACUCCGUUAUUUGAGUACGAUUAAGUCCUCUGGCAAUUACACGGGGUCCUAGUUCAGCAAGUUGGAUUAUAUCUCCAAUGAAUUUCCCCUAGACCUUUCUCGAUAACGGAUUACCAGAAGACAUCUCCGAGACGGCUCAAUACCAUUGUUACCUUCCAUAAAUUACAAUUAAUAUUAAAAGCUUAGAUGGAUCCAAGUAUACUAAAUAAACUAGGUCCAAUAACUAGGUCCGAUCAUUUCGUACUAUCCCACAUAUCUCUUACAAGAUCGAGACUCCUAAUUAUCCAUUAAUUCAAACCCAGGCUUAAAUUUCAAUCCCUACAAGCGGUCACUUAACUUUCAAACCAGUCCCACAGUCCAACAUCCUAAACUUCAAGCCUAGAAUACAUUACAAAGAUCUGAAAUCUAACCUCUGAUACCAACUGUGCCGGCCCACUUCUCCCUUAGGCGAACCAAAGAGUAUCCGCGGACGCCGGCCCAACUCUCACCAGGACUCAAGACAAUUCGAUUCAUAUUACAAGCCUAAUAAAGAGAAGUCGCUUUCAUAAACGAAUCUCCAAGUCUUACAUCACGAAUUCAAAAUACAUCCACAUCCCAAAAGAUACAUCAGUUCCAAAAUAAAUAACAGCCGAAAGUCUAGUCAAUUAUGUCGCGCCCCAUUUUUUUGAUAAAAUAAAUAAAUGGUUUGGAAAAAUGUAUUUGUGAUUGGAAAAUGAAUUGUGAUUUAAAAUAAAAAUGGGUCUAAAUGAGGUUUUGAGAAUGCGACUAUUUGACCCAAAAUGUAGUUUAAAAAGGGUUUUUGAAACAAUUGGAGUCGCCACUUGGUAAUGUGUUAAGGUGUACCAAGUCACCUAAAAAGUGAAUUUUUUAAAGAAAAAAUAGGAAAAAGUAGUAAGAAACCCCUUUUAAACAACUCCUAGUCCACGUAAACCAAAGAAAAAGGCUCGGGAGUCACAUUUGACAAAGGGGAAGGCAAGGAUAAAAUCCAAGGCACCCCUUUGACCUAGCCAAGGCUAGUUGCAUGAUUUAAUCAAAGAUUUUCUUAUUUUAACCAAAGAAUUUAUUACAUUUGGAUGCACUACAUGAAUGCAAACCCUAGACCUAGGGGUAUUGGGGGAAAUUUCUCUUCAAAGGUUGAGUGGUGCCAAUCACAUUAGUUGUGAAGCCCAAUAACGAUCCUUUGAAGAAGUCACGAAUAAUGCGAGUGGGAUGCAAAUGAAUGGAAUGCAUGUAUGCAAUGUGAGGACAUGAGUUUGAAAAAGUAAUAAAAAAACAAUAAAUAUGUAAAUGAAAAUGUGCACGUGAGUGGGCAAGGUACGGUAUGUGAAAUGAUAAUAUGAAGUGCAUGUGUGCAAGUGAUGAUAAAAGUGUUCGUGUGCAAGUGAAGAAACAUAAAGGUGCACGUGUGCAAAAUGGGACAAAAGUGUUCGUGUGCAAGUGAAGGGAUAAAAGGUGUACGUGUGCAAAUGGGAUGAAAAGUGAAAGUGUAAUGAUAGAGCGGAUUUAGAAUGCAUGAGCCUAGGGAAUGCAUGCAUAUUGGGUACGGGGAGACCUAAAUCGUGACUCAAUUUACCCUUUUAUAGAGGGAAUACAAGCGUGCUAAGGCUUAGAAAAAGCCACACUCGUCUAUAUCCCAUAUUUAAGGGGACUCUCAAGCAAAUGAACCCUAUAACUAGAAUGAAAUGCAAAAAUCCUAAAAUGAAAGGAAAAGGGGUUCGAGGGGCAUGCCAAAUGAUAAACUAAGAAAAAUGCAUGACAUGUAAUGAUCACGCAAAUAUGUACUAACGAAGGGAAAUCCCUAAGGGUCUAGCGUUGGACUAGCCCAUUCUAUGAAUUCCUACUAGCAUUGGACUAGCGGAAACGUACAUUCAUCCAUCACAUUCAUUCAAGGAUAUGGAAAGCGAGUAGACAUGUCAAUCACAUAGCACAUAACACUUAGCAUGCAUAUCUAAAUGCCAAAACCUAAGAAAACGAUUAAACAUAUAGCACAUAGACAUGCAUGACACAUAAGGUGAUUAAGGCCCUAACUAUUACAUUUGCUAGCUAGGCACAAGUCUUCAACAGCUCUUCAUCGAAUGCUCCUCCAAACCCUAUCUAUUACAAGCCAAGAGGUGUACACAUACCCCAUAAAGAAUAACUUAAAUAAAAAGCAAAAGUAAAUGACAUAAAUAAAAGAAAUUAAGGAAAGGCUAAGAAAGCAAAGUAGACAUGUAUUUCUCACGUAGCACGUUGGUUCACAUAAGAGUGACGGAAAAAAGAUAAAAGAAAUUAUACCUCCCUUGAAAUGAAGCUCUAAUGAAGUGAAAUCAACUUAUUUAUCCUCCAAAAUAAAAGAAAUGGUCAAGGUACCAAUUUAUUUGGCAAAUAAUCACAAAGGAUAAAAAAUAAACAUGAAUUUGAAUCAAUUAAAUCAUGUCAACAAACCACAUUUAAGAAGUCAAAAGAAGAAAGGACUUGAUUGCAAAAAUUGAUAAAAUUUUGGGGCCAAAAUUAAAGAAAAAUAAAGUUUAGGGACCUAUUUACAAUUAUACCAGGGACCCAAUUGAAAGAAGCUAAAAGUGUUCAGGCCCAUGACAGAAAUAUUUAGAAGCACAGGGACUGAUUCGCAAAUUUAUUUUCUGGUUCCUGAAUGGAUCAAACCACUGGGCUGUUUUAUUUAUUCGUUUGGGCCGGAAACCAUCCUAGCCCAACCGAAAGCCCUAAGAGAACAAGCAGGCAGCCUGUCGUAAGUCCAAACAAAACUCAACUAAAACAUAUGGGUUUUAUUUCUCAAGCCCAUGUCAACAAUCCAGACAAAACAAGUCAUUAAUCCAUUGGUCAAACCCAAACAACAAAUCCAGACCAAACCUCAUCUUAUUUCAUGAAAACCCAACAUGAAUGAACCACAUUUUAUAUUCAAGCCCAACCAUGCAAACCAUAAAAUCAACUAAAAAUUUAAUCCUAAUAAUGUCAUAACAUCAAAAAUCAAUGUACCCAAAAGAUUACUUAACAAACAUAAAAAAAGAAAAAGAUGAUAACAUCUAAAAAAAAGAGAAGCAAGGCCAACUUUUCCAAUCUUUGAGUCAAAUCAGAAUAAGGGGAAAACUUGAGGGUUUCAAAUGCAACCAAAACAGGGAUCCAAUUGGAUGGAAUCAUGAAGGUUUUGGGGUCGAAUUUAAAGAAAAAGUAAAAUCCAGGGGUCAAUUUGCAAAUUUCCAGAUUUUUGCAAACAAAUGGUUCGCUGAAUCUCUCUUCUUCGACGAUUGAAGGAAAGCUUCGGCAACCUGAUUCGGCCAUUUUGUCUUAACCAACAACUAUCAUGUUUUAACAAACAUUGAACUGGCCGAAUGUCAUGCAAAACACAAAUUGAUUCAUCUUUGAAACUAAAAUCUCGUUGGACAUUUCAUCGAGCAACAAGCAGACAUAAAAAAAAUUCACAAAAUUUUGCUCAAUUGAAGUUAUAAUCAGCCCAGAAAUUGCGUAGAAAAUCAAGAUUUCAGUCCAAUUUUGCACGCAAGGCACACUUAUCCUAAAAUCCAUGAACGAUCAACAUGAAAAUAGAAAUUACGAAAUCACAGAAACUUAUUUUCAAGCAUUGGACAGAAAACUAAAAUUUUCAAAAAAAACUUACAGUGCUCUGACGAUGAAGAUCCACGGGCGACGAUGGUCAGUUCCGGUGGUGGCAAUGGCGACUCCGGUCGCAGCCUUCCCUUCUUGUUUCUGGCCCGAAGUUUCUCCGACUGACCGGCUUGUGGCUUCGUUAUGAAGAUUGAGGAGAGGGACCGUGAGGCCUUUGGGAGGCAUAUUGGGCUUCCUUCCAUUUUUGCGAAGCUUUGAUAGCUGCAACCAACUUUUCCCCUGGGAGUCAUGGCGGCCACGGAGGCGGCAGAGGUGAAGAAUGGGGGCGGCGCCGUGGAGCUUACGCGCGGUGGUGGCGAUGAGUGGCGAGCGGUGGUGCUGAUGAGUGGCGAGUGGUGGUGCCGGAUUGAAAGUUCCCUCUUUUCCUGUUUUCAGUUUCUUUCUCAGCCCAAAACCGGUCCCCCUGGCUUUUUCCUUUUGCUCCAUUCCUUAGCCGAAACCAUCCCUCUGAUUUUUCUACUUCUGUUUCUUUUAGUCGACAUCCGUUCUUGCUCUGUCUUCCCCUUUUUGUUUACUCACUGACUUCCUCCCCAGAUUCUUUCAGUCGCCCACUAUCUAGCUUCCUUCCUCUCGUCCUAAGCCUCCCUGUUUUUUAUGUCCGCUUCCCCUUUUCCCUUUUUUUUUUUUCCUUGCCGACGGAGCUCCCUAUUCCUUUUCCCCCUAAAAGUCUCGCCGCCCCUCUGGUUUUUCAUUCGUCCCCUUUUGCCGUUCUUCUUAGCCCCCAGACUCUCCCUUCCUUUUUUCGAUUUCGUUUUCUCUUUUUUUAGUUUUAGCCCUCACAAAAUUCUACUUUGACCCCCAAAAAUUCCUUAACUUCCCAAAUGUCCCUAACACCUCACCCCUUAGGUGCUUAGUUGUCUAAAACAUAGAAAAGACACUUGUCCAAGUGCAUGCAGUCCCACUUGUCAUUUUCACUUUUUCUUUCUUUUUCCUUUUCUCUUUUUCUUUUGUUUUUCCUGAAAUUUAAUGUGAAGCCAAAAAUACACUAGAACAAAAAUAAAAUAAAUAACAAUAAUAAAAAUAAAAUAAAAUAAUAAUAAUAAUAAUAAUAAUAAUAAUAAAAAUAAAAUAAUAAAAUAAUAAAAAUAAAAUAAUAAUAAGAAAUGAAAAACCUAAAAUUGAAACAAAUAAAGCUAAGAUGAAAUUAAUUAAACGAAGAAAGUUAAAAAAUCAAAAAUUUGGUGUCUACAGUUUGCCCCUCUUUGUCUGAGUUUUGAAAAAACUUGAGACAAAGAAGUAGACACCAAAUACUUACCUGUGUUAUUCGGCUGCGAACGAUCCGAACGACGGACGCUUCUGAAACGAUGACUGACCUCUUUAAAAAUUUUUUAUUAUUAUUAUUAUUUUUUUUGAAAUGGGACUGACCCAAAUGAGAAAAUUUUAAAAUCGGGACUGACCCGAGACAGGAAAUUUAAACGGGAUAGACCCGGACAGAAAUUUAAAUGGGAUAGACCCAGACAGAAAUUUAAAUGGGAUAGACCCACGGGAUAGACCCGAACAGAAAUUUAAAUGGGAUAGACCCACGGGAUAGACCCGGACAAAAAUUUAAAUGGGAUAGACCCGAACAGAAAUGUAAACGGGAUAAACCCGAACAAGAAAAUUAAAUGGGAUAGACCCACGGGAUAGACCCGGACAGAAAUUUAAAUGGGAUAGACCCAGACAGAAAUUUAAAUGGGAUAGACCCACGGGAUAGACCCGGACAGAAAUGUAAACGGGAUAAACCCGAACAAGAAAAUUAAAUGGGAUAGACCCACGGGAUAGACCCGGACAGAAAUUUAAAUGGGAUAGACCCAGACAGAAAUUUAAAUGGGAUAGACCCACGGGAUAGACCCGGACAGAAAUUUAAAUGGGAUAGACCCAGACAGAAAUUUAAAUGGAAUAGACCCGGACAGAAAUUUAAAUGGGAUAGACCCACGGGAUAGACCCGAACAGAAAUUUAAAUGGGAUAGACCCACGGGAUAGACCCGAACAGAAAUUUAAAAUUGGGAUCAAGCCCGAGUCAGCCGAGGUCGGAGGGAUAAAACUCAUGCCCAACGAAAAUAAAAGCGGUCAGUCGAGACUGCCGAGGUCGGAGGGAUAAAACCCGUGCCCAACGAAAGUAAAAGCGGUCAGUGGGAUAAACCCGAGCCUGCCGAGGUCGGAGGGAUAAAACCCGUGCCCAACGAAAAUAAAAGCGGUCAGUGGGAUAAAACCCGAGCCUGCCGAGGUCGGAGGGAUAAAACCCGUGCCCAACGAAAGUAAAAGCGGUCAUCGGAUUUUGCCGAGGUCGGAGGGAUAAAACCCGUGCCCAACGAAAGUAAAAGCGGUCAGUGGGAUAAAACCCGAGCCUGCCGAGGUCGGAGGGAUAAAACCCGUGCCCAACGAAAGUAAAAGCGGUCAGUGGGAUAAAACCCGAGCCUGCCGAGGUCGGAGGGAUAAAACCCGUGCCCAACGAAUGUAAAAGCGGUCAGUGGGAUAAAACCCGAGCCUGCCGAGUGAUAAAAGCGGUCAGUGGGAUAAAAUCCGAGCCUGCCGUGAUGAAUUUGAUUUGAUUUUUGACUUUGAAUUUUUUUUUUGAUUUUUUUUUGAUUUUUUGAUUUUUUUUAAUUUAUUUUUUAUUUUUUUUAUUUUUCCUGACUGAGAGAGACUUGUCGAAAUAAUUUGCCCAGUGUGAUGAAUUGGUCUGUGGGAUUAAACCCGAGCCUGCCCAAUGAAAUGUUGGCGGCACUAAAUCCAGGCCCAACUUGAUGUUGUGAAUGUUGGCGGCAUUAAAUCCAGGCCCAACUUGAUUUUUGAGAACAAGAAAUUGAAUUUGAUUUGUCAAAAAGCAAGAAAUUAAACUUGAGUUUUUUUAUUUUUGACCUUUCUGAUGAUGAUUUUUUUGAUGAUUUUUGAUUUUUUUUCUUUUUUCUCUUUUUCUGAUUUUUUCCUUUUGAUUUUUCCUUUCCUUUCGGAUUUUUCCGAGAGAAUUUUUUUAAAAUAAUUUGCCCCAGUGUCGGGUCCAUUUUUCCUUCCUUCUUCUUGCUUCUCUUUGCAGUAUCGGCCUUCCGCCUCACUGGAUGCUUUUCGUCAUUUUGAACCAUGAAUACCUGCACAGGGGGCUUAACAAAGUAUGACAUGCACUCAAAUUUCUUAUUUGGAAAGAACAGCGUGAUUGGUUUGACAUCCUCAAAUGUAUUACAAAAAUUUUGCCCCGGUGUGGGCUAUUUUAAUUGCAAAAAAUUUGUUUGAAUGACCCUCCAUUUAUUUGAACAAAGUGAGCAAUUACUUUUCCUAACAUAGCAUGUGAAGAAAUUGAAAUGUCUUGUUUAAACUCAUAUAGAAAAUUUCAUGAUGAAUUUUUCAAAACAAUGCCAAAUUAAGAAAGAUUUCUUCCCCACUUUAGCAUCAAUGCUUUGGGUGAUGGGUCACCAUUUCUUGUUGGCUCGUCUGUCAGGACCAACCAAGUGACUUUAUUUGGAAAUGGCUAAAGGAAAAUGGGAGGUCAAGAUUUGUCUUAUUCUUGUGCCCAAAAUUGUAUGUAAUCCCUUCAAUGUCACAUCUUAGUGAAAGCAAAGAGUUUGUCACCCUUAUUUUCCAAGAAAACUUAGUCAACAUACAAGCUUUCUAGGCAUGCAACGUAUGGACAGAAGUGAUAGCUAAACAUGUGGAAACGGGUUAUACCCUUAUGAUCACAAAUGAUUUGAUGAAUUUCUUAUGAGCAUGAUCCUCACUUUGGAUUGUCAUGAAGGAAUAAGUCAACGAUGGACUUUGUUAGCUUGUAAUGUAACUUGGAAAACGAUAGUUAAAGAAAUAAGAUUUUCAAGGACAUUGCACUGAAGAUCGCUCUUUCCCAAAAUUACCCCUAUUCUAAACUCAAAAGAUUUCAGACUUUGUUUGGAUUUUCUCAUCAUUCCCCAGGGCCUUCAGUGUCGAAUUUUCCUGCAUUUUCUUUUCUUGCUUUUCUUUCGCUUCUUUUCUUUCCCCUCGAGCUGAUGGGUUUUCACAUGGUGAGUAGCGUCAACCUCAUACUCAAGCAAUUCAGAAAUACAGCUAAAAUUUUCCGGCAUCAGAAAUUUUCUCGACAGGGCCAUUGCAAAGAACAGAAGUCAGGACUUUCGAUUUUUGUAAUGGGGUCAGGUGGGAUGUUUAGAAAAAUUAAGGCUUGAAGGCAGAUUUCAAGAAUGGUUUAAGUAAUCUGAGAUCGCAUCAGAAUUUGCCCCAGUUUAUGCUCAAUUGAGGCUUUUUCCCUUUCAUUUUCUUUCUUCUUUUGAUUUUUCGGCUUUCUGCCAUUUUUGAGCUUUCACAAAAUUUGCCCCAAUUUAUUUUUGAACUGAGGUUCUCUUUUUCCUCUUGCUUUUGAUUUUGUGGCUUUUCACUUUUUCACUUCUUGAAGUUUUCCUUUUCAACUCAACCUUGCCCCAGUGUGGGGUUUGCGAUUCUCAGGGGUUGCCAAAUGAAGUAUUUUAUUCUGAAGGCUCAAAAGGGAUAACUAGGGAUAGAAUGUUUGAUUGGAAAAAGAAGAUGGCCUGACUUGUAUUAUGUUCCUUACAAUAACUCUGAGAGGAAACUUUCAUUAAUGCGAAAUUUCUUGCAUGUAUCUGAAUUAAUUGACUGAAGAAGACCCUUGUUCAUCCAUAUUUGUGAAACAUAGGCGAUUCACGCGGACAAAACUCUUCUCUCUUUUUUUUUUGUUUUUUUUUUUAAUUGGACCCCAAGUGGAAUCAAAUUUCCCCAAUUUGCGGUUCCCUCCUUAUUCUAGCAUUUUUGCUUUUCUCCUUUUUGGAAAAUUCUGCAAUCUCCCUCCCCAAUGCGGGGUACGAUCGUAAGUGCUUUGAAAAGAACCAUCAAUUUUAACUCAAAUGAGGAUGCAAGGGAUGACCAGUGUUUAGGUUGUAGAAACGACGACCAAAAUAUCAUUCUUACACCUCAUGACAACCAAAGUAACGAAAUGAUCAUUGAAAAUCCAUUUCCUUUUUGAUAUUUGAAAAUUUUCCAAUAUAGGGUAGUGAUCAUUAGGGCUCUUAUUCGAAACGAAAUUACUCUUUCAAAGGCUCAAAUGGGAGAGCAAAUGAUAAAAUGUGUAUAGGUAGAGAAACGAAUGCUCAAAGUAUCAUUCCAAAUUUUCAAAACAGACAAGAAUAAUGCACAUUUUUGCUUUCACUUAGAUGUGAACUGAAUAGGUUAAACACAAUGGAUAUUUUCAAGCAAAGAUGGCCCCAAUUUAUCAAUCAAUGUGACUGAUUUUAUUUUGGGGUCAAAUGAAGGAGAAAAGGAAUCUCAUAGGGCUUUUUGAGUGACAUCUUUUAAUUCUGAGCACUCUUAUUGUGAAUUUUCAGGCAGGAGGUUGAAAAAAUCCCAAUUUAGUCUUAUUUCUUAAAAUUCAUCAUGAAAUCUCCAAUGAAUAAAAAUACAGAAUGAAAUGUACAUAAAUAUACACAAAACAAUGAUUGUCCAAAAAUUUUAUUGUUGAAAAAGUUUGAAACAAAAUUUCUCAUUCAAUUACGAUACAAAUGAGAAGAGAGAAACUUGUAAAGAGCUCCACAUAUACACUUUUUGUCUCCUUUUCUUUUUGGAACAAAAUGUAUUAACAAAUCAAAUAUACAAAAUUCUCCUUUGGAAAUAAUUACAAAAUCUCUCAGAUGCUUUAGCGUAGAGCUUUCGGAUAGAUCUUUUAUGUUUUCAUUGUAGGAUCUGCCCAAAAAUCACACAAUACUUGCAAUUUUGACACCUUAUUAGACCAGAAGUGUCAUCAGAUAUAGAAAAAUAUUUUCCCUUUUAUUGAAGUGUUUUUUAUGAAUGCAAGGGAAGGGGGAAAACAAAAGAAAAAUACCCUGAGUUAGUAAGAAAGAAUAUAAAAUCGGUAUGCAUGUCCUAUGGGGGGACCCUUUUUGUGCCAAGGGUAGGCCUAGCAUGAAAAUGCAAUCCUCUAGGGUAGGCACCAUACAAUACCUGAUGAAUCCGAUCAACCGCUAGAGUGAAAAAUGAUUUGGAAAAAUUUGGCCAAUUGAAGUGAAAAGAGACAUUUGUCCUAAAAUGAAGGAAAAGUCCGAAUGGAUUGCUACUUUGAUCGACGCAUGAAAUAAUGUGUAAAAGAGAUUGCAAUGUCUCAAUUAAUUUAUUCGGUGACCCUUAGACUUAAACCCUAAAAAGGGAAAAAACGGGUCAAAUAGAUUGGAUAAAAUUGAUGAUUUAUUUAAAAAUGACCGAAUUGCCCUAAAAAUAGGUAAACUGGUCAAAUGAAUUAAAUGAAAUUUGAUUUAUUCAAAAAUUGAUCGAAUCACCCUAAAAAGGGUAGAUUGGUCAAAUGAAUGAAACUUGAUUUAUUCAAAAUCGAUUCGAUUGCCCUAAAAAUAGGUGAAUUGGCCAAAGGAAUGAAAGAGAGAUUGAUGAUUUAUGCAAAAAUCGACCAAAUCACCCUAAAAGGGUAAAUUGGUCAAAUGAAUUGAAUGAAAUUCAAAAAUCGACCGGAUGACCCUAAAAGGGUAAAUUGGUCAAAUGAAUGAUGACUUUUAAAAAAUCGACCGGAUGACCCUAAAAAGGGUAAAUUGGUCAAAUGAAUGGAUGAUUUUUCAAAAAUCGACCGGAUGACCCUAAAAAGGGUAAAUUCAUCAAAUGAAUGGAUGAUUUUUCAAAAAUCGACCGGAUGACCCUAAAAAGGGUAAAUUGGUCAAAUGACCCUAAAAAGGGUAAAUUGGUCAAAUGAAUUGACGAUUUAUUCAAAAUCGACCGGAUGACCCUAAAAAGGGUAAAUUGGUCAAAUGACCCUAAAAAGGGUAAAUUGGUCAAAUGAAUUGACGAUUUAUUCAAAAUCGACCAAACGACCCUAAAAAGGGUAAAUUGGUCAAAUGAUGGUUUAUUCAAAAUUGAUUAUGAAUUGACAAAAUGGAUCGAUUGAAUCGGCCGGCCAUUGGUGGUUUCAAAAUUAUUGAAGUGCAUUAGUCUAUGACCUUCUAAAAAUCAAAUUUUGGUCUCAAUUUAUUUAUCGUCUCAAUAGGAGGAAUCAUUUGUGAAUUUUCUUCAAAUUAAUGUCCUUCACGCAAGGGAAUUUUACCAAUUUUGAUAAAAUGGCCAAAAAGUGAUUAUUAGAUGCUCAUAUUCCAAAGAUUGCUCUAUGAAAAUGAUCGGAUCCUACCUUACCUUGUGCACUACCCCUUUGGAUGGUACAAAAUGUAAACGUGCAAGUCUCCUUGGAUUAAGUAUCCGAGACGCAAGGUGGUUUUAUUCCUAACACGGGAUCCCCUAAGUGGCAUUCCCUUUCUAGGGUUUAAUGCAUGAUGCCAGUUAUUAAAGCAGGAAAAAAAAUGCAAUUCGAAAUGAAAUGUGACCUAAGGAACCCUUUAUUUGCCAGGGUAGGCUUAGAAUGAUAUGCAAUCAUUAAUCUAUGAAUGCAAUAUACCAAAAUCUUUAAACGUGCAAUAGCCUGUCUACAAAGGUAGGUUCUAAAAGAAAGUCAUGCCAGACCUCUUAUUUCCUAAUGUUUGUGAAUGCAAAAGACAAGAGCCAAGGAAACGUGAGUUCAACACGUAAUCACAUAACACAUUGGACAAUUAAGCAACAAAGACAGAUAAGGAAAGAGGGGUGGGACCCCUCCCCUCGUGAAAUAGUGUUUCCUAAUUUAAGGUAAGGUCGACUCUACCCUGGGCAAUUCUAAUAUGGAUGCAUGAGGCUUGGCUUACUAAUGCAUCUAGACUCGAUAGGUCAUAGGCCCCCGAGCCUUCAGACUUAGAAACCAAGGGUCAUCAAUCCCAAGGUUCUUUGUCGGUGGCUCGAGCGAUUCCCCAAACACCGCUACGCACACAUCGUGUCACGGCUACGUGUUUGGGUGAAUCUAUCAAAACCUUAAUCUUCGACCAAAAGCUAAAGGCUAUCAACCAAUAGCUUUAAGCGGAAGAUUGAGUGACCCAUUGGAACAUGCUACACACACAUCGUGUCGUGAUCACAUGUCCAAGUGAGUCACCUAAUUCUAAUAGGGUAGAGUGGCGUGACAAGCCACUAAAGAAAAAUAAAAGGGAUAAAAGAAAUAAAGCGUAUGCUCGUAUGAUAGUGCUCGUUUGGAGGGGAAGGGUCAAGAACCAACGUGAGGCUCUAGGGUGACCCAUACCUCCCAAAAUGCAAUGCAAGCGCAAGAUAACAAGUAAACAUACAUCCAAUCAACCAAUCAUACAUUCGCGAGCGAGGGAGUAGUUGGAUACGCGUGAAAUACAAAAUCCUAAAAAAGGAAAAAAAUGCAACCCUAAAACACCCAAAUGUGAUAUAUGAAAAGGUUAAAAGAAGAAAAAUGUUGAUUAAAUCAAAUUUGCUCGGACUCUCGAAUGUCCCCAGUGGAGUCGCCAACUGUCGCGCCUCAUUUUUUUGAUAAAAUAAAUAAAUGGUUUGGAAAAAUGUAUUUGUGAUUGGAAAAUGAAUUGUGAUUUAAAAUAAAAAUGGGUCUAAAUGAGGUUUUGAGAAUGCGACGAUUUGACCCAAAAUGUAGUUUAAAAAGGGUUUUUGAAACAAUUGGAGUCGCCACUUGGUAAUGUGUUAAGGUGUACCAAGUCACCUAAAAAAUGAAUUUUUUAAAGGAAAAAUAGGAAAAAGUAGUAAGAAACCCCUUUUAAACAACUCCUAGUCCAUGUAAACCAAAGAAAAAGGCUCGGGAGUCACAUUUGACAAAGGGGAAGGCAAGGAUAAAAUCCAAGGCACCCCUUUGACCUAGCCAAGACUAGUUGCAUGAUUUAAUCAAAGAUUUUCUUAUUUUAACCAAAGAAUUUAUUACAUUUGGAUGCACUACAUGAAUGCAAACCCUAGACCUAGGGGUAUUGGGAGAAAUUUCUCUUCAAAGGUUGAGUGGUGCCAAUCACAUUAGUUGUGAAGCCCAAUAACGAUCCUUUGAAGAAGUCACGAAUAAUGCGAGUGGGAUGCAAAUGAAUGGAAUGCAUGUAUGCAAUGUGAGGACAUGAGUUUGAAAAAGUAAUAAAAAAAUAAUAAAUAUGUAAAUGAAAAUGUGCACGUGAGUGGGCAAGGUACGGUAUGUGAAAUGAUAAUAUGAAGUGCAUGUGUGCAAGUGAUGAUAAAAGUGUUCGUGUGCAAGUGAAGAAACAUAAAGGUGCACGUGUGCAAAAUGGGACAAAAGUGUUCGUGUGCAAGUGAAGGGAUAAAAGGUGUACGUGUGCAAAUGGGAUGAAAAGUGAAAGUGUAAUGAUAGAGCGGAUUUAGAAUGCAUGAGCCUAGGGAAUGCAUGCAUAUUGGGUACGGGGAGACCUAAAUCGUGACUCAAUUUACCCUUUUAUAGAGGGAAUACAAGCGUGCUAAGGCUUAGAAAAAGCCACACUCGUCUAUAUCCCAUAUUUAAGGGGACUCUCAAGCAAAUGAACCCUAUAACUAGCAUGAAAUGUAAAAAUCCUAAAAUGAAAGGAAAAGGGGUUCGAGGGGCAUGCCAAAUGAUAAACUAAGAAAAAUGCAUGACAUGUAAUGAUCACGCAAAUAUGUACUAACGAAGGGAAAUCCCUAAGGGUCUAGCGUUGGACUAGCCCAUUCUAUGAAUUCCUACUAGCAUUGGACUAGCGGAAACGUACAUUCAUCCAUCACAUUCAUUCAAGGAUAUGGAAAGCGAGUAGACAUGUCAAUCACAUAGCACAUAACACUUAGCAUGCAUAUUUAAAUGCCAAAACCUAAGAAAACGAUUAAACAUAUAGCACAUAGACAUGCAUGACACAUAAGGUGAUUAAGGCCCUAACUAUUACAUUUGCUAGCUAGGCACAAGUCUUCAACAGCUCUUCAUCGAAUGCUCCUCCAAACCCUAUCUAUUACAAGCCAAGAGGUGUACACAUACCCCAUAAAGAAUAACUUAAAUAAAAAGCAAAAGUAAAUGACAUAAAUAAAAGAAAUUAAGGAAAGGCUAAGAAAGCAAAGUAGACAUGUAUUUCUCACGUAGCACGUUGGUUCACAUAAGAGUGACGGAAAAAAGAUAAAAGAAAUUAUACCUCCCUUGAAAUGAAGCUCUAAUGAAGUGAAAUCAACUUAUUUAUCCUCCAAAAUAAAAGAAAUGGUCAAGGUACCAAUUUAUUUGGCAAAUAAUCACAAAGGAUAAAAAAUAAACAUGAAUUUGAAUCAAUUAAAUCAUGUCAACAAACCACAUUUAAGAAGUCAAAAGAAGAAAGGACUUGAUUGCAAAAAUUGAUAAAAUUUUGGGGCCAAAAUUAAAGAAAAAUAAAGUUUAGGGACCUAUUUACAAUUAUACCAGGGACCCAAUUGAAAGAAGCUAAAAGUGUUCAGGCCCAUGACAGAAAUAUUUAGAAGCACAGGGACUGAUUCGCAAAUUUAUUUUCUGGUUCCUGAAUGGAUCAAACCACUGGGCUGUUUUAUUUAUUCGUUUGGGCCGGAAACCAUCCUAGCCCAACCGAAAGCCCUAAGAGAACAAGCAGGCAGCCUGUCGUAAGUCCAAACAAAACUCAACUAAAACAUAUGGGUUUUAUUUCUCAAGCCCAUGUCAACAAUCCAGACAAAACAAGUCAUUAAUCCAUUGGUCAAACCCAAACAACAAAUCCAGACCAAACCUCAUCUUAUUUCAUGAAAACCCAACAUGAAUGAACCACAUUUUAUAUUCAAGCCCAACCAUGCAAACCAUAAAAUCAACUAAAAAUUUAAUCCUAAUAAUGUCAUAACAUCAAAAAUCAAUGUACCCAAAAGAUUACUUAACAAACAUAAAAAAAGAAAAAGAUGAUAACAUCUAAAAAAAGGAGAAGCAAGGCCAACUUUUCCAAUCUUUGAGUCAAAUCAGAAUAAGGGGAAAACUUGAGGGUUUCAAAUGCAACCAAAACAGGGAUCCAAUUGGAUGGAAUCAUGAAGGUUUUGGGGUCGAAUUUAAAGAAAAAGUAAAAUCCAGGGGUCAAUUUGCAAAUUUCCAGAUUUUUGCAAACAAAUGGUUCGCUGAAUCUCUCUUCUUCGACGAUUGAAGGAAAGCUUCGGCAACCUGAUUCGGCCAUUUUGUCUUAACCAACAACUAUCAUGUUUUAACAAACAUUGAACUGGCCGAAUGUCAUGCAAAACACAAAUUGAUUCAUCUUUGAAACUAAAAUCUCGUUGGACAUUUCAUCGAGCAACAAGCAGACAUAAAAAAAAUUCACAAAAUUUUGCUCAAUUGAAGUUAUAAUCAGCCCAGAAAUUGCGUAGAAAAUCAAGAUUUCAGUCCAAUUUUGCACGCAAGGCACACUUAUCCUAAAAUCCAUGAACGAUCAACAUGAAAAUAGAAAUUACGAAAUCACAGAAACUUAUUUUGAAGCAUUGGACAGAAAACUAAAAUUUUCAAAAAAAACUUACAGUGCUCUGACGAUGAAGAUCCACGGGCGACGAUGGUGAGUUCCGGUGGUGGCAAUGGCGACUCCGGUCGCAGCCUUCCCUUCUUGUUUCUGGCCCGAAGUUUGUCCGACUGACCGGCUUGUGGCUUCGUUAUGAAGAUUGAGGAGAGGGACCGUGAGGCCUUUGGGAGGCAUAUUGGGCUUCCUUCCAUUUUUGCGAAGCUUUGAUAGCUGCAACCAACUUUUCCCCUGGGAGUCAUGGCGGCCACGGAGGCGGCAGAGGUGAAGAAUGGGGGCGGCGCCGUGGAGCUUACGCGCGGUGGUGGCGAUGAGUGGCGAGCGGUGGUGCUGAUGAGUGGCGAGCGGUGGUGCCGGAUUGAAAGUUCCCUCUUUUCCUGUUUUCAGUUUCUUUCUCAGCCCAAAACCGGUCCCCCUGGCUUUUUCCUUUUGCUCCAUUCCUUAGCCGAAACCAUCCCUCUGAUUUUUCUACUUCUGUUUCUUUUAGUCGACAUCCAUUCUUGCUCUGUCUUCCCCUUUUUGUUUACUCACUGACUUCCUCCCCAGAUUCUUUCAGUCGCCCACUAUCUAGCUUCCUUCCUCUCGCCCUAAGCCUCCCUGUUUUUUAUGUCCGCUUCCCCUUUUCCCUUUUUUUUUUUUUCCUUGCCGACGGAGCUCCCUAUUCCUUUUCCCCCUAAAAGUCUCGCCGCCCCUCUGGUUUUUCAUUCGUCCCCUUUUGCCGUUCUUCUUAGCCCCCAGACUCUCCCUUCCUUUUUUCGAUUUCGUUUUCUCUUUUUUUAGUUUUUAGCCCUCACAAAAUUCUACUUUGACCCCCAAAAAUUCCUUAACUUCCCAAAUGUCCCUAACACCUCACCCCUUAGGUGCUUAGUUGUCUAAAACAUAGAAAAGACACUUGUCCAAGUGCAUGCAGUCCCACUUGUCAUUUUCACUUUUUCUUUCUUUUUCCUUUUCUCUUUUUCUUUUGUUUUUCCUGAAAUUUAAUGUGAAGCCAAAAAUACACUAGAACAAAAAUAAAAUAAAUAACAAUAAUAAAAAUAAAAAUAAAAUAAUAAUAAUAAUAAUAAUAAUAAUAAUAAUAAUAAUAAUAAAUAAUAAUAAUAAGAAAUGAAAAACCUAAAAUUGAAACAAAUAAAGCUAAGAUGAAAUUAAUUAAACGAAGAAAGUUAAAAAAUCAAAAAUUUGGUGUCUACAAAUUACAUUUGAAAUCCGAAUACAAAAGUAUAUCUAAAGGUUCCACCGAAUUUCACUCCAUGUCCAUUCCUAUUAAGGAAAAUAAAUCUACGGGGUGAGCAAUAACUCGUGAGGCCAAGAACACACAUGCAAGCACAUUACCCAAAUAGCUAUCCCAUUCAAUAAUGAAAAUAAUAACAUUUGAAUAAUAAACAAUUCGAGUGAAAAUUUAAACAGAAACAAUUCAAGGAUAUGGUAGCUCUCAGGAGUUAAGUUCCACUUGCUUUGCCAGAUUUCAAUCGUAUACCUUCCCGUGAUGACACUCCAUCAACCGAGUUGGUAUUUCCAAUCCGUAGAACUCCACUUAUUUCUCAGAUCCGUCCACCGUACACCGUACAGAACCCGCACGACAUUUAUAAGGCGAUACUCCACGAGUAUACCAAGCAAGAUCUCUCCAAUAGAUCAAGCUUAUCAUAUAAUUCUCAUGGCUCACCGAGAUUCCCGAUCAGGCCCAUGUCGGCUCGAGUCCCAAGGUCGGCCUAUGAGUUUGGACGUCCCCCGUGUAACAUUUGUGUGUCAAGAAGAUUCACUCCAACGACGUAUGCAGUCAUAGCAUACCAUUUCAUUUUAUUCAGUCAUUCAAUCAGUCAUUUCAUUCAAUCAAGUCAUUUAUGAUUCAUUCAUUUCAUUUCAAUUAAUUCAAUCAUGAGUCAUUCAUUUCAAAUGAGAACGAGUACCGUAAAGUACACACUCGACUCCAUUUUCAAAAUUUUCAAUCAUGAACAAUAGUUAAGCAGGUAUCAAGUUUGCAUACACUUGACACUCACCAAAUAAUCAAGAAACAAGCGUUUGUUUUAGGCGUCUCUCGUGAGCUCCUCUUGAAAGUCUUCUUGAGUGCCUGAGCAAUUAAUAAUAAACUAUUACUUAUAAACCCCAAUUAUCAAGGAAGAUUGUACACUUGUACAAUCUAAGAAAAUUUCACGAAAAUGAGCCAUAAUUACUCGUAAAUCAAUGCUCAAAAAUGGGGUUUUAAAACACAAGCAAAAUCUAAUUUUCAUCUUUAAAAUCAAUUGUAAAAAGGUCUAGCAAUAUCAAAGGAAAAUAGAGAGUUCGUAACCCUCAAUUUCCUUUAAGUUCGGAAAUUUCAGAUUUGUUGAGCGAUCUUUGAAAAAUCGUAUCUCACUCUCUAUAAGUUCAAAAUUGGAAAACUUGGUACCGUUGGAAACUACUUCCAUAGUACUAAAAGUUACUAGAAAACACUUUUCCAUGAUUCAAAAUGGAAGACAUUCAAAUUUUGGUUUCGAGUUGCUGUUUUGGCUAUCAAUACAGUCUUGGGGUUGGUUUUUGGUCAAAUUUGGAAAUUCGGCAAAACUCACACAAUACGAACUAACUUCUGAAAUUUGGAACUCAAUUAGAGUUACAAUCAAAGUUUAAAACAAAACAAGUGGAACAAGAAUUGGAGUUUUGAGUACCAAGAUAUGACGGUUCAAAGUUACCUAAAAGUUGGGACUGUUAGACCAUUUUUCGAGUUUAAAACAUAGACUUUGAAUCUUUGGUUGAGCAUCAAAAUGGACUCGAAAUGGUACCAAAUUUAGUAUGAUUAUACUACCAUAUAAGGGAUAUUCCUCUGUCAAAUUUCAUCCAAAACUUCAUUCAGGAAGUCGGUUAACAAAACUAUUAAAGUUCUACAAUUUGCUAAGGCAAAUCCGCCUUGCACUUUCAUUUUUCUUUUCUCAAACAUUUGGCCAAGGAAAAUUCCUUGAACAUGAUUCAUUUAUGAAGAAAAAGUCUAGGAAACAUCCCAAAAUAUGUUUGGUAGGUGAGUAACACCAAGGAUUUCGAAUAACAAGUCCCAAAUCAAAAUUAUCUAUAAAUCAGUCCAGAAUUAGGGUUUUCUUUCACGAAGAUAGCUCUGAAAUCUAGCCACAACUCACUCAAUUCAACCAGAAUUGAGCGUGGUCAGUGGUUUUGAAAACUACAUUCAUAAGGCUACAAUUUCUUAGAAAUAAUUAUUUUAAAAUUCUGUCCACAACUAGCUCAUAUUUGAGCAUCAAGUCGCAACUCAAAACAGGGUUUCUAGUAUAGACGAGAAACAGAACAGGCAAAUUUACAAGGUUGGUAAGGCUCACUCAGGUGGAAUCAAGGCAUGCAUUUUAUACCGUUGGAAAACUGGAAAUGUCUAGUUUCUAAUUCCACAAACAACACUCAAUUUCAACGUCGGAGCAAAGAGUUAUGGCCGAAACAAAAUCGCUACCAGAGAGGCUCUGGUUACGUUUCCAGUUUUGUUACAUUUUCGAAAUCUCAACUUUUGGCCAACCAAAUUGGAUGAUUUUUUGUGAAAACUUUCCACACAACCCACACAACAAAUUUACAUCAAAAUCCAGUCAAUUGAACCCCAAAAAAGUGCACUAAGGGUCAUGGCAAAACAGGGGCAGAAUCGCCACUUUUGCUCAUCUCACUUCCUUUGAGUUUUCUUUCACAACACAACUUAUUUUCACUAGAUUAAGCAGUAAUCCAACAUAAAUAACAUCAAAUCUCAUCAAAUCAGUUCAUCAAGUCGUUGUGGGAUUUCAUAGAGCCCACUCACAAGAUUUCUAACAAUAUAAAACUGCCCAUAUGAAUCUAUGAGCUCACAAGUGCAAUACAACUUAUAUAAACCAAGAUUCAAGAGAUUGAUCAUCAUUUACCUCCUUAGAUGGCUAGAGCAGAAAUUUUUGGUCACCUUAAGCGUAAGAAAACCGUGAGAAACAAGCUUGUUGCCUAGCUUAAGUUGAUCUCCAAAUAGUUUGCAAGUUGUGUGUAAAUUUUGGAGUGAUUUGAUGAAGAAAUGAAGCAAGAAAUGAUGAAGAUUUUGGUUGUUUUCUCCUUGAAGAUGGCCGGCUGUUAGGGAGAGAGAAAGGAGAGUGUUUUGUUGCAAAUGAAGCUUCCUUGAGAAGUUUAAAUGUGUGGUUCAAAAGUGUUCAAAAGUCAACUCUCCCUCCGCGCGCGCAUGCGCGCGUUUCGUGCUCGAUUCCUUUCGAGUUUGUUUCACUAGUGCACUAAAUCUCUAAUGCACUUCCAUUCAUACUAUUAUUAUUCAUUCUUAAUAGCCCAAAAUAAAGGUCUUAAGUCCAUCAAUUAAUCGCGCGCGCGAAAACGCGUACUUCCGAUUUAUGCGUGAUAGAGUAAAAUUUCUAAUAAAUUCUUAUAACGAUAUAUAACUAACUAACACUUGAGCACUUAAACAUAAAAAAAUAUACCUAUUUCAAGACUAAUGUACAAGUCUCCAAUUUUCCAAAAUUAUUGUAUGCUCGAAUCGAUUAUUAUCUCCAAACGCGCAUUCACUAUUCUCACUAAAUGAGCUUUCAAAAAUUAAAUUUUUUAACAAGUCAUUUUAAAAAUAUAUGCAAGUCAUAGUUCUAUGUAAUUGGAUCUAAAAAGGUUAGAAUUAAAUAUUCGGAGCAAACAAGCAUUUAAAUAUUUAAAUAAACUAGAAAUAGGGGUUUAAAAUAAGUAAUUUUGUGAGUCCUGACAAAUUUAUUCUCUAGAAUUUAUCUAAAACCUUGCUUAAUUCCACUUUGGCUCGAGUUGAUGAGAAUUUAUCUAAAAGAGAUGAGAAUUUAGUUUUACUUAAAAACUAAAAGGUUGGAACUGUUUCCUUUUUCCAUCUCGUGUUUCAGUCCUUUUUCUGGGUGAUUUCGUGGUGGAAGACUCGACAAUUUCAAUAUCUUCAUCUCUUAGCUGGGUAGUGCCUCCGGUACCAGCAGAUCCUCCUCUCACUCGAACCAUGAUGAUAUGCAAGAUGUUUUUCGUUGCAAAGUGUGAUGAAAAUGUGUAUGAAAUGGACUAAGAUUACAGAAAAGAGAAUAAUGUAUGCUUGAAUCUUCCAAAAACAUUGAAAUUUGAGUGACUAGGGUUUUUGCUGAAAAUUGGGAUCGGUGGAGUGGUUGGCAGUUGGAGGAAGUUAUGAGUGCUAACGAAUGCGUAAAAGGGGUGUGAUGGUAUUGGAGAAAUCAAUUUCUUGGAACUUGUUCAGAAGAAAGAUGAAUUUGAAAUUUAAAAGUAGGAGAAGAGGAAAGGGUAUGUCCAAGACAACGGUUGAAAAUGAACUAAAUGAAAGAGAGGACUGCUUUAUAAUAUGCAUCUUUUGAGUAUCGGACUGCCGAACGAAGAGAACGUCCGACACUACCGUCCGAACCAAAAUUUUCUGGAAAAAUGGCUUAAAACACUGUCGGACGUCCGUUCAUCAUGUAUUGGACGUCCGAUAAAGUGUGAUCAAAGAAUUUUUUUUGAAAAACUUUUCCAAAAUGCCCAAUUUUGUUCUCAAAAAUACAAACUGAUCCUGUGGUAGGGCUUUUGUAAGAAUGUCAGCACUUUGAUCUUUUGAGCAAACAUAUUGUACACAAAUUUCACCCUUUUGGAUAAAAUCACGAAUGAAAUGAUGUUUAUGCCUAUAUGUUUUGUCCUAAAAUAUUGAAUGUGAUUUUUUGUCAAAUUUAUGGCACUUGUAUUAUCCCAAUACAUAGGCACACAGUCAUACACUAAUCCAAAAUUAUUCAAGAUACUUUUCAUCCACAACAAUUGAGCACAACAUGCACCGGCGGCAACAUACUCCGCUUCGGCAGUAGACAAGGAAAUAGUAUUUUGUUUCUUACUAAACCAAGACACUAAGCAAUUACCAAGAAAGUGACAUGUACCACUUGUACUUUUUCUAUCUAUCCUAUAUCCACCAAAAUCAGCAUCCGAAAAAUCAUAUAAAGAAAAUUCAUGACAUUUAGGAUACCAAAGACCAUUUUUUUUAUACCAAUUGUUUAUCUCAAUUCAUAUCUUUUGAUGAUUACAAAACAAUUGGAUGUUUCUAAUACCUUUUGUAGAGAUCCUUUUCAGAAAUGAACCAAACAGGUCUGUGGAUUUAAAGCAGAAAAAGAAGAUCAAAGAAGAAUGAAGUCUGCUGAGGAUGAUGUCGGACGCACAAAAGGAGGGUAUCGGACGUCCGACAUUCUUUGAGUAUCUUCGGAUGAGUAAAGAACUCAGACUCGGACGUCCGAAGAAGACAAGCCAGGAGUUACUUGAUUACUGAUCAGGUUCGGACGCUCAACACCUGUGUAUCGGACGUCCGACAAGCGUUGCUGCUCUUCGGACGCAACACUUUGGACGCAUCGGCCGUCCGAAGGAAUUGAAGAAGAAAGUCCAAGUAUUCAUCCUACCCUCGGACGCAUGAUCGGACGUCCUAAGGGAUUCAAGAAAACUUCCAGAACUCAUUGAUCUUGUUCGGACUCAUAAAAACCAAACAUCGGACGUCCGACAGUACCAACGGCUAGUUGACUCUUCAGUUACCUUCUACCCGUUGAUAAUAUUAAUUGAGAAACUUUCUGGUCUCCUAUAAAAAGAACAAAGUCAACCACCUCAAGACAACUUUGUACAUCAAGCCUACAUCAGAUUGUGAGUGAUUCGUGUGCUAGAAUACUCAAAAAGGAACAUUUGUACUCCUUGCAUGUACAAUCUUCGUGUAGUUUUUUCAAGUGUGACAUAGCUUCUUCAAUAGUGUAGCAUAGUGAGGGUUUGCGAGUGUUUGUAAAACUUCCUUGCUUGACCAAGUAUGAUUUGGGGCAAGAAGGAAGUAAUCCCUUCCUUGUACACAAAAGAUUGGUUGCAAGUCUAUUCAACUUGAAGUAACUUGGUAUAUAAAAGUGGUGUUCAAACCUCAGUUGUGUUUGAAGCUUGGUUUGUUUCUUUAAUCUUAUUUACUGCUUUUCUACAUAAACUGUUCUUCUCUCCAUCUCACGAAUACCUGUACUCUUGUGUUAUCUUGUUCAUUGGGAGGUAUUUGAGAAAAGAAAGGCUGUCUGUUAAAAAAAGGUAGAAUAUAUCUUAGCAGUUUUUGAAAGCCUAAUUCACCCCCCCUCUUAGGUUAUCUUCGAUCCUUACAAUUGGUAUCAGAGCUUGGUCUCCUAGAGAUUAAGCUCAAGCGGCUUGGAGUAAGAUGACAACCAGUCAUGCUAUGUUUGUUGAGGGGCAAUCUGUUACUAGACCUCCCAUGUUUACUGGUUUCAAUUAUGUUAGCUGGAAAGAAAGAAUGAUUAUCUUCUUGCAAUCCAUUGAUAUUGAGCUGUGGUUUAUUGUGAAUGAAGGACCGCAUGAUGCUAACUUUCUUGAUGCAGAAACAGGGUUGUUGCGGCCAAAAACGAGAGCUGAGAUGAAUGCUCAAGAUAGAACCAAUCUCACAUUGAAUGCCAAAACCAUGAAUGUUCUUUACAGUGCCUUAGACUCAAAUGAGUCAAUUAGAGUAAAAGGGUGUAAAUCUGCCAAAGAAAUGUGGGAUAAGCUAAGAGAAAUUCAUGAGGGUAGUGACAACGUAAGAGAACAGAAAAAGUCCAUUCUGGUCACCAAGUAUGAAUCUUUUAAGAUGGAGCCUCAUGAGAACAUCGACAAAAUGUAUUUUAGAUUUAAUGAUCUGAUCAAGGAUUUAGAGGUGCUUGAGAAGGAGUACUCUCUAGGUGAAAAGAACAGAAAAAUUCUGAAUGCUCUAUCAAAGGAUUGGGAAAGCAAAGUGACUGCUAUAGAGGAAGCCAAGGAUCUAAAUUCCUUAUCCAUUGAAUCUCUGAUUAACUCUCUAACCUCUUACGAAUUGAAACUUAAAUCUAAGUUGCAGGAAGAAGAAGACACAAAAGGAAGGAAGAGUAUUGCUCUGAAAGCUUCACAAGAUGAAGAUGAAACAGCCUCACUGGAUGAAAAUGACUUGGAAGGUGAUGAUAGUGAUAUUGCACUCAUCACAAGAGGCUUCAAAAGAUUUCUCAAUAAGAGAAGAUUCAGGAAAGGCGGAUCCAGCAAUUUCUUCCAGAAUCAGACUAAUGACUUCAGGAAUAGAGGGAAACUAGAGUUCAACAAGAAGCAGAACGAUAAAUGUUUUGAAUGUGGCCAACCUGGACAUUAUGCAAAUGAGUGUCCAAUGAAGAAAAAGAAGGAAAACAAGAUUGAAUGAAAACCAAAGUUCAACAAUUUUCAGAUUACCUGGAAUGAUUGCAACUCAGAAGGCGAAGUUGAAGAAGAAGAGGAAUCUGCUCAAGUGGCUUUCAUGGCUAUUGGAGAUGAAGAGGUAACACAAUGCAAUUCUCAAACCGAUAGUGAUAGUGAAUCUGAUGAUAAUGUUAAUUAUUUUCUAGAAAACAUGCAUAACAGCUUGAAAGAAUCCUAUGUUAAAAACAAAGAAUUGAAGCAAAAAAUCAGUUUUCUAAUACAAGACAAUGCAAAUCUUUUUCGACAAAAUAAAUGUCUUAAGCAUGAAAAUGAUAACCUGAAAAGGACUGAAACUGAUGUGCUUGCUGAACUUCACAAAAAGAAAAAUUACUGUGACUUACUCAAAAGAGAGCAAUGCAGCUUAAGGAAAAGGAUGGAUGAUUUAUGUAAAUUGUUACAUCAUGUGAAACAGAAUCAUCUUCAAAAGAAUGACACUGUACCUUAUGUUAAUACUCAUCAAAUAAGACUGAACCAAAAUAUAAAUGAGUUCGCUAUCUACAGAAGAAGACAAGUCAGAUUCAUUAAACCUGUUCAUUUGAUUGAUUCAAUGUUAGUAUGCAACUUUUGUUGUCAAUCUGGACACAUGUAUAGCAACUGUCAUGUUAAGAAAAACAUGAGGAAUGGCAUGAGAUGCAUGUGGAUAGUCAAACAUAAGACUAACUCUCAAGGACCCAACAUGUAAAGGGUACCAAGUAUUAUCUUGUGGGUUUGUGUGUAGGUGAACCAGGAUUACAUUGCUAAAGAAUCAAAAUGGUUCAUUGAUAGUGGAUGUUCAAGACAUAUGACUGGUGAUGCAUCACAGUUCAUCAAACUCAAGCAAAAAGCAAGCGGAAAGAUAACAUUUGGAGAUGAUAACAAAGCCAAAACUGUUGGUAUUGGCGAUGUUGGUAAGAAUGAUCAAACUUUUAUCCACAAUGUUCUUCUUGUUGACAAUUUGAGCUACAAUCUGUUAAGUGUUAGCCAAUUGUGUGAUAGGAAUCUGUUUGUAUUGUUCAAAAAGCUUGAAUGUCUCAUAUUUGACUCAAAGUUCAACAUUAUUUUCAAAGGAAAAAGAGUUAAUGAUGUCUAUGUAGUGUUUCUUGAAAAAAUUGAUUCCUCACAUCUCAAAUGUCUCAAAGUAGCAAAUGAGGACCCAUGGUUGUGGCAUAGAAGGAUGUGUCACUUCAAUAUGGAUUUGCUGAAAGAAAUUUCUAAAAAGAAACUUGUUAGAAGUCUUCCAAAAAUUAAAUUUGAAAAAGACAGAAUCUGUGAUGCUUGCCAAUUUGGAAAACAAGUCAAGGUUUCUUUUAAACCCAAGAAAUGUGUUUCUACUUCAAAACCACUUGAACUUCUGCACCUUGAUCUGUUUGGUCCUACACAGACUGCAAGCCUUGGUGGUAAGAGAUAUUGUUUUGUGAUUGUUGAUGACUACUCUCGAUAUACUUGGGUAAUAUUCCUUGCUCAUAAAGAUGAUGCCUUUAAGAAUUUUACUUCAUUAUUUACUAAAGUACAAAAUCUGCUUAACUUGAAAAUUGUUAGGAUUAGAAGUGAUAAUGGGACAGAAUUCAAGUUCUGUGGUUUUCCAGAAUUUUGUGAUCAUAAUGGUAUUACCCAUGAAUUCUCUAUUGCUAGAGUCCCUCAACUGUUAUUCUUGGUUUUGAUGAUCACAAAAGUUCGUUGAAAUGUUUAUACAGACCAAGAAAGUGAACACUUUGAUCAGGCCUGAUGGAACAAGGAAAGCAUAUGUUUGAUUGACUCCAGUCUACGAUGCUUUGGAUGUGGCAAACAAGAUUGGAAUAAUAUAAACAAAUUUAGUUAUUGUUUUGUUCCGAUCAAAGAUACAGUCUUUUAAGUGUGACAAUUUUGUUAUAAUGAUCACAAAAUACUUUGAAUUGUUUAUCUAAACUUCUUCAAAUAUAAGUGUUGUUGCUUACCAAAGAAUCAGGUACGAAUAUGACAUGAGAUGCAAAUCAACCAAAAGAAGAAGCAAAAACAGGACACUCAUGUCGGACUGCCGAAAGGAAUCUGUCGGACGUCCGAAAGGAUAAAGAACAUCAAGAAGGAAGCUCUGUCGGACGUUCAUAAGGAAGCAUCGGACGCACACCUCGGACGCAUAUCAACCGCAUCGGACGUCGGAAAAAUUCCAAGAUGACAUGCCAACUCUCUGCCUACGAUCGGACGCUGUGCUGUCGGACGAUAAAGACGCAUCGGACAUCCGAACUUCAACUUGACUGUUUUCGGACGAUUGGUUCGGACGAUGAUUUGGUCGUCGGACGUCCGAAAGCCCCAACGGCUAGCUGACCCUUCAUCUGCCUUCUAUCCGUUGGAAGCUUUAAUGAAACCCAUUUCUGUUCCCCUUUAAAAACAAACUGUUCUGAACGAAGGAAGGACUUUUGCACACUUGGUUUACAAGAUCUCAAGAAAUAUUUUAGCUAAAAAAUAGUCUCCAAAGUUAGAUUUGUUCUCUAAGUGGUGUGAAUUUCUGGUGAGCUUUUCUCUUGUGGUUGAAAGUUUCAUUAGUGUAGCUUUGUUGAGGGUUAUCUGAAUGUUUGUAAAACUUCUUAGCUUGACUAAGUGAGGCUUAGGGCAAGGAGGAAGUGCUCCUCCAUUGUACAUCUAGUUGAUCAUCUUUCAUCAAAGAGAAGUUGCUCAACCUUGUGAUUGGUCUUCAAGUUUGAGGAGAGCUUGGUAGACAAUUGGUUUGAUUUCCUAUUUUACUUUUUGUUUAAUAAAAUUCUCAUUGCUUAUCUAUACUUGUUUCUUCUGAUCAAUAUUACUCUUGUCUUCUAAUCUACUUGGUUGAUCAUUACUAGAAAAGAAGGUAAAUUUUUAUUAAAGAAAAAGUGCAUAAAUUUGGUUAAGAUUUUAAUCAACCCAAUUCACCCCCCCUCUUGGUUGUCUUUGGGACUUACAAUUGGUAUCAGAGCUUGGUAUCCUUGAGAUUAGACUCUAACGGCUUGGAGUAAAGAUGACAACCAGUCAUGCUAUGUUUGUUGAGGGGCAAUCUGUUACUAGGCCUCCCAUGUUCAGUGGCUCUAACUAUGUUAACUGGAAAGAACGGAUGAUUAUCUUUUUGCAAUCUAUUGAUAUUGAACUAUGAUUUAUUGUGAGUGAAGGACCGCAUGAAUCUAACUUUCUUGAUGCAGAUACAGGGUUGCUUCGGCCAAAAACGAGAGCUGAAAUGAAUGCUCAAGACAGGACUAACCUCACAUUGAAUGCCAAGGCCAUGAACGUUAUUUAUAGUGCCUUAGAUUCAAAUGAAUCAAUUAGAGUAAAAGGCUGUAAAUCGGCCAAAGAAAUGUGGGAUAAGUUAAGAGAAAUUCAUGAGGGUGGUGAUAAUGUGAAAGAGCAGAAAAAGGCUAUCUUGGUCACAAAGUAUGAAUCAUUUAAAAUUGAACCUCUUGAGGAUAUUGACAAAAUGUAUUGCAGGUUCAAUGACUUGCUCAAAGAUCUCGAGGUGUUGGGCAAAGAGUACACCUUGGGAGAGAAGAACAGGAAAAUUCUCAAUGCAUUAGGCAAAGAAUGGGAAAAUAAAGUCACUGCAAUAGAGGAGGCUAAGAAUUUAAAUUCUGUGCCUAUUGAAUCUCUCAUUAACUCACUAACCUCUUAUGAAUUGAAAUUAAAAUCCAAAGUGCAGGAGGAAGAGGAUGCUAGAGCAAAGAGAAAUAUUGCUCUAAAGACUACUCAAGGUGAGGAUGAUCCAGCUCACUUGGAUGAUGAAGACUCGGAUGGUGAUGAUAAUGAUCUUGCUCUCAUCACAAGAGGCUUCAAGAGAAUCUUGAAUAAAAGGAAGUUUAGAAAGGGAGGACCUAGCAAUCAAUUUCAAAAUUAUUCAUCAAAUGCGAGGAACAAAGGAAAAUAAGAAUUCAACAAGAAGCAAGUGGACAAAUGCUAUGAAUGUGGACAGGCUGAAUACUAUGCAAACGAAUGCCCCAUGAAGAAAAUGAAAGAUGGGAAAGCUGAUCGAAAGCCAAGAUUCAACAACUUCCAGAUUACUUGGAAUGAAUGCAACUCCGAAGGAGAAGUUGAAGAAGAGGAUGAAUCAGCUCAAAUGGCCUUCAUGGCUAGCGGAAAUAAUGAGGUAACUUCCACACACUCUCAAUCUGAAAAUGAUGAUGAGGAAGAUGAUGAUCUUGAAUCAUUUGUUGAAAAACUGCAUAAUGCCUUGAAGGAAUCUUAUGAUAAAAACAAGCAGUUAAAACAGAAAAUGACUUUUCUCAUUCAAGAAAAUGCAAGUCUUUUUCAACAAAAUAAACAACUAAAGACUGACAAUCAAAGUCUUGUAAGAGCCGGAUGUAAUGUUCAAAAUGAGCUUGAUAGAAAGACAAAUAUUUGUGAAAUGCUGAAGGAAAGACAUGGUGAUUUGAAAAAAAGAAUGGACAACUUGGAUGAGACUUUGAAAGCAAGAAAGCAGGAGUUUAUCAAAAGGAACAUGUCAUCUACCCAUCCUACUACUUUUCAAAGAACAUUUGCACACAACAAAAAUGCACAUGGUUUCACAACAUAUAGAAGAGGCGGAUUGAGAUAUGUCAAACCAGUACAUGUUAAGGACUCUUCCAUUAUGUGUGGUUUUUGUUGUCAAAGAGGGCAUUUGAAAGGUGAUUGCUAUGUGAAAAGAAAUCUGAACAAAGGGAUGAAAUGCAUGUGGUUAGUUAGAUACAAUGCUAACUAUUGCGGACCCAAAAAUUAAAAUGGGUACCAAACACUUUCUCUUUUCAGGAAAAAUGCUCAAACAAGUCCAAAUGGUUUAUUGAUAGUGGUUGCUCAAGGCAUAUGACCGGUGAUCCCUCUUUGUUCAUAAAGCUGAAAUCAAAAUCAAGUGAAAAAGUGACAUUUGGUGAUGAUGUGAAAGCUAAGACAAUUGGAAUAGGUGAUGUUGGUAAGGAUGGUGAAACUUUUGUUCAUAAUGUGCUCUUAGUUGAUAACUUAAGUUAUAACUUGUUUAGUGUUAGUCAAUUGUGUGAUAAAGACUUGAAUGUGUUAUUUAAAAAGCAUGAAUGCAUUGUGCUUGAUUCCAAAUAUAAUGUUGUGUUCAAAGGAAAGAGGUUCAACGACAUAUAUAUUGUGGUUCUUGAUAAAAUUAAUUCUUCUAGCUUAAAAUGUCUUAAAACUUCAAAUGAAGAUCCUUGGUUGUGCCAUAGAAGACUUUGUCAUUUUAACAUGGAUUUACUAAAGAAAAUUUCGAAAAAGGAGCUAGUUAGAGGCUUGCCAAAAAUCAGUUUUGAAAAAGAUAAAAUAUGUGAUGCAUGUCAAUUUGGAAAGCAAACAAAAGUUUCUUUUAAACCAAAGAAGUGUGUAUCUACUUCCAAACCUUUAGAACUAUUGCAUCUUGACUUAUUUGGUCCUACUCAAAUCACUAGCUUGGGAGGUAAGAAAUACUGCUUUGUGAUUGUGGAUGAUUAUUCUAGAUAUACUUGGGUAAUAUUUCUUGCUCAUAAGGAUGAUGUAUUCAAGAAUUUCACUUCAUUGUUUGCUAAAGUGCAAAAUCUGCUUGGAUUAAAAAUUGUUAGAAUUAGAAGUGAUAAUGGAACAGAAUUCAAGUAUUGUGGUUUUCCAGAAUUUUGUGAUUAUAAUGGCAUAACUCAUGAGUUUUCUAUUGCAAGAACUCCACAGCAAAAUGGUGUUGUAGAAAGGAAAAAUAGGACUCUACAAGAGGCUGCUAGAACCAUGUUAAGUGAAUGCAGUCUGCCAAAGUACCUUUGGGCUGAAGCGGUAAACACUGCAUGUUAUGUGAUGAAUAGAAUCCUAUUGAGACCCAUUUUGAAUAAAACAUCUUAUGAACUAUUUUUUGACAAGAAACCUACAGUUGGAUAUUUCAAGGUCUUUGGUUGUAAAUGUUUUAUUUUAAAUUUAAAGGAACACCUUGGUAAGUUUGAGAAAAAAUCUGAUGAAGGAAUAUUUUUGGGAUAUUGCGAGAACAAAAGAGGUUAUAGAGUCUUUAAUAGAAGGACUCUUGUGAUAGAAGAAGCCAUACACAUAACAUUUGAUGAAUCUAAUGAUGACAACUCCAAACGUUCGUAUGAGGAUGAUGAUGUAGGUGCUCGCGAAGGAAUGGAAAAGUUAAAAAUUGGAGAUGGAGGAAAUUCUGAACCAGAAGCAAAGGAAGUGGAGAAUGAAGCUCAUGAAGAUCAAGAAAGGGAAGAUGAGGACAGAAAUGAUGAUCCAUUCAAAGAUCUUCCCAAGGCUUGGAGAUUUAGUCAAAAUCAUCCGAAAGAACUUAUAAUUGGUGAUCCAUCCGAGAAGGUAAAGACUCGUUCCUCUUCUAGAAAAUUGAUUGACAAUUUUGCUUUAGUUUCUCUUUUUGAACCCAAAAAUAUCAAUGAUGCUUUAAAGGAUGAAAACUGGAUUUUGGCAAUGCAAAAGGAACUUAAUCAAUUUGAGAGAAAUGAAGUUUGGACACUUGUUGAUAGACCUCAAAAUCAACCUAUCAUUGGCACAAAGUGGAUUUUUAGAAUAAAUUGGAUGAUAAAGGUGUUGUUGUAAGAAAUAAAGCCAGAUUAGUUGCUAAAGGAUAUGCACAAGAAGAAGGAAUUGAUUUUGAUGAAACAUUUGCUCCCGUAGCAAGAUUAGAAUCUAUUAGAAUGCUUCUUGCCUUUGCAUGCUUUAAAGGCUUCAAAUUGUUUCAAAUGGAUGUUAAAAGUGCCUUUUUAAAUGGUUUUAUUGAUCAAGAAAUAUAUGUGGAUCAACCCCCCGGUUUUGAAAAUACAAAAUUUCCAAGUCACGUGUUUAAACUAUCUAAAGCUUUAUAUGGUCUAAAACAGGCUCCAAGAGCUUGGUAUGAAAGACUAAGUGGUUUUUUGAUUGAAAAUAGUUUCAAAAGGGGUGUUGUGGACACCACACUUUUUACUAAGCAAGUGUUGAAUGACCUUCUUAUUGUGCAAAUAUAUGUUGAUGAUAUUAUUUUUGGUGCUACUAAUGAGUAUCUAUGUAAGGAGUUUUCCACCACUAUGCAAAGUGAAUUUGAAAUGAGUAUGAUGAGAGAAUUAAAUUUCUUCCUUGGACUUCAAAUACAUCAAACUCUUGAGGGAAUUUUUAUAAAUCAAGCAAAAUAUACCAAGGAAUUGCUGAAAAGGUUUGGCAUGGAGGACUCAAAGCAAGUUGGAACUCCAAUGUGCACUUCUACAAAGCUUGACAAAGAUGAAGAAGGUAAUCAUGUGGAUGAAAAGCACUAUAGAGGUAUGAUCGGAAGCCUACUCUAUUUAACCGCAAGUAGACCUGAUAUUAUGUUUGCUGUUUGCUUGUGUGCUAGAUUUCAAUCUUGUCCAAAAGAAUCCCAUUUGAAUGCUGUAAAAAGGAUUUUUAGGUAUUUGAAAGGUACAUUAGACUAUGGUCUUUGGUAUGCUAGAUCUAGUAAGUUUGCAUUAUAUGGUUAUUCGGAUGCUGAUUUUGGAGGAUGUCGUGUGGAUAGAAAGAGUACUAGUGGAACUUGUCACUUUCUUGGUAAUUGUUUAGUCUCUUGGUUUAGCAAGAAACAAAAUGCAAUCUCUUUGUCUACAACCGAAGCGGAAUAUAUUGCCGCUAGUGCAUGUUGUGCUCAACUUUUAUGGAUGAAGCAUACCCUGAAUGACUAUGGAUUGUUGUAUGACUGCAUGCCUGUGUUCUGUGAUAAUACUAGUGUUAUAAAUUUGACCAAAAAUCCUAUUCAGCAUUCUAGGACAAAGCAUAUAGAUAUAAAGCACCAUUUUAUUCGUGAUCUUGUUCAAAAAGGUGAAAUUUGUGUAAAUUAUGUUUGUUCUAAAGAUCAAUUUGCUGAUAUUUUUACAAAAACCUUGCCAUUAGAUCAAUUCAUUCAUCUAAGAUCAAAAUUGGGAAUAAUUGAAAAAUCAGCUUAAAAUUUUCUUUCGGACGUCCGAAAGAGGAUGAACGGACGUCCGAUGAUGUUCUUCAGCCAUUUUCUAGAUUGCGCCUGUUCGGACGCAGCUGUCGGACGCAGAAAUUCGUUCGGCACUCCGACAGUGCAACAGAUCAAUUUUUUAAACAACUUUCUUUCUCAUUUGCUUCAGACUCUUCCUAUUCUAUUUCCUCUCGGACGAAAACUCUCUCUUCCCUCACUCUCAAAUUCGUACCAUUUUGAAGCUCUCAUUCUCAAAUUGACUCAAACAAAACUUUUUCUGACUGAUUGUGAUUCAUUUCUCCUGAUCAUUUCACCGAAUCGCAUAACAUUUCACAAAUUCCCAAAUUUCCCUCAAAACCCUACUCUUUCAUAACUGCUCUGACAACUCUUGAUCAAGGCCUUUUUGUCCCAAAAUUUCUAUGCGAUUCACUUCCCUACUGCUGUGUGCAUCAUUUGCAUCCUUCAUUCCAUACAUUUCGCACAAUGGUGAAUCUAAGAUGAGGAAAGGUUACUGCCGGACGCAAGCAUCCACUCAGGGAUGAGGAUGAGGAUCUUCCUACUGUCAAACGGACAUCCAAAUGCUUCAAAAGGGGAGCUAUCAAGGGUCAAAUGUCACGGCCUACACCACAACCCUCCUCUCAGCCUGAAUCUGGACAGGGAACAUCUUCUCAACCGCCUCCAAAAUCAGCCCUUCCCCCUACAUUCUUUGAUGAUACAGCAAGAGACAAACACUCCUUGAUAUCCCAGAAAGGUGUCAUCCCUCAACGCACUGUAAACCCUUCUGAAUUUCGUCUCAUAGGUUUAGAACCCAUUCUGAAGUUGUUUGCUUUUCAGAAAUGGUCGCAUAUCAUUUCUAUGCCAAAUGUUUACUAUCCUGAACUGCUGCAUCAAUUUUUUGCUAAUCUUAGGAAAGGCUCUGACCAAACUGAAAUCUUUUCCAGGGUUAACGGGGUAGAUUUAAUCUUUGACUCUGAAAUUGUGAAUUCCAUUUUAAAUACUACCAUUGAACGUGGGUGCAAGGAUAAAAUUGUAAAUUUCUUUUCCUAUGAAGAGCACCCUAAUGCUGAUAAUCAUUUUGAUGGGGCUAAAAUGUUGACCUAUUUUAAAAGAAGUUUUUCCUCCCCUGCUGAUGCUAAACUGAAUGAUCUUACCCCUGUGAAUUUAAUUAUUUUUCUAUCAUUUCAAACCUGCUUGUGCCUACUGAUGGCCAUAGAACUGAUGCAAACAAAAUGGAGUUGUACCUCUUUUAUUGUUUUCGAGAAAAAAUUCGGAUUGAUUUUGGUUUUGUCAUGUGCAAGUUUUUACUUCGCUAUACCACUGACUCUCGCAGAAAACUAUCCUAUGGAAAGUUUCUUCAAAAGAUUUUUGAGUUUUUCAAAGUUCCAAUUUUAGGUGUUUGUCCCAAAGAAGAAGCAUCUUCUUAUGCCUUUACCAAAGGAUAUUUUGAAAGGAAAAAUCUUGUUUUUAAAGAUAAUAUGUGGUCUUAUAAGGAGGCAUCGUCCAGUGAACAUAGGUCUAAGGCUGCACAUGAUCCUUCAUCUAUUCCACUCACUCCCAUUCAUCCUAGGAAAUCUGCCACUAAGGCAUCUUCCUCCUCCAAUGAUGGAGUGAUUGAGUUUCUUCAUGAACUCAAACAGCAUGUUCUUCUUCUAGAACAUGGCCUAAUGCUCACCAUGUCCUCUGAGCAACAAACUGCCUUUCUAGACAAAAAGAACCUUCUUUUUUCCCCACCUGUGGUUGAGGAAGUCUCACAUGACAAAGAACCUCGAACCACUGAUCCAGGUUCAUCAGUUCCAGAUCCGAAUUCAUCAACUCUUGUGACUCCUCAUGGCCCUUCCACAUCAGACAAAGGCAAGGCACCAAUUGAAGAAACUGCUGAAGAUGAUGAAGAAACUAAUGAGGAAGACCUCUCUCAAUAUCAGCUCUCUCGAAGAUCACCUGGAUCCACAUAGUUCACUACUUAGGACAUUUGCAUUCUGUUUGUCUAUUUUAUGUGUUUGUAAUGUUCAACAUUUGUAAUGUUUUUCUUGUUGGUACUGUAUGUUUAUGUUAAGUAUUUUGAAUGAUGACUGUGUUUAUGGAUGUUUAAGUAUUUUGGUGCAAUGAAUUUGGUUUUCAUUGAUGAAUGUGUUUGUGGAUGUGUUGAUGUGAUUGGUUGCCCUUUUGUGAUGACAAAAAGGGGGAGAGGACUGGAUUGAUUGAUGAUUGAUGAUUGGUGUUGAUUGAUGAUUGAUGAUUGGUGAUGUUGGAUAUGUUGGAUUGAUUAUUUAAAUUUGGAUUGGCUGAUAUGCUUAAUUGUCAUAUUUUUGGAAAAUUGUUUAACUCGGAUGGGCAGCCAAGUGAGGGGGAGUUUUUCAAAAUUUUCAAAAUUUUAUGAUUCACUAAAUAAGGGGGAGUUCUUGAGAAAGGGGGAGCUUAUACUGCAAUCAUCAAAUUUCAUUUCAAACUUUUGUUUUGUCAUCAUCAAAAAGGGGGAGAAUGUUAUUCUUGGUUUUGAUGAUCACAAAAGUUCGUUGAAAUGUCUAUACAGACCAAGAAAGUGAACACUUUGAUCAGGCCUGAUGGAACAAGGAAAGCAUAUGUUUGAUUGACUCCAGUCUACGAUGCUUUGGAUGUGGCAAACAAGAUUGGAAUAAUAUAAACAAAUUUAGUUAUUGUUUUGUUCCGAUCAAAGAUACAGUCUUUUAAGUGUGACAAUUUUGUUAUAAUGAUCACAAAAUACUUUGAAUUGUUUAUCUAAAUUUCUUCAAAUAUAAGUGUUGUUGCUUACCAAAGAAUCAGGUACGAAUAUGACAUGAGAUGCAAAUCAACCAAAAGAAGAAGCAAAAACAGGACACUCAUGUCGGACGGCCGAAAGGAAUCUGUCGGACGUCCGAAAGGAUAAAGAACAUCAAGAAGGAAACUCUGUCGGACGCUCAUAAGGAAGCAUCGGAUGCACACCUCGGACGCAUAUCAACCGCAUCGGACGUUCGAAAAAUUCCAAGAUGACAUGCCAACUCUCUGCCUACGAUCGGACGCUGUGCUGUCGGACGAUAAAGACGCAUCGGACGUCCGAACUUCAACUUGACUGUUUUCGGACGAUUGGUUCGGACGAUGAUUUGGCCGUCGGACGUCCGAAAGCCCCAACGGCUAGCUGACCCUUCAUCUGCCUUCUAUCCGUUGGAAGCUUUAAUGAAGCCCAUUUCUGUUCCCCUUUAAAAACAAACUGUUCUGAACGAAGGAAGGACUUUUGCACACUUGGUUUACAAGAUUUCAAGAGAUAUUUUAGCUAGAAAAUAGUCUCCAAAGUUAGAUUUGUUCUCUAAGUGGUGUGAAUUUCUGGUGAGCUUUUCUCUUGUGGUUGAAAGUUUCAUUAGUGUAGCUUUGUUGAGGGUUAUCUGAGUGUUUGUAAAACUUCUUAACUUGACUAAGUGAGGCUUAGGGCAAGGAGGAAGUGCUCCCUCCAUUGUACAUCUAGUUGAUCAUCUUUCAUCAAAGAGAAGUUGCUCAACCUUGUGAUUGGUCUUCAAGUUUGAGGAGAGCUUGGUAGACAAUUGGUUUGAUUUCCUAUUUUACUUUUUGUUUAAUAAAAUUCUCAUUGCUUAUCUAUACUUGUUUCUUCUGAUCAAUAUUGCUCUUGUCUUCUAAUCUACUUGGUUGAUCAUUACUAGAAAAGAAGGUAAAUUUUUAUUAAAGAAAAAGUGCAUAAAUUUGGUUAAGAUUUUAAUCAACCCAAUUCACCCCCCCUCUUGGUUGUCUUUGGGACUUACAAACAAAAUGGAGUUGUAGAAAGAAAAAAUAGAACUCUCCAAGAGGCUGCUAGAAUCAUGCUUAGUGAAUGCAAUUUACCAAAAUAUUUUUGGGUUGAAGCCAUAAACACAGCCUGUUAUACCAUGAAUAGAGUUCUUCUAAGAUCAAUUUUGAACAAAACUUCCUAUGAGCUCAUGUAUGACAAAAAGCCUGUUGUCAGCUACUUCAAAGUAUUUGGUUGUAAAUGUUUCAUUUUGAACAUCAAGGAACAUCUUGGAAAGUUUGACAAGAAAUCUGAUGAAGGAAUUUCUUGGGUUAUUGUGAAAACAAAAGAGGUUUCAGAGUUUAUAAUCGUAGAACAUUGAUUAUAGAGGAGGCUAUACACAUUACUUUUGAUGAAUCUAAUGGUGACAUUUCUAUGAGUUGUGGUGAAGAUGAUGACACAGGUGUUCAAGAAGGACUAAAGAAGCUAGCAAUCAAUGACCAUGACUCUGUCUCACCAGAAACUGAUUCAAAGGAUAAUGAUGCUCAGGUCAGUCCUGUUGAAGAAGUGAAUAAUGGAGACACCACUACUUCUAAUGAUCUUCCAAGAGUCUGGAAAUUCGCUCAUAAUCAUCCCAGGGAGCUUAUAAUUGGUGAUCCUUCUGAAAAGGUCAGAACUCGUUCCUCUAGACACUUGAUAGAUAAUCUUGCUUUUAUAUCACAUAUUGAACCUAAAAACGUUGUUGAUGCUUUGAAUGAUGAGCACUGGAUUUUAGCUAUGAAAGAAGAGUUAAUCCAAUUUGAAAGAAACAAAGUUUGGACUCUGGUUGUCAGACCACAAGGCCAUCCUAUCAUUGGCACAAAAUGGAUUUUUAGAAACAAAUUGAAUGAUAAAGGGGAGAUUGUUAGAAAUAAGGCUAGACUGGUGGCUAAGGGAUACACUCAAGAAGAGGGAAUAGACUUUGAUGAGUCUUUUGCACCAGUAGCCAGGCUGGAAUCCAUAAGAAUGUUUUUAGCAUUUGCAUGUUUCAAGAAUUUUAAAUUAUUUCAAAUGGAUGUUAAGAGUGCCUUCUUAAAUGGAUUUAUAGAUCAAGAAGUCUAUGUUGAUCAACCUCCUGGUUUUGAAAAUGAAUCUUAUCCAGAUCACGUGUUUAAACUCUCAAAAGCUUUAUAUGGAUUAAAGCAAGCUCCUAGAGUAUGGUAUGAACGUCUGAGUGGAUUUCUGAUUGAAAAUGGUUUUAAAAGAGGCAUUGUAGACACUACAUUUUUUACAAAACAGAGCUCACAAGAUCUUUUGAUUGUGCAAAUAUAUGUGGAUGAUAUCAUAUUUGGUGCUACUAAUGAAAAAUUGUGCAAGGACUUUUCCACCAUCAUGCAAAAAGAAUUUGAAAUGAGCAUGAUAGGACAACUGAAUUUCUUCCUUGGACUCCAAGUGAUUCAAAACCAAGAUGGAACGUUUAUAAAUCAAACAAAAUACACCAAGGAGUUGCUAAAAAAUUUCGGAAUGGAGGAUUCAAAGCCUGUUGGGACACCUAUGUGCACAUCUACCAAACUAGACAAAGAUGAGGAAGGUACAAAAGUUGAAGAGAAGAAGUACAGAGGUAUGAUUGGAAGUUUACUUUAUUUAACUGCUAGUAGGCCUGACAUCAUGUUUGCUGUGUGUUUAUGUGCUCGAUUUCAAUCCUGUCCAAAGGAAUCACACUUGAAUGCAGUAAAAAGAAUCUUGAGAUAUCUUAAAGGAACCUUAAAUUUUGGCUUGUGGUAUCCAAAAUGUCAUGAAUUUCCUUUGUGUGGAUUCUCUGAUGCUGACUUUGGUGGUUGUAAAAUAGAUAGAAAGAGUACUACUGGUAUAUGCAACUUUCUUGGAAAUUGCUUGGUCUCUUGGUUUAGUAAAAAACAAAAUGCUAUCUCACUGUCCACUACUGAAGCUGAAUAUGUUGCUGCUGGUGCUUGCUGUGCUCAAUUGUUAUGGAUGAAAAACACAUUGAAUGACUUCGGUUUAGUAUAUGAAUGUGUACCUAUGUACUGUGACAACACUAGUGCAAUUAAUCUAACAAAAAAUCCCAUUCAACACUCUAGGACUAAGCACAUUGAUAUAAAGCAUCAUUUCAUUCGCGAUCUUGUCUCAAAAGGGAUAAUCCGUGUUGAGUUUGUUUGUUCUAAAGAACAGAUCGCUGAUAUCCUCACAAAAGCUCUUCCGCUAGAUCAAUUUGUGUCUUUGAGGACUAAAUUGGGUGUUUCAAAAAAAAUGUUCUGAGUCUUAUCUUUAUCGGACGUCCGAUGAAUUGGAACGGACGUCCGACAGUGUUCUUCAUCCAAGGUCCAGAAAAUCUCUGGCUCGGACGAUUGUGUCGGAUGCAUCACUUCGUUCGGACGUCCGACACUCAAAAAUGUGUCCUAUAAGGCAGUUACCCACUCUUCUCAAUUCAUUUUCCUUCAUAAGUCUCGGACGCGACCUUUCAGUUUCUCUAAAAUUUGAAAUUCAAAUUUCUCUCUCCUCAAACCAAGUUCCGAGAAAUUGACUCAACCAACUCCAUUACACCUCUCUUGCUCAUUAACCAUUCAUAAAAGGCAUUCCUAACACCUAACUGCCCCAAAAUUUCCAAUUUACAUACGAAACCCUAACCUCACAUAACCCUCUCCCUACGGCAUCAUAGUGCACUCUUGUUAGCUCUUACUGUUUUUUCCUUCUAUACACAACAUUCUGCAUUAAAAAUCAUAUCCACAUUGCAUCAUGGUUAGAAUGAGGGGAGGAUCUACUAGUGCCGGACGGUCCUUUAAGCUGAGGGAUGAAGACAUUGAAAUUGUUGAUCCACCUCCUGUGGCACCAAAAAGAAAGAAAGUGACUCGUAGUGAUGUAGAUACGGGUGCGCAACAACUUCAACCUUGGGUCAAGGACAACAUUGACGGUCCGAUGACAAGAUCAAGAUCCAAGAAGGUGGAGGAAGCUUUAAGAGCUUUGAUUAUUCACCAUACAAGCAAGGAGCGGGCUAAGUUUGAAGAAUUGAUGGACCAUGAAGUUACCUUGCUCACUUGUACAUUUGAAGUGCAAGAAUGAUCUCCUACUUGGUAGAUUAGUUAGUAGUUGUUUUAAGACUGUCUAGUUUAGUAGUUGUUAGGCGUUGAGUAUUUUAUUACUUAUUGGGCCUUAUCGGAAAGCCUUAAAGAGCUGGCUCUUUAAACUCUUUAUGCGGACCGAAUUUAUUCCAGGUUUAUGUGGGCCAGAUUUUGCCCUAGUUUUAGCCUAUAAAAAGGCACCUCUUGUAUGAGUAAAAGGGGAGAAUAUUUUACAACCAGAAAUCGUGAGGAAUUUUCCUUCAAGUUCUUAAUCGAACUUACUCUUGAAUUCUUGAGUUUAUGACUUAGGAUUCAAAUCUGACUUUAUCGAUUAGUUUGUUCCCUAAUCGUGGUGUCUCUUCAUCUAUCUUUAUUUGCUUAAGGUUGCUGAAUGCCUUUGUGUGUCAGAGGUCUUGAGUUCAUGAGAACAAUCGAGUUCAAUUUCCAUUGGGAGAAACGAUCCAACUCUGAUAAUUACAAGGUUGGGAGGUUCUAGGAGGGUCUUCCCCUAGGGUUGCUCAUCAGUUGGUAAUCAGAGCAUCAGGUUAAUUCUCUUUCAAUUGAAAUUGUUCAUAUCUUAUUAGUUUGUGUCUUUUGUCCAAAAAAAAAAAAAACUGUAGCGAUUACUGUUCAUCAUACUGUUCCGAAAUACUGUUCAUCGUUACUGUAGCGCACUGUUCACGUUACUGUUCAUCCGAGAGAAAAAAAAACUAUUUGGGUAUUGUCUUUUUGUGCUUUCUGUCCAACUUUUGUUCUUGAGUCUGUUAUACUUUUGUUUGGGUUGUUAGGGUUUAAAGACAAAAAAAAAAAAAAAAAAAAGAGUCACGUACCUUAUAUUGUUUUUUAGUGUCCAAGUUGCUAGAGUAUUGCUGGAAUUUUUCUUUUGAGUAUUGCUGAAAUUCUGUUUUGCCUAUUUCUUGAGUAUUGGUUGUUGUUCUUGCAAAUCCUAAACACCACAACGUAAUUUGGGGAAGUUCUUGAGCUUCUUGAACAAAUUUUUGAAGUUCUUGGACCACCAAGUCUUGUUUGAAAAUUCUUGAACAAUAAAUCAAGAACCAGGGCCUUCUUGAAAUUUGCAUAACCUUUCAUCCGUUUUCUUGAACUUGUUGGUGUGAUCUGAAUUUGUAUUCCUCGAAGAGCCGAAAAAAAAAGAAGAAAAAAAAAAGAAAAAAAAAGGAAGAAGAGAAGGAAUUGGCUCUCACACAAAGGAAAUCAAGUUCCCCAAAUCUUGAGUUUCCCAUUCUUGAUUGGUCUCCAAUUCUUGAUUAGUCUCCAAAUCUUGAUUGGUUUUCCAAAAAAAAAAAAAAAAAAACUUGAGUCUCCAAAUUUUGUUUGGUUUCCAAUUCUUGAGUCUCCAACCUUAAUUGAAUUCCAACAACCCCAAACAACCUAACCAGCCCCAAACACCCCCAAAUCAGUUUCCAAAACCAAACCUAAACCGCCACAAACACCAUUUACCAUCCAAAUACUGGCCAGAAACUCAGCAAAAACAUCCGCUCAAAAAAAAAAAAAGAGGUUCUAGCUUCGGGUAGUGUUUCUAGGAUUUACAAAAUUCUGCUUUGUGUCUUUUUACUUGCUUAUAGGGUAAUUAAUUCUGGAAUUUUUGUGAGUUUGAGUUGUUUUAAGAACUUUGAGAAGGAAAAUUGAGAGUGAGUGUGUUUCCUUGAGUGAUACACGAGUGCUUUGCAAGGUAGACUAGGAUACACUUGUUUUGCAGGUUUGACAAUAUGUCUCAAGAGGGGAACAUGCCUGAGCCCUCUGAAACCGACGUGUCACUCAAACUGGUGCUCCAAGCUCUUCAAAAACAAGUGGAGAGACAAGAAUUUGUGACGACACAACUAUCCGACAGGUUGGCUGCCAUUGAGAUACGAGGUACUGGAGAUAUUCCCAAUAGGGCUUCAAGUGCUCAGAGUGUUGAGCAUGAUGCAGAUGAUGAGGGGUAUCAUUCUAACACCUCAUUUCGAUCAAGGAAAAGCCACAGGGAAGCGAGGGAAGGUCGAGACCGACCUAGGAGAACCGAUGACAAUCUUGGUUCCAUCAAGACUAAGAUGCCUACCUUUCAUGGCAAAAAUGAUCCUGAAGCUUACUUGGAUUGGGUUAGGCGAGUUGAGCAAGUGUUUGAAGUCCACAACUACUCUGAAGAGAAAAAGGUGAAACUUGCGGCUAUUGAAUUUGAAGAUUAUGCAUCCAUUUGGUGGGAGCAAGUAUGUGCCAUAAGAAGGAGAAAUAGGGAACCACCAAUUGACACUUGGGCUGAAAUGAAGCAAGUGAUGAGGAAACGAUUUGUACCCUUCCAUUAUACCACGGACUUGUACAAUCGGCUCCAACGACUCACUCAAGGUUCUAAUUCGGUUGAUGAGUACCACAAACAAAUGGAAAUAGCGAUGAUAAGGGCCAAUGUCCAAGAGGAUCCGGAAGCAACCAUGGCGAGGUUCCUUAAUGGAUUAAAUCCUGAAAUUAGGAAGAAGGUUGAGCUUCAAGACCACUUUGAACUUCAACAAAUGGUGUCUUAUGCAGAGAAGGUGGAAAAGCAAGCCUUACCUCUAAAGACACCUAGUGGCCGAACCACUACAUCUUCUUCCACCCCUUGGAAAAGAAAUCAAUUGCCAACAUCCAGUGCUUGGCCAAGGCAAGGUAAUAGAGAGAGGGAAAACAAGCGGAUGGAACAACCGUCCCAUCCGAGUGCAACUUCUUCUAAACCAACCCCGCGGCCGACUCUUCCAGGAGCAAAUACAUCUACCAACCAGCCAAAGGCAUGUUUCAAAUGCAAGGGAAUUGGCCACCUCAUGGCUCAAUGCCCUAACCGAAGCAUCAUGUAUAUGAAUGAAGAGGGAAUGUGGCAAAGCGAAGGAGAGGAGGAAUAUGCGGACAUGCCACCGCUUGAAAAAGAGGGGAAGGAUGAUGACCUGGUUGAAAUAAAAGAGGACCCCGUGGCUCGAACUAUGGUGACUAUGAGAGUGCUAAAUGCACAAGCUCAAGAAGAUGAUCUCCAACGGACCAACAUUUUUCAUACAAGAUGCAAAAUUGGAGAUGAGGUAUGUCUCAUGAUCAUUGAUAGUGGCUCUUGUACUAAUUGCGUAGCUGCUGACUUUGUUGAGCAAAAACACCUUCCAUGGACUUACCACUCUAAACCCUAUAGACUAUCUUGGUUAAAUGAUGGAGGGGAAGUCAAGGUGACCAAACAAGCUUUAAUCGCUUUUUCUAUUGGUCGGUACAAGGACCAAGUUUUAUGUGAUGUAAUUCCUAUGCAAGCUAGUCAUAUCUUGUUGGGACGUCCUUGGGAGUAUGAUAGACAGGCUGAUCACAUUGGACUUACCAAUAAAUAUAAGUUCAUUAUGGACAACCUCAAAAUCACUCUUUCACCAUUGACACCUACACAAGUGUGAAGAACAAUUACAUUUAAGAAAAGAGAGAGAGAAAAGGCAACCGAAAGAAACAAAGAAAAAGCCGAAUGAGAGAGAGAAUGAGGGGAAAAAGAAAGUAGAGGCCGAGUUGAGUGAAAAAGGAAAUUCGAGUGGAAAAAAACUCAGUGAGGCCGAGAGCUUGAAAGUGAAAAAAAGAAAUUUCUAUGCAAGUGUGCGUGAGGUAGAUAUGGUUUUGAAUGCACAAAGUCUUCUCGUAGUACUUCUGUACAGGGAAGCUGAUUAUUCUUCUUUUUACACACUAGGCAUAACCGAUUCUCUUCCUAAUGCAAUCUACUCUCUUUUGCAGGAAUUCAAGGAUGUGUUUCCGGAGGAACUACCGAAAGGAUUACUUCCAAUUCGAGGUAUUGAACAUCAAAUCGACUUUGUUCCUGGAGCAAUUCUACCAAAUCGACCAGCCUAUAGAGCAAAUCCGGAGGAAACAAAGGAAAUCCAAAGGCAAGUCGAUUCCCUCCUUGAAAAGAACCAGGUUCGUGAAUCUCUUAGUCCUUGUGCAAUUCCCGUUAUUUUAGUAACUAAGAAAGAAUGGACUUUGAGAAUGUGUACAGAUUGUCGUGCAAUUAACAAAAUUACUGUUAAGUAUCGUCAUCUCAUUCCUAAGCUAGACGAUAUGUUAGAAGAAUUGCAUGGAGCAAUCAUUUUCACUAAAAUUGACUUAAGAUCUGGUUAUCAUCAAAUAAGGAUAAAGGAAGGUGACGAAUGAAAAACUGCUUUCAAAACGAAGUAUGGUCUUUAUGAGUGGCUUGUGAUGCCUUUCGGCUUAACAAACGCUCCAAGUACUUUCAUGAGAUUAAUGAACCAUGUUUUAAGGCAUUUUCUUGGAAAGUUCGUUGUUGUUUAUUUUGAUGAUAUAUUGAUCUUUAGCAAGUCUUUAGAAGAGCAUGUUGAGCAUUUGCGACUUGUUUUAAGUGCCUUGCGUGAAAAUAGGUUAUUUGCUAACUUGGAAAAAUGUGUCUUUUGCGCUCCUGAGGUUAACUUUCUUGGUUAUAUUAUUGGUGCAAAUGGCAUAAGUGUUGAUCCCACCAAGGUAAAGGCUAUCAUGGAGUGGCCGACUCCAACCAAUGUGUCUCAGGUAAGGUCUUUUCAUGGUCUUGCAAGCUUCUAUAGGAGAUUUGUUAAAGACUUUAGCACUAUUGCAGCACCUUUGAAUGAGAUAGUUAAAAAGAAUGUGGGGUUUCAAUGGGGAAAAGAGCAAGAAGAGUCGUUUAAUAAGCUUAAAAAUUUGUUAACUUCAGCACCUAUUCUUGCUUUGCCUAAUUUUGAUUUGAUGUUUGAAGUUGAAUGUGAUGCUAGUGGGAUUGGCAUUGGGGCUGUCUUACAUCAAAAUAAUAGGUCCUUGGCAUAUUUUAGUGAGAAGUUGAGUGGGGGAGCUCUCAAUUACCCUACUUAUGAUAAAGAAUUGUAUGCUGUUGUGCGUGCUCUUGAAGUGUGGCAGCAUUAUCUUAUGCCUAAGGAAUUUGUGAUACAUACUGAUCAUGAAUCAAUUAAAUUCCUUAAGGGGCAGGGUAAGUUGCAUAAAAGACAUGCGAAAUGGAUUGCAUUUAUUGAUUCCUUUCCAUAUAUCAUUAAGUAUAAGAAGGGAAAAGAUAACGUCGUUGCGGAUGCAUUGUCUAGAAGGUAUAUUUUGAUCACUAACCUGAGCACUAAGUUACUUGGUUUUGAGCACAUUAAAGACUUGUAUGCACAUGAUGCUGAUUUUUCUAAUGUGUUUCAAGCUUGUGAACAUGCUGCAUUUCAAAAGUUUUAUAGGCAUGAAGGCUUCUUGUUCAAAGAAAAUCGCCUAUGUAUUCCCAACUGUUCACUUAGGAAAUUACUUGUUAGAGAAGCCCAUGGCGGAGGGUUGAUGGGGCAUUUCGGUAUUGAUAAAACUCUUGACAUUUUGCAUGAGCAUUUCUAUUGGCCUAAAAUGAGGCGUGACAUUGCUAACAUUUGUGAUACGUGUUUAAAGUGUAAGCAGGCAAAGUCAAGGAGUAACCCUCAUGGAUUGUAUACUCCUCUACCCGUACCUCAUGCUCCUUGGACAGACAUAUCCAUGGAUUUUGUGCUUGGAUUACCAAGAUCUUCUACAGGUAUGGAUAGUAUCUUUGUUGUAGUGGAUAGAUUUUCUAAAAUGGCUCAUUUUAUCCCUUGUAGGAAAACAAAUGAUGCGCGCCAUGUUGCUAAUUUAUUCUUCAAGGAUGUGGUUAGAUUGCAUGGAGUACCGCGUACUAUUGUAAGUGAUAGGGAUGUGAAAUUCUUAAGCUAUUUCUGAAAAUCACUUUGGGGAAAGUUGGGAACUAAGUUGCUGUUUUCUACUUCUAGUUAUCCCCAAACGGAUGGUCAGACUGAGGUAACCAAUCGAACCCUUGGUGCUCUACUUCGAGCCAUUGUUCAAAAGAACUUGAAGAAGUGGGAAGAAUGUUUGCCUAUUGCCGAGUUUGCAUAUAACCGAACCACUCAUUCUACUACCAAUCAUUCCCCUUUUGAAAUUGUUUAUGGGAUUCAGCCGCUAACCCCUCUAGAUUUGUCACCUAUUCCUGUUAAUGAGUGUUUAAGCGCAGAUGGUAUCAAAAAGGCAGAAACUGUUCGGACCUUGCAUGAGAGAGUUCGAGUUCAAAUUGAGAAGAAAAAUGCGCAAUAUGCACAACAUGCAAAUAAGGGUAGAAAACAUGUUGUAUUCGAACCCGGUGAUUGGGUUUGGGUGCACAUGAGGAAGGAAAGGUUUCCAGCAUCUCGACGGACCAAGUUACAUCCAAAAGGCGACGGACCUUUUCGAGUACUAGAGAAGAUCAACGACAAUGCAUACAAAUUGGAACUUCCAAGUGAGUAUGGCAUAAGCGCAUCUUUUAAUGUAUUUGACCUAUCUCCUUUUGACUUUGAUACAGACUUUGAAGAUUCGAGGACGAAUCCUUUCGAGGAGGGAGAGAAUGAUGCAGAUACGGGUGCGCAACAACUUCAACCUUGGGUCAAGGACAACAUUGACGGUCCGAUGACAAGAUCAAGAUCCAAGAAAGUGAAGGAAGCUUUAAGAGCUUUGAUUAUUCACCAUACAAGCAAGGAGCGGGCUAAGUUUGAAGAAUUGAUGGACCAUGAAGUUACCUUGCUCACUUGUACAUUUGAAGUGCAAGAAUGAUCUCCUACUUGGUAGAUUAGUUAGUAGUUGUUUUAAGACUGUCUAGUUUAGUAGUUGUUAGGCGUUGAGUAUUUUAUACUUAUUGGGCCUUAUCGGAAAGCCUUAAAGAGCUGGCUCUUUAAACUCUUUAUGCGGACCGAAUUUAUUCCAGGUUUAUGUGGGCCGGAUUUUGCCCUAGUUUUAGCCUAUAAAAAGGCACCUCUUGUAUGAGUAAAAGGGGAGAAUAUUUUACAACCAGAAAUCGUGAGGAAUUUUCCUUCAAGUUCUUAAUCGAACUUACUCUUGAAUUCUUGAGUUUAUGGCUUAGGAUUCAAAUCUGACUUUAUCGAUUAGUUUGUUCCCUAAUCGUGGUGUCUCUUCAUCCAUCUUUAUUUGCUUAAGGUUGCUGAAUGCCUUUGUGUGUCAGAGAUCUUGAGUUCAUGAGAACAAUCGAAUUCAAUUUCCAUUGGGAGAAACGAUCCAACUCUGAUAAUUACAAGGUUAGGAGGUUCUAGGAGGGUCUUCCCCUAGGGUUGCUCAUCACGUAGUGGCAAAGUGAAGGAGACUGCCCAAAGAAAAUUAGUUACUCCAUCUCCUGAAUCAUCUGAUGAACAAAUGGAAGGGCAGAUCUCUGAAGGGAACAUUGCUGGUGGAAAUGAGGAACCAGAGCAGGCUACCCAAGGUGAUGAAACUGUCACACGGUCUUCCAGUAAAAGAAAAAGGACUGCAAAGGGGAAGAAAAAGCAAUCUGCUGAUCCCUCUGUUGAUCAGCAGAAUGAAGAAAACAUCACUGAGAGUCAGCCAACACCUGAACCCUCCAUCAGGAAGUCUCCAAGGAUAAGGACUGAGACUCAAAAUGUUGGUGCAUCUGUCACUCAAACCUCUAAAGGGACACGUUCUGGAACGAAUCCAGUAUCUCAGCCUGCACCUGAACCCCUUCCUCUACCAAAGUUCAUCGAUGAUGAAGCCAGAGACAGAUUUGAGUUAGUCUCUCAAAAAGGGUUCAUCACCCAAAGGCUCAUAAUUCCUUUUGAAUUUCGUAAGCUUGAUCUUGAACCUGUCAUCAAACUCUUUGAAUUCCAGAAAUGGACUCAUCUUUUGACCAUUCCUAAUGUUUUCUAUCCUGACAUGCUGUAUCAAUUUUUUGCUAAUCUUAGAAAGGGUACAUCACACACUGAACUCAUCUCUAGGGUCAACUCUGUAGACAUCAUGUUAACUCCUGACAUUGUGAAUUCUAUUAUGAAAACUAGUAUUGAACCUGGUUUUAAGGGAAAAAUUGCAAAUUUCUUUUCGUAUGAGGAAUUCCCUUCUGCCUAUCAUCACUUUUAUAAUGCUAAACUCAUGACUUAUUUUCAAACCAAAUUCAAUACCCCUGCUGAGGCAAGAUUGGAUGAUCUCAAUCCUCAAAAUCUGAUCAUCUUCACCAUCAUUUCGAAUCUGUUGGUGCCAACUGAUGGCCACAGAACAGAUGCAAACAAAAUGGAACUCUAUCUUUUCUACUGUUUUGUUGAAAAAAUCCGCAUUGAUUUUGGAUUUGUAAUGUGCAAAUUUCUGCUCAAAAUCAGCACUGAUAGUCGUACGAACCUUUCCUAUGGCAGAUUUCUGACCCCCAUUUUUGCUCAUUUUGACAUACCAUUUUCUGGCAAAUCUCCAAAAGACAGUGCUUCUUCAGUUUUCUCCAAAGCUUAUUUUGAAAGAAAGAACCUAAAAUUUUUUGAUGGGCAUUGGUGCUACAAAGAGACUGUGGCCGAGUCUAGAAGAAAAAAUUUGCAUGAAACCCCUGCCAUUCCUAGAACUCCCCAUGAUCAGUCAGGGUAUGUUUCUCCUUUCACCAUUCAUUCUAGAAAGUCUGCUAGUAAGUCCUUCUCUUCCAACUCUGAGGUCAUCUCCUUGCUUGAAGACCUCAAACAGCAUGUUAUGCUUCUUGAAGAUGGUCUCAUGAUGACCAUGACCUCUGCUCAACAAUCCUCUUUCCUUGAAAAAAGGAAUCUUCUUGUGCCCCCUAUACCUGAGACAAAUGAGACUGCUCAUCAGAAAGAACCAAGAUCUGAGCCCACAAGGCCAACUACUGGUAAUGAGACCACACCAGCUUCCAGUUCUCAGCCCAAGGAUAAAGGCAAGGCUCCAGUAACUGAGGACGCAUUUGAAGAUGAUGAUGAAGAAACUGAGGAAGAAGAGAACCCUGAACAGUACCGUCUGACCAGGAGGAGGCCUGGAUCAUCUAAAAUCACCAUCUAGGCACUACUAGGUCACUGCACCUAAAUCUAAGACUAUAGUUCAUCUUUUGCAUUACACUUUUGUACUAAGUGUUGAACACCUGGUCUGUGCAACUGGAUAUUUUCUACUCUUUAUGAAUGUUUUAACUAAGUGCUUGUUAUGAAUGCUUUGAAUGGAUGUUAUGAUUGGUUAUAUGUUUUUGAAAUCUGCUCAAUGAAUGAAUGUUUCUAUUUAACAUCUGCUACAUGAUUGAGUCCAAACUGAUAAUGUUUCUGAUGGGACGUACUGCUGGUUCCAAAACUGAUACUCAAUCUUGUGAUGACAAAAAGGGGGAGAAUUGGAAUUGGAUUUGGUUUAACACUGAUAGUAUAGAGUAACUAGUUAGGGGGAGACAGUCUCAGGGGGAGUUGUGCUGGAUCAGCACUGAUGAUGUGGAUUGCGCUUCUUCUGAUAUACUACUCAUGCACUUUGUUAGGGGGAGCUGUUAUAUUUUGUGCUCUAUCCAAUUGUUUUGUCAUCAUCAAAAAGGGGGAGAUUGUUUAUCUCAAUUCAUAUCUUUUGAUGAUUACAAAACAAUUGGAUGUUUCUAAUACCUUUUGUAGAGAUCCUUUUCAGAAAUGAACCAAACAGGUCUGUGGAUUUAAAGCAGAAAAAGAAGAUCAAAGAAGAAUGAAGUCUGCUGAGGAUGAUGUCGGACGCACAAAAGGAGGGUAUCGGACGUCCGACAUUCUUUGAGUAUCUUCAGACGAGUAAAGAACUCAGACUCGGACGUCCGAAGAAGACAAGCCAGGAGUUACUCGAUUACUGAUCAGGUUCGGACGCUCAACACCUGUGUAUCGAACGUCCGACAAGCGUUGCUGCUCUUCGGACGCAACACUCUGGACGCAUCGGCCGUCCGAAGGAAUUGAAGAAGAAAGUCCAAGUAUUCAUCCUACCCUCGGACGCAUGAUCGGACGUCCUAAGGGAUUCAAGAAAACUUCCAGAACUCAUUGAUCUUGUUCGGACGCAUAAAAACCAAACAUCGGACGUCCGACAGCACCAACGGCUAGUUGACUCUUCAGCUGCCUUUUACCCGUUGACAACAUUAAUUGAGGAACUUUCUGGUCUCCUAUAAAAAGAACAAAGUCAACCACCUCAAGACAACUUUGUACAUCAAGCCUACAUCAGAUUGUGAGUGAUUCGUGUGCUAGAAUACUCAAAAAGGAACAUUUGUACUCCUUGCAUGUACAAUCUUCGUGUAGUUUUUUCAAGUGUGACAUAGCUUCUUCAAUAGUGUAGCAUAGUGAGGGUUUGCGAGUGUUUGUAAAACUUCCUUGCUUGACCAAGUGUGAUUUGGGGCAAGAAGGAAGUAAUCCCUUCCUUGUACACAAAAGAUUGGUUGCAAGUCUAUUCAACUUGAAGUAACUUGGUAUAUAAAAGUGGUGUUCAAACCUUAGUUGUGUUUGAAGCUUGGUUUGUUUCUUUAAUCUUAUUUACUGCUUUUCUAUAUAAACUGUUCUUCUCUCCAUCUCACGAAUACCUGUGCUCUUGUGUUAUCUUGUUCAUUGGGAGGUAUUUGAGAAAAGAAAGGCUGUCUGUUAAAAAAAGGUAGAAUAUAUCUUAGCAGUUUUUGAAAGCCUAAUUCACCCCCCCUCUUAGGUUGUUUUCGAUCCUUACAAAGAAAGUGACAUGUACCACUUGUACUUUUUCUAUCUAUCCUAUAUCCACCAAAAUCAGCAUCCGAAAAAUCAUAUAAAGAAAAUUCAUGACAUUUAGGAUACCAAAGACCAUAAUUCAAGGUUCCUUUUAACUAUUUAAAGAUUCUUUUCACAGUAACUAAGUGAGAUUCCUUUGGACAAGAUUGGAAACGAGCACACAAGCAAACAACAAACAUAAUAUCAGAUCUACUUGCAGUUAAAUAAAACAAACUACCAAUCAUACCUCUAUAUUUCUUCUCAUCAAUUUUUAUACCUUCUGCAUCCUUGUCAAGUUUGGUAGAUGUGCACAUAAGUGUUCCAACUUAUUUUGAAUCCCCCAUUCCAAAUCUUUUGAGAAGUUCCUUUGUAUAUUUAACUUGAUUAAUAAAUGUACCUUCUCGGUUUUGAACCACUUGGAGCCCAAGGAAGAAGUUCAACUCUCCCAUCAUGCUCAUUUCAAACUCAUUUUGCAUAAUAGUGAAAAAAUCUUUGCACAAACACUCAUUAAUAGCACGAAAAAUAAUAUCAUCCAUCUAUAUUUGCACAAUUAAAAGAUCAUUUGAAGUUUGUUUAGUGAAAAGAAUGGUAUCCACAAUACCUCUUUUAAAACUAUUAUCAACUAAAAAAUCACUUAACCGUUCAUACCACGCUCUUGGAGCUUGUUUUAACCCAUAUAAAUCUUUUAAGAGUUUAAACACGUGAUUUGGAUAUGCCUCAUUUUCAAAACCAGGAGGUUGGUCAACAUAUAUUUUUUGAUCAAUAAAACCAUUUAAGAAAGCACUUUUAACAUCCAUUUGAAAUAAUUUAAAAUCCUUGAAACAUGCAAAUGACAAAAACAUUCUAAUUGAUUCUAGUCUAGUUACGGGAGUAAAUGUUUCAUCAAAAUCUAUUCUUUCUUUUUUAGCAUACCCCUUAGGAACAAGUCUAACCUUAUUUCUCACAACAACACUUUUGUCAUUCAUUUUAUUUCUAAAAAUCCAUUUUGUGCUAAUGAUAGGAUGGUUUUGAGGGCUUUCAACUAAUGUCCAGACCUUGUUCCUUUCAAAUUGAUUUAGUCCCUCUUCCAUAGCAAAAAUUCAGUUUUCAUCUUUCAAGGCAUCAACAACAUUUUUAAAUUCAAAAUGCGAGACCAAGGCAAAAUUAUCCAUCAAUUGCUUAGCGGAGGAACAAGUUCUAACCUUUUCGGAUGGAUCACCAAUGAUAAGCUCCUUCGGAUGGUUUUGAACAAACUUUCAAAUCCUUAGAAGAUCACUAGGUGUACCAACAUCCUUGUCAUUUUCUUCCAACGCUUGAUUCUCUUGAGGAUCAUCUUCUUUCGAAUUAUCUUCUAGUAAAGCAUUGUCUUGAUCAUGAAUUGUGAGUUUCUUAAGUCCUUCUUGAACACCUACAUCAUCAUCUUCACAACAACUUUUGGAAAUAUCAUCAUUAGAUUUAUCAAAUGUGACAUGUAUGGCUUCUUCUAUCGCAAGAGUUCUUCUAUUAUAGACUCUAAAAUCUCUUUUGUUCUCACAAUAACUCAAGAAAAUACCUUCAUCAGAUUUCUUGUCAAAUUUUUCAAGGCGUUCCUUGAUAUUUAAAAUAAAACAUUUGCAACCAAAAACUUUGAAAUAUCCAACAAUUGGUUUUUUAUCAAACAUUAAUUCAUAAGAGCUUUUGUUAAAAAUUGGUCUCAAAAGAACUCUAUUCAUUGCAUAACAAGCCGUAUUUACGGUUUUACUCCAAAAAUAUUUUGGCAAGUUGCAUUUAUUUAACAUAGUUCUUGCGGUCUCUUGAAGAGUUCUAUUCUUUCUUUCAACAACACCAUUUUGUUGAGGUGUUCUUGCAAUUGAAAAUUCAUGUGUGAUUCCAUUGUUAUCACAAAAUUUCGAAAAAUCACAAAACUUAAAUUUCGAGCCAUUGUCACUUCUAAUCUUAAUAAUUUUCAACCCAAUCAGAUUUUGAACUUUUGCAAAUGAGGAAACAAAUUUUUGAAGGCAUCAUCCUUGUGAGCAAGAAACAUCACCCAAGUGUAUCUAGAAUAAUCAUCAAUAAUAACCAAACAAUAUAUUUUACCACCCAAGUUAGCAAUUUGUGUAGGACCGAACAAAUCAAGAUAUAAAAGAUCCAAAGGUUUUGAUGUGACGACUGGAAAAUUUGCUCAUAUUUUCUUAAAAUUUCCUCUUAUUUUGAUUAAAUUACUUUAUAAUAUUUUUACUACUCAUUUACUCCCACCAUAGUUGUAAGAAAUAAUAGAAUUAAGAGUUUUGCUCUUAGUUUUAUAGUUAGGGUAAAUUAGGGUUUUCACGUAUUUUAGUAGUGUGAUUAAUUGUGAAGGUGUGUGUACUAAAUUUAGUCAUUAAAAGUGAGUUUUAGAUAAGAGGAAGUGUUUGAUUGGAAGUGCUAAUAAUAAGCUAGUGAACCAUAAGUAAAAACACAAGUACGUGCGAGUUAAAGAAAAACGGCUUGAACCGAUGCGCACCGUUUGCCACCGAUUGAAUACGCCACUUGAACACUACUCUAUUACCUUAAUAUCAUUGAUUUUAUUUCAGCUAAUUAACCCUAAAAUAUCCCUUAAACCAGCCACAAUCUUUUACCAAAGAAAGGGAGAAAAGAAAAAAAAUGAGAGGAAAUCUAGUUGCGACACUUGUCGGAAAUCUAAAAGAUGUUGACCAAGCCAACUUUCUUUCUUCUUAUCUUCCAUUUUGGCUCACUUUGCUUCAUUAUUUCUUCUUAUGGCCAAGAGUUAAGAGGAGAAAAAGAGAGAAUAAACACUUCAAUUUCAACCUUGAUUUUGGCCUUGUUUGAGUUGAAUCCAAAAAUGUAAACUAAUUAAACCUUCACUUUGGUACUUAGGAAACUUUGUGUGGUAAAAGUUUUGGAAGAAAGGGGUGUGAUUUUCACUUACAAGCAAGGAUUGGAAGGUAUCAUGAUUGCCUUUCCUUUUCUCUUCCUUAAUCUUGUUUAACUUUGGAUAGAAGCUUAUGAUCUUAAUUUAUGAUGGUUAAUUAGUUAGUUUUGAAUGAUAUGGUGGAAUGUUUAGCUAGGGUUUGAAAUUUUCAGUUGUGAUUAUUGUUGUUUAUUUAGUAUAUGAUGUUGAUGAGUUUGGAUAGGGACUUGGGGUAGUGAUUCAAGACAUGAAUGUUAUUUUUAAGUAUUGAAUCAUCAAAUUUCCAGCAUUAAUCAUGAAUCUGCCCUGUUUCUGACCUGCAUAUUCGUCGAUUUUAGAGGCCGAAUCAGGUCUAGGUCAAAACAUAAAAGUUGUAGGGAAUGGAGUUACUUAUCUGCCUGUAAAAUUUCAACUCGAUUGAAGCACUAUAGCUUGUGAAAUGACUAAAUUACCCCUGACUGCCCAAAUGCCCUAUUUCACAAGCAGCUUUCUGUUUUCUCUGAAAUUUCACAUUUUGACCUUGAAAAUGCACGAAUUGGGUGUCUAUGUCUUCAUAGAAAAUGUAUGUCUCUAUCUUAGCUUCAAAACAUCAUAAAAUUUACCCCAAUCCGAUAAGCAUAGCUUCAGUUGUGACCAAAAUGCCAAAAGACAUCAAACCUGCUGUUUAGCCAUUUGUCUUUAAAACUGGUUUUCGGUUGCAUUGCUAGACUUGUCUUGUAAUUGGAUGACAUUGAGCCUAAUUGAUGGGCUAUUGUGUUAAGAUUGUUUAUGUGUGAAUUUGGGCUGAGCUGAGGAAAAUAAUAAAGCCAUAAAUGAUUGAAAAAUAGCUAAAUACAAAGGGCAUGCUGCCCAAAUUUUCACUCGAGAAUUAGGCAUAUGUACUCGCAAAUUGAGCGACGAUUUGAGGUCGAAUUGGACUUGAUUUGUCUAGGGUAUUCAAGUUUUCUUUGAUAGAAGUAUAUAAGCUGAAAUUUCGCCGGAACUCGUAUCCUUGAAAAAAUGAAAGUAGUGACCCUUUAAAAAUACGAUUUUCUCAAUCUUUUAUAUGAAGUGCGAUUUCAAAAGUAUAAACCACUUCUUUAUCAAAACUAAAUGAGCGAGCAUGAAGUUUCUAGAGUUUGAUAAGUAACUUGAAUACUACUUAAACGAGUUUCAUUUACUUGAUUUUCUUGAAGCGAAACUCCUAUGUUUCGAACUCUAGUUGAUUUUAAACUUUUGAAUAAUAUUUUAUCGCAGAUUUGGACUCCAUCCAAAGAGUUGCACCUGAACGUGACCUUGAAAAGUACUAGACCUUUGGUGAGUGCUUCCAAGUACAUGUUGUAUUUAAUACUUGCUUUUACAUGUUUAUUUAAUGUACUUGGAUAAUAGUUGACUUGUUUGGACGGACAACUGUGUAUUUUAUUGCACUUAACCUAACUCAACUAAACACGUGAUAUCUCAUUCAUACUUGUAUAAGUAACUUGAUUUGCAUUAACCUGUACUUGUAUUUAUACUUGUGCUUGUAAGUGUUGAGCGGCAGUAUGUACUACACUCAAUCCGAGUAGGAGGUGCCUCUCCUUCCCGUCUCCGUACUUUUAUCUUGAUUCAGUCGAUUGGAGAUGUUAUUUCAUCGACUUCUUGGGGACCCCAAACCCCACUGGCUAGUUAAUCGAGUCGAACCGGCAAGGGUUUGGUUGAUUAGAUAACGAACCAUGGGUAUCUAGUUUUGUCGAGUGGAGUGUUAUCUUUUCGACUAAUCGGUAUACUCGAGUAUUACCACUAGUGUUUUGUUGGUGUUCGGGCCUGGUAAGGGGGUUGAAUGGUGGAUGGAUUGGUGACAAUGUUAUUCUUGGUUUUGAUGAUCACAAAAGUUCGUUUAUACAGACCAAGAAAGUGAACACUUUGAUCAGGCCUGAUGGAACAAGGAAAGCAUAUGUCUGAUUGACUCCAGUCUACGAUGCUUUGGAUGUGGCAAACAAGAUUGAAAUAAUAUAAAUGAAUUUAGUCAUUGUUUUGUUCCGAUCAAAAAUAUUGUCUUUUAAGUAUGUCUAGUUUGUCAUUCUUGGUACUUUGAAAUAUUUGUCUAACUUUCUUCAAAAACAAGAGUUUUUUUGUCUAUCCAAGAAUCAGGUUCAAAUAUGUCAUGAAAUGCAAAACAACCAAAAUGAGAAGCAAAAACAGGACAAUCAGGUCGGACGGCCGAAAGGAAACUGUCGGACGUCCGAAAAGAUAAAGAACAUCAGGAAGGAAGCACCGUCGGACGCUCACAUGGAAGCAUCGGACGUCCGGAAGGAUCGGACGCUUGCCAUCGGACGCGCAUCAACCACAUCGGACGUCCGAAAAAUUCCAAGAUAACUUGCUAGCUCUCGGCCCAAGGUCGGACGCUGUGCUGUCGGACGACAAAAAACUCAUCGGACGUCCGAACCUCAACUUGGCUAUCAUCGGACGAUUGGUUCGGACGACGAUUCGAUCGUCGGACGUCCGACAGCCCCAACGGCUAGUUGACUCUUCAGCUGCCUUCUAUCCGUUGGAAGCAUUGAUGAAGCCCAUUUCUGGAUCCCUUUAAAAUCAAACUGGUCUGAACCAAGAGAGGACUUUUGCACACUUUGUUUACAAGAUCUCAAGAGAUAUUUUAGCUAGAAAAUAGUCUCCAAAGCAAGAUUUGUUUUAAAGUGGUGUGAAUUUCUGGUGAGCAUUUCUUUUGUGGUUGAAAGGAUCUUUAGUGUAGCUUUGUUGAGGGUUUUCUGAGUGAUUGUAAAACUUCUUGGCUUGACUAAGUGAGGCUUAGGGCAAGGAGGAAGUGCUCCCUCCAUUGUACAUCUAGUUGAUCUUCUUUCAUCAAAGAGAACUUGCUCUUCCUAGUGUUUGGUUUUCAAGUUUGAGGAUAGCUUGGUAGACACUUGGUUUGACUCCCUAUCUUACUGUUCUGUUUAAUAAAAAUUCUUAUUGCUUAUCUAUACUUAUUUUUCUGAUCAAUAUUGCUAUUGUCUUCUAAUUUAUUUAGUUGAUCAUUACUAGAAAAGAAGGUAAAUUUUUAUUAAAGAAAAAGUGCAUAAACUUGGUUAAGAUUUUAAUCAACCCAAUUCACCCUCCCUCUUGGUUGUCUUUGGGUCUUACAAUUGGUAUCAGAGCUUGGUCUCCUUGAGAUUAAGCUCUAACGGCUUGGAGUAAAGAUGACAACCAGUCAUGCUAUGUUUGUUGAGGGGCAAUCUGUUACUAGGCCUCCCAUGUUCAGUGACUCCAACUAUGUUAGCUGGAAAGAACGAAUAAUUAUCUUUCUGCAAUCUAUUGAUAUUGAAUUAUGGUUUAUUGUGAGUGAAGGACCGCAUGAAGCUAACUUUCUUGAUGCAGAUACAGGGUUGCUUCGGCCAAAAACGAGAGCUGAAAUGAAUGCUCAAGAUAGGACUAACCUCACAUUGAAUGCCAAGGCCAUGAAUGUUCUGUAUAGUGCCCUAGAUUCUAAUGAAUCAAUUAGUGUAAAAGGCUGCAAAUCGGUCAAAGAAAUGUGGGAUAAACUAAGAGAAAUCCAUGAGGGUGGUGACAAUGUGAAAGAACAGAAAAAGGCUAUCUUGGUCACGAAAUAUGAAUAAUUUAAAAUUGAACCUCUUGAGGAUAUUGACAAAAUGUAUUGCAGGUUCACUGACUUGAUCAAAGAUCUCGAGGCGUUGGGCAAAGAGUACACCUUGGGAGAGAAGAACAGGAAAAUUCUCAAUGCUUUGGGCAAAGAAUGGGAAAAUAAAGUGACUGCAAUAGAGGAGGCUAAGGAUUUAAGUUCUGUGCCUAUUGAAUCUAUCAUUAACUCACUAACCUCUUAUGAGUUGAAACUGAAAUCUAAAGUGCAGGAGGAAGAGGAUGCUAGAGCAAAGAGAAACAUUGCUCUAAAGACUACUCAAGGUGAAGAUGAUACAGCUCACUUGGAUGAUGAAGACUCAGAUGGUGAUGAUAAUGAUCUUGCUCUCAUCACCAGAGGCUUCAAAAGAAUCUUGAAUAAAAGAAAGUUUAGAAGGGGAGGACCUAGCAAUCAAUUCCAGAAUCAGCCAUCUAUCGCAAAGUAUAAAGGUAAACAAGAUUUCAACAAGAAACAGUUGGACAAAUGCUUCGAAUGUGGACAGAUUGGACAUUAUGCAAACGAAUGCCCUAUGAAGAAGAUGAAAGAUGGAAAAGCUGAUCGAAAGCCAAGAUUCAAUAAUUUUCAGAUUACUUGGAAUGAAUGCAACUCCGAAGGGGAAGUUGAAGAAGAAGAAGAAUCUGCUCAAAUGGCGUUCAUGGCUAUUGGAAAUAAUGAGGUAACUUCCACACACUCUCAAUCUGAAAGUGAUGAUGAUGAAGAUGAUGAUCUUGAAUCCUUUGUUGAAAAACUGCAUAAUGCCUUUAAGGAAUCUUAUGAUAAAAACAAGCAGUUAAAACAGAAAAUGGCUUUUCUCAUUCAAGAAAAUGCAAGUCUUUUUCAACAAAAUAAACAACUAAAGACCGACAAUGAAAGUCUAGUGAGAGCCGGAUGUAAUGUUCAAAAUGAGCUUGAUAGAAAGACAAAUAUUUGUGAAAUGCUGAAGGAAAGACAGGGUGAUUUGAAAAAAAGAAUGGACAACUUGGAUGAAACUUUGAAAGCAAGAAAGCAGGAGUUUAGCAAAAGGAACAUGUUAUUUACCCAUCCUACUACUUUUCAAAGAACAUUUGCACACAACAAAAUUGCACAUGGUUUCACAACAUAUAGAAGAGGUGGAUUGAGAUAUAUCAAACCAGUACAUGUUAAGGACUCUUCCAUUAUGUGUGGUUUUUGUUGUCAAAGAGGGCAUUUGAAAGGUAAUUGCUAUGUGAAAAGAAAUCUGAACAAAGGGAUGAAGUGCAUGUGGUUAGUUAAAUACAAUGCUAACUAUUAUGGACCCAAAAAUUAAAAAGGGUACCAAACACCUUUUCUUUUCAGGAAAAAUGCUCAAACAAGUCCAAAUGGUUCAUUGAUAGCGGUUGCUCAAGGCACAUGACCGGUGAUCCUUCCUUGUUCAUAAAGCUGAAAUCAAAAUCAAGUGGAAAGGUAACAUUUGGUGAUGAUGUGAAAGCUAAGACAAUUGGAAUAGGUGAUGUUGGUAAGGAUGGUGAAACUUUUGUUCAUAAUGUGCUCUUAGUUGAUAACUUAGGUUAUAACUUGUUUAGUGUUAGUCAAUUGUGUGAUAAAGACUUGUAUGUGUUGUUUAAAAAGCAUGAAUGCAUUGUACUUGAUUCCAAAUAUAAUGUUGUGUUCAAAGGUAAGAGGUUUAAUGACAUAUAUAUUGUGAUUCUUGAUAAAGUUGAUUCUUCUAUCUUAAAAUAUCUUAAAGCUUCAAAUGAAGAUCCUUGGUUGUGGCAUAGAAGACUUUGUCAUUUUAACAUGGACUUACUAAAGGAAAUUUCGAAAAAGGAACUAGUUAGAGGCUUGCCAAAAAUCAGUUUUGAAAAGGAUAAAAUAUGUGAUGCAUGUCAAUUUGGAAAGCAAACAAAAGUUUCUUUUAAAACAAAGAAGUGUGUAUCUACUUCAAAACCCUUAGAACUCUUGCAUCUUGACUUAUUUGGCCCUACUCAAAUCUCUAGCUUGGGUGGUAAGAAAUACUGUUUUGUGAUUGUGGAUGAUUAUUCUAGAUACAUAUGGGUGAUAUUUCUUGCACAUAAAGAUGAUGCCUUUAAGAAUUUUACUUCAUUGUUUGCUAAAGUACAAAAUCUGCUUGGGUUAAAAGUUGUUAGGAUUAGAAGUGAUAAUGGAACAGAAUUCAAGUAUUGUGGUUUUCCAGAAUUUUGUGAUUAUAAUGGCAUAACUCAUGAGUUUUCUAUUGCAAGAACUCCACAGCAAAAUGGUGUUGUAGAAAGGAAAAACAGGACUCUCCAAGAGGCUGCUAGAACUAUGUUGAAUGAAUGUAGGUUGCCUAAAUAUCUUUGGGCUGAAGCGGUAAACACUGCAUGUUAUGUGAUGAAUAGAAUUCUCUUGAGACCUAUUUUAAAGAAAACUCCGUAUGAGCUGAUUUUUGAUAAGAAACCUACAGUUGGUUAUUUCAAAGUAUUUGGUUGUAAAUGCUUUAUUUUGAAUCUAAAGGAACAUCUUGGUAAGUUUGAUAAAAAAUCUGAUGAAGGAAUAUUUUUGGGGUAUUGUGAGAAUAAAAGAGGAUAUAGAGUUUUUAAUAGAAGGACUCUUGUGAUUGAAGAAGCUAUACAUAUAACAUUUGAUGAAGCCAAUGAUGAUAAUUCCAAAAGUUUGGGUGAGGAUGAUGAUGUAGGUGUUCGAGAAGGAAUGGAAAAGCUAUCAAUUGGAAAUGAAGGAAGUUCUAAACCAGCAGCAACUGAAAUGGAAAAUGAAGUUCAUAAUGAUCAAGAAGAGGAAGAUGAAGACAAAAAUGAUAAUCCACUCAAAGAUCUUCCCAAGGCUUGGAAAUUCAGCCAAAAUCAUCCAAAAGAGCUUAUAAUUGGUGAUCCAUCCGAGAAGGUAAACACUCGUUCCUCAUCUAGAAAAUUGAUUGAUAAUUUUGCUUUAGUUUCUCUUUUUGAACCCAAAAAUAUCAAUGAUGCUUUAAAGGAUGAAAACUGGAUUUUGGCUAUGCAAGAGGAACUUAAUCAAUUUGAGAGAAAUGAAGUUUGGACUCUUGUUGAUAUACCUCAAAAUCAACCUAUCAUUGGCACAAAGUGGAUUUUUAGAAAUAAGUUGGAUGAUAAAGGUGUUGUUGUAAGAAAUAAAGCCAGAUUAGUUGCUAAAGGAUAUGCACAAGAAGAAGGAAUUGAUUUUGAUGAAACAUUUGCUCCCGUAGCAAGAUUAGAAUCUAUUAGAAUGCUUCUUGCUUUUGCUUGCUUCAAAGGUUUCAAAUUGUUUCAAAUGGAUGUUAAAAGUGCAUUUUUAAAUGGUUUUAUUGAUCAAGAAGUGUAUGUGGAUCAACCCCCCGGUUUUGAAAAUACAAAAUUUUCAAGUCAUGUGUUUAAACUUUCUAAAGCUUUAUAUGGUUUAAAACAGGCUCCAAGAGCUUGGUAUGAAAGAUUAAGUGGGUUCUUGAUUGAAAAAGGUUUCAAAAGAGGUGUUGUGGACACCACACUUUUUACUAAGCAAGUGUUGAAUGACCUUCUUAUUGUGCAAAUAUAUGUUGAUGAUAUUAUUUUUGGUGCUACUAAUGAGUAUCUAUGUAAGGAGUUUUCCACCACUAUGCAAAGUGAAUUUGAAAUGAGUAUGAUGGGAGAAUUAAAUUUCUUCCUUGGACUUCAAAUACAUCAAGCUCUUGAGGGAAUUUUUAUAAAUCAAGCAAAAUAUACCAAGGAAUUGCUGAAAAGGUUUGGCAUGGAGGACUCAAAACAAGUUGGAACUCCAAUGUGCACGUCUACAAAGCUUGACAAAGAUGAAGAAGGUAACCAUGUGGAUGAAAAGCAUUAUAGAGGUAUGAUCGGAAGCCUACUUUAUUUAACCGCAAGUAGACCUGAUAUUAUGUUUGCUGUUUGUUUGUGUGCUAGAUUUCAAUCUUGUCCAAAAGAAUCACAUUUGAAUGCUGUAAAAAGAAUUUUUAGGUAUUUGAAAGGUACAUUAGACUAUGGUCUUUGGUAUGCUAGAUCUAAUGAGUUUGCUCUAUAUGGUUAUUCGGAUGCUGAUUUUGGAGGUUGUCGUGUGGAUAGAAAGAGUACGAGUGGAACUUGUCAUUUUCUUGGAAAUUGUUUAGUCUCUUGGUUUAGCAAGAAACAAUGUGCAAUCUCUUUGUCUACCACCGAAGCGGAAUAUAUUGCCGCCAGUGCAUGUUGUGCUCAACUUUUAUGGAUGAAGCACACUUUGAAUGAUUUUGGAUUGUUGUAUGACUGCAUGCCUGUAUUCUGUGAUAAUACUAGUGCUAUCAAUUUGACCAAAAAUCCUAUUCAUCAUUCUAGGACAAAGCACAUAGAUAUAAAGCAUCACUUUAUUCGUGAUCUUGUUCAAAAAGGUGAAAUAUGUGUAAAUUAUGUUUGUUCUAAAGAUCAAUUUGCUGAUAUUUUUACAAAAGCUUUGCCAUUAGAACAGUUCAUUCAUCUAAGAUCAAAAUUAGGAAUAAUCGAAAAAUCAUCUUAAUUUUCUUUGGGUCUUCGGACGUCCGAAAGAAGAUGAACGGACGUCCGAUGAUGUUCUUCAGCCAUUUUCCAGAUUGCGCUUGUUCGGACGCAGCUGUCGGACGCACAACUUCGUUCGGCCGUCCGACAGUGCAACGGCUCAUUUUUUAAAACAACUUUCUUCCUCAAUUGCCUCAGACUCUUCCCAUUUCAUUUUCUCUCGGACGAAAACCCUCUUUCUCUCACUCCCAAAUUCGUACCAUUCUGAAGCCCCCAUUCCCAAAUUGACUCAACCAAAACAUUUCCCCAUCGUUUGCGAGUCAUUUCUCCUGAUCAUUUCACCAAACUGAUCUAACACUUCGCAAAUCCCCAAAUUUUCCUCACAACCCUACUCUUGCAUAACCGCUCUGUCAAAUCUCGUUCAAGGUGUUUUUGUCCCAAAAUUUCUGUGCGAUUCACUUCCCUACUGCUGUGUGCAUCAUUUGCAUCCUCCAUUCCACACAUUUAGAACAAUGGUGAAUCUAAGGGGAGGAAAAGUUACUGCCGGACGCAAGCAUCCACUCAGGGAUGAGGAUGAGGAUCUUCCUACUGUCAAACGGACAUCCAAACGCUUCAAAAGGGGAGCUAUCAAGGGUCAAAUGUCACGGCCUACUCCACAACCCACUUCUCAACCAGAAUCUGGACAGGGGACCUCUUCUCAACCGCCUCCUAAAUCAGUCCCUCUCCCUCCAUUCUUUGAUGAUGCUGCGAAAGACAAAUACGCCUGGAUAUCCCAGAAGGGUGUCAUCCCUCAAAGAACUGUAAACCCCUCUGAAUUUCGCUCCAUAGGUUUAGAUUCCAUUCUGAGUCUAUUUGCUUUCCAGAAAUGGUCACAUCUCAUUUCCAUGCCCAAUGUCUACUAUCCUGAUAUGUUGCAUCAAUUUUUUGCCAACCUUAGGAAAGGAACUGACCAAACUGAGAUCAUGUCUAGGGUAAAUGGGGUAGACAUACUCUUUGAUUCUGAUACUGUGAAUUCCAUUUUAAAUACUACCAUUGAACGUUUAUGCAAAGAUAAGGUUGCUAAUUUCUUUUCCUAUGAAGAGCUCCCUACUGCUGCAAAUCAUUUUGAUGGGACAAAAAUGUUAACCUAUUUCAAAAGAAGUUUUUCCUCACCUGCUGAUGCUAAGUUGAAUGAUCUGGCCCCUGUGAAUUUAAUUGCUUUUACUAUCAUUUCAAACCUGCUUGUGCCCACUGAUGGGCACAGAACUGAUGCAAACAAAAUGGAGUUGUAUCUCUUUUAUUGUUUUCGAGAAAAAAUUCGGAUUGACUUUGGUUUUGUCAUGUGCAAGUUUUUACUUCGAUAUGCUACUGACUCUCGAAGAAAACUAUCCUAUGGAAAGUUUCUUCAAAAGAUUUUUGAGUUUUACAAAGUUCCAAUUCUAGGUGUUUGUCCCAAAGAAGCAUCUUCUUGUGCCUUUACCAAAGCAUAUUUUGAAAGAAAAAAUCUUGUUUUUAAAGAUAAUCUGUGGGCAUAUAAGGGGGCAUCAUCUAGUGAACAAAGGUCCAAGACUGUACAUGAUCCUUCACCCAUCUCACUCACUCCCAUUCACCCUAGGAAGUCUGCCACUAAAGCAUCUUCCUCUUCCAGUAAUGAAGUAAUUGAGCUUCUUCAUGAACUCAAACAACAUGUUCUUCUUCUAGAACAUGGUCUAAUGCUCACUAUGUCUUCUGAGCAACAAACUGCCUUCCUAGACAAAAAGAACCUCCUGUUUCCCCCCUGUUGUUGAGGAAGUUUCCCAUGACAAAGAGUCACACCCCACUGAUCCAAGUUCAUCAAUUCCGGACCCUGGUUCUUCAACCCCUGUGACUCCUCAUGGCACCUCUACAUCAGAUAAAGGCAAGGCACCAGUUGAAGAGGCUGCUGAAGAUGAUGAAGAAACUGAAGAGGAGGAUCUUGACCAAUAUCAGCUCUCUCGGAGGACACCUGGAUCCACUUAGUUCAUCAUUUAGGACAUUUGCAUGUUGUUUGUCUCGUUUAUGUGUUUGUGGUAUUCAACAAUGAAUAUGUAAUGUAAUGGAUAUUUUAAGUUUCUUUUGGUAUGUUUUGAUGAAUGUUUAAGUUCUGUUUUGAUGGAUGUUUAAGUACUGUCUUGAUGGAUGUUUGUUUGUCUAUUCUAAUUGUGUGAAUAUAAUGAAUUUUUUUUUGGUUUUCAUUGAUGAAUGUAUUUGUGGAUGUGUUGAUGUGAUUGGUUGCCCUUUGUGAUGACAAAAAGGGGGAGAAUGGAAAUGGUAUACUAAUUGAUUGAUAUGUUGGAUCUGAUGAGGAUUUGAUGAUGUUGGAUAUGUUGAAUUGAUUGAUGGUUUAAUUAAAUUUGGAUUUUGCUGAUGGAUUGAAUUGGUGAUAUGUUGGUUGUGAGUUGCUUAAUUGUCAUGUUUUUGGAUAAUUGUCUAAACUCGGUUGGGCAGUCUAGUGAGGGGGAGGUUUUCAAAAUUUUUAUGAUUCACUAAGGCAGGGGGAGUUCUUGUCUAUUUUGAAAGGGGGAGUUUUCAUUGCAAUCAUCAAAUUUCAUUUCAAACUUUUGUUUUGUCAUCAUCAAAAAGGGAGAGAAUGUUAUUCUUGGUUUUGAUGAUCACAAAAGUUCGUUUAUGCAGACCAAGAAAGUGAACACUUUGAUCAGGUCUGAUGGAACAAGGAAAGCAUAUGUCUGAUUGACUCCAGUCUACGAUGCUUUGGAUGUGGCAAACAAGAUUGAAAUAAUAUAAAUGAAUUUAGUCAUUGUUUUGUUCCGAUCAAAGAUAUUGUCUUUUAAGUAUGUCUAGUUUGUCAUUCUUGGUACUUUGAAAUAUUUGUCUAACUUUCUUCAAAUACAAGAGUUUUUUUGUCUAUCCAAGAAUCAGGUUCAAAUAUGUCAUGAAAUGCAAAACAACCAAAAUGAGAAGCAAAAACAGGACAAUCAGAUCGGACGGCCGAAAGGAAACUGUCGGACGUCCGAAAAGAUAAAGAAUAUCAGGAAGGAAGCACCAUCGGACGCUCACAUGGAAGCAUCGGACGUCCGGAAAGAUCGGACACUUGCCAUCGGACGCGCAUCAACCACAUCGGACGUCCGAAAAAUUCCAAGAUAACUUGCUAGCUCUCGGCCCAAGGUCGGACGCUGUGCUGUCGGACGACAAAAAACUCAUCGGACGUCCGAACCUCAACUUGGCUAUCAUCGGACGAUUGGUUCGGACGACGAUUCGAUCGUCGGACGUCCGACAGCCCCAACGGCUAGUUGACUCUUCAGCUGCCUUCUAUCCGUUGGAAGCAUUGAUGAAGCCCAUUUCUGGAUCCCUUUAAAAUGAAACUGGUCUGAACCAAGAGAGGACUUUUGCACACUUUGUUUACAAGAUCUCAAGAGAUAUUUUAGCUAGAAAAUAGUCUCCAAAGCAAGAUUUGUUUUAAAGUGGUGUGAAUUUCUGGUGAGCAUUUCUUUUGUGGUUGAAAGGAUCUUUAGUGUAGCUUUGUUGAGGGUUUUCUGAGUGAUUGUAAAACUUCUUGGCUUGCCUAAGUGAGGCUUAGGGCAAGGAGGAAGUGCUCCCUCCAUUGUACAUCUAGUUGAUCUUCUUUCAUCAAAGAGAAGUUGCUCUUCCUAGUGUUUGGUCUUCAAGUUUGAGGAUAGCUUGGUAGACACUUGGUUUGACUCCCUAUCUUACUGUUCUGUUUAAUAAAAAUUCUUAUUGCUUAUCUAUACUUGUUUUUCUGAUCAAUAUUGCUAUUGUCUUCUAAUUUAUUUAGUUGAUCAUUACUAGAAAAGAAGGUAAAUUUUUAUUAAAGAAAAAGUGCAUAAACUUGGUUAAGAUUUUAAUCAACCCAAUUCACCCCCCCUCUUGGUUGUCUUUGGGUCUUACAGACAAGUUGGGUUCUACUGGACUGGUUACUUUACUUGAAAGUUGACGAAGAGUCAACUACUACAUGAUCAAGUUAUCUCGGAGCUAUUUUGAAAUAGUGGCAGUAUCCUUUCGCUUGAUAUGUUAAAUACCAGUGCUUGGCUUUACAAAACUUUAUUACUCAUUUUCUUGAUUUUAUGUGCUCGCUAUUUUGAUACAUGUGAUUUACAUCAUGGUCAACUUGCUAUUUGGGUUUGCAUGAAGUUUUGGAGCCUCCCUGAGAUUUAGCUCAUUCUAUGAGAUUGUUUUCCUUACAGGGGAUAUGAGCAAGGGCGUGGAGACUGGUACAGGCUAGUAUAGUCUAGUUUUUUUGAAUUUUUACGAUUGUACUUGCGCUAGUGCUCGGCUAGGGUUGAAUAUAUCUGAAAUUCAUAUCUUUUGUCAUAAUUGGAAUUGUACGAAUGUUUGGAAUAGAAAUGAAUGUACAUGUACGUUCCAAGUUUGGGAACUGUUAUUUCCUUUACUCUUGAGGUUGUAACCUAUUUUAUUUGAAAUAAGUGAAUGAGUCCUGGCGAGAGUUGGGCAGGCGGUCCGCUAAAUCUUAGGGUACACCCUAAGGGGAGGUGGGGUCGUCACAUUUGAAGUAGAAACACAUUUCUUGGGUCUAAAAGAAACUUUUACUUAUUUUUUAAAUUGACAAGCAUCACAAAUUUUGUCCUUUUCAAACUUAAUUUUUGGCAACAAAUUCCUUUUUAAAAAUUUCUUUUAACAAAUCCAUAUUGAAAUGACAAAUCCUUCUAUGCCACAACCAAGGGUUUUUAUUUGCAACUUUAAGACAUUUAAAACUAGAAGAAUCAACAUUUUCAAGAAUAACCAUAUAGAUGUCAUUCAUUCUUUUUUCUUUGAAAAUUAUACUAAACUUUGAGUCAAGAACAAGACAUUCAUGCUUUUUGAAUAACACAAACAGAUUUCUAUCAUAUAAUUGACUAACACUUAACAAGUUAUAACUCAAAUUAUCAACAAGGAGAACAUUGUGAACAAAAGUUUGACCAUUCUUUGUUUGACCAUUCAAAAAGGUUUACCAACAUCUCCUACUCCAAUUAUUUUGGCUUUGUUAUCAUCUCCAAAUGUCACUUUUUCACUUGAUUUAGGCUUGAGUUUGAUGAACUGUGAUGGAUCAUUGGUUAUGUGCCUUGAACAUCCACUAUCUAUGACCAUUUUGAUUCUUUAAUGAUAUUCACCAAGUUCACCUAUACAAAAGUUCACAAGAUAAUAUUUGGUACCCUUUACUUUUUGGAUCCUUGAGAAUUAGCAUUAUAUCUAACUAUCCACAUGCAUUUCAUGCAAUUUCUCAUUUUUUCCCUUACAUAGCAAUUACUCUUCAUGUGAUCAAUUUGACAACAAAAACUACAUACAGUCAGCGAAAUACUUGCAUGGACAGGUUUAACAAAUCUAACUUGCCUUUUCGUAUAAAUGGUAAAUUCGUUUGUAUUAGAAUUCAACCUAUUCUCAUGAAUGUCGAAAUGAGGUUUUGAUUCAUUUCUUUGAAAACAGUUUUGUUUCUUGUGUUGAAGCAAUUCAUUUAGACCAUCAAUUCUUCUUUUCAAGUUACCUUGAUCCUUUUUUAACAGAUCACAAAGCUUUAUUUUUCUAUCAAGUUCAAAAAAUAAAACAGUCCCAUUCUUUUUGAAGUAGUCAUUUUCAGCUUUCAACUUUUUGUUUUGUUAAAAAAGAUUUGCAUUAUCUUGAAGUAAAAAACUAAUUUUCUGUUUUAGUUCCUUGUUUCUAGCAUAAGAUUCUUUCAAGUUAUCAUACAAUCUCUCAAUGAAAGAUUCAAUAUCAUCAUCAGAUUCAUCAUCACAACAAGAUGAGAGUUGCAAGUAGUUACUUUAUCAUCACCAAUGGCCAUGAAAGCCAUUUGAGCAGAUUCUUCUUCCUCUUCAACAUCACCAUCCGAGUUGCAAUCAUUCUAUGUGAUUUGAAAGUUGUUGAACUUUGGUUUUCGUUCAACUUUUCCUUCUUUCUUCUUCUUCAUUGGGCACUCACUCAUGUAAUGCCCAAGCUGGCCGCAUUCAAAGCAUUUGUCAGCUUGUUUUUUUAUUGGUCUCUUGCUUUCCUUUGUUUCUUGCAUUGUUAAACUAAUUUGGAAAAUAGUCGCUAGGUCCAAGCCAUUUGAGCAGAUUCUUCUUCCUCUUCAAUAUCACCAUCCGAGUUGCAAUCAUUCUAUGUGAUUUGAAAGUUGUUGAACUUUGGUUUUCGUUCAACUUUUCCUUCUUUCUUCUUCUUCAUUGGGCACUCGCUCAUGUAGAGCCCAAGUUGGCCGCAUUCAAAGCAUUUGUCAGUUUAUUUUUUUAUUGGUCUCUUGCUUUCCUUUGUUUCUUGCAUUGUUAAACUGAUUUGGAAAAUAGUCGUUAGGUUCUCCUUUUCUAAAUCUCCUUUUGUUGAGGAUUCUUUUGAAACUUCUUGUGAUGAGAACAAGAUCAUUGUCAUCAACUUCCAUAUCUUUACCAUCCAAGGAAGCUGAAUCAUCUUCAUUUUGAGAUGCUUUUGGACCAAUGCCCCUUCUCACUUUUGCAUUCUUUUCUUCUUGCACCUUAAUCUUAAAUUUCAGCUCAUAAGAGAUUAGAGAAUUAACAAGAGAUUCAAUAGGCAUAGAAUUCAAAUCUUUAGCCUCUUCAAUGGCGGUCACCUUACUUUCCCAAUCCUUGGACAGGGCAUUUAAGAUUUUUCUAUUUUUCUCACCUAGGAAGUAUUCCUUUUCCAACAACUCUAAGUCUUUAAUGAGGUCAUUAAAUUUACAAUACAUCUUGUCAAUAUUUUCAUCAGGUUCCAUCUUAAAUGAUUCAUACUUGGUAACUAGGAUAGAUUUCUUUUAUUCUCUCACAUUUUCACUUCCUUCAUGGAUUUCUCUCAGCUUGUCCCAAAUCUCUUUAGCAGACCUACAACCUUUGACCCUAAUGGAUUCAUUUGAAUCUAAAACACUAUACAACAUAUUCAUAGCCUUGGCAUUCAAGGUGAGGUGGGUUCUAUCUUCACCAGUCAAUUCAUUUCUGAUUUUUGGUUUUGGUCUAUGAGUAACUUCAUCUAUUAUAAAGGUAUCAUAUGGACCUUCAUUAACAACAAACCACAGUUCAAUAUCAAUAGAUUGCAAGAAGAUAAUCAUUCCUUCCUUUCAACUCACAUAAUUAGAUCCAUUAAACAUUGGGGGUCGAGUGACAGAUUGUCCUUUAAAAAAUAUGGUAUUGUUGGUUGUCAUAUUUACUCCUAAGCCGAUUGAACUUAAUCUCAAGGAGACCAAACUCUGAUACCAAUUGUUAGGAGCGAAGACAACUUAAGGGGGGUGAAUUAGGUUAUUUAAAAACUAAUCAAAUUAUGAAACACUUUUUGGCUCAAUAUGAAAUUUACCCUCUUUUCUAGAUGAUCACUUAAUGGUACAAUUAAUAAGAAAGCAAGAUUGCUUAUGAGUAGAAGAGAUGAGCAGUUUAUAUUUGCAAGAUAGUAAGUAGUAGGGAAAGAAUAGCGAAUCAAAUUUCAAACUCCUCUUGAGUUUGAAUAUUACUUUAUAGAGCAAGCUUCUUCAAGUUGAUCGAAUACAACCAAUCUUUGUGUACAAAAGAAGGAUCACUUCCUCCUUGCCCCAAGCCACACUUGGUCAAGUUAGGAAGUUUUACUAUCACUCGGAUAACCCUAACAAAACUACACUAUUGAAGUAUUUUUCGCACAUAAGAAAAGUUUAUUCGAAAUUUACACAACUAAGAGUACAAAUCUUCUUUGAAGAGUAUUUUCACACUAAAACUACUCUUGAUCUUUCGUAUUGUCAAUGUGCAAAAGUUCUCUGAAAGUAGUUGACCAUGCACUAUUUAUAUAAGACCAAAAAGUGUCUCAUUAAUAUUUCCAACGGAUAAAAGGUAGCUAAAAAGUCUACUAGCCUUUGGGAGUAUCGGAUGUUCGGUCCAUCCAAAAUUCGCAUCCGACAAUAGGCAGUGAGUUGAGGAAAUUUCUUUAAUUCUAUCGGAUGUCCGGUGUCCCUGAUACUUGUGUUCGAAAGCAGAUGAUCAUUUUGAGAAGUCUUCUUCAGUGUUUUCGGACGUCCAGCACCUACACCGCUUUGCGUCCGAAGAUCCACAUACUGUAUCGGACGGUCGGUGCUCUGAUGUUUAGCGUCCGAACGAGGUCAGUGAGCUAAAGAAAAUUUCUUGAUUCCUUCGGACGUCCAAUAGUGGAGUUCUUCAUGUGUCCAAAGUUGCACAAUGAUUAUCGAACGUCCGGUCCAAUUUCACAAGCGUCCGACAGCUUUCAGCAACCUUUAUCUCUUUCAAUUUUCACUUGAUCUUUGAAUCUGAUUUGUUUCAUGGCUGAAAGAAUUUCUUGAGGAGAUAUUAGUAUCAUCCAUUUAUUUUGUAAACAUCAAAAGUUAGGGACUAAGAUUCACAAUUCUACCUCUUCUUCACCUACUUGAAACUUAAGUUUGCCAUUUUUAACAUCAAUAAUAGUACCUAGUGUUGUUAGAAAUGGUCUAUCAUGUAUGAUUGGCAUAGGCAUGUUUUCUUCCAUAUCUAACACCAUAAAAUCCACGGGAAUAAUAAAUUUUUACACUUUGAUCAAUACAUUUUCCAAAACUCCCAUUGGAUAUCUAAUAGACUUAUCGGCUAAUUGCAAGGUAAUAUUGGUACGUUUAAGCUCAUGUCAUCCUAGUUGUCUAGCCACGGUCAAAGGAAUUAAUGACACACUUGCAGCAAGAUCACAUAAUGCUUCCAAAAAUUCAAUGUUACCGAUAGUGCAAGGUAUAAAAAAUCUCCCCGGAUCUUUCAAUUUUGGUAACAGCUUGUUUUAUAUGAUAGCACUGCACUCUUUAGUUAAUGCUAUCAUUUCACGAUCCUCUAAUUCCCUUUUUCGUGUCAUGAUCUCCUUGAGGAACUUGGCAUAUGAAGGAAUCUGUAAAAUAGCAUCAACAAAAGGAAUAUUACUAUGCAAUUGUUUGAAAAUUUUGACAAACUUUUCAAAAUUGGUCGGCCCUCUAGCCGACGUUUCUAUACAUUCCGGUCAAUUGGUCCAACUGCCCCUCUAGCCGCUCGAAUCUCUCCGACGUACCUUUUGCCAAUUUUUCCACAGCAAUCUCCCAAUCCAGUUUGGUAUUCAUCUGUUAUUGCCUUGGUUGGAAUCCCGGUGGAUUGGUCGGCCUUUGUACAUUGCCUUUAUCUUUUCACCCAAAAUUGGGAUGAUUUCUUCACCCCGGAUUGUAGGUAUUGGAGUAUGAGUUGUUUUGAAUAUUCCUAUUAUAAUUAUUGACAAACUGAGCCUGCUUGUCGUCUUGGAUUAUUUCUUUCAUUAGCCCAUUGAUAAUUGUUUGCCGUCAUUUCUUCUAUCAAAUUUUGAGAUUUUUGAGGUGAUUUUGCCAUCAAUGCUCCACCUAUGGCUGCAUCGAUAGUAGUUUUGAUAGAAAAGGAUAAACCAUUAUAGAAGACUUGUACAAUUAGCCAAUCGAGAAGUCCAUGAUGUGGACAUUUCUGAAACAAAUCUCAAAACCUUUCCCAUGCUUCAUAUAAUGGCUCACCAUCAAAUUGACUGAAACUAGUAAUAUCCAUUCUAAAUUUAGCCGUUUUACCAGGUGGGAAGUAUUUAUUCAAAAACGCCCUAGACAAAUCAUCCCAAGUAGUGAAAGUUUUAGGGGCAUGAGAAUGUAGCCAAAUUUUAGCCUUAUCCCUCAAUGAAAAUGGGAACAACUUUAGCCUUAUAGCAUCUUCCCUGACUCCAUUCAUUUUGAUUGUAUCACAUAUCUCCAAAAAUGUGGUUAAGUGUGCAUUGGGAUCCUUUACGGCAUUACCUCCAAAUUGAAAUUGUUGUACCAUUUGGAUUAAUGAUGGUUUAAUUUCAAAAUUAUUAGCAUUUACCGUCGACUGUGCUAUACUUGUUAGAGAUAUUUGGGUUCCCGGUAGAGCAAAAUCCCUAAGAGCUCGCCUAUUUGCUUUAUUUUCUGUCAUUUCUUCUUCAAAAGGUAGCUCUAUCUCAACUCCCUCUAUUUGUUGUUGAACAUCCUCUUCUUGUCGUUCUUGUGUAUGCCUUCUUUGUUUUCGUAGUGUCAUUCCAAUUUUCGGAUCAAAAGGUGCUGCUACCCGUAAAACCCAGUGCAUACACUAGAAUAAAAAAUAAAGAGAUUAUAUAGAAUCAUUUCACAAAACUACUAGAAAUGGUAAUUUAACUAGAAACAAAGUUUAACUAACUAAUAUAAAAAAUGUCUAAAUUAAUAAAGCUUGUUAGGCCCUAAUAUUGCCACUCCCUGGCAAUGCUGCCAAAAAAUUGACGGGUUUUGAAUAUGAGUACAAGUUUAAUUCCAAAAUAUACCCAUCUUGACUGCAAGUAUAUAGGUCAUAUUAGUAGUUUAGGGCAAAUAUUAGGUCGAUCCCACAGAGAGCAACUUUACAAGCAUUAGGUCCCUACUUACUCUAUUAUUUAGACUAAUAACCGAUUUAAGCAAGAGAAUUAUAAUUACUACUAUCUUACUAGUCUUAACUAGAUAUUUGCAAGGAAACAAUAGAGAAAAUUCACUAAAUUCUUGAGUCUAGGGAUAUAGAUUCCAUUUAUGGCAUAAAAAGAUAGAAAUAAAUAGAUUUACCUCUUGUUACAACUCUUGUUUAACUAUGGAUUCAUUUUCAAUAUUACCAAAUCUCAUUCUCAUAAUGAAAUGGUGUAAACUAGACUAGUUUUCCCUAUUCUCAUGGUAAAUAACUAGAUCUACUUUUGUUUCUUUCAUGAAAUGCAAGUUUAAUCCACUUAAGUGCACCUCUAUUCUCAUGAGUCUACUACUCAAGCUCUAUUUAUGUUGUUCCAUCAUUAUUACCAACUUUCAUUGAAUAAUAACAACUAAAAUCUUGUUAUUGGUGAUCAAGCAACAACAAGUGAUAAGCAUGCAUAAAUAGACAAUUUAAUAUAAGAUGUAACUAGUGUAGAUCAUAUUCACUUCAUAUCAAGCAGCUAUAAGCUUCAUCUACUCCCUAGAUCUAAAAAUUUAGCUACUCAUAUAAUAUGUAACAAGAAAGAGCAUAGUUUCAUUGCAUGAACACAUAUUGAAUCACAAAUGAAAGAUAGAUAAAGAAAGCUUAACCAAGAUUAAUGAAGAAGCUCCCAAUGAUCUUCUAUUUCUUCAACAAAAUGAGUUGUACGAUGAAAUCUCCAAUUGUUUUCACAAAAGUUCUACAUAUAGAAAAUAAAACAAGACUAACUACUAAGCUCUCAUCCUCAAAUCUGAUGAGAACUAUCUCUAAUAUGUCCUCUUCUCCCUCUCUAAUGAUUCUAACAACUCUAGUGUUUAGAGAGUCAAAAAGUGGUGUUUUGACAAGACAUCAAUCUCAUUUUUUUCUUCCAAAAGGUUCCUUGAAUACGUGUAGCCGAAAUUCUUGUCUGGAGUUAAACUAGAAAGUAGUGUGAAAGCAGAGCAAGUGGUUGAGUAAAUUGCAGAAAUCAAGCUACAAUACGUGACUAUGGAAUACGCGACUUCAACCCACGUAUUGACAAGUCGCGUAUUAUUCUCUGUGAAUCUGGCAUCAUUUCAACUACAAUUUUCUCAAUGAUGAAGGCUGCACUAGAUCUUGUACAAAACAUAAAGGUUGUAGCCCUUUGAGCUAGCUUUCCAAUGCUUCAUGAAUCAUCCAAUUUGGAGCUCUGUGGACCGAGAUAUAACCAAAAUAACAUCAACUGGUCAGAGCUCUAUUUCAGCACUCGACCAUGCACAUGCACUUCUGUAUUUUGACUUUUUGACAAGGAAGACAACUGAACUGGAUUUCAAUGGCUUCAUAUCAAAUGUAUAUCUAUCUCUUACCUUCAAAAUAAUAUAAUAAUCACCUAAAUCCGAUGCUUGUAGCUCAUGAUAUUGCCGAAAUACCACCAUGUAUCAAAACUGUCUACACUUGCAUUUCUUCAUUUGAGUGUUUUGCACUUCAUGUCUUCUUAAAACCACUUCAAAUCAUCGAUAAUUAUCCAAUUCUCUUCUCAAUUCAUCCUAUUUGAUGAUUGAAUCAUUAAACCUACAAAACAUGAAGUUUUCACCAUUAAAAUCCAUAAAAAUGCAAUCUUUACCACUUAAACUACAAAAUGCAUUUUUUUCACUAAAACCCUAGUUAUCUAGCUAUGAAACUAAAUAAAACACACCAAAACUAACUAAUAAAACUCACUAAAAAUACGUAAAAUAUACUCUUAUCAUCAUAUAAGCUCCAACUCUCUAUCUUGCUCCUUAAUUGUUCAUCCAAAUCUAACUACAAGUACAAAAUGGAUAAACUACACUAACUAUACUAUACUAAUGAACUAAACUAAUGAACUAAGAAAAACUAAUGAAGACUACAUUUUGGUACUGUUUCUAGCUUUCCCAAGUUAUAAAAAACGUUCUCCAAGGCCCCUAUUUAUAGAGGAAUUCAAAUUACAAAUGAGUGUUAAAGUUGAUGUGAAAUGCAUCUUGAGAUUUCCAAAAUAUUCUUCUAUAAGUUUCCAUACUUUUCUUUAUAGUUACGGCCAAAAUUCUGAGCUAGAAAAGCUGUGUGAAUGCAGAACAAGUUAAGAUGCAACUUGCAGCUUUGUUUGAAGAAUACACAGGCAUGAGGACGUGUAUUGACCAGCACUUUGCCUUAUUGUUGGUUUCCUCAUUUCUGAUUAGUCUUCAACUUUACUCUAUUUUUGUACCAAAUUUCACGGCUAUUUUCUCGAUGAUGGAGGCUGAACUAGCUGUUUUGCAAAACAUGAAAGUAUGAGUUAGCUUUUCAAUGCUUCAAGAAUCAUCCAAUUUUGAGCUCUGUAUAUUGCUAAAUGAUCAAAACAUCCUUGACUAGUCAAAACUCUAUUUCAACUUUCGACAACAAAAAUGGCCGACUAUAUUUCGACCUUUUGAAUAGGAAAAUGCAUGAACUGUAUUUCGAUAUCUCCAUAAGAAAUGUAGAGCUAUAUGUCAGAUUCAAAAUGUUUUAAGAAUCACCUCAUCCCAAUACUUGUAGCUAAAGAUAUAGCUGAAAUACCAACAGGUAUCAAGCUGUCAAACUCCCUUUCUUUUAUACUUGAUUGCAUUUCAUCUUUUGAACAUUUAGCACUUCUUAUUCUCUUUAAAUCACUUCAAAUUAUCAACAAUCAUCCAAAUAUCUUCUCAAUUCAUUUCAUUUGAUGAUUGAAUUGUUGAAACAUACAAAAGAUAAAGUUUUCACCACUUUAAUCCAUAGAAACGCAAUUUUUCACACGUAGGCUGCAAAAUGUCAACUUCACUUGAAUCUUAGUUAAUUAGUUAUAAAAAUGAUUAAAACAUACCAAAUUAAAUAAUAAAACACACUUAAAUCACUCAAAAUACACACUUAUCAAAGAAAGACCAAGGACAAUCUGGGGCCAUUUACAAAAAGUCAUCGCCGGAUUAGAUGAGAGUAUCGGGGGCCAAAUAAUGAAUUUCGAAUCAAAUACCAAACCGGAUACCCGUUAGAAGGUUUGGCAAGAGAAAGGCUGUUAAACAAUAUACGAUGUUGGAUAGAUAGAGUCAUCCCGGAUAAUCACACCAAAUACUUGUUAGAGAGUUUUCAAAAGAAGGAUGUUCAGUAGUAUAUGGCGCCAGAUAGUGAAAUUUGCUUCAAAUGCCGCCCCAGAUAUUUGAGCGAAAUAAUUUUGUGAGUUGUAUAACUUGCGCAACUUUCAGUCAACUUUUCAACUCUCUCUCCUAUGACAGCUAUGACGAUUUGGCAGCAGCUUUUUGGACUUAAGACAUUAACUUUUGCCACUUUUUGUCAACUUUAUGUCAUUCACUUUAACCUUUUUGACUCUUCAAGACAAAAGAGUCUUCUUGUGGGGGAUUGAAGAGUUUUGAAGAUUAUAAAUAGAGGGGCUUAAUUUUAGUCUUAGAAAAACUUUUGGUUGUAGUUAGUUUUAGAGAGGAAAGAAGUUUUGGAGCAAAUAAGAAAGGCAAAAGAUGUUGUGUCUUACCCUUUGAGGCAAGACAUAAGCUCUCAGCAAAUGUAGCUCUUUUCACCUUUUCAUGUUUCAGUGUUGGAUUGUGUAGGAUAAUUUAGUUGUUGUCCAUCCAUUUUGUGUUGGCUUAACAAGGAGGCCGAUGGAGAUGAACAUGGAGGGACUCGAGAUACUCUAGUGACAAGAAUUUUUCUUCUCUCAAUCUUUGUAUCUUUGUAUUGGAUUCUAAAUUUUGUUAAUGCAAGUUUGGAUAUUAUGUUAUUGAUGUAGUUAAUGCAAGAGAAACCUUUUCUCUUGACUCUUCAUCUAAUAAUUGAAGAAUGGCCGUGGCAUUUACUUCAACUAUUUUGCGUGGGAUUUCUUCAAUAGAGAUAAACUAAACUUUUCGUUCUAGUUAAGGAACAAUUGAGGAUUUAAUUUAGCUAAAAUUGUGAGAUCGAAUUGACUAUAUUUAUUUCUUUAAUUUACUGAUAUUCGUAUGUUCCCUGAUUUAAUUUCUUAUGGUUAUUAUGUUAUUUGAAUAUCCAGGGCCCAGUGUUUAAAUUAAUCUAAUAACCUAAAUCCAAUUAGUGCAGUUAAAUCUGUAAUUGUUUAAUUACUUUAAAAUAGUGGUAACUGGCAUGAUUGACUUUCUGUCAGGGGGGUAUACGGGCUAAUUAAAAUAACUCUCGUAGCGUGUUAUUUGGUUAGAACAUGGCUUCUCUAAUGAUUAAUGCAAUUGAAAAAUUGAAUUCUAAGGUCAUGCCUAGGGUUAUUUUAUGAUUAGAGUAGUGGUUAACGAUCAUAUAUUAAUCACCAAUACAGUAAGGAGAAUUUGACUGUCAUCGCUUUUGGCAGUUAUAACUUGUUUAUCAAUAAAAAAAUUUUGAAUUAUUAUUGCAUCAAUGAUCAAUUAAAUGAACUAUUUCCAAAGUUAUUUCUUGGCUACAGUUUAUCUAUUAUUACUUCAAUUUUAAUAAAUUGUCAUUUAAUUUUCAUUUAUUUAUUUUAUUUGAGUUAUUUCAUUAUUCUCAAUUUUAUAAAAAUUCCCCAUCCUCUGGGCUCUAAAAGAAACGAAUUUUCUCUAGUGCCUGUGGAUUCAACUCUGUUCACUGCUAUACACAAAAAUUUGUAUUUUAUUUUAGUAGGCAUUUAUUAUUGCACAAACUCGAUACCUGUCAUAAAAACAAACCAAAAACUAAGUAAUAAAACAUAUUAAAAAUAUGCAAAAUAAACACACUUUGUUCAUCUCCUAAUGGAUUUAUUUCCUAAGCAUGAGUUUUGCAACCCCUCACAUUGAAUCUCAAUGAUUGAUUUCAGUGCUUAUAAAGGCCUCUAUCUUUUCUCACGUUUGUUUCAUAGUCUACUUAUAUUGGUUUGCUAUUAAUUCUAACUAGACAUUUACUAGUCAUGUAGAAUUUAUUCCUUCUUAUCACUUAAUGCAUAAGCCUUAUUAAGCAUUAAAUUUAUCAGUUACAACCAAAAGGCAAAUGCCUCGCAUUUCAAUCUUUAUUGUCAGUACUUAACUUAUAUUAGCCAUUCAUACUGAUUUAUUUUAUUAUAUAGCUUCUAGAAUGUUAAUCAUCAUGUUCUUACCAUUCAGUGGCAGAUUUAAGGUGGGGGGCAUGGCCCCAUUGUCCCCCUUAAAUUCCUAUAGUACCCAUAGAAUUUUGAUAUAAUCUUAAAUGUGUCUCCGAAAUUUUCUUAUGAAAGAAGUGAAAGAAUUACGUGGUCCUCUAAGUUGAUUCAUGAACUAAUAUUCUAAAAGAAUAUGUGGGACACAAAAUUGCAUUUGAAGUAAGCCAAAAACAAGCUUUUCAUUUCAACUUGUUGGUGAAAUUUUUUUUUUUUUGCUUAAAAAACUAGAAAAAGAGUAGGUAAAAAAAUUUAGUAUUACUUUACUUUUGCCCCCACUGAGAAUUUUUUUUGGUUCCGCCACUGUUACCAUUAUCUAGAUUAUGAACUUCUAUCCUUUUGGGGAUAUUCGUUAAAAUUGGAACGAUUCUGAACUCCUCAAAUAAUAGGUUAUCUACUAUGAACCUUUGGAAUUUGUUUCAGGAUUACCGAGGACGCAAAGGGGACAUGAUGCCGUUUGGGUGAUCGUUGAUCGAUUAACCAAAUCGGCCCAUUUCUUGCCGGUGAACAUGAAAUAUUCAAUGGACAAAAUGACCCGACUGUACAUGGACGAGAUAGUAAGGCUACACGGUGUUCCUGUGAGCAUCGUCUCCGAUCGGGAUCCACGGUUUGUAUCUCGAUUUUGGCAGAAGUUUCAAGAAAUUCUGGGGACUAAACUCAAUUUGAGCACGACCUAUCAUCCUCAGACGGAUGGCCAGUCGAAACGGACCAUUCAAACUCUCGAGGACUUGCUACGAACUUGCAUUCUGGACUUUGGUGGCAACUGGGGACAGCACAUGACCUUGGUGGAGUUCGCGUACAACAAUAGCUUCCAUUCGUCGAUUCAAAUGGCUCCGUACGAAGCUCUCUACGGACGCAAGUGCCGGUCACCGAUUUACUGGGACGAAGUUGGCGAAAAGAAAGCACUGGACCCGGCAACUAUUCCAUGGAUGGAAGAGGCUCACGAGAAGGUCAAGUUGAUACGGCAACGACUUCAAACAGCUCAGAGUCAACAAAAGAGCUACGCGGAUAAUCGAAGAAAAGACUUGGAGUUUGAAGUUGGAGACUACGUAUUUCUCAAGAUCACACCCUUACGAAAUCUCACAGCGGGCAAAGGAAAGAAACUUCAACCACGGUACGUCGGACCCUACAAGAUCCUUCAGAGGGUAGGAGCGGUCGCGUAUCGAUUGGAACUACCGUCCAGUCUCUCUCGAAUCCACGAUGUAUUUCACGUCUCGAUGCUAAAGAAGUACCAUCCUGACCCAUCCCAUGUAUUGCAACCGGAGGAUAUCGAAGUAGAUGAAUCACUGGCCUAUGAAGAGAAACCGGUCCAAGUGCUCGAUCGAAAAGUCAAAGAGCUCAGAAACAAGCGGAUUCCGCUAGUGAAGGUGCUAUGGAGAAACCACGGAGUUGAGGAAGCUACCUGGGAGAUGGAAGAGGAAAUGCGAAAGAAAUACCCAAACCUUUUCGGGAAUUAAGGUGAGAAAUUUCGAGGACGAAAUUCUUUUAAGGGGGAGAGAGUGUGAGAACCCGUAAAACCCUAAUUAUUUUCCUAGGGUUUAACCGUUUGAAUAGCAUGUUUUCUGCGUUUUCUGGCUUAGAAAUAUUUUCUUGGUGGAUUUUAUGAGCAAAUAUAGUUUUUAGAUAAUUUUUCUAGUAUUGAAGAGUUUUUGAAAAAUUGAGGAUAAAUAACGGACGUGGGACGGACGUGGGACCCACUAGUGCGAAAAGUUCGGAAAAAUUCGGCCAAUUAGGUUAAAUUCUGGAUGCUGUGUGAAAUUUAUCGGGUGCUAAGAGAUAAGUAGAGUGUGUGAUAUGAUUGAUGUGAGAGGAAAAAGAAAAGAUAAGAUUGCAUUUAAUGAGGUGACACUUGUCACCAUUAGAGUGGACAUGACUUAAGAAACACUAUUCAUUUUUUUGACUUUUGACCCAUUUGAUUAAAUAUCUUUAAAAUUCACAAAAAAUUACCAUUUCUUACCUCUUGUUGGCCGGCCAUCUUGAGCAAGGAAGGAAGAAGAAACUCUUCAAGUUCUAGCUACUACUUGGUGCAAAUCACCCAAAAACAUUUGCUUACAUCCAUUUCUACUCCAUAAAAUCUUUCUAGUUGGUGAUAGUGGUUGGUUUGGUGAAGUUUUCUUGAAGAGCUAAGGUGGUCUACAACUCCUCUUCUCUUGUUUCCUAGGUAAGUGAUGAUUAAACAUCCUACUACACUUAAUGAUGCUUAAAUGGUGCCUAAUGGGACCUAAAGUGAUGGAUUAUGUGAUUUAUUUCUUGAUUUGAAGUGAUGUAGUGAAGUUUUUAUUUUUUUGGGGAAUUUUCUGAUUUAAUAUGAAUGUGAUGUUGUGAUCAUCUAUGAUGGUUGAUAAUGAGGGGGAAAGACUCUAGUAGGUGUGAAUUAGGGAUAAUAGCAACUAAUUUUGGCUUUGGAGUGAAUUGUGAAAUGUUAGGGUUUCAAAACCCCUAAUUCUGUCCGGUUUUGGAUCAUAGGGUUAGAGGCCGAAUUGGACUUUGCUCAAAACAUGAAAGUUGUAAGUAUUGAUGAGUUGGAAGUGCCUGCAAAAUUUCAGAUCAUUUGGAUUAGUGUAGAGUGAGAUAUGUCGAUUUUACUGUUGCUGUUCUGGGUUGAUCAGAAUGCGAAAACUGCACUUGUAAUUGGCCAUUUUGACUGGGAUUGGUUUGGAUUUUAUUGUUGGUGUCUUCUGAUGAAAUGUAGCUUGAUGUCCUAGAUACCAUAUGCCUUUGGAAUUUCGGCAUUUGGACCUGUAUAGACUGAGUUGUGUUAAUUACAGCAUAGUGUGAUUUGUAAACCUGGAAUUACGGUUCUGGAUUUGGUAUUCUGCAUUUUUGACCUAGUUGUGCUAGGAUUUGGACUGAGUGGCCUUCUACAAUAUUGUAGCCCUGUUUCUUAGCUUCGAAACGGUGGGUCUUACACCCCAUCCGAUAACCGUAGUGAAUUUGGUGCCAUUACCGCAUAUUGAGGUCAAAUAUGGUUUCUUUGUUAAGGCUUAAGCUUAAGCCAUUUCUUAAUUUCUGGUUACCAAUGAUGCUUAUUUAUGCAUAUAAACCCUAUUGGGGGUUAUGAUUGGCAUUGCUAUAUGACUCGUUAUCGAGUGUCAUUGCAUUUGUUUGCAUGAUUCUAGGGCGUGACGGUAGUGCUCGACGGAUUGGUGACCACGGUGUAUGAAACAUCACUUACGUGGUUGGUGAGUAUACUACUCACUUAAAUGUUCUAAUGUGGCUUUGCUAUAUGUGGUUGUGUUGCCUUGAAGGCUUAUUUGGAUAUUGUAAUUGAUUAAGGUGAGGGUGUACUUGACCGCCCUCACCCCUUUUGAUCGUAUCACUGAUUGUCUACCGUUUCACUGUCUUACUGAACUUGAUAUAUGAGUUAUUGCAUUCCAUUUCAUGGAAACUGAUUUGGUGUGGUUUGGACGAAUGUCCAACGACCUUACUGUAUCACUGAGCUCAACUCCGUUAGGUAGUCAAUUGGAUCGAGCCGGCGAGGGAUUGGUCGUGAUAAUUGAUAUGCCACGGGGACUGUACUGGGGAAUCUUGUAGUAAUGAGACUCUUGAUUCCGGUAAACUCGAGUAUUACCAAAAUGACUGAAUGGAGUGCGGGCCCGGUUGGGGAAUGUUGGGUGGAAGGAAUGGAAGUAAAGAGUUGUCUACGGUUGGUUAUUUUUUUACAUUGACGGAGGGUCAAUGAGGUUGGAUCAAGAAUAUAUGCGAGGAAAUGGGCUCUUGAGAGCCGUCCGUAUCCUUUCACUGAUUUGAUUUACUUCUUACUUGCAUACUUGAACUGAACGGUUAUGCUUAUGUGAUAUUAGUUGCUAUGGUGGUAUUCUCACUGGGCAUUUAGCUCACCCCGUUUCUUUUGUUUUCCUUACAGGAAUAUGACUCUUUUGGAAUGAAUUUUGUUAAAUGGUUGCCGAAUGAACUAGAUGAAUGCCUCUUUUGGUAUUGUAUAUAAAAUGGGACCCUAAAUGUAUCAUUAGGGCCGUUUUCACUUUUGUUUUGGCAACCCACAUAUGUAGUGACUUUUGUAUCACUUUUAAAUGCCAUUGUGGCUUGUAAAUGGUUAAUGUUAUGUUGUAUAUGUAUUUCGGUGUUUGGUUGGAUUUUGGGAUGGUUCGGUUACUAUUCAUGGCCGACCCUGGAUUUCAUUUCUUUUAUUUUGGGUUAUUUUGCCCUUUUGCCUUGUUUGCGCGCAUUAUAAGUUUCAGAACGUGAUAGAUCGCUUUAUACUGCACCGUUAGUCCUGGCGAGAGUUGGGCAGGCAGUCCGCUAACCUCUUUGGUUCGCCUUAGGGGAAUGUGGGGCUGUCACAGGUGGUAUCAGAGCCUAGGUUUGAACUAGCCUGGGUGUUAUAGGACUGCUUGAUUUGAGGAUUUAUUGUUUAUGGUCUUUAAACUUAUUGAUGCUUAUUUACACUUUUGGUGUAGGAUGGACAGAUCCAGUGGACCUAGUGAUGGCCCUGCGGGCAAGCGACCCCGUGUAGCGCUCCCGAUGAUUAAGUACCAGAUCCGGCCAAAGGGGGCCGUUCUACGUUGGAGUCCGGCUAAUCGCCGUAGACACUGCGAGUGCCGCCACACUUAUGCUUACCCGAAUGCAAACGUUUUGGCGGUUGUGAAGGAAAGGAAGGAGCUGGCAAAAGCUAUUGCCAAGCUUGAGGCUGAGGUGAAUCAGUUGAGGGCGGCCAACGAGGGGCAAGCUAAGAGGAUCGAGGGUCUGAAGUACGAUGUACUAGAGGCUGAGGAUAGAGUUGAUGAUCUCUGUGCCCAGCUUAGGGAGGCGCGUGAGCGCGAGUCUAAGAGGGCUCGAAAGGUGAGGAAUCGAGCCGCUGCAAUCCUGAACCUCUGUUCGGAGGUAGUGGAGGGAGUGAGCGACGAGGACUCCUGUGCGGGGUCCGAGGCGGGGGAGGAGUCUACCCCGUCGCCUGGGUCCCAGAGCCCAGCGACUGACUAGGCCUUGAUUCUUAGGCUUUUUUUUGGAUAGUUGGUGGUUUUGUAUGUACAUAGGGAUAGGGAUAGAGCCUUAGCUAACCGUUUUGGAUGUUGGGUUAGCUACGUGUAAAUCUCUUUUGAUAGGCCAAUCCUCGGGGGGAUCGUUUAUGUACGUACGUGCCUUGGCCGUACUUGACUUGACUGAUUGUAUAUAUGUGUGUGGCUUGAUCUUGUCUGGCUUGUAUAUAUGUGCUUGUGAUCAUGUUUGAAAUGUAUCAAUAUGUGUUAAUGUGAAAGUUUUGCGUAUUACUUACGUGCUUUGUUACUGCUUUGGUUUAGUGCUUUUGCCUAGACCGAGUGAAACUUAUGGAAGGUACACGGAGUGGCCGGGGACGCGGGCGCGGUAUUAGACAACCCGCACCGGUUAGGGAAACGGGGGAAACCUCUACUGGACCCAAUCCUGAACCGCAGAUAUAGCCGCUGCUAUGCAGCAAAUGACAAACCUACUGGCACAAGUAGUGCAACAACAGGGCCAGAACCCAAAUUCUAACCCCGGAAACCCUGGCCAUCAUAUUGAGAGCGAAGAUAGAGCUCUAGAACGUUUUCAAAAGUUUUCCCCGCCAAAGUUUGUUGGGGGACCUGACCCUGACGUUGCUGAGAAAUGACUUGAGAAAAUGGUUGAUAUAUUCGCGGCCCUACACUACCCUGACGAACGGCAGGUCACUUUUGCCGUGUUCCAGCUUGAGGGCGCGGCCCGUUCCUGGUGGAACGUAAUUAGACAGAAAUGGGAGCGGGAGCAGACACCCAGGACUUGGGUGAACUUCAUCCGAGAAUUUAAUGCAAAAUUUUUUCCUCCUCUAGUCCAGGAGAGGAAGGAGGACGAGUUUAUAAGGCUUCGCCAAGGGACUCAGACGGUGGCGGAAUAUGAGAGUCAAUUCACCCGCCUGUCCAAGUUUGCGCCGGAGUUAAUCAUGACUGAGCAACGACGGGUGAGGCGCUUUAUCCAGGGUUUGAACGUUGAGAUCCAGAAAGACCUCGCGGCGGCUCAAAUCACUACGUUUAGCGAGGCAAUGGAAAAAGCCCAACGAGUUGAAAGUGCACGGCUGCAGGUCCGAAACUUCCAGGCUAAGAAGCGUGGUUUUCCUGGGAGUACGUCUGGAUAAGGUGAGAGGAGUACUCCCUCGAAAUUUGGACGAGGAACGGGUGGUGGCCGACAAUCGGGUUCAGGCAGAGGGACUCCGUUUAGGGGUGGUCAAGCUGGGCGAGGACAGAGGGGAAUUGCUCAGAGUGGCUCGGCUUCGGCACCUCGCGGUCCCUGUGGGCACUGUGGGAAGGCAAACCACACUGAGGAUAAUUGCUGGAGGAAAUAGGGUAAGUGCCUGCGGUGUGGAAGUACGGACCAUCAAUUAGCUACUUGCCCGGUCCAGAAACAAGACGGAAAGGGGAGCCAACCAUCGUCGAGGGCCAAUAUUGGACCAGCGAAGGGAGAUGGGUCCAAACCUAAGGUGCCGGCUAGGGUGUAUUCCUUAGAGCCCCAUCAGGUUCCAGAAUCUUCUGAGGUUGUAGAAGGUACGAUCCCUAUUUUCCACCGCUUUGCCAAAGUUUUAAUUGAUCCUGGUGCCACUCAUUCGUUUGUUAACCCUGAUUUCAUGUGUGGCAUCGAUAUAAAAUCUGCUAGUUUACCAUAUGACCUAGAAGUUAGUACACCUACGGGAAAUCAACGUUUGGUGACUAGUAUGGUUUAUAGGGAUUGCGAGGUAUGGGUAGGUGAAAGGAGUUUUUUAGGAGACCUGAUUAGCUUGUCCAUUAAGGGGUACGAUGUGAUUCUGGGUAUGGACUGGCUAGCCAAAUAUAACGCCCAACUGGAUUGUAAAACGAAAGUAGUAGAGUUUCGCAUUCCUGGUGAGGCAACUUUGAGAUUGGAUAUAAGGGGUAGGUUAGCCUCAUCCGCUCUAAUUUCGGGCAUUCGAGCUAGGAAACUGAUAAGUCGAGGGGCGCAAGGAUUUUUGGCCUUUUUAAUUAAUACCCCUACGGAUAAGUUAAAAGUGGAAGACGUGGCCAUAGUGAGGGAAUUUCCGGAUGUAUUUCCUGAUGAGUUAGUAGCCUUACCUCUGGAAAGAGAGAUAGAAUUUCGAAUAGACCUGUUGCCUGGAACCGCACCUAUCUCGAAAACCCCUUACCGAAUGGCGCCUGCAGAACUUAAGGAACUUAAGUUGCAAUUACAAGAUCUUUUGGAGCGGGGAUUCAUUCACGAGAGUGGGUCUCCUUGGGGAGCUCCUGUCCUAUUUGUGAAGAAGAAGGACGGAACCUUGAGGAUGUGCAUUGAUUACCGGGGGCUGAACAACGUAACCAUCAAGAAUAAGUAUCCACUGCCUCACAUCGACGAGUUGUUUGACCAGCUGCAAGGAGCAGUGGUCUUCUCCAAGUUGGACCUCCGGCAGGGAUACUAUCAGUUGUUGAUUAGGAUGGAGGACAUUCCGAAAACUGCUUUCAACUCAAGAUACGGGCAUUACGAGUUCGCCGUUAUGCCCUUUGGACUGACCAAUGCUCCCGCCGCCUUUAUGGACCUAAUGCAUCGGGUUUUUAAACCCUAUCUAGACCGAUUUGUCGUGGUGUUCAUUGAUGACAUUUUGGUCUACUCUAAGACACGCGAGGAGCAUGAGGAGCAUUUGAGAGUGGUGUUGCAGACAUUGAGGGAACAUCAGCUGUACGCCAAGUUUAGUAAAUGCGAGUUCUAGUUGGAGAAAGUAGCAUUUUUAGGUCACAUGAUCUCCCACGAAGGUAUUUCGGUGGACCCGGCGAAGGUAGAGGCCGUGACAAAUUGGAAGAGGCCAGAAAACCCCACGGAAAUUCGCAGCUUUCUAGGGCUAGCUGGAUACUACCGAAGGUUCAUUAAAGAUUUUUCCAAAUUAGCAGGACCUCUAACUGACCUGACGAAGAAGCAUGGCCAGUUUAUCUGGAACGGCCGAUGCGAAACAAGUUUUCAGGAAUUAAAGAAAAGAUUGACCAUGGCUCCGGUACUGGUCUUGCCAAAUGGAGUGGACGGGUUUGCGGUUUAUGCGGACGCGUCGCGAGAAGGCCUGGGGUGCGUUUUGAUGCAGAACCGGAAUGUGAUUUCGUUUGCCUCUAGAAAAUUGAAGCUUCACGAGCAGAACUAUCCGACUCACGAUCUGGAACUAGCUGCAGUUGUCUUUGCACUGAAAAAGUGGAGGCAUUACCUAUAUGGGGUGACUUUCGAAGCGUAUUCGGAUCACAAAAGUCUUAAGUACCUUUUCUCCCAGAAGGAAUUGAACAUGAGGCAACGAAGGUGGAUGGAAUUCCUGGAAGAUUACGACUGCACAAUCAAUUACCAUCCGGGAAAGGCAAAUGUGGUAGCAGAUGCUUUGAGCCGUAAGGUGCAAGUAGCAGGGUUGAUGAUUAAGGAGUGGGAUUUAUUAGAAUCCGUGUGCGAGUGGAGACCCUGUCUUGGGAGCCAUAAGGUGAUAUUUAGUAAUGUUAGGGUGACCUCCGCUCUACUGGAACGCAUAAAAGAGGCACAAAAAGAAGAUUUAAUGGUACGGAAGUGGAGCGAGAAAGUGGAAAAGGGAGAAACUACGGACUUCAAUUUGAGUCCUGAAGGCAUUUUGAAAUAUCGAAACCGAAUAGUGGUACCGAAGGAAGAAUCGUUGAAAACGGAAAUUCUGGAGGAAGCUCAUCGGUCCAAGUAUACAAUCCAUCCGGGCAGCAGCAGGAUGUAUCAAGACCUGAAAGGAACCUAUUGGUGGGACAAUAUGAAGAGGGAAAUCGCUCAGUACGUGCAGAAAUGUCUCAUUUGCCAACAGGUGAAAGCAGAGCAUCAAAAACCAUCGGGUUUGUUACAACCCUUGGAGAUACCCGAAUGGAAGUGGGAAAACAUCACAAUGGACUUUGUUUCAGGAUUACAGAGGACGCAAAGGGGACAUGAUGCCGUUUGGGUGAUCGUUGAUCGAUUAACCAAAUCGGCCCAUUUCUUGCCGGUGAACAUGAAAUAUUCAAUGGACAAACUGACCCGACUGUACAUGGACGAGAUAGUAAGGCUACAUGGUGUUCCUGUGAGCAUCGUCUCCGAUUGGGAUCCACGGUUUGUAUCUCGAUUUUGGCAGAAGUUUCAAGAAAUUCUGGGGACUAAACUCAAUUUGAGCACGACCUAUCAUCCUCAGACGGAUGGCCAGUCGGAACGGACCAUUCAAACUCUCGAGAACAUGCUACGAACUUGCAUUCUGGACUUUGGUGGCAACUGGGGACAGCACAUGACCUUGGUGGAGUUCGCGUACAACAAUAGCUUCCAUUCGUCGAUUCAAAUGGCUCGGUACGAAGCUCUCUACGGACGCAAGUGCCGGUCACCGAUUUACUGGGACGAAGUUGACGAAAAGAAAGCACUGGACCCGGCAACUAUUCCAUGGAUGGAAGAGGCUCACGAGAAGGUCAAGUUGAUACGGCAACGACUUCAAACAGCUCAGAGUCAACAAAAGAGCUACGCGGAUAACCGAAGAAAAGACUUGGAGUUUGAAGUUGGAGACUACGUAUUUCUCAAGAUCACACCCUUACGAAGUCUCACAGCGGGCAAAGGAAAGAAACUUCAACCACGGUACGUCGGACCCUACAAGAUCCUCCAGAGGGUAGGAGCGGUCGCGUAUCGAUUGGAACUACCGUCCAGUCUCUCUCGAAUCCACGAUGUAUUUCACGUCUCGAUGCUAAAGAAGUACCAUCCUGACCCAUCCCAUGUAUUGCAACCGGAGGAUAUCGAAGUAGAUGAAUCACUGGCCUAUGAAGAGAAACCGGUCCAAGUGCUCGAUCGAAAAGUCAAAGAGCUCAGAAACAAGCGGAUUCCGCUAGUGAAGGUGCUAUGGAGAAACCACGGAGUUGAGGAAGCUACCUGGGAGAUGGAAGAGGAAAUGCGAAAGAAAUACCCAAACCUUUUCGGGAAUUAAGGUGAGAAAUUUCGAGGACGAAAUUCUUUUAAGGGGGAGAGAGUGUGAGAACCCGUAAAACCCUAAUUAUUUUCCUAGGGUUUAACCGCUUGAAUAGCAUGUUUUCUGCGUUUUCUGGCUUAGAAAUAUUUUCUUGGUGGAUUUUAUGAGCAAAUAUAGUUUUUAGAUAAUUUUUCUAGUAUUGAAGAGUUUUUGAAAAAUUGAGGAUAAAUAACGGACGUGGGACGGACGUGGGACCCACUAGUGCGAAAAGUUCGGAAAAAUUCGGCCAAUUAGGUUAAAUUCUGGAUGCUGUGUGAAAUUUAUCGGGUGCUAAGAGAUAAGUAGAGUGUGUGAUAUGAUUGAUGUGAGAGGAAAAAGAAAAGAUAAGAUUGCAUUUAAUGAGGUGACACUUGUCACCAUUAGAGUGGACAUGACUUAAGAAACACUAUUCAUUUUUUUGACUUUUGACCCAUUUGAUUAAAUAUCUUUAAAAUUCACAAAAAAUUACCAUUUCUUACCUCUUGUUGGCCGGCCAUCUUGAGCAAGGAAGGAAGAAGAAACUCUUCAAGUUCUAGCUACUACUUGGUGCAAAUCACCCAAAAACAUUUGCUUACAUCCAUUUCUACUCCAUAAAAUCUUUCUAGUUGGUGAUAGUGGUUGGUUUGGUGAAGUUUUCUUGAAGAGCUAAGGUGGUCUACAACUCCUCUUCUCUUGUUUCCUAGGUAAGUGAUGAUUAAACAUCCUACUACACUUAAUGAUGCUUAAAUGGUGCCUAAUGGGACCUAAAGUGAUGGAUUAUGUGAUUUAUUUCUUGAUUUGAAGUGAUGUAGUGAAGUUUUUAUUUUUUUGGGGAAUUUUCUGAUUUAAUAUGAAUGUGAUGUUGUGAUCAUCUAUGAUGGUUGAUAAUGAGGGGGAAAGACUCUAGUAGGUGUGAAUUAGGGAUAAUAGCAACUAAUUUUGGCUUUGGAGUGAAUUGUGAAAUGUUAGGGUUUCAAAACCCCUAAUUCUGUCCGGUUUUAGAUCAUAGGGUUAGAGGCCGAAUUGGAUUUUGCUCAAAACAUGAAAGUUGUAGGUAUUGAUGAUUUUGAAGUGCCUACAAAAUUUCAGGUCAUUUGGAUUAGUGUAGAGUGAGAUAUGUCGAUUUUACUGUUGCUGUUCUGGGUUGAUCAGAAUGCGAAAACUGCACUUGUAAUUGGCCAUUUUGACUGGGAUUGGUUUGGAUUUUAUUGUUGGUGUCUUCUGAUGAAAUGUAGCUUGAUGUCCUAGAUACCAUAUGCCUUUGGAAUUUCGGUAUUUGGACCUGUAUAGACUGAGUUGUGUUAAUUACAGCAUAGUGUGAUUUGUAAACCUGUAAUUACGGUUCUGGAUUUGGUAUUCUGCAUUUUUGACCUAGUUGUGCUAGGAUUUGGACUGAGAGGCCUUCUACAAUAUUGUAGCCCUGUUUCUUAGCUUCGAAAUGGUGGGUCUUACACCCCAUCCGAUAACCGUAGUGAAUUUGGUGCCAUUACCGCAUAUUGAGGUCAAAUACGGUUUCUUUGUUAAGGCUUAAGCUGAAGUCAUUUCUUAAUUUCUGGUUACCAAUAAUGCUUAUUUAUGCAUAUAAACCCUAUUGGGGGUUAUGAUUGGCAUUGCUAUAUGACUCGUUAUCGAGUCUCAUUGCAUUUGUUUGCAUGAUUCUAGGGCGUGACGGUAGUGCUCGACGGAUUGGUGACCACGGUGUAUGAAACAUCACUUACGUGGUUGGUGAGUAUACUACUCACUUAAAUGUUCUAAUGUGGCUUUGCUAUAUGUGGUUGUGUUGCCUUGAAGGCUUAUUUGGAUAUUGUAAUUGAUUAAGGUGAGGGUGUACUUGACCGCCCUCACCCCUUUUGAUCGUAUCACUGAUUGUCUACCGUUUCACUGUCUUACUGAACUUGAUAUAUGAGUUAUUGCAUUCCAUUUCAUGGAAACUGAUUUGGUGUGGUUUGGACGAAUGUCCAAUGACCUUACUGUAUCACUGAGCUCAACUCCGUUAGGUAGUCAAUUGGAUCGAGCCGGCGAGGGUUUGGUCGUGAUAAUUGACAUGCCACGGGGACUGUACUGGGGAAUCUUGUAGUAAUGAGACUCUUGAUUCCGGUAAACUCGAGUAUUACCAAAAUGACUGAAUGGAGUGCGGGCCCGGUUGGGGAAUGUUGGGUGGAAGGAAUGGAAGUAAAGAGUUGUCUACGGUUGGUUAUUUUUUUACAUUGAUGGAGGGUCAAUGAGGUUGGAUCAAGAAUAUAUGCGAGGAAAUGGGCUCUUGAGAGCCAUCCGUAUCCUUUCACUGAUUUGAUUUACUUCUUACUUGCAUACUUGAACUGAACGGUUAUGCUUAUGUGAUAUUAGUUGCUAUGGUGGUAUUCUCACUGGGCAUUUAGCUCACCCCGUUUCUUUUGUUUUCCUUACAGGAAUAUGACUCUUUUGGAAUGAAUUUUGUUAAAUGGUUACCGAAUGAACUAGAUGAAUGCCUCUUUUGGUAUUGUAUAUAAAAUGGGACCCUAAAUGUAUCAUUAGGGCCGUUUUCACUUUUGUUUUGGCAACCCACAUAUGUAGUUACUUUUGUAUCACUUUUAAAUGCCAUUGUGGCUUGUAAAUGGUUAAUGUUAUGUUGUAUAUGUAUUUCGGUGUUUGGUUGGGUUUUGGGAUGGGUCGGUUACUAUUCAUGGCCGACCCUGGAUUUCAUUUCUUUUAUUUUGGGUUAUUUUGCCCUUUUGCCUUGUUUGCGCGUAUUAUAAGUUUCAGAACGUGAUAGAUCGCUUUAUACUGCACCGUUAGUCCUGGCGAGAGUUGGGCAGGCAGUCCGCUAACCUCUUUGGUUCGCCUUAGGGGAAGGUGGGGCUGUCACAUUGAACACUUGAUUCACUCUCAUCAUUCAUUGCUUUUCUAUAAAUUUCUGGCUUAUUGGUUUUCGGUUAUAAAAGAACUAUUACAAUAUAUACCUGACACAUAAAUAUACCUAGCUUCUCAUAAGUUACUACUUCUAGCAUUUUUCCCUCUAAAAUUAAAAAUUAUAUCCCAAAACCCACAAAAUAUUAAACUUAUACACUUAUAUUGUAAAUCCAAAAGUACGGAGUUUCACAACCGAUAUUUGUCGUGUUAAUAUCUACAACUAUUAGACUUAGUGUCCAUAUUAUAUUAUGGAGUUGAAACUAAUUACUAAACAUGCCCUGAAUCCGUAGUUCGGAGUUUGAACAAGAGAAUUGCAACAGAGGAUAACGAUCACGUGCUAGUAAGCUUCAUUCAUUUCGAUAGAGAUAAUUAUGCCUACUACGGAUAUCUUGACUAAGAAUUUAAUUAAAUAAGAUUCAAUUUGUUCUUUCUUCUUCUAUUUUUUUUUCAGUUAAUAAAUCUAGAAGUAGACUGGAACCGAGGGCAGAAAAAUCAAAACUAUACAAGUUAUCACUAGCUGAGAAAAUUCAAAUGCAAUUAUGGCAAUUGAUUCGUUAUUCUUGUCGUGGGGGAACAUGUACAGACAUGCACCUAUCACAUGAGGAGGAAAUUGAGAUGAGAGUUUUCAGCUUGAGGAGAGUAGAAGUAGAAACUAUAAAGAAUGUCAAGCGUGACGCACCUAUGCCAUUAAAAUUAUGCAAGUUGGGCUUUACAACUUGCAUGUCAUAUACUUCCAACGUUGAAUAGGCAACCAUUUCCGUCUAUGUCCUACUUUGAUUUCUACCUCCCAACGAAACCCUUCAGAUUUCAUGCACAAGGCUUUAGCUGACAGCUCUUGACAAUGGUCCUACAUUUUCGAUCUUAUCAUCUAUCAUCUACCGGUGGAAUUUGAUUGGUGUUCUGUUCGCACUUGUGCUCCUCCUUUCCUCAGAUUGGUGUUCUCUUUCUCUUUUCCUCAAUUUGCUUGGUAUCAUACAAAAGCGUAAGGGAAUUAUGAAUAGUUUACCUAAAAAUGUUCCAUAUACACAAACGCUAAAUGAAUUAUGAGCUAAUUUGAAUUAUUGACAUGAAUAAAAAAAACUCCAACGCAGUUAACGAUUUAAAAUGAUUGCAAGCUUGAAUUAAUGUAUGGAAUUUUUGUAUAUUCAAACAGAAAGUGCUAAAAUUGCACACAACUUGCAAUGAGUGCCUCUUUCAAGGCCAGGGAUAUUUUCAGUUAGUAAUAUGUUGCAUCGAAAACAUUUUGGUAUCUGUGAAUGUGCAAAACCCCUGUGCUUCCAACUGCAGCUGAAGUGGAAUGCAUGUGGAAUAACAAGCAUGUUUUUUAAAAUAUAAACAGAACAACUCAACCAAUACAGAAAGGAUUUUCAUAUGAUGACAAGGAACAUCUUACACAAUAGAAUACCCUAACCUAAAAAUGUUACCAAGUUAGAGGACGUCUAACUUAGCUGAAGGACAAAGUAGUAGUUGUGAAGGUCUUCCUUUAUUUUGGCAGCUCUCAAGACAGGAUAUUGUACACCAAACCCUGAUUUUGAUAAAUGAAUAGGAUAGAGUAAUAUUACAACUACUCCAAUGUAGAAGAUGAAGAAAGCUGUUGGUCAGCAAGAUUUUGUGAUAGAAUUGGAUAGAUCCAAAAAACAAAACAAAAAAAAAGCAAAAAAUUUAUCAAACAAGGAAGAGAACAUAAGAGCAGAAAUUUGAAAUACAAAUGCUACAUUCUCGAUUGUGUCAAUAGUGCGAUGGUUAUCCUUUUUGUACUUUUGGCUGCUGUCCAUUGAGGUCGAAAAUAUAUUCGGCAAAUAGUAUGUGUGCAAGAAAGAUACGACUAAUCAAUAACUAAAUAAAUGAGAAAAUAUUUAGAAGAUUUUAAACAAGGUAAUUCUGAGAAAUAAAAAUCAAUAACUAAAUGAAUGAGAAAAUUUUUGACUCUACAUUGCUUUAGUACUAUAUGUAUUGGUAAUGCAGUUGUAUGCUUGGUGCUUAAAUUGGAAGAUAUCUAUUUUUGUGACUGUAUCUUUGUUUGAAUUCAAGGCUUCUGGAGUUUGUAAUUACUAAUUGAAUACAUCAUGAAAUACACAUUACUAUUUAGUUAGUUUCAACAUGGCCUAGUGGUAUAAUUUCAAGAAAUGUACAAUUGUAAUCUUUUAUUUAUAUAUUUAAAGUGAAGGAAUAAGUCUGACAGGCUGAUACUGAACAAGAAUGCUCAAAUUUUCCCUGAGUUUUGAUUUGAAUUCAUUUAGUCAAGAUGCUAGGGAAAUUUGAAAUCAAGAGAACAAACCUUUUGUGUUUUUGUUGACAAGGAAACCCUCAGCCGACCGUGCAAGGGACUCAAGAGAAAAAACUUUACCAACUAAUAAAACUAAUUGAUGCUUUCUUCUAGUAGACUGUAAACCCACCAAGAGUAUACUUACCUAGAAGUGCAUUUAACAUAGUAACCAAUAUACUUAUGCUGAAUAUAUUAAGAAAAAUAUGAGUAAUUAAAGAGACACUGGAUAGAGGAAAAAACUGUAACAAAGAUUUGUCCACAGCCAUGCAACUGUUUUGAAACUUCUGAAAGAUCACACUUCAGUCCAUUGCCUGAUUAGACCAUCAAAGUUCAAGUUGACAAAGCCUUUCAGAAUUCGGUCAAAAGAAGUGGCUGAACUGUUAGUUGAUCACUCUUUAUGUACUGGAGAGGAUAUGGUUGUUAAGGCGAUUAUAUAUAGAAUUGAUAAGAAAGAAUGAUGAGCCACAGAUUGGUUAUCUAUAAGACGGUGGAUAAGGCUGAAGAAACAAUCAAGGUGGAAUUCAAGGACAAGAAAUCUGUAUAUGUCAUUUUCGGAGGCAAUUGAUGACGGCUGGAGUGGAUAUGUGUACAGCCUUCUCUAUGUCGUAGGAUUUUUUUUUGAAUCCUGAAAAAUUUCAUACGAAUAAUUUCUACACAAAUUCAGAAGUUUCUAGCGGCAUUUUGUCUUGCAUUGUCCAAUGAGUUCAAGUUCCUGGUCUUCAAGGUGUAUUAACUUCGCAAAUUAAAGAGUAUCACACGAUAAAGGGUACCUAUGGUCUACGAAUCACUAACAAUUUGCUAUUCAAGUUGUAUGCCAGACAUAUAAUGUGAUGUAGAGUACGAUCCAACGAGGAACUUGGCUAAGAAUUAAUUUGCAGAAGGAAGGAAAACAAUAGGACGAGAGAGCCUGGCUGCCCUGAUGCCUGUGCACUACAACCUGCGACUCUGAAAUUUCAAUCAAGAUAUAGCACCUAAUUUGAGAAUUAAUGACAUUGACCCAUGGACUAUGGCUAAUAACUCUGAAAUUUCAUUUAUAGUUGUCAAGGAAUAUGGCUAAAACCCACCUUUUGCAGCAAUCUUCCUUCACCCAAUGAAAGAUUUCUGGAGGUUAAAGUUCAGCUCCUAAAGCUCUUCUCCAGCUCACCAACCAACAGAAGAAAUUAGUUUUAGUAAAAGUUGUUAAAUUUUGGCACCAAGUUUUGAGGGUAUGUAGGUAAAUUUGUAGAUGAUAUUUUGCUUCUAAAAUAGUGUUUAAAAAGCUAUUUCAGUGAGGUAUUACGGUGAAUUUGUCCUUGAUGAUAUUGACAUUAGGUCCCAUCAACAUCAAUAAAAGUCAAUCUGAUGUUGGAAACUUGGAAACAAGAAGGGUUCUAGCUAAAGUAUUAGAAACCUCAGGAAAUUAUCCCUAAAAUAUUUCCUCCACACAAGACAUAGUGUUCCCAUCCUAGUUCUUAUAAAUAGGGCUUUAGCUCAAUGCACUUGUCACUAGAUAUCAACAAAUUUUGCACGUCAUUUAUAUUUUGAGUGUGAUUGUGAUCAAAUGGCGUCUUCAAAAAAUUUGCUCUUUCUUUUUGGUGUUCUUUUCGCACUUGUACUCCUCAUUUCCUCUGAUGUAACAACAGCAGGUACCCUGUUUUUUUUUUCUUUCUCUUUUAUAUUUUUGGCUGCACCUGAACACUCAAAUGAAUGAAGCCUAGCAGACUUAUUAUUGGGAAGUGAUCAAAUUAACGUCAAAUUAAAUACUUCUAAUUCUAAUUUAUUGAGUAGACUAUAAUGCAAAAUGAUUCAUAUCCUAGUCGCAACAUCUUAUAUGCCUAGACUGUUCUGUUUAAUCCACAGUAUUCUUUUCUUUGCAUAUAUCUUGCAAAUUUUCCGCCUGGCCAGUCACCUUAUUUUGCAGCAUAAGGUAAAUCUCCUAACAGUUAGUCUCCUUAUGUGUUGAAACAGAUCAGGAGACCACGAAGGCCACUGGUGUCCACGAUGCCAGCUCAGGUGAGGCUCAUCAGUAUCCUGUAGCCGGAUAUGUUUGCGCAUUUGGUUGUUGCCGCAUUUUGGGACGUUAUUGCUUUAGAUGCUGUCCACCUGCUGAGAAGACCCCUAAUGUUGAAUUUGGAGAUGAGGUUAAAAAUUAAAGCUAAGUCAAUAAGGAUGUGAGAUCCGUAACACCUAUAUUAUUACCUUAAUAUGUUGUGUUUGUCUUGAUGGUUGAUUUCCUCUAUGUGUAAAAAGACUCGUGGAGCUUCUCUUUGACUUGGUGUAGAAUCAACAGGGGAGGCAUGUAAUGAGUACUCAGCUCGACUGCCCUUCUUGUGUUGUUGUCAUGUUGAAUAAAUAAAUCUACUUGAUCAUCUACGACACUUGAUGAUCUCUAUCUCAGUUACAUCAGAAACUUCUGUACCUUGGACUUGCUAGAAUUUAGUGUGAUUGAUACAAGACGUGCAGAAUGUUCAAUAUAUGUAUAUACGUGCUUCUUCAUCGUCCCAUGUCUUUACAGUGUAAAAUAAUUCAGUAAACCCAAUCCUGUUCCUUCCUGAGAAAGGAACUAAAGUCCUUUAAAUGGAUAUUUUGGAUGCUAUCAAGGGUUUGAAUGGAUUGCCAUUUAGAGAUCUGAAUGUUGGUCUUUUCUCUUUAUCUUUGCUCAAGAAUUUUUUUUGGUGGAAAUGCUUUACUUAUACGAAUUUUCCUAGUCAGUGAAUAUUUUUAUUAUACUUGCACAACACAAUGUUUAUAUGGAUAACACAAAAAAGCUUCUGUAGUCUGUAUACUUCAAAAAUAUUCAUAUAUACUUUUUAACUAGCCUAGAAAAAUACAUAAUAAAUUCUUGAUGCAUUAUACUUUAAAUUUUAAAAAAUUUUAAUUCUAACACUUAUCAAUGACUCCACAUGUUAAUUUGUCUUCCAACUCAAUAAUUAGUAGUAGUUAAUUUUCAAAGCUAACUGACUCCAAUAUUCCUGAUGCGUGGGGAGUUUGAACCUUAAUUAUUUUCAAAUUUUAAAUAUAAUCCAAACUUUCACUGCUGCAAGUGCACAGGUUGUACACGAGUAUAGGGAAUGCUGGAGUGUCAACCCCAAGGAGAAGAUUGUCAAUUAUUGGAGUGAUUCGAACUCCUCUAUUAUUUAGAUUGUCACAAUUAAAACAAGUAAAUCUAAUUUACAAAUAUAAAAGUAGUAAAAUAACAAGGAAAUGUGCCUAGGGUUAUAUAAUCUUUAACUACUCUUACAAGUGAAAAUAACCCAUUAAAUGAGUUGAUUAUCUUGACUAACUCAUGGCUAAUUUUCUAAUAUAUGUGACAUUCGCUUUCGCUAAUGUACCAACCAUACAUAUAACUAUCCCUCACCUAUGUUUAGUGAUAAAGAAACUAUCUAUAAACUCAUAGAAUCUAUGAAGUUAUUUGUUAAAGCCACAAAGGUUUUUUCCUCCUUUCGUGAGAAUACUCCCUAAGUUGAACACUUCCACGAACUAAUGUUAAAUCACAACUUUCAUUGAUAAAACAACACCUUUAGAUAAUCACCAUUAAUGAUCAAUUAAUCGUGAUUGUAAUAACAAAAGUGUUAAAUAACUUGCUCAAGAAUUAAGAUGGAAUAACCAAGAAAAUAUCACUAACAAGCAUAAAUAGUUUAUCCAUCCCUAUGCAUACAAACUAGCAAAACGUAAAUGAAACAGAAAUAACAACCAAACAUGUAUAUUCACUAAAUAUGAGAAUCAAUAUAAGAAAUAAAGUGAUAGGAAAGAAGUCACCUUGACACAUGAGUUCCAAAACUCUCAAUCUUCAUCUUCAUCCUCAACUUCAUCUAUAUUUAGUUACAAUACAAGAUGGAUAAAACUAACCUACACUAAGCUAAUUAACUAAUGAGAAUAGUGAAAGUUACAUUUUUUGUGGUAGUUCCUAACCUUCAAAGGUUAUGAAAAUGAGUUUUGAAGGCCCCUAUUUAUAGAAGAAAUUGCUCCAAAUAAUCAUGUUUCAAGUUGUGCAAUUUGUGCUUUCGAAUCUCCAAAAGUUAUUUCUUGAAAUCUCCAAUAUUUCUUCAGUAGUUACCGCUAAAAUUUGAUUAGAAAAAUAAGCUAUAAAAGCUAUGGAAAAGCUAUACAAGGCCAUGAGAAAAUACAGGUAAAGACCCUCAUUUUAACUCUUGUUUUGCCUCCUGUUUUGCCUCCCAUGUAUUUUCCAUGUCAUUUCUGGUUUCAUCCCAAUCCGAGGGUCAAAACAUUGGUUACUCCUCAUUUUAGCCCUGAUUUUCUCCUCAGAAGAGUAAUUUUGUAGCUUUUGUCAUUCCGAAUCGUUCUCAAAUCAUCUCUGACAUCUUACUUGUAUUUCACUUGAUUCGAAAUAAACAUGAAAGACCAAAAUCUACAAAAACAACAUGUUUUGCACAUUAAACCAUUCAAAUACAAGUUUCGGUUAUUAACUGCAACUUGAAGAAAUGUUUGCUUAAAAUGAGUAUUUUUCAUCCUUAAAGCCCUAAAAACAAACCAAAAACUAAGUAACAAACAUAUUAAAAAUAUGCAAAGUAAACACUGUUCAAUUCCCUCACUUUCUUCAUCUCCUAAUGGAUUUAUUUCCUAAGCAUGAGUUUUGCAACCCCCAACAUUAAAUCUCAAUGAUUCAUUUCGGUGGUUAUAAAGGCUUCUAACUUUUCGCACGUUUGUUUCAUAGUGUACUUAUUGGUUUGCUAUUAAUUCUAACUAGACAUUUACUAGGUCUUGUAGAAUUUAUUCCUUCUUAUCACUUAAUUCAUAAGCCUUAUUAAUCAUUAAAUUUAUCAGUUACAACCAAAAGGCAAAUGCCUUGCAUUUCAAUCUUUAAUGUCAGUACUUAACUUAUAUUAGCCAUUCGUACUGCUUGAUAUUAUUAUAUUGCUUCUAGAAUGUUACUCGUCAUGUUCUUACCAUUAUCUAGAUUAUGAACUUCUAUCCUUCUGCGGAUAUUCGUUAAAAUUGGGACGAUUCUGAACUCCUCAAAUGAUAAGUAUUCGACUAUGAACCUUUAGAUUUAACUCAAGUUCAUCAAUUAUUACUUUCAACACUUGAUUCAUUCUCAUCAUUCAUUGCUUUUCUAUAAAUUAGUCUGGCUUAUUGGUUUUCGGUUAUAAAAGAACUAUUACAAUAUAUACCUCACACAUAAAUAUACCUAGCUUCUCAUAAGUUAUUACUUCUAACAUUUUUUCCCUCUAAAAUUAAAAAUUGUAUCCCAAAACCCACAAAAUAUCAAACUUAUACACUUAAUGUAAAAGCCAAAAAUAUGGGGUUUCACAAUCUAUAUUUGUUAUGUUAAUAUCUACAACUGUUAGAGGUAGUGUCUAUACAAUACUAUGGAGUUGAAACUGAUAAUUAAACAUGCCCUAAAUCUAUAGACUGUAAAAAUUCUAAAUUUGCUUGUAUGCUCUAUGGUUUCAAUGUUCUAACCUCCAUGGUUAAUUUGAAGUUUGAACAAGAGAAUUGCAAUAGAGGCCAACGAUCACGAGCUAGUAAGCUUCUUUUUUUUUUUAUUAAUUAGAUAAGAAAUCAAACUAUUACACAAGCCUAAUUUUCCUAAUUGAAGGCAUUCCUAGUUUAUCCAGACGAAUUGCUCCACGAGCCAUAGGUGGAAAUGUAUUAAAUGUCUCAUAUAUCCUGAGUUGCUGCUGUGGAUGAGAUACACCCACGUUGGACAGCACAUCAGCCACUGUGUUUGCUUCUCUGUAACAGUGGGAAAAUCGAUCUGGAUCUUCCAUGAUCUGCCAAAUCUGCCUAAUAACCCGUCUAAUGUGCCAAGGACAAUGAAUGCGAUGCUGGAGAAUGCCAAUUAAUAACAGAGAAUCAGAUUGCACAUUGAGAUUCAAAAAACCCCUAUGUGCACUGAUUUGGAGACCAAUAAGGAGGGCACGAGCUUCUGCAAGGAGACAUGUCGUUUCCCCAAAAUAUGCCGAGAAACCAAUCAAAGGUAGACCAUUUGACUCCCGAAGAACUCCACCGCCUGCACCCACUCCUGGAUUACCUUUAGAACAUCCAUCCGUAUUAAGUGUGAGCCGACCAGAUUCCUUUGUUUCCCAUCUUACAAGUUUAUAUGUAAACCCAACCUCCGAUGAAUUAGGCCAGUCAUACAAAUGAUAAAAAGAUGGUACUCGGAGAGGUUUUUUUAAAUAAAUUCCCACCAUGGAUUGGAUUUCGGAGAAAAUGGCAUGACAAAUGGCAAUCGACCUCAUCUGAACAUCGUCAAACAUUGCUUUAUUUCUUGCCUUCCAGAUAUGCCAACACACAAGACAGGGAAGAACCCGUCCAAUAAACCGACGUAUCUCAGAAUCGUAUGAUUUCAACCACCAACCCACUAUGCGGAGUCUCAAAGAUGACGCUGACAAAUCGAAUCCACAUGCAGCUCCAAAAUAAUUCCAAAUUGUUGAUGCUAUAUUGCCAUUUGAAAAUAAAUGUUCGAUUGAUUCCUCAGAUGGCAAUGGACAACAAAAACACUUUGAUGGAAGAUGGAAACCAAUGUUACGUAAACUGUCGGGUAUUGGCAGUCUCCCCAGCAAAAGUCUUAACAUGAAGAAAGAAACUUUCAAAGGAAGACAAGGAUGCCAAAUUCUAUCAAACACCAUUGACGUGUUACGGGCUUGCCUAAUAUCCCGAAAGGCUGAAGCUAGAGAGAAAUUUCCGGAAGAAGUAGGCAUCCAUAUGACUUCCGCUUCACCCCCCUCUUCGGGGACUGGGUGGUUUAAAAUGGAGGUCACCAUUUGACUUGGCAGUGACUGACAUAACCGACUCGUAUCCCAAUGUCCAUUACUGAUAAAGUUACUAAAUGAUAAGUUUGGGAUAACCGUCGCUUGGAGGAAUAAUGCACCAUUACCCAACCAAUUGUCGUA